Molecule: long non-coding RNA, 215176 nt
Filed under: Olea europaea (common olive)
Lineage: Eukaryota; Viridiplantae; Streptophyta; Magnoliopsida; Lamiales; Oleaceae
Description: long non-coding RNA (OEUR_LNC005055)
Rfam family: Plant small nucleolar RNA R71 (bases 114076-114181)
Source: RNAcentral
GUGUGUAUCAAUGAGUGAAGCGAUUCUUAAUGGGAGGAUGAAGCUGCCUCUACACCCAUUUCUUAGGUACAUCCUUAGGAAAUAUAACCUAGUCCCCACCCAGUUAGUGCCAAAUGCAUUGAGCCAAUUGGCAGGGGCCUUCCAUCUUUAGAAGGAGGCCACUCUUGGAGAGGAUAUGCUUCUCAUAUUUUUCGUACACUCUUUCAGCCUUGAGCCUUUAGUGGGAGAGGAUUGCAAGGGGGUAGUAUUAUAUAAACCCUUGGGGUCUGCAUUUACCCUUCAUUUAGGGAACUCUACCUUAAUAAAAAAUUGGAAGUCAUCUUGGUUUUGGAUUAGGAGAUGCUGGUAGACAGUUGAGAGAGAUGCAGUCCCUAUGCCAACCUAGUAUCAUGUGUAUAGUGAGUUUAGAUUCAAUUGAAGAUCUUUCAUUUAUCGUAUUUCAGUAUCUAUUUCUAAAUUGUGUUUUGUGCAGUUGUAGUUAACCAGUUCAAGUUCAAACCUUCAAAGUGGGCCACCAUUAGAGCUACUUACAAGUUGUCCACUGAGAGGAGGUACUUCAACACAGUGCUUAAGAAGCGAGCUCUAUUUGUAAUACUUACUAACGGCGACCAAAGGUAAGCCAUCGCCAAACAUUGUCACUCUUGAUAGUUUGACUUGAUUUUUGGCUAUACUAAUGGCGUAUUUCACUUGCAGAGUAACAUGGUAGAAAGAAGUAUGUCAAGCACGACAUGUUCUAUAUGAGCCACCUGGCCAAGGAGAAGAAAAAGAAACUAUUGAACUCCACUUCUUCCGUCUACAAGGAAGUUGGUUCUAGUAAAGAACAUCCGGCCUUUACCUCCUCCCAAGCGCCAGAUGACAAUUGACGAGUCGUUGAAAAAACUAAUUGAGGCAAACCCCAUCUCUUCCAUGAAAAUAGUGGAGGUGAAGGAAAUGAACAAGGAAGAAGGGUGCCUCAUAAAAAAAGAGAGGCAAAGAGGCUAGUUGAGGUGGCCUUUUAAAUGGUCCUUCAGAGAGAAAGGCUCAAAAUUUUCUUAGAGGCAAGUCUAACGAGAUCACCUCAGAGGUUUUGGAAAUGCUCCCUGCCAAGGUCCAAGCAACUACAAGGAUUCAUCAUAAGUACUAAACUGAUAAGUACUCAUUUUACACCGAGACCUGUGACUCGAUUAACAUGAUGGAGGCUGGCCUCUUGCAGGCUCGCUCACAAGGCUGCUUUUUAAAUGCCCAAAUGGACAUGAGAAGACUGCAGAGGCUGAAUGAGGAAUUUAGCCAAAAGGUUGUUGAUCCUAAGGGCGAGGCAAAAAGGCUGAAGGUUGAGGCCUCUACUGUUGACGAGGUACAGGCUCAAGUGGUUGAGUUGACUGUCGAGGUUGCCAACCUAAGGCAACAACUGAACGGGGUAGGGGAGGUAACUGUAAACGACUACGAGGCACAGUUCCAUGAAACUGAUGAGUAUGACGGCCUCGAUUUGUACUCGAGGAAGGUUGCAUACAAUAAAGUUUUUGGAAUAAUUGUUGAGCUAUAUCCCCAAGUAGAUCUAACUACUUUGAAGGAAAAAUUCUUCCCAGUUGAGCCAUCCACUCUUAUAGAUGAUGCUGAAAGCUCUGAAGGCUAAGAGAGUUGAGCCUCGAUAGGAUGAAGUUGUUGUAUAGAUUUUGCCACGAUUUUUCCUUUUCAACAUUGUAAUAGCUAGCUUUUCUUUAUAAUGAAUCCAUUUGAAUUAAGCAAGUUCUUUUUAAUGAAACAUGUUGACAUGAUGACUCUACAAUCUAAGUUUUUUGUGUUUGUAUAUGAGCUCAUAUGUAUCACAUAAAUAUAUCACAACCAUUACUUUCUUUAUAUAUAAUUAAUUUGACCAUUUAUCUUCCCAACCAUUAUUUUUUUCUUUUACUUUACAAGAAACAAAAUGUCACUUUUCUCUCUUUAAAAUUUGCGAUCAUUGCUUUUUCUAAUGCUUUCGUGCUGGGUCUUAUACGUAUCCAAGGAGCUGCUGCUAAAGGCAAUGAUAUUCAUUUCUCUCUCUAGGUUCUUGCAUUUCGUUUUAUUUGUCCAUUUUUUCCAAUUUUCCAAUGUAAUUGUAUUGAUUAAUGUUUUAAUUAAACUAAUGUUUCUAUGCGUUGUGUAAUCUGCUUGUAUUUUGUCUUCUAAUUUUCCUCAUUAUGUUUAAUUAUUUUUAAAUUUUAUUUAACUAUGUUCUAAGUAAUAGUCGAUCAACAAUUAAAUUUAGCCACACAUUUCAUAGGAUCCACAACUUUUGGACCACACAUUUCGUCAACUUUUAUGAAAAUAUAAUUUUUAAUUUCUGUCGAACUGGAGCUUAAUAAUCGUAGGGCCCCACAUUUGGAGUUAUCAAAAGGCCCUAAUUCAAACCUCACUCUAUAUAAUUUUAAUUCAUCGCUUAUAAAAAUACUUGCCUUUUGCUAUGAGUCUUAAACAAAUCCUAGGCUUGUAAAAUACUUGCCUUGUGGCUUCACAAAAGCGGCAGGGUGGGGGGGUAUGGGGGGAUGGGAUACAACAAAGAGAAGAAAAAGAAAACAAAUCCUAAUUCAAUUAGGCAAGUAUUUUAAUUAGGAUUCCGUUUUCAAGCAGCUUCCCAAACACUCUAACUUAGGAUUUGUUUUUCUUUUUUCUUAAUUAUAUUAACAGUUCAAUUCGACUUCAAAUGAGUUUAAGCAUCAAAAUUAGAACGUACUAGUUCUAAACUGUUUGGUUGAUUUAGAAACCUAAACAUUGACAAGUUUAGUGGACCCAAAUCAAUGGUUUCUCUCAAACUUUAAGUUUGAUUUUGUAAUUUGAGAGUCUUUUUAAAUGCCAAGAAAAUAUAAUAGAGACUCAUUUGCUGAUAAGGCAAUAGAUUGAAGACAAAUACUGCAAUUUCCUCCAAAAAAAAGAAUAAUAAUUUAGGACUUCAGCCAUAAAUCUACUGCCUUCGCUCAAUCUUGAGGUAACACUUUCUUUGCAGCAUAUGUAAUGCUGGUUGUAUAGCCUGCAUUACAGACUGCAUAACAAAAGGUGCAGUAUCACCCGAGCCUGCACAUAACAAUCAGCAUUUGCAUUUUGAUAUAUGAUUAUGUUGAAAAUUGGUUAAGUAACAAUUGAAAUCGAAAAGUGUAACUAACAUGUCAAUUUCGGACGAAUAUUCGGACUUGAUUUGAUGGUCAAAUUAUGAAAGUAAAUAGGCUAACUUGUUCGAACUUGAUUUGAUGGUCAAAUUAUGAAAGUAAAUAGGCUAACUUGUCCUACUCGUCGAGUAGAUAAUCAUAGUAUAUUUGGACAUUAGAAAUCAAUUCCAGGUGAAUGAGAAAUUACGUUCCAAAGUUGGAGGAAGAAAACAAAAAACAAAAUAAAAAUUAAGUAGGGCCAGAUAGCACUAUCGCUCGAGCGAUAAUCGGGCGAAGAGCAAGCGAAAAGGUUCUGCUUGAAUUUUUGAAGGGUUGUUCGAGCAAAAAUCUAGCAAAAAUCUAGUGAAAAUGAAAGGUUGCAUCUAAUUGAAAGAUUGCACAAUUUGGCCCACACCACUUGACCACACCCCUUCUUUCUAUAUAAAUAAGACCCCUUGGAUGUCCCUAAGGAUACAAUAACUCAUAUUUUGUAUUGAGCACUCUUCUUCUCUUACAAAAUCUCUCAUUCUUUUCUCUUGCAUAAAAUCCCUUUGUAAAGGGAAAAUUCUGUCGGUUCGCCGGUUCUUGUGGUGUGAAGUACUGCUACCACAAGAUUAAACAUCCGUUGUAUCUUGGGAGACAAGUGUUGUCAACCGUGAGCACCAUAGUGAGGCAAUAUUGUUUUAAGGAAAGAGUGGAAACACUUGCCUCAAAUUUGAUCUCCUUUUCUACUCCAUUCUUAUUUUCAUUUGUUACUUUUGUUUUGUGGUUGUGUGCUACAUUUUCAAAUUCAUAGUUUUGUAGUUUAAUCACGCUCUUGUGGGUUAGACUUUGCUUGAUUUGGUAUAUAUACCAACAACCAUCCUAUCGCUCACAAAUAAACCCGGAAUAAACAAUCUUAAGAUAAUAUUUAUCGGUGGUUGUUUAGUUGUAACCCUCAUUUUAAUCUACUUUUUGGAAUAGUCCUUAUAUAAUAUUCCUUUCCCUACUUUGUGUUGUGAUUAUCUUCUGUUUGUGUAACAAGAAUGAGUACUAUAGAUGCUUCAAGUCAAAAUGGUACGAACAAUGUGGUCACACCAAUGGCUAUACCACUUCAAAAUACUUCGAUCCCGCAUGGUAAAAAAUCAAAAAAAUUUAGUGGCGUGGAGUUUAAGAGAUGGCAACAAAAGAUGUUGUUCUAUCUCACGACCCUCAGCUUGGCAAAAUUCUUGAAGGAAAUUGUACCAACUGUACAAGAGGGAGAAAAUAAUCGUGAGUCAAUUAUUGCGUUGGAUGCAUGGAAGCACUCGGACUUUCUAUACAAAAACUAUAUUUUGAAUAGGCUGGACAAUAUACUAUUUGGAGUGUAUAGUUCUAAAAACUCGACCAAGGAACUGUGGGAUUCAUUGGAAAAUAAAUACGAGACCGAGGAUGCCGGAAUCAAGAAGUUCAUCGUGGGCAAAUUUUUGGACUACAAGAUGGUAGAUACCAAAACUGUGAUAAGCCAAGUGCAAGAAAUUCAAGUUCUCUUGUACAAUAUACAUGUCGAAAAGAUGGAAUUAAGUGAAUCCUUUCAAGUGGUUGCCAUUAUCGAGAAACUCUCUCCUAUGUGGAGAGAUUUCAAAAACCAUCUCAAGCACAAACGUAAAGAGAUGAAUUUGGAAGAAUUGAUCGUCCGCUUGAGAAUUGAAGAAGACAAUAAGAAAAAUGAAGGGAAACCUAUUGACCAACUUGGAGCGAACUUUGUUGAAACAGAACAAAUGCUUUUGAACAAGAAACGAAAUCUCUCUAACGAUGCACCGCGUAGAGAUAACUCCAAGAAGGCGAAAAAGUUCAAAGGAAAAUGUUAUAACUGUGGAAAGGCCAGAUAUCGUUCAAAUGAAUGUCGAAAGCCAAGGAAACUUGCUCAAGCCAACAUAAUUAAGAGGGACAACCUUUCUAAAGGAAUGCAGGAAAUGAGCCUAUCUGCAGUUGUGUUCGAAUGCAACAUGGUUGGAAACAUAAGGGAAUGGUGGGUCGAUACUGAUGCAACCCAUCAUGUGUGUGCUGAUAAAUCAAUGUUUUCCAACUAUCAAGAACUGAAAGGGGAACAAUUGUUCAUAGAGAACGCUGCAAGUUCCAAGAUUGAAGGAUAAGGCAAAGUCACUUUGAAGAUGACAUCCAGGAAAAAGCUAGUCCUCAACAAUGUCCUAUAUGUGCCAGAUAUUCGGAAGAACCUUAUGUUCGGGUCUCUUCUUGGUAAAAAUGGGUUUAAACGUGUAUUUGUAUCCGAUAAAUUUGUGUUGUCUAAGAAUAAAAUGUAUGUAGGCAAAGGAUACAUGUGUGACGAAAUGUUCAAAAUGAACGCUCUAACUGUUGUACCAACACAAGGCAUUAUAAAUAAAAUUACAAAUUCUGUUUACUUGCUUGAUUUUUGUUUAUGGCAUAAUCGAUUAGGACAUACGAAUUAUAAUUUGUUGUGCAAACUUAUGAAUCAAAGUUUAAUUUCGGUGCUUGAAAUCUAUCCUAAUCAUAAAUAUGAAAUAUGUGUUGAAGUAAAAUUAGCUAAAACACCGUUCCAUUCAAUUCAGAGGAACAUGGUACCUCUAGAAUUAAUACAUAGUGAUAUAUGUGACUUGAAAUUCGUUCAAACUAGAGGUGGUAAGAAAUAUUUUAUAACUUUUAUCGACGAUUGCACAAAGUAUUGUUAUGUCUUUCUUUUAAGAGAUAAUGACGAAGCCUUGAAUGCAUUUAAACAAUAUAAGGCUGAAGUUGAAACACAACUUGACAAACGAAUUAAAAAUAUUCGUAGUAAUCGAAGAGGUAAAUAUGGGGCACCGUUUGAAGAAUUCUGCUCCAAACAUGAAAUUAUUCAUCAAACAACGGUUCCAUACUCUUCUCAAUCAAAUGGUAUUGCUGAACGUAAAAAUCGAACUCUUAAAGAGAUGAUGAAUGCGAUGUUAAUAAGUUCGGGUUUACCUCAGAACUUGUGGAGGUAAGCUAUCUUAACGGCGAAUAGACUUGUCAAUCGAAUACCGCUUAAAAAUGGAAGAAACUCCAUAUGAGUUAUGGAAAUGUCAUCCUCCUUCCUACCAACACUUAAAAGUGUGGGGAUGUUUGGCAAUGGUUGAAAUACCAAAGCCUAAACAAAUUAAAAUUGGUCCCAAGACGAUCAAUUACAUAUUUAUUGGAUACGCCAAUAAUAAUAGUGCAUGUGAUUUCCUAGUACACAAAUUUGAUAUUCAAGAUGUACGCAAGGGUACCAUAAUUGAAUCAAGGAAUGCAGUAUUCUUUAAAAAUGUGUUUCCUUACAAAGAUAGGGAAACAACAAGUUCAAACAAGAGAACUUAUGAAUCUAUAAAUGGAUCUUCAAAUGAGGAAGAACCAAGGCACAGUAAGAAGGCUAGAAUGUCCACUUUAUUUGGUCCAGAUUUUCUAACUUACAUGGUAGAAAAUGAUCCAAGGACUUUCAAGGAAGCAAUGUCUGCCCCGGAAGCACCGCAUUGGAAAGAAGCUAUCAAUAGCGAGAUAGAUUCCAUAAUGCAAAAUCAUACAUGGGUGUUGGUUGAUUUGCCUCCCAGAAAUAAGCCUUUAGUGUGUAAAUGGAUAUUCAAAAAAAAAAAAUUUGAAACCGGACGGAUCCAUUGAUAAAUAUAAGGCUAGAUUGGUUGCCAAAGGAUAUAGGUAAAGAGCAGGACUUGACUUCUUUGAUACCUACUCACCCGUAACGAGAAUCACUUUAAUAAAGUUGCUAAUUGCAAUUAUGGCAAUACAUAAUCUUGAGAUUCAUCAAAUGGAUGUAAAAACAACAUUCCUAAAUGGUGAGUUAGAAGAUGAGAUAUAUAUGAAGCAACCUAAAGGCUUCAUGUCUCCAAAUGAAAGCCAUAAGGUUUGUACACUUGUUAAGUCCUUAUAUGGUUUGAAACAAGCUUCUAAACAAUGGCACCAAAAGUUUGACAAGACAAUAUUGUCAAACGGGUUUAAAAUAAAUGAAUGUGACAUAUGCGUAUACGUGAAAAGUACAUCGAAUGCCUAUGUGAUUGUAUGUCUAUAUGUAGACGAUAUGUUGAUAAUGGGUAAUAGUCACGAAAUGUUUAUGAACACCAAGAAAAUGCUAACAAGACAUUUCGACAUGAAAGAUAUGGGUGUGGCAGGUUUAAUACUAGGGAUAAAGAUCUCUAGAACAUCAAAAGGAAUUAUACUUUCCCAAUCUCAUUAUGUUGAAAAAAUACUUAAGAAAUUUGAAAUAUUUAAGGAAAGUCUUGCAAAGAUCCCUAUUGACACAAGUUUACACUUGGUCAAACAUAAAGGUAAAAGCAUGUCACAACUAAGAUAUUCACAAAUAAUUGGUAGUCUAAUGUAUAUUAGGUACAUCACUCGAUCGGAUAUUGCGUUUGCGGUGAAUAAAUUUAGUAGAUUCACGAGUAAUCCAAGCUAUGAUUAUUGGGUGGCGUUAACAAGGGUUCUUAGGUAUUUGAAGUAUACCAUGACCUAUGGAUUAUAUUUACAAAAUAUUCAGCGGUAUUAGAAGGAUAUUGUGACGCGAAUUGGAUAUAUGAUAUAAAGGAUUCUAAGUCCACAAAUGGUUAUGUGUUUACCCUUGGAGCUGCUAUUUCAUGGAAAUCGUCAAAGCAAACAUGUAUAACUCGAUCAACGAUGGAAUCAGAGUUUACUGCUUUGGACAAAGUUGGUGAAGAAGCAGAAUGGCUUCGAAAUUUCUUAGAAGAUGUUCCAUGUUGGCCUAAGCCAGUACCUACCAUAAGCAUACAUUGUGAUAAUCAAUCAGCUAUUGAAAUGGCUAAAAGCAGCAUGUACAAUGAUAAGUCUAGACAUAAAUAUCGUAGACAUAACACAAUUAAGCAACUGAUCUCAAUGGGCGUCAUCUCCAUAAGUUAUGUGAAAUCAAAGGAGAACGUAGUAGAUCCACUUACGAAAGGUUUCCCAAGAGAUUAAAUAUGUUGCCUAUUGAGAAGAAUGGGAUUAAAGCCUACGACGUUAGAGUCCUUAUAAUGGUAACCCUACCUUGUUGAUUGGAGAUUCCAAGAUCUUGGUUCAAAGGGACAACUAAAUUUGAGGAUUCCAUGAAGCACUAAGGAAAAUAACUUCCUCACUCAUUCUUAUGAAUAUAAAGUGCUUUUCUGUAGAAUUGGAAGAGGUCAAGAUAAUAUUUUAAUGAUUCCUAUAUCUUGAUUAAGUCAAGUAGAGUAUGGCAGAAUACUCUUAACAGGAAGUCACCUAUAUGAGUGUGAAGUGAAGCUGCUUCGACGAGAAUUAUUCAAGGGUUGAAUUCUCUAAACACUUGUAGAACCAAGAGAGGUUUAGGGCCAAAAUGAACGAAGUCAUGAGAACCAAGAACAGAAUUAGGGAAGAUAUUGUGUGAGUAUUGUUGUCUUGGCUUAGACUAACGAUUGGUCGGUUCAAGACAUCACGUUCACCAACUAGCCAAAUAAGCUAGAUAAAAUUUCACUAGGGAAGGUUCAAAGCCGGAAGCUACCUCCCCCGAUGCAAUGUUCUUCCGCUCUCUCUCUCUCUCUAAAUUUUCAUGUAUUGUGUCGCAUAUCAUUUGCAUACCCGAAUUUCCAUUCAUGUGGGGGAUUGUUGGAAAUUUGUUUCCAAAUUUGAUGAAAACGAAAAUUGGUUAAGUAACAAUUGAAAUUGAAAAGUGUGACUAACAUGUUCGGACUCGAUCCGAUGGUCAAAUUAUGAAAGCAAAUAGGCUAACUUGUUCUACUUGUUGAGUAGAUAAUCGUAGUAUAUUUGGACAUUAGAAAUCAAUUUCGGGUGAAUGAGAAAUUGAGGUUCAAAGUUGGAGGAAGAAAAUGGAAAAUAAAAUAAAAAUUAAAUGGGGCCAGAUAACACUGUCGCUCGAGCUAUAAUCAGGCAAAGAGAGAGCGAAAAAGGCUCUGCUCGAAUUUUUGAAGGGUUGCUCAAGCGAAAAUCUAGCGAAAAUAGAAGGUUGCAUCUAUUCGAAAGAUUGCAUGAUUUGGCCCACACCACUUCAUCCACACCCCUUCUUCCUGUAUAAAAUAGGACCCUUGGAUGUCCCUAAAGAUAUGCCAACUCGUAUUUUGCAUUGAGCACUCUUCUUCUCUUACAAAAUCUCUCCUUCUUUUCUCUUGCAUAAAAUCCCUUUGUAGAGGGAAAAUUCUAUCGGUUUGCCGAUUCUUGUGGUAUAAAGUGCUACUACCCAAGAUUAAACAUCCAUUGUAUCUUGAGAGACAAGUGCCGUCGAUUGUGAGCACCAUAGCGGGCAAUAUUGUCUUAAGGAAAGAGUAGAAACACUUGCCUCAGAUUUGAUCUCUUUUUCUACUCCUUUCUUAUUUCUUUUGUUACUUUAGUUUUGUGGUUGCGUACUACAUUUUCAAAUUCAUAAUUUUGUGUUUUAAUCACGCUCCUGUGGGUUAGACUUUUCUUGAUUUGGUAUAUACACCAACAACCAUCCUAUCGCUCACAAAUAAACCCGAAACCAAAAGAUUAAGCACUGAAGUAUAUAGCUGGUCAACAAUUACAUGUACAAAGUUGAAAUGUUAUCAAUGUACCAUAUAUGUAGAGACUAACACAAACCGAUACCAAUUAACCCUAGAAUAUUGGUUUUCUUGACAAAUUUGCAGGUUAGCGGGUGGAAGAAGACGGAGAAGGGAUAAAGUAAUGAGUUCUAGAAGUUAUGAACUGGAUCUAGAACUACAACCAAAACAUUUGGAGUUGUCUGGUACAAGUUCGUGCCUACCCGUUGUUAAAUGGAUAUCAUAUAUUUAUUUUGAAAAAAAAAAUAAUUAAAUUGGGAUAAUUGGUUGAGUGGUAAUAUGUGAAAUUUAUGUGGGAUUUAGAUUAGAUGGUUCGAAGCAUACUCUACAAGUCUAUUAUUUGACUUGGGUUUCUUAGACUAAAAUAAAUAUUUUUUUAUUUUAAUUAUUUCCAGAUUUACUUCUAUUAUAAACUUGUCAAUAAAAUAAAAACUGUUAGAGGUAGUUAUAUCCAAUAAAUUAAAACAAUUAAAGACCAUUAUUUGGUGAUUUAAAGAGAAUAAUAUAGCCUAGAAUGGCUAGAUUAUUUAACCAAAACAUUUUUGUGUGUUUGUGUAUUUGUUAAGUUAUGUUAUAAUUUUGUUUGAGGACAAACAAAUAUUUAAGUUUGGGAGUAUUUGAUAAGUAUAUUUUAUACACUUAUUUGGACCUAAAAAUAGAGAUAUUUAAUAGUUCUUUUAAGUAAUUAUAGCAUAAUUUAUUGUAUAUUUCAUUUAUAAGAAAGACUCAAUGAUUGAAUGCGGAAUUGAAAGAAAGUAGCGAAAAAUGACGAAGUACAAAUGUUGAGGACCAAAUUGCAAAUUUCCAAAGGUUGAUUUGGAACUUGACUUUGAAGAUUACUAGGAGUCAAUUGAAUAAAAUUAGAAUUCAAAAAGGGAUGGAAUAUGAUCAAAAUAUUAUGAUAAAUCGAUUUCUAAUUGUACAAGUUAUAUUCUAGAUUUUUAGUCAAAGAUUGAGACCCAUUUUUGACAUAGUAAAUGUUCGAAUUUGAAAAUUUAUAUUUCAAGAGAAGUUGAGCCCUUUGCGUUAUCUUUCCAAUGCACUUUGAAUUGCUUCAAUUGAAUACAAGGAAAGAGACUUAUGAUUAAAAUACUGAGUACUGUGCAGAGACAAAAACAUGCACGCACGAAGAUAACCUUCUUUAUUCGAUUGAAACUCUUUUGAAAAUCAAUUUAGACAUGAUUUUAACCAAUUUUCAACUCCUGCAAAUACCUAUCAACAAAAUACAUAUUAGACACAUCUUAUAUACAUAUUAUACUCCAAUUUUCAUCAAUUAUUAUUAUCAAAUGAGGAAAAUUCAUAGAUUUUUAUGAGAGGAUAUAAGGGGACUUACAAGAAUUCAAUCAAGUGAAGAUUCAAACUUGAUCCUUGGACAAAGAAUAGAAAUCGUAAGUGGAAAUUCAUUAAGAAACCAUUAAAGAGAUUCAAUAUUUCAAGAUCCAUUUCCGUCUUUUCAAUUUAUCAAAAAUUCGGGUUAUAUUUUUCCACUUAUAUAUGAUUUCUUGUAAUUUCGAUAUGUUAGGCUAGUUUUACACAUUGUUAGGAUGAGAUAAACCAUUUGAUAAUUUUUAGUUUUUAAUUAAUUAUUUUGACUUUAAUUUGGUUUGAAUUAUGGAUGUUUAUUAUAGUUUUUAUCAUUAUUUUCAAUUGCUUGAUCAUCAAUUGAAUUAUUAGUGAAUUUUAUUGUAAUCGCGAGAGACAUUAGGAUUUAAGCAUAAUAUAAUAAACAUUGUAAGGUUCGAUAAACGACAGAGAUAUAUUUCUAUACUUUAUAUGAUUCCAAUAGGUGUUCUAACACUUGUUAAUGAUUUAUCAUAUUUGCAUUUUUCAUCGAGAGAUAGAAAAGCCGCAUGAGGAGAAUAGAACUGAUCGUUAUCGAGAGAGACUUUCAGUUAAAUUAGGAACAUUGAUCAACAUGAACGAUUUCAAAUUGUUACACUAAAAAUGGAAUAACAAGGGGAUUCGAUAACUUAGCAAUGCAUAUCACAUAUUUGAAAAACACAUCUACUCGCUUUCACUAGUUAAACUGAUAAGUUAGGGAUUAUUAUAGACAAAUUGCAAAAUCUUUUUGCUAUUCGAUUAAAAUUGCAAUUAAUUUUAACUCGAUCAAAUACAUAGUCCUUAUGAGUUCGACACUUCAUUCACUACUUUAUUAUUUGUUCACGAUCUCGUUCACUUGCAGGAAAUCAAAAGGGUCAAUCAUUAUUUUUCUAAUGCUCUCAUGGUGGGUCUUAUACUUAUUCAAGAAGGAGCUGCUAAAGGCACUGAUAUUCAUUUGGUUCUUGCAUUUUGUUUUAUUUCUCCAUUUUUUUUUUCCAAUUUUCCAGUCUCACUGUAUUGAUAAAUGUUUUAAUUAAACUAAUGCUUCUCCGUGUUACCUAAUCUACUUUAAAAUUUUUUUGAUCCACUUAUUCUUUUUUUUUUUUUCCUUUUUUAAUGCUUGUAUUGGAGUUUAAAUCUUGUAUUUUGUCUUCCAAUUUUCCUAAUUAUGUUUAAUUAUUUCUUAAUUGUAUUUAAUUUUAUUCUAAGUCAAAGUCAAUAAUUAGGUCACAUAUUUCAUAAGACCCACAACUUUUUAAUCACACAUUCCAUCCAAUUCUAUCAAAACUACUAAAAAUCUAAUUUUUAAUCUCUAUUAAAUAGGGGCUUAGUAUUUAUAAAACUCUGAUUCAAACCUCGCUUUAUAAAAUUUAAUUCAUUGCUUAUAAAAAUACUUGCCUUGUGCUAUGAGUCUAAAACAAAUCCUUGGCCUGUAAAAUACUUGGCUUGUGGCUUCAAAAAAAUAAAAAAAGAGAAAGAAAGAAACCAAAUCCUAAUUCAAUUAGGCAAGUAUUUUAUGAUCCACAAGGCAAGUAUUUUAAUUAGGAUUCAGUUUUCAAGCAGCUUCCCAAACUCUCUAACUUAUGGCGUGUUUUCUUUUUUCUUAAUUAUAUUAACGUUCAAUUCGACUUCAAAUGACUUUUAACUAUUGAAAUUUAAAUCAAACUAUUUUUAAACGGUUUGGUUGAUUUAGAAACCUAAACAUUGAUGUCAAGAAAAUAUAUUAGAGACUCGAUUGCUAAUAAGGCUAUAUAUUGAAGACAAAUACUGCAAUUUCCUCCCAAAAAAAGAAAAAGAAAAAAGAAUAACAAUUUAGGACUUCAGCUAUAAAUUCAUUGACUUCGUUUGGUCUUGAGGUAACACUUUCUAUGCAAAAGCGUGUGUAAUGCUGGUUGUAUGUCCUGCAUCACAGAUUGCAUGAUAGAAUGUGCAGUAUCACCCGAGCCUGCACAUAAUAAUCAACAUUCACAUUUCUAUAUAUGAUCAAGCACUGAAGUAUAGCUGGUCAGCAGUUACUUGUACAAAGUUGAAAUGUUAUCAAAUAUACCAUAUAUGUAGAAACUAACACAAACUGAUACCAAUUAACAGUAGAAUAUUGGUAUUGUUGAUAAAUUUCCAGGUCAGCAGGUGGAAGAAGACGAAUGAGGGAUAAAGCAAUGAGUUUUAGAAGUUAUGAACUGGAUUCAGAACUAGAUCCAGAACAGGCAAGGGUUGAACGGCCGGAGUUGUUUGGUACAAGUUCGUGCCUACCCUUUGAUACUCGUAUCUAUAAACAAGCCACUUUUAAAUAUAUAUCGUGUAUUUAAUUUUAAAAAAAUAACUAAAUUGGGAUAAUUGGUUGAUUGAUAAAAUGUGAAAUUUAUGUGGGAUUUAGAUUAGACGGUUCAAACCAUACUCUACAAAUCUAUUAUUUGACUUGGGAUUCUUUAACUAAAAUAAAUAUUCUAUUAUUUUAAUUAUUUCUAGAUCUAUUUCUAUUAUAAACUUGUAAGUAAAAUAAAAACUGUUAUAGGUAGUUAUAUCCAAUAAAAUAAAUUUGUUAGAGACCGUUAUUGGGUGAUUUAAAGAGAAUAAUAUAGCCUACAUUUUUUUAAUUUUAUUAGUUUCGAAUUAUUAUUGUAAGUUAAUUUUUGUGGGCUAAAUAUACGACUCAUUUUCUUGAAAAUUAUACAGAAAUGAUCUUAUGCACUUUAUAAAAAAAGUCAGUUUAUAAAUUAUAAUUAUUUUUGUUGAGAUAUAAAGACGGGCAAUUUUAUUUUACAAUUUUGCUUUAUGCACAUCCUGGUUUAAACCUUGGCUUAUUGAAUUACACUUGAUACAAUCUCAUAUCAUCUUUCACAUCUCACAUAUUUAAUUCAAUUAUUAUAACACUUCCAUGUCUCAAAUAAGAUCUGCAAAUAGCUUAAUCUUUUAUUUUAAGACAGAGUCUUGCUCAUUCAAUAAGUCUUCUUACUUUUGACAUUUUAAUUGUUGAACUGAAAGGGUAAGUUUGAUUAAUUUUUCUACAGCCACAACAUCAGAUGUUGUCGAGGCACCAGUCGUUGAGCUUCCAAGCAUGCAUAGCCAAGUUGAAGUCAAAGUUGAAAAUCCAAUCUCCUAUGCCAAUGCUCUGCAACGUAAGUUUCUGAUUUUCUUUUAUUUUACAAGUUCUAUAGUUGAUCGAAUAUAGGAUAAGUGUAUACUUUAUACAGUGAGAACUCUGUAGUGGGUGGCAAGACAUAACGCAUAAGUGUGCCUAUGUUAUUUAUGUAGACAGCCACGUUAAACAAAUACAAAUUAUAAGAUUUUCCAUUUGGGACUUUAGAUAUGACAUCGAGGCCAAGUGAUGGAUUAACCGUCUAUCAAGAGUUUUCAUUUUCGUUCUUUCCCUACUUGGAAAGUAUCCAAAAAUCUUCCUUACCCUCUUUGUUGUCAUUUGAACAAAUUACAAAAGUAAUGAUGUUGAUGUGCUAGUAAAUAUUAAGGAUUGAUUUUGUGAGUGGAUUUGGUUUAAUAUGUGGAGCAUCUUCCACAUAUCUGAUAACAUCAUCAGGGGUAGAAAGGGAGAUCAACUGAGGCUUCGUUUACUAUUAUAUAAAGCUGCUUUAAGAGGAGAUUGGAAGGGUGCUGAAGCUGCUCUGAUAUAGGACGAAAGUGCAGGUUCUCUGGAGAUAGAAGAAGGUGGAGAAAAGCCUCUUCAUAUAGCUGCUCUCGCCAAGCAAACUGCAUUUGUCCACAAGCUAGUCGAAUGCCUGAACAAAGGAGACCUGGAAUUGCCGAAUAAUGAGGGACAAACAGCUUUUGUUUUUUUGCAGCUAUAUCAGGGGUUGUAGAAAUUGCCAAGGUACCAAAAAACUAAUGCUCUGCCAACAAUUCGAGACUUAAACUAUUGAGCCCAAUUGAAUUGGCAACUUGGAUGGCAAACAAAAAAAUGGUUGAAUAUUUUUACAAAAUUACACCUCUUCAAAAUUUCAAGGCCGAGGAGCGCAUGAACAUUCUUGUUGCAACAAUAUACAGUGGCAUGUAUGGUACGGAAUCUCUGUUCACGACUUUGGACAAGAUGACAAUGAAAAUUAUGUUUACAAUAGUUGCAAAUUUGCUUUUCUUAUGUGCAGAUAUCGCAUUAAACAUAUUGAAAGCAGAUAGAAGUAUAGUUACUUCUCCAAACGUGGACAAAGGAAGGGCUCUGCAUGCUUUAGCUCGAAAACCUUUUUCAUACUAUGGUACAAGUCAAGAAUGGAUAUGUGAAAGUCUCGCUAGAUUCGUCCCUUAUGUUCCAUGUAAGUUUAUUCUAUUUCAUUAUUAACUUUCAACUGACAACAAAUUAAAAACUUAGCUUAAUUUACCCGAAAAUUUCUAGUUGAUAGUAGACAUAUAUGUAUCCGAUGGGACCGGGUGGAAACAAAACGCAAGAAUUGAGAUUUAAUGGACAUCAAUUUGAAGGUUAAAUACAAGAUCGCAAAAAUACCAUGAACAAGAUUAAAGUAAAGAAAUAAACUGGUAGAGGAACGAUGUUAUUUUAUUCCAUCAAUGAAAGGAGAGAAUUACAACAAUUGGUUUCAACAAUACUGAAAGAGGAGACUCAUAUAUAUAUAUAUGCCAUGAGUUUACACCUAAAAAAGUCCCUAAAAGGUAGAAAAUUUAGCAAAAUUAGGUCAAGGCACGUAAAUUGAGAUGGGAUUCUUCUUUCCUUUUCCAAAUCUGAUUCCUUGGAUACAAAUUGAUUCUUUCCAAGUGAAAUACGCAUCUUCCAUGACUUCUUACCCAAUUGAGAGUCACAAAUCUAACAAUCUCCACCUUGACUCGAAAUUCCGGUGCAACGAACGAAACUCCAAAAUUUCUCCACCUUGAGAAAUAAGUCCGACUACAUCAGAAUAACCAAGCUCCUCAACACAGUAACCAAACUCUCCACGAAAAUAUAUUUCUCCGCCCGGCAUCCACACGCGACACCCAAACCCAAACCCGGGUUUCCAAAAUUCCUCCUCGAAUUAAUAAUCACUGGACAGGGUCGAAGGACACACUGUAGCAGAAAUCACACCAAAUGCACAUUCAAAAGGUCCCUUGCCAAUAUUGUCACCUUCAAUGAUUUCUAAAGCAUACAGACAUCUCCAAAAUUGUACAUACGCUCCAAGAGUCCAUUGGCAUUACAAGAAUACAGUGUACCCGCUAAAAUUGGUGGCAAAGCGGAAUCGCUAACACUCCCUUGAGCAAAGUUCUUAACUGACCCAGAGCCAAACCCGAGAGGUACUGUACCAAAUUGAAUAUCCUCCACGGUACUGAACUUGUCCAAAUGUCUUUGAACUGGUUCUGCACUCCCCUGCAAGAUGUAUAAUUGGGAUUUCCUCCGUCCCUCCAGUACAACCUGGACACCCCUUCGAACCUUCAAGACUCCACCUCCACCAGAAAAUUUGUACCCUUUUUCAUCCAAGGUACUCAGUGAUAUGAGGUUCUUUGUCAAGUUUGGAACAUGGCGAACCUAAUCAAGUGUCCUCACUGUUCCAUCAUGUAGCCUCAAUCUGACCCGACCGAUUCCUGCAACCCGGCAAGAUUGGUUGUUUCCCAUGACAACUCCACCUUGCUUCACCGUCUCAUAUGUUUGAAACAAAGUCCUAUUGGGACACAUAUGAUACGAACAAGCACAAUCUAGAAUCCACUCCUCAGGUUUGGAUUAUCCGUCAGAUACAGCCAACACACAUCUUCAUCAUCACAAAAAUUUUCAGCAAUAUUAGUCUCGUUCGAAUUACCUGAUUGCCCUGCAUGAUUUGCAUGUAAAUCACCUUUACCCUACAACUUGUCACAAUCUUUCUUGAUGUGUCCUUUCCUCUUGCAGUAAUAACAAUACACAUUGUUGUACCUCGCCUUCGAUCUACCCUUCUGUCGAUCACCAUGAGUAACAAGAGCAUCCCCUCUCCUAGAUGUAGGAUCUCCAACCAACAGCUCCAUCUUCUCCUUUGAGAGCAGGGCGUCGUAUACCUCCUCAAUAGAUAACGUGUCACGACUAUACAGAAUAGUAUCACAAAACGACAAAAAAGAAUUAGGUAGCAAACACAACAGGACCAAGGCUAGAUCCUCUUCAUCAUAUUUUACUUCCAAUAUCUCCAAAUCUGCAACGAUCUCCUUGAACACAGCAGUGUGGUCCUGCAGUAACCCUCUUUCUGCCAUGCGAUGAGAAUACAACCUCUGCUUUAGAGCCAGUUUGCUCGUCAAACUCUUUGUCAUGCACAACUGCUCCAACUUGAGUCACAAAGCAGCCAUUGUCUUCUCCUUCAAAACAUCUUGCAGCAAAUUGUUGGAUAAAUGAAGUUGGAUUUGUGCUAAAGCCUUCUGAUCCUUUGGUUGUUUCUCCUCCAUAGACAAGUUUGUUGGCAUCCUAUCAAAACCCAGCAAAGCAUCGUCAAGAUCCAUCUGCGUCAACACAGCUCUCACCUUUACUUGCCACAGCGAAAGUCUUGUAUUGCAAUCCAAUAGCGGAAUUUCAUACUUCAACGAAUUCAUCCUUGAAAAAUCUCAACCAAAUCACAAAGAACUUGCAACACCCAAAACUAAAAACUUCCGAACGUACAAGGAGGCAAAAUAGUCCAGAACCACAAUUUUGCACAAAACUGAAAUUGGACACCACCACAAGGUCUGUCUCGUCGUCUGGAGAAAACUGUCUGAAGACACCGUCGUCGAAAACCACCGUAUGCGCCGCCACCUGCUCGUCGGAGUUCCCAUUGUCGGCGACCGGCCUGAAACGCGUCAGCGACCUGUGACCCUUUUUGGAUCGUUUCUGUCUGCUGAGUCUACUUGUGGUGUUCGUUUCUCCAAACUCUUUUUGGUUUGACCAGAAAAAAUAAAAAAUAGAUCCGGUAGAAAAUCAAAAAACUGGACAGAUUCGUUUUCUGAUUUUCUAGUAAUUUUUAGACCAAUUUUCGAUCAGUUUAAGGCUAGAAAUCCACCAAUAACCCCGCUCUGGUACCACUUGUUGGGACCAGGUGGAAACAAAAUGUAAGAAUUGAGAUUUAAUGGACACCAAUUUGAAGUAUAAAUACAAGAUCACAAAAAUACCAUGAACAAGAUUAAAGUAAAGAAAUAAACUGGUAGAGGAAGGAUGUUAUUUUAUUCCAUUAAUGAAAGGAUAGAAUUACAACAAUUGACUUCAAAAAUACUAAAAGAGGAGACUCAUAUAUAUAUGCCAUGAGUUUACACCUAAAAAAGUCCCUAAAAGGUAGAAAAUCUAGUAAAAUUAGGCCAAGGCACAUAAAUUGAGAUGGGAUUCUUGUUUCCUUUUCCAAAUCUGAUUCCUUGGAUACAAAUUGAUUCUUUCCAAGUGAAAUAGGCAUCUUCCAUGACUUCUUACCCAAUUGAGAGUCACGAACCUAACAGUAUCUACACCUUUAAACUCAUUGCAAUUUGGAUUCACAUGCACGUAUGCUACUCUGUCCGCUUCGAAAUAUUAAUUGAACUUUUUUUAUGCACGGUGUUUAAAUUGAAACUUUCAAGCUUUACUUUUCACAUUUAUGCCCUUCUUAGUGUUUCUGUUUUGUUUUAUUGACUUAAUCACAAAAUUAUCAGAAUAUAGAUUAUUCUAUUUUUCAAAGUAACUCCUAGCUAUUAGUUUAAAGUCUAGGCUUUAUGUGUGGAUGAUCGACAUAUAGAUUUUUUCUUAGAUUAUUUCCAUAAUUAUUUAUUUAUUUAUUUAUUUUGAAUUUUCAGCUCUGUAGUUAACAUGAACUUUAGAAAUAAUUUAGUAAAAAAUUGUAGAUUUCAAAAGGAUAUAUGGUUCAAUUGAAAAGUGGAGACAAGCCGGUCAGUUGGUAGAGAAGCUCUGGGACCAAAUUUUGACUUUUGAGGGCUUGAAAAUUACAAACAAUUUUUUGCCAGAUUCCUAUAAUUAACGAUGCUGCAAAAAUGGGAAUGUGGAGUUUUUGACUCUGCUUAUCAUCUCAUAUCCUGAUCUUAUAGACGCCCAAAAUAAUAACUCCAUAUUUCAUCUUACUAUCACUCCCUUACAAGAGAAAGUCUUUUGUCUCAUUGAUCACACAGGAGCUAUUAAAGAUUUAUUGAUGAUCUUUAGAGAUAAAUCCGGAAACAACAUUUUGCACUUGGCUACAAAAUUAGCACCUUCAAACAGACUCGAUAGUGUAUCUGGAGCAGCUCUUCAAAAGCAGAGAGAGCUAUUGUGGUUUAAGGUGAGAAAUUAACAAGACUACCAAAUUCCCUUUCCUUUUUCCCCUCAAAGAGAAGAGGAACACUUUAUAAAAUGAAGGUGAAUUGUAUCAUCUCUUGUUUAUCUUGAAUAUAUUUGUGGAUAUUAUAUAUAUCCAUGUCACUAUUCUACGUAAAAAAAAAUUAAUUCCCCAUGUAACAAUUAAAUUUUGGAUGAUUAUGCAAUACACAUUAAUUUGAGUAAGCCUUACAGGAAGUGGAGAAGAUUUUAUUGCCUUUCAAUGUUCAGAUGAAAAACAUUGAUGACAAAACACCUAAGGAGUUGUUUACGAAGCAGCAUAAGAAGUUAUGGGAAGCUGGUGAGAAGUGGAUGAAGGACACGGCAACCUCUAGCAUGGUUGUGGCAACCUUAAUUGCCACUGUUGUGUUUGCUGUAGCCUUUACUAUACCAGGUGGGAAUAAGGAAGAAACAAGCGCUCCAAUUUUCUUGAGCAACGGGUGGUUCACAAUUUUUAUUACAUCUGAUGCAGUGGCAAUGUUUAGCUCAACAGUUUCCAUAAUGAAGUUCUUUACACUCUUUGCUUCAAUCGUUUGCAUGGUUUUAACAUUUAGUAUAACUUCUUUUUGAUCCAUAAGGAAGAAAACCUAGGGAUAUUGCCAAAAAUUGUUGUUGGUCUUGCUUUUCUUCCAAUCACUUUAUAUGCAAUGUUAAAUUUUAGGUUAUGGAUUUCCCUAAUCCACUCAACAAUCUGAGCGUCAAGGUUUAUGUUUUGACCGGGUAAGCACAGGUUUUUGUAGUAAAAGGAUCUACAAUACUAGUUCUUGUAUUUGUUGCUGUUACUAAGAAAAGUGGAGAAGCUUUGUUGUUACUUUGUUUUAUUUCUAAUAAAAUGCUUUGUUUUAAGCCUUUGUUUCUUCUAGUUAUUACUUUGUUGUUGUUGUGUUUUCUAAUAAAAGGCUUUGUUUUUCGAGUGCGAGAGAAGUGGAGAAGCUUUCUAUUUUUUAUUGAUUUGUCUUUGCUAUUCUUCAAUGUAUAUUUAUACAUAAAUAUUGCAACUAUCAUUCCGACACAAAUUAAAUCAAGUAGAGAAGUCCACGAUAAACAUCAGAAUUCUCAUGCCUCAACAAAGAUUUGUUUCUCUUUUCCACAAUUUAGACCACUUGGUUUGUACCUGAAGCAAUAGUAUUCAAAUAUUAGAUUAUAGCCUCAUGGAUGAUGAUGAAUUCAAGUACCUAAUUUACAUGAAAAAUGUCAAGCUGGAUAGUCCACAAAUGUUUCCUUGGAGUCACUUGCGUGCCUUUAUUACUCCGUUCACUUCAAAAAAAAUAUGGUUGCUUUUUGGGAAUUGAGAUUUUUAUGCAUUAUGUGCAGAUCAUGUCCUUUGAUAUUUAGUCAUGGAUAUCAUAUAGUUAGAAAACAGUCUAUAUAUAUGCAUUAAUCCUUUGGAUAGGGAGUUUUAAAUACCUUAAAUUGAAUCAAUGAUAAUAAUAGUUCUUAAUUGAACUGAUCCAUGGAGAAUGUACUUGUGCUUCUUGUAAGAGUAAUUUUAGUCUUUCCUUUGGUUUUUCCUUUGUAUCUAUACUUGUAUAUGGGUUCUCAUUAUCCCCACCUAAUAUUAAUGGCUACUCGAUAUAAAUUUGGACUAGCAUCUUCAGAACUUCCUAGGAAAUGCUAGUUUGCAUGGUUGGGCUUAUGUGAAGACAUUAUGGCUACAUAUAUUGUGUUGUUAUUUCGUAUUUUCUGCAUCAAACAAAUAGUGUCAAGAUUUUGUUAAUGUAAUGAAUAGCCAAACGUCGUCACAGAACACAUUCUGUGACUCAUAUAGAGUGACAAUACUCGCAACAAAUAUAUUGUCGUCGGAAAAUUACCUUUGCAACAAAAUCUCAAUUUUUGCGACAACAUUUUUUUGUUGCGAAAUGAUUUAUUUUUUGUAGUGCCUCUCUACCAUGUAGCUACAGCAGUAAGGUGACAUGUUCGUCUUGAGUCUUUUACUGUACAAGGGUUUUUGGAUGACUAUAAGUUCGAAAAUAUUUCUAGCAAUGUACGAGUUACUAGGCGUGCACGGGGACAAUGGAGCUGAACUUAAGGACACUUGCUCAUUGCUUAGUUCAUGUUCUGGUUUACUAUAUUAGACUCUGUUUUAAAUAAUAGAUGAGGUUAAUAUUUUGCAAGUAUAUACAAGGGCUGGCCGUAGUAAGAACAAUCAGCCUUGUGAAACAAACAUGUCUUUCCUUCAUUAACAACCAUAAAACGACCUCCAUUUCAUAUAGAUCCACGGAAACAAAAGCAAUAUAGACACUGUCAAUGUCAUAAAUGGUGUAAAGUGGAAUUAGAAGGAUAUGGCACAAAUUUUGCCCCUCUUUAUAAUUUCAGAACAGCCAUAUUUGACGAGUAUGCAUAGGGUAUAAGAAUGUAGUGCCUUAUUUGAAUAGGGAAUUAAAAUGGUUGCUGCAACUCAAAUGUAGCCGCUGUAAAUGCCAGAGAAUGCUGAUAGUAAAACUUCUGCUUGUAUCUUAAGUUUCUUUCCUAUUUUUGAGAGCCACAAUCAUUUUUAAGUGAAGUCCCUAUCGCUCGAUUCAACUUCCUACCAAGUACACAUUAAGAAUCUUCAUCAUCAUUGCUCUAAAGAGAGGUAAAGAUGGCCACAUCUCAGUGGCUCAGUCACUUUGGUAAGUCAUAAAUCCUUGAAAUAAUUGUAGUUGCGGGUGUUCACGAAAUAAUUCUUUCGAUUUAAAACUACCGCAAGUGUACGGUUCGUAACAAGUAAUAAAGUGGAUUUUAAAAAGUCCGAAUAUCGUCCCUCAGAGAUUGAGUAGUUCAAUUCUAUAUAAUCUAGCCUUAACCGAAUCUAAUUGAGUGAAAAUAUGGUAUAAAUGCAAAAAGCCCUAAUUUCAAUUAAGAAACCCUAAUUUCAACUAAAAACCCUAAUUUCUAUUGAAACCCCUAAUUUCUCAAUUAGAAACCCUAAUUUCUCAAUUUCUCUAAUUAAAUGACUUAAAUACUCAAGUAAAUGAAAUUAUGCAAAUUCAAAUGCUAAUUUAUGGAAAUUAAUCAAACUAAAGUCACUAGGAUCACGAAUCCCCAAUUGAAGUUAUAAAAACCCUAAUUUCAUAAAAUUAAUGAUUCGAUGAAAAUUCGCCAAUUCAAUGUUCCUAAUUCUAUCCAAUAUACUCUCUCGAUACAUAUUAGACCUAUUCUUGCACACCACCAGCCUAUAUCUCUAUGGAUGAUGCAAACAUACAAGAAUGCAUGUAGUUUUGUGAACAAUUUAAGAAUUACAUAAAGCAUAGGGGUAUAUCUCUAUCCCCUAUCGGACCCUAUGUUAAUUUACACCUUAUCGAACAUAUUCCACUUCUCUCGAAUGUAAGAAACAAGUCAUCAAUACUCACACAAUCAUUGGCCACUAAUUGCGGAAGAAAAUUAAUGCAUGUAAAUCAAUCAAAUUAUCCAACAAAUCUUUAUAUUAAGUUCAUGAAAUAUAGAAUUAAAUAACAAACAACGGUUCAUCGAUCACCUAGUAAUUGAAAACCUAGCCUAGAAGAUUCAUAAUUACAGAAAACAAAAUGAAAUUAAUGAAUAGAAAGAAUAACACCCGUAUGAAAGUUCUUGAAAUCUGAAAUCUUGAACAAAACCUUGAAAACCCCUUUGAAUCCUUGUGAAAUCCGCUUCAAGUUCGUGUUCUUUGCCUCCAAAAGUUGUAUUCUUCUUCUCCCUGGACGUUCUACCCUAAUUUUGAUGAAUUUUGGCUUUUAUAUCAUGUCAUUACAGAGCCCCAAAAGAGUUUCAAUUAAAAACGGAAAGUUAGAUUUUUUUUCAAAAUUAAGGCCAUGCGGCCGCAUGGUUCAAUUUUUCUCCUCAGUGAAAACCUUGCACCACCAUGUGGGGCCGCGUGGUGUUAUUGCAUGCGGCCGCAAGGUUGUAAAAGUUACAACCUUGUCAUUUUGGCCCCUGAACUCUGUUUUCUCUUUUCUUGAUCUCUUUUCUUUCUUUCCUUUGUUCCAUUAUCACAUAUUGACCCCUAAUUGAUGUUUUGAUUAAUUGCAAUUUAGUCCUUCAUCUUUCACUUUUCUUCAAUUCAGUCCAAUGUUACUUCUUUCUUCCUCCAAUCGUCUUGUAUCGUCCUUAAUCUCAUACUUGGUGUAUUUUCAUUCUAAUUCUGCACUUUAGCUCAACUUUUCAAUAUUUGCACCUUUGGUCCCCGAACUAUCGCUUUGUUCCGUUUUGGUCCUUUUUCGGCUCUUUUCUUCUGAAUUCCAUCUUUUCCAUAGAAACACCUACAUUGCAUGAAUUUAACAAGAUUAAGUCACAAUUCAACUACUUUGUCCAUAUUUAAGUCAUGUUUGUGAGUUAAAUAAGUGUUUAAAACACUUAUCAAAUCCCCUAAACUUAAACUAUUGUUUAUCCUCAAACAAUGUAGUGACUUAAUGCUAAACAAAUAUGGCUUAAUAGCUUGCCAUGUCUCAGGAUUGGACUUAGUAAUAAUAAUAGAAACAAUAUCAAGAGUGCGAGAAUUGAAUCAACCUUUACUCAUCAAAUGCAAUACUCAACGUGUAUGUGUGAACUCAUGCCAACAUAUCAAGCUUAUGAUUAGUUUAUCCCAGACCCAUAGUGGUCAAAUUUAUCCUUACAUCACUCGAGAGAUACACAAUCCCCAAAUGUAUUCUUUUCACACAAUUUCUCCGUGGUGUAUUCUAAGGUUAGGAGUUUAAACAAUUCUAAUCCUUACCCUCUCUUAGUUUGGAUAGAUUUUACCAUUACAAGUUCACAUAUCAACAAGUAGAGACUCUCCUUAUUUUUGAUUGCUUCAACCUUUAGGAUUAAUUAAAGCUUUCACCUAUUUCUCACCUUCCGGGUUUAAACAAUCCACACAUUUUAAUUUCAUGCACGGAGCCCCCACUUAUCUCCAUGUUUUCCUACAAUGGCUCAAUCAUCUCCAAACUACCUUAAAGUGAUAUUACGGGUUAAUGUUAUAGAGGAUUAUUCUAGGUUUCUCCUAAUUUAUUCUAAAAAUUCCAAUCAAUAGCUUAACACGUGACAUGAGUGGCGUGCAAAAGAGUGGCAAGCAAUGCAUCAACAAGUAUUAGCAAAUUACAUUCUGCACUAAAUCCACAGUUUCUAGCUUAUACAUGUCCAAUAAUCACAUCAUAGCCGGCAAGGCUACCAAACCCACACAAGCAUGCAAACGUUCAUAAAGAUUCACUCAUCAAGCAUGCAUCAUGCAAAAACUUGUCAAAAUUAACGAUGGAUUGUGAAUAUGCAAAAUAAUUACAUGCCGGAUAUUUGUUUGAAAUUAUGCUACCAUCCCCCAAACUUAUACAAUACAUUGUCCUCAAUGUAAAAUGUAAAGUUAAAAUGGCAGAAUUUAAAACAUGGACACAACUUGGCAAUAAGAGAUUAACAAAACUCCCCUGAUCAAUGCGGUGGCUGUGGUGUGAAGCUGGGACCUGCAGCAUCAUCUUCAGGAGGAGGUGGGAGGCGAGAUAGGACUUGUCUCAGCAACUCGGACUGCUGUGCUUGCUCGACCUGAAUGGCUUGAAGACUACUUUCCAUAUUUCCCAAGAGAUCCCAAGUCUCGUUCACACGCCACUGUAUACCAUCCAUUCUCCCAGCGUACAUGUUCAACCUACCAUUCAUAGUCUCUACUUCCCUUCUCGCAGAUGUGGCUGCAUUCAAAGCACCUCUUGUGUAGUCUCGGGAGGAGUAGAGGUCUCUCUGUACUUUUUCAACAGUGGUGGUCAUUGUCUCGAACCUCUGCUGGAGGUUUUGUAUGUCUCUGCUAGUUCCAGUGGCUGUGGGAAAUAUUUGUCGAAGUAGCUGCGAAUCCAUCUCAACUGGUUGUGGCGGGGCUUGUGGUAAGUGUAAAUCUUCAGCAGCUUGUCCUUCUUCCUGCGCAUUUUGUCUUUGCUGCUCAAGUCUUUCUUGUUCUCUCUUCCUUACCCUAGCUCGUUCCUGAGCUUCAAAUGUGGUGAGCUUUAUCAAUGGUUUUGAUUUCUCAGGCAUCUUCCUUGCCUCAACUGUAACACCGGCAGCAAGACAUAUCCCGCUAAUCAGACUAGGGAAAAUCAUCGAAAACCGCCUAUCUCCCCAGGUUCCCAAAUUGUGUAUCUGGUCAAAAAUAAGAGUAGCCAAAUCAACUUUGCAUCCCCGGACUAAAUGAUAUAUGAACCAAGCAGUUUGAUCCCUGAAAGUUGUCUGAUGUGAUGUGGGUUCGAUGUUAUAGCACAUGAAGACCCAAAGGAUGGCUAUGGAGGGAGUAAGCUCAAUUUGAUGCCACUCUGCAGUGGGUAGGGGCCAAGCAUUCUCUCUUCCCAAGAGAACCUCCACCACUUCAUUCCAGUUGAAUUGAGAGGGAAUCGGGACCACAUUGUCCAAAUUAAGAUUGUAGAAGUCAUGAAUGACGACUGGGGAGAACAUUAUCCACUUACCUCGCACCCAUGUCUGGUGUAAGUGUUCAGAACCCGAAGUCUCAAUUUCACUAUUGAAGUUUGCAUAAAAUUCUCGGACUAAACUUUCAUAAACUGGGUGUGGCUUUUCUACAAUCUUCUCCCAUCCACAAAUUUGCAUCAGAUUUGGCAACUCAAAACCACGAAAAUCAUCUAACCGGACCUGUCUCUCUGGUAUCAAGCCCCAAUGGCGUAUUAUGUUCUCAUAUCGAGCUAAUGUUUCGGCAUCACGGAAUCUUCGCACACCUCCUACUAGCUCUCUGGUGCGGGUUGUGCCGGAGGAGGAACCAACUUUUUCUUUACCUUUUGAUGUUCUCUUCGGCAGCAUCCUGCACAAAUAAGGAACGAAGUGUAUCAAGUUCGUAAAAUAAGGAAACGAUGAAGAAUAUCAAUGUCAAGCACAAAUCCCCCAAACUUUCUUCAAAAUAUGUGCAAUAUUCAACGCAUGGAAGUCAAUGUAACAUCAAUAUUGCAUUAAUGAGAAAAACACAAAAUUAUGACUCUAACAUGCAUUUUUUUGAAAAUUCGACCCAUGAUCAAGUGACCAACUUCAGCCCCGAGCAUCAUCGAGAAAUAUUAAAAUUUCCCCGGACAAGGUCCGGGCAUAUGAAAGUACUCAUUGUGGUCUAGCAUAUAUCCAAAUUUCACUACAAUCGGAGGUCGUUUGGUUAGGGAAAUUCAUGGACGAAGUUAGUGACGAGGGUUGACAUGACUUAGCAAUUGAUGUGGUUUUGUGCACAUAUAUGUGAGGCUAACAUUUUCCAAUGAAAUUCCAAGAGAUUUCUCGACUAGUACGCCUCACAUUAACAAUGUAAAUCAUAACACAAAUGAAAAGUUCGAAAUUGAGAAUCAUAUGCCUCAUUGACAUUUAAUCAAACACGUUGUGUGCAUUGGAAAUUUCCUUCACUUUGUGUUUGAGUUACACUUAGGGCUAGUCCAAAAAUCACAAUCUAAUCACAAUUCACCAAUUACUCAAUUCGAAAAUGUAAAGAAAUCAAAGAAGAAUUUUAAACUUUGCAUAGAAAUUCAAUUUCUUACCUUGAGAUCUUUGUGAAAGGAAAGUAAAAGUUUUGCUCCAAAAUUCUUGAUAAUGUAUGCCAAUGUUGGGAUUAAUUUGGGGUUAGGGUGAAGAUGUGCAAGAGUGGUGGUGAUUGAUGUUGUGAGUGAAAGUGGAUUUGGGAGGGGGAAAUCGUGUGGGAGUGAUAUUGGGGGGGGGAUGGGUUGGUUUAGCAAGUGACGGGUUUAAAACCCGUCACUUUUACUCCAUGCGGCCACAUGGUGUAAUUGGUUUUCCCCAAUUGAGCUUCGGUUGGGGUCCAUGCGACCAUGCGGCCGCAUGGACAAAACCCCAAUUUUUUUUUUUUAUAAAAAAACAAACUUAUAAUUUUAACCCCCAACACACCAUGAAUUUUAAAAAUCCCCCUACAUUGGUUCUCAAAUUCAAAAUUGACUCGACUCUAUAUAUUCCAAUUUUUUUUUUUUUUUGAAAAACAUGAAAAAUAAAACGAACGAUUUUAAAUCCUGAAAUUCUUUACUUCACACUCAAACACCCAAAACAUUUUCUUUAACACCGACUCAUGCAACUAUGAACGUGUGGUGCCUAGACUAUCAUGUGUGAUUGAUCGAUGACCUAAUAAAUAUACGAAAUGUAAACAAACUCCGAAAUAAAUGCAAUAAAAUAAAUUGAAGGAUACAGUGGGUUGCCUCCCACCCGGCUCUAGUUUAUAGUCGAUAGCUCGACUUUCCUGCAUCUUCUUCAUGUUGGGUUGUUGAGUUGCACAGUGGACUUCUGCUUAGGGAAAUUACAGCCCCAAUAGUGUUUCAGUCUUUGCCCAUUGACGAUGAAAGUACCUUUGGUCUCGUGACUCACUUCAAUAACCCCGUAUUGCAUCACCUUAGUUAUGGUAUAGGGACCCGACCACCUUGUUCUUAGCUUUCCUGGGAAUAGUUUGAGUCUAGAAUUGUACAAUAAUACUUUCUGCCCAACUUCAAACUCACCUCUGAAUAUUUAAAUCAUGCCAUCUCUUGGUGCGCUCUUUGAUCAACUUUGAGUUCUCAUAAGCUUCCAUUCUCAUCUCAUCCAAUUCAUUAAGUUGCAGCAGUCAUUUUUCACCAGCAGCCUUGAGAUCCAUAUUCAACUGUUUCAUAGCCCAAUAUGCUCGAUGCUCCAACUCCAAUGGUAGAUGACACGCUUUCCCAAAAAUCAGGCGGUAUGGAGACAUUCCUAUUGGGGUUUUAAAUGCUGUUCUGUAAGCCCACAGUGCAUCGUCAAGUUUCUUAGACCAAUCUUUUCGGGAUGAGUUCACUGUAACUUCCAGUAUUCUCUUUAACUGCCUGUUCGAAACUUCAACUUGCCCAUUGGUUUGUGGAUGAUAUGGAGUUGCUACCUUAUGUUUCAUCCCAUAUUUAUUCAACAGCUGCUCUAAUUUACGAUUUAUGAAGUGUUUGCCCCCAUCACUUAUUAUUGCUCUCGGUGUACCAUAUCUUGUAAAUAUGUACUUCUUCAAGAAUUCUAUCACCACUUUCGCAUCGUUAAUAGGCAAUGCAAUAGCUUCCACCCACUUAGAGACAUAGUCAACGGCCACCAAAAUAUAUUGAUUUGAGUAUGACGGGGGAAAAGGUCCCAUGAAAUCUAUUCCCCAUACAUCAAAUAUUUCAACCUCCAAGAAGUAAUUUAGUGGCAUCUCAUAUCUUCUUGAGAUAUUUCCGAUUCGUUGACAUUUAUCGUAUCUCUUCACAUACUCGAAUGUGUCUCUGAAUAAAGUAGGCCAAUAGAAACCCGACUGUAGUAUCUUUACAGCAGUCUUUGAAGCUCCAAAAUGCCCAGCAUAUGCAGAAGAGUGACAAUGUUCUAGAAUCUCAAGUAUUUCAUCUUCAGGAAUACAUCUUCUGAUUAUCUGAUCUGCGCCUCUUCUGUAGAGAAUGGGAUCCUCCCAAAAGUAAUACUUCAACUCUGCGAAGAACUUCUUUCUUUGAUGGCUAGAAUAAUCUGGUGGCGGGAUGGACUUAGCAAGGUAGUUAACGAUAUCAGCGUACCAUGGGACUAUUUCUACUCCAAAAAUUUGCUCAUCUGGAAAGAUUUCAUUGAUGUCAACUGACAUCUCAGGCUCAUCCCGUUCCAAUCUUGAUAGGUGGUCGGCUACCAUAUUUUCACUGCCCUUCUUAUCCUUGAUCUCAAUAUCGAACUCUUGCAACAACAAUAUCCAACGGAUCAAUCUCAGCUUAGCAUCCUUCUUUGUCAUAAGAUACUUCAGAGCGGCAUAAUCUGUGUAGACGAUAACCUUAGACCCAACAAGAUAUGAUCUGAUCUUGUCGAAUGCAUAAACCACAGCUAGCAAUUCCUUCUCGAUCGUCGCAUAGUUGAUUUGGGCGUCGUUCAAAGUUCUACUUGCAUAAUAUAUCACAUGAAAGAUUUUAUUCUUUCUUUGUCCCAAUACCGCACCAACUGCAUGAUCACUCGCAUCACACUUUAGCUUAAAGGGCAAAUCCCAAUCAGGUGACACAAUCACAGGCGCUGUCGUGAGUUUUUCCUUCAAAGUAUUGAAAGCUAUCAAACAUUCCUCAUCAAACUCAAAAGAUACCUCUUUCAUUAGCAAGUUGGACAGAGGCUUGGUGAUUUUGAAGAAGUCCUUUAUAAACCUCUUGUAAAACCUUGCAUGACCAAGGAAACUUCGAACUCCUUUUACUGAUGUAGGUGGUGGUAAUUUCUCAAUAACCUGAAUUUUCACCUUAUCCACCUCUAUCCCCUUUGUCGAUACUCUAUGUCCCAAGACUAUUCCCUCUUGAACCAUGAAAUGACAUUUCUCCCAGUUUAAUACUAAGUUCGUUUCUUUGCAUCUUUGCAAAACCAAAUUGAAGUGAUCCAAACACUCAUCAAAUGAGGUCCCAAAGACAGAGAAGUCAUCCAUAAAGAUUUCAAUGAAUUUCUCUACCAUAUCUGAGAAAAUUGCCAUCAUACAUCGCUGAAAUGUGGCAGGAGCGUUGCAAAGUCCAAAUGGCAUUCUUCGGUAUGCAAAGGUACCAUAAAGGCAUGUGAAGGUGGUCUUCUCUUGAUCAUCCGGUGCCACUGGUAUCUGAUUAUAACCCGAAUACCCAUCCAGAAAGCAGUAGUGGGAAUGGCCUGCUAAUCUCUCCAACAUCUGAUCUAUAAACGGAAGAGAGAAAUGAUCUUUCCUUGUAGCGGUAUUUAGUUUGCGGUAAUCAAUGCAAACUCUCCACCCUGUUACCGUCCUUGUCGGAAUCAACUCGUUCUUUUCAUUCUGAACCACUGUAAUUCCUCAUUUCUUGGGUACAACUUGCACUGGACUAGUCCAUUUACUAUCUGAUAGCGGGUAGAUUAUUCCAGCAUCCAGAAGUUUGAUCACCUCAGCUCUUACUACCUCCUUCAUGUUUGGGUUUAGCCUUUUUUGACUUUCAACUGUUGGUCGAAAAUUCUCCUCCAUGAGAAUUUUAUGCAUACAUAAGGAAGGGUUGAUCCCUUUGAUAUCAGCUAUGGUCCGCCCAAUUGCUUGCUUGUUAUCUCAUGAUCUCCUAGCUUCCUUUUGUUUGAUAGGAUGUCUUUCAGGAAUUUUGCAUAGCUAGGCAUCUGAACCAGUGCUUCAGCGAAUGGGAUGUUGAUAUGGAGCUUCUUGAAGACCUCGAUAAACUUCUUGUAUUGUUGUUCCAUCUUUUGCUUCUUCAGCCUCUGUGGGAACGGUAUGGGUGGCUCAUAGGGAUUCACAGCUACAGUUUCUUUCUCCCUUGAGUUUCUUUUAUUUGCUCUCGGUGUUGGCUCUUCUGUCUGUUCUUCUUGCUCCAAAAUCUCUUCUACUUCAGGAGAAACCUCCUCUCUAUUUGCCACGGGAUUAUUCACUUGUCUCUCAGGCAAUUCCACUCCACUUCUCGUUGUUAUAGCCUUUGCAUGCUCUUUCGGAUUGACUUCUGUGUUACUUGGCAGGCUGCCUGGUGCUCUACCUGUUAAUGCAACUGCCAUCUGUCCCAUCUGAGUUUCCAAAUUCUUAAUGGCUGCAUUUUGAUCUUGAAGAGUGGCUUCUGUCUUUUUCAUGAAUUGGUUGUUCGCCUCCAUAUAUUGGUUGGUCUGUUCCAUAAAUUUGCCGAACAUUUCUUCCAAUUGAGGCUUCUUCUCUUGCUGUUGGUAUUGCCCUUGUGGCCUGUUCUGAUUUUGGUUGCUCCAAGAAAAGUUGGGGUGCUUUUUCCAGCUUGGGUUGAAGGUCUCUCCAUACACAUUAUUCUGCUGGCGUUGUCCCCAUUGAGCAAAAUCUGCUUGCUCUUUUCCUUGUGUCAAAAUUGGGCAUUCUGCUGUCACAUGCUCAGCUCCACAUUCCUCACAAUUUGCCUUCUUUGUCUGCGUUGCAUUAGCUGACUGGGUAAUGUUUUCCACCUUGUGAAAUAAGGAAUCAAUCUUAGCCGAUGAUGCUGAAUAUACAUCCACUUCAUAAACUCCUGGUGUCUUCUUUGGUACUGCUCGUUCCAUGGUCCACAUUGCUGAGGUUCUAGCCAUUGUCUCAUAUAACUUCAAUGCUACAUCAAUUGUUUUUGUGGACAAUAACCCAUUAGCUGAAGAGUCGACCAUGCUCUUGAAAGCUGGAAGUAGCCCUGCAUAGAAAUAUUGGACCUGAAGUCCCUUGCUAAUCCUGUGGUGUGGACACUUCCUUAGUAGAUUUUUGAAUCUGUUCCAAGUCUCAUCAAAAUUUUCAGAUUCACCUUGCCUGAAGAUAGAUAUGUCGUGCUUUAGCUUUGCAAUCUUGGCCGAUGGGAAGAACUUAGUACAGAACUUCUGAGCUAGGUCAUUCCAGGUAGUAAUGCUGGCUAUCGGCUGAGAAUCAAGCCAUUCAAUCGCCUUGUCCCGCAAAGUAUGUGGAAACAGUCUUAAUCUUAUGGCGUCGUCAAUUCUAUAUAAUCUAGCCUUAACCGAAUCUAAUUGAGUGAAAAUAUGGUAUAAAUGCAAAAAGCCCUAAUUUCAAUUAAGAAACCCUAAUUUCAACUAAAAACCCUAAUUUCUAUUGAAAACCCUAAUUUCUCAAUUAGAAACCCUAAUUUCUCAAUUUCUCUAAUUAAAUGACUUAAAUACUCAAGUAAAUGAAAUUAUGCAAAUUCAAAUGCUAAUUUAUGGAAAUUAAUCAAACUAAAGUCACUAGGAUCACGAAUCCCCAAUUGAAGUUAUAAAAACCCUAAUUUCAUAAAAUUAAUGAUUCGAUGAAAAUUNNNNNNNNNNNNNNNNNNNNNNNNNNNNNNNNNNNNNNNNNNNNNNNNNNNNNNNNNNNNNNNNNNNNNNNNNNNNNNNNNNNNNNNNNNNNNNNNNNNNNNNNNNNNNNNNNNNNNNNNNNNNNNNNNNNNNNNNNNNNNNNAUUGCGGAAGAAAAUUAAUGCAUGUAAAUCAAUCAAAUUAUCCAACAAAUCUUUCUAUUAAGUUCAUGAAAUAUAGAAUUAAAAUAACAAACAACGGUUCAUCGAUCACCUAGUAAUUGAAAACCUAGCCUAGAAGAUUCAUAAUUACAGAAAACAAAAUGAAAUUAAUGAAUAGAAAGAAUAAUACCCGUAUGAAAGUUCUUGAAAUCUGAAAUCUUGAACAAAACCUUGAAAACCCCUUUGAAUCCUUGUGAAAUCCGCUUCAAGUUCGUGUUCUUUGCCUCCAAAAGUUGUAUUCUUCUUCUCCCUGGACGUUCUACCCUAAUUUUGAUGAAUUUUGGCUUUUAUAUCAUGUCAUUACAGAGCCCCAAAAGAGUUUCAAUUAAAAACGGAAAGUCAGAUUUUUUUCCAAAAUUAAGGCCAUGCGGCCGCAUGGUUCAAUUUUUCUCCUCAGUGAAUACCUUGCACCACCAUGUGCGGCCGCAUGGUUUUAUUGCAUGCGGCCGCAAGGUUGUAAAAGUUACAACCUUGUCAUUUUGGCCCCUGAACUCUGUUUUCUCUUUUCUUGAUCUCUUUUCUUUCUUUCCUUUGUUCCAUUAUCACAUAUUGACCCCUAAUUGAUGUUUGGGUCAAUCAAUUCCUUGAUCAUUUUCUCGGCUCAUCUUUUGAUUAAUUGCAAUUUAGUCCUUCAUCUUUCACUUUUCUUUAAUUCAGUCCAAUGUUACUUCUUUCUUCCUCCAAUCGUCUUGUAUCAUCCUUAAUCUCAUACUUGGUGUAUUUUCAUUCUAAUUCUGCACUUUAGCUCAACUUUCCAAUAUUUGCACCUUUGGUCCCCGAACUAUCGCUUUGUUUCGUUUUGGUCCUUUUUCGGCUCUUUUCUUCUGAAUUCCAUCUUUUCCAUAGAAAUACCUACAUUGCAUGAAUUUAAUAAGAUUGUCACAAUUCAACUACUUUGUCCAUGUUUAAGUCAUGUUUGUGAGCUAAAUAAGUGUUUAAAAACACACUUAUCAGCGGGCUAAAUAUGUUGCCUGGUUUUCCGUAAUUAUGUAAUGGUUGGCAUCUUAUUUUUUCUUUUACUAUGUAAUCGUAUUGCAUUAAUAAGGGUUCCCUAAUUACAUGAAGCAUGUGAUACACAGAGUAUACCAAAAAUGAAAUCUCCAUUAAGUAUCCAAUCCGCUAAUAUCUUUAUCAUUAUCUCCCACCUGCUUUGAAACCUAUAUACCUGAUCUGCUUCCUUUUGCUUUAUCCGUCCAUACUUCACCGUCUUCUUUGAUUCCAGUAUCUGUGGCAAUACAUUUAUUAUCUUCAUACAAUAAUAUAUACUGCACAUUUAACAUGAGACAAUGAUCUUGUUGGAACCUAGGAACGUUUUAAAACCAUCAAAAUCACAAGACUAAAAAUCAAAAUUUGUAGAUCUGAACAAAACAGUAAAAGAACACAAGCGAUUUUUAGCCGAAGCCCCGAGGUUCAACGAUUUAUCAGAUCGCCUAGUCCCCGUUGAGCAUCCAUGAAGGAAUAAGCUCGAAUCCACUAGAAAACACCAGCCCAAAAUUACAGCAGUUUUGAGUUACAAAUGGAACACACAGUUCCAGCCACAACAACAACAAAAUCCCCUCAACAACACAAAGAACUCACACAAGAGUUCAUAACAUCACGCAUACUCUCAACCAACAACAGAAAAUCGACAAGAUCCAAGAUGAGAGAGCCAAAGUAUAGAGAGAAUUUUUAACUCAAAGGAAAGCUGCGUAAAAUGAGAGCCUCCAAACCCUAGGCGUUUUAGUUUCUUUUAUAUGAAAGAAACAAAUCAUUUGAUCCAAUGGUCCAGCAAUUGCCAAGUGUCGAGAUCAGGUGAAAGUCGUUUUUCACAACUGAAAAACGUGUUUUUCCUUUAAUCCAAUUGAGCUUCCAGAUUAUUCUUUCUUUUGGGCCAUUUAACCGGGUCAUGGGUUGAGCAUAUUAACUUUGGGCUUCACAAAAGCAGCAACCCAAUUUCUACAGAUCUAUUAGACAAUGGGCAAGAAUUGCUAUCAUAUUGUUUUAACCUUUUCUGUAUAUUGGUUAAUUAUAAAAGCCGACAGCUUUAUGAAUGCCAAUUGUUUGUGUCUUUGUGGUUCUUCCAAAAACUUCAUGACUUCACUUGAAUUAGCAACCUUAGUUCCAGGUCUUUCGGUUUCUGUCAAAAAUAAUUUGGCUUCAAUAUGCAUUAAAGUAUGUUAUCAUCCCCUCUUAGCCCUGCUGCCGACUGAAUCGGUACAUGUGUAAGGUUUUUUGAUGCACUGUCAUGCACAUGUUAUUUAGUUUACGCUACAGGAUUCCUUCUUGGAGUGGAUUUUGCAUUUUAUACUUUAGCAUUGAUUAGCUGAAGAUCUAGAGGUACCAGAAUUUUAUGGUAACUGGUUAGUCAUUUGAAUACAAUAUAUUACAGAAGAGCUGAGGAGUUCGAGAAUCCUAUUUGGAAGUUAUUUACUUUUAUAUAAAAACAUUUUUGAGGAUUCAGCCCUUAUUGGGCUAAGUAUUAGCUUCUUGUCAUUCAUGAUGAAUAACUUUCAUCUCACCAUGCCUGUUUAGAUCAUUUAACAAACCUUUUGAAAAUAUACAGUGGGUACCAACAAAAUUCAGUAGAUUUCCCAGUGUCCAUAUAUUUUUUGGACAAUCAGUUGAUUCACUAAUUACUUUUUUGCAAUAAAAUGAAUAUACAAGAAAGAAAUGAUCAAGACUUGUUGCUGUUCAUGCUUAGCUUCCAAUCACUAUAUAUGCAGGUGCAGUGCUAAAUUAUAGGUUAUGGAUUGCCAUGAUCCACUCGAUUUGUAUCGACCACGCCGCAAGCAUAGGUUUUAUUAAUAAAAGGAGCUACUAUACUAGUUAUUUAUUUAUUUUUUAUUAUUUUUUUACUAAAAAGUGACUCGUGCUUUCUAGUUCGAAACAAGUGGGAAAGGUUUCUAUUUCUUAUUUCCAUGGACAAAUUCUACUGGAAAUUUGUAACAAUUAUUUAAACAAUGAUAAGUAAUUAAGUAUGUUAUUAUGAGUGCUCAUUAAUUAUCGCAUGCAUAUCAACCUUCCAGUAUUCAACUCGAGACUGAGCCAUGGCUAAUGGGGUGUUUUAACUUCUCCGAUGAAGCCAACCUUAAUAUGCCAUUCUAACAGGACUUUCACCCAUAUUUUUACAACUUCUUCCUUGAGACAACCUCGAUAUGUUAUUCUAUUGUUCCUCUAGCUAGUAGUGAAAUACAUUGCUCAAUCACACCUAAAAUUGCCGUAUAAUCUCCAUAUAUUGUUCGUUGCAUUGUUGUCCAUUUACACAAAAAUUAUACCGUUCACAGUUUUAAUUUCUCAACAAUCGUAUAGUACUAUCCUUUCAAGCAGAUAUCAAUGCGCUCUACAAUUUAUCUUUUUUCCCAUGGACCCUAUGCGUAUACAUAAUUUCUUCAAUCUUUCACGUACAUGGAGUAUAGUACAUGCUAGACUUUCCAUACAUAGCCAAAAUUGCACAUACUUAUAUUAAUUGAUUUUUCACCGUUUCAUUAGGGCAUAUCAUAGCUUAUCCAAAAGACUUUAUAGUUACGGUUGUGCUACAUAUACACCACAAGUUAUAGAUUUGUAUACUUACAUGUGAUAUGGUAAGAUAUAAUUGGAUAAAAAUUUCUUCAAUUAAAUUUUUAAAAAAAAAUCACCAUUUUUUACACAUUAUCUAUCUGUAAAAUUCUCUGUAACUUCUUAUAUACAAGUAGCAUUAUUUUUAUAUUUAUAAUAAGCACCUUAUAUAUAAUAGAGAGAAUCUUUAAAUUUCACUAAUAAAUAUUUUUUAUACACGAUAAUAAUGCUUUCUAUUUUGAAUUUUCAUUUUACUUUUUCAAUAUAUAUUCAUUAUUUCAACUUUGUCUUUUACUUGACAUAACUUUUAUAUGUAUCAUUUAAAUAUUAUUCUUUAAAUAAUUUAAGCAGUAGAGUAUUGAAAUCUAUAGUUUAUUAAAUGCAUUAUUAUAAAGCAAGAAAGAGAGUAAGACUUGGAGUCUAUCGGAGUUUAUUUCUAAGCAUUGAUUUUUUGAAAUAAAGAACAACUUGUAUUUAGAGUAGGAGAUGCCCUCGGUCCAGCUAGAGAAAUGUAUUGCAGUUUUGGUUUGAAAUUUUCGGUACAAAGCAAUUAAAUACUUAAAGUGAGGUAUAAUUAAUAUAUUUUCCAUAAAAAAAAAUAGAAAUGAUUUUAAAGGUCAAAAAAUGAAAUUUGCUACAAGAAAACUAACUAAAGAAAAACUUAUUUGGUGGAAAUUAAAAUCAGAUUUUUAGUAGAUUAUGAUAAAAGUUGAUGAAAUGUAUGGUUGAAAAGUUGAGGAUUCCUUAAAAUAUGUGAUUGAUAUUAAUUGUUGACUUUGACUUAGAUUAAAAUCUAAAUUUUAAUCACAAUCAAACAGGGGCUAAAUUUGGAUUUGAGAUUAUGUUUUGAAUUAUUAAAUUAAAUGCAAAGAUGAAGAAAUAAAUAAAGGGAAAUUUAUAUAAAUGUCACUAAAAUUGAAAAUGCACAAAAAAAUUCCAUUUGCACCAAUUUUUUCCAAAAAGUCACUUUUUCUGUGAAAUUUCCAUUUUACCCCAUGUGACAUAUUUUUAGGAACAAUAUAAAUGCUUGAUUUGAAUGCAAUUAAUGGUGUGAUGUGAUGAUUUGUUUUAUAUAGUUUAAACAUUUAAGAUAUUCAUAUUAUAUUGUAUAAUCUUUUUUAUUGUUAAAAAAAAGGGGUAAAAACUUAAAAAAAAAAAAAAAAAAAGCCAAAAAAACUUAUGAAUACAAACCCUACCUUCUUCUUCACCAUCUUCAUUCCAUCAUCAGCAAGGAAAAGCUAUUGAUCAAUCUUAAAGGUGAGCUAUAGGGAUGACAAUCGGGCUCGUCGGCUCGACUCGGGGCUCUGUAGACCCGAGCCUAAGCUCGGGCCGAGCCCCAUUUUGGGGACACGGGCUUUGCCCGAGCGGGCCCGUGAGCUCGCGAGCUUUUUAAUAAAAAAAAAAUUUAAUUUAAGGCAAAACUGCUGCCUUUUAAGGUAGUGAACUGCUGCCUUUAAAAGGCCCGUAAAAAGCCCGAGCUUUUUUUUUUUUUUUUGCGGAGCUUUUGCUCGGCCCGGCUCGUUUACAUCCCUAGUGAGCUACUAGAAAAAUUAUCUUUUCAUGUCAUAGUUUACUACAUUAAAUGUUUAAUACAACAUGGUAUAUUUAAUUGAACAUUUUAAUCUCUUAUUCAUUGAUGUGUUUUAUUUUUUAUAUAUUUUUUAAGGGAAAAAAUACCAAUAUCCUCUAGAAAAUGUGAAGGAUUCUAUAUUUAAUGAAACAUUAAGUUAUUCCUUCUUUAUUUGUGGGAAGAUAUUGUUAUGUUGUAGUUGAGAAUUGAUUAUCACCAUUAAUAUUUUCAAUAAUUUCUUUCAAACAAUCAAACACAUGUUUUUAAGCUUUUCUGAAAACUAUGGCAGUUCAACCGUCGAACAGUAUCUUCAAAACCAUCAGGUUAGACAUUUUAAUUGUCGAACUCGACAUUUAGUAAUUGUCGAGAUAGACAAUUUAAUUGUCGAUUUCGACACCUGAAAACUGUAGUCACCCUUUUCCUUUUUGGUACUACAUGUAUCUACAUGUCGCCAUAUGGAAUAUACAGAAUAUGACGAAAAAUUUGAAUUGAUGAUUCUUUGAAAACAUAUAAAAUGCCCUCCAACUCUAUGCUUGUUCAAAAUAAUUCAAGCUAUUGUUUCAAAACCUUUUAACACAAUCCGCUCAAAAAGAUAAUUUUAAUCCCCACCAACUAAAUUGUAGUUUGUAAAUUGUAAAUAGUAGACUCAAGUGAUGCAUAAAUGAUAAACACCGCUAAUAUUAAAUAGUAUUACCACGGAGAACAAAAGGAGGAUGACAAUUACUAAAAUUGGAUUGAAAUACUUUUAACAUUUUCGCAUUUGGAAUGGUUAUUGAACUUUUAGAAAAUAUCAGCGAAAUAAUCUCUUUUCGUUAUCGUUAUUGCUUCUCCUGCUUAUAAACCAAAAUUUGAUUGAAGCGUACAUAUCUAUCGUAAUAUCCGCUCAACUUACGGUAUUACCUAGCACAUUAUCAACUUACAUUAUUAUUUUCACUGUACAUUGUCACAAUCACAAUCUAUUAUCGUUCGCAGACAAGCAAACACAUGUUCAACUUUACAAGCAAAAUACGUAGCCAUAGACAACAUACUGCAUACAAUCUGACAGUUCAUCUGUCAUUUUCGAUAGAUUGUUCCUGUCAUUCUCGACACUUGGAUUGGAGUACAAAAAGAACACUGCACCAGAAAAGGCAUAAGGGACAUGCUCGUGCUAAUAUUUUGGUAAAAACAUUACCAAAUUUAUCCUUGCAUAACAAAAGACUAUACAGAAUUUAUUAAACUACAUUUCAUCAGUGUCUAGUUCAUUCGUCAUCAACAGCUGAACCUUCUCCCCCGCUCUCUUCAUUUGACUCAUUCGACGAGAUGACAAUUAUCUCAUUCUAUGGGAUGUACACCCACUAGUCGUCAUCGUUGGAUUCAACUUCGUACCGAACCGUGACCUCCAACACCACAUCGAGCACACCGUUCGGAGACUGCAGCCCUUCAGUUACAACUUCAUCCAAGUUGUGAAAAGUUACAGCGAAAAUGACUCUCCUAUCAAUACAAGGGUUAACUUCCUCAUCCUUUGACAAAAUGUAGAUUGAAAAUAAUGGGGAUGAACCAAAAAUUGGCAAAGGCUCGAUCAGCUUCAACGUUUCGUUACUUCCCGUGGAUGAACUUAUUAUGUCGACACAAUGCAAUUGAUGAAACGGUUUGUGUAUGUGAGACUUGAAAGUUUCACAAUGCUCAUGAAGUGUUUUAUGUGUAACUGACAAUGACAACAUGUUAUUUAUAACCAACUUGAAGGGAAGAAGCAAUUAUGGUUAUUUACUACCCAACCACCAAGUCCAAUCUCAUCUAAAUUUAGUUGGUAUGAUGGUUCAAUAAAAUAAUUGUACAUUUAUCCCCCAUUUCCCAUAAUUACUAGGAUAUUGUAACUCUUAAAUCAUGUGAAUAAUGGAUUCAACUUUCCUACAACUCACAUUAUGCAAUUUGUAAAUUAGUUGUAACAUGGUUUUCAUGGCUUUGGCAUAAUUAUAAAAAUGGCUCAUCAUCUUAACCUGAUAAUAAAAAAAACUCACAUUAAUGUCCUUGUGAAUGAGUUGUAGCAUGGUUUCCUGAAAUGGAAAAAUUUUGAUGGUUCCUCAUCUUAAGCCAAUCAUCAUUGACGAAGGACUAAUUGAUUCGAAAAAAAGAAAAUAUGGUCCAAGUAAACUAUGAACUCUACACAAAGUACUCAUGUCUUCAUUGCAAAAAUAAAUUAUAGGAUACAUAACCAUUCAUUAUUUGCAAGAUCCAUGCAUUCGCUAUGCGCUAACCCCACACUGCUAAUCUUCAGUUAUUUUAUUACAACAUUCAAACUAAGAAACAGCAUACCAACUUUUAACACAUGGAUAAUAUUGGCAAUAUCUUUGGCAGAUGCAAAGGUAUAAUUUUUCAACUACUAUCCAACGACUAGACGUCUAAUAAUAGACUUCAGCCAAAAGGUUAAACGACAGUAUCCCACUUUCCAAGAAACAACCGAACAAAUAUAGGCCCGUAGUCUUGACACGACACGCUUUGCAACGUUCAUUUUCUCCCUCGACAGUGCAAUGUCGUGCUUUAGGCUACCCUGCCCUGCAUACAUGGCAUGUCACCAUGCCUCAUUGGAAGAAGCUCAUGUUCUGCAAUGACUAUUCCACAUUAUGCCAUAAAUUAGCCCCAACAAGGUAGAAAUACAAAGCCAAUGGAUAAAAUGCACACACCAUGUAUUACGAAUCUUGCAAGGACAUUUUAGCACUUUUUUCCCUAAUGUACACAAGUGUUUCUCGCAAUCGGUCACGAAUCCUCCAUAGCCACAUACAUUUCAUGCAGUGCUUCAUUCACUAGAUCGUAAUGGAGCUCUACAUUACCAAAAUAUGACUCUUAAAUCAUAUAUUUGAAUACCAAUUGUUGGAUGAGCUAGGCAGAGAAUUGUAUGUCAGGCAUCUCAGCCAGGAAUUAGAGACAAGAGUUUUAGAAGUCCUCACACUAUUGAUCGUCGAAGGUCUUCAUGACCGUCUUCACAUACUUCAAUUUACUCCGUUGCGAAAUGUGAGCCCACAUCCGGGUAUUUUCCGAAACAAGGAAUUCAAACUCCAUUUCUCCUACGAGAUACAGUGAGAAAAACACGGAUUAGAUCAUGACGAAAUAUAGAAAUGUAACACGGAAUGAAUCGAACUCAUGCUUGUAGUGAGGUGAACUGUCGAGAAAAACUGACAUCAACCAUCGGUAUGGAUAGUUCAUCUGUCGAUAUCGAUGGUUAAUCUCGACAUAUGCUUGAGAUUCUGUCAUCUGUCGAGAUUGGCAGAGUUGAACUGUCGGGAACGACAGUUCAAACAGCCUGCACACUUCAGCAAUCUGCUAAAAUGAACACAUGAGAUAAAAGUCCGACAUUUACUGCACCAUUUCUAUGCAAUGCAAAGACAUUUUGUAGAAUGAAAAUGGAAUUACCCACACUUGGACAUAUUCGAACAACCUUGCACUAUCAUAUGAACACACACGUGCAUGCUACAAAACGUGACACGUGCUUAUUUGUGCAUAGUUGACCAUAAGAUGCCUAGGUUCAGACCUAGUUGAAACGAUUAUUCGCCGAAUGUGUCUAACCCAUUAAAAAAUGGAAGAAAGUGUCAUCCUCACCCGGUAGAUCGAAAUGGAAGUUCUUUGAAACAAGGAAUGGUUGUGGAUGUUCUUUGGACGAUGACUAGAACUCGAAAUUUCGAAGCAUGACGUCAAUAAUUGAUCCCCUAAAAACCUGAUUUGCAUCAAACAAAGGUGAGAGAUACGAAAAAUAGACACAACAUCAUUACUUACAUAAAACUUGAAGUAAGCAUGUUAAACAGAACUACACACCAACGAAAAGAAAAUUGUGUAUAUAGCACAUAACAUGCGAACAGGAUUUAGGACAACAAAAUUUUCAUAUAACAAUUCACUUCAAAUUUGUAAUUGAACUUCGAGAAUUUCAGCAAGUAACUGUCGAGAACGAUAGUUCAUCUCGAAAGUUUAUCCUAUGACUAUCGAUAUUGACAAGUUACGUGUCAGAGUAAAUUUCAAGACAACGGUCAGGUUAUACAUAUCUUAAUAACAAUACCAAUGGCAUCCAAUAAAGUUCCACUACACAAAAGUAUUCUGAUAAUAUUUGGUAAUAUGGUUCUAUAAUUAAUAAAACAGAUUUCAACCCAUAAUCAACCACCAAUCAAAGUAUUGUUUUACAAAAUAAACAAAGUUUACAAAACCAAAGAAGGGUUAAAACAAACUUCAUCCCCAAUCAAUCUAUCGUUCUACAAAAUUCCAUAUUUGAGGAGAAGUCAAAAGUUUGUGUAAUUCAAAAAUAAGGAUUCACAAUUGUCGACAUGGAAAGUUACAUUUCAUACUAUAAAUGUGAUGCCAAAAUAGGAACAAAAUCAAUCAUGCAAUGUAGCAUUAUAUAUCCAAAAUCGUACAUACAGUCAUGCCCAUCCAACUCAGGAAAAUGAAGAAACUAGUACAAAUUCCAGUUAAUCUUGGUGAUAGGCAUUUUAUGAAUCGAAUUGCAUAAUAAGAUGAAGAACAAAAAAUCACAAUGACAAGGACUCCCAGGUAAAUAGUAGUCAACAGGAAAAAGAGAGCAUUGAAAUUUCCCUACCCAUCCACUUAGCAAAGACGAAAAGGAAAAUAACCAUCGAAUUUCAAUCAGGAGCUAUCUCCUUUCCAGUCUAGAAACUUUCUUUAUCUAUUUAUAUGCCUAACAUAUUUUAGACAGCUAUAUAUAAACUGCCAAGUUUUGCACACAUGAUAAACCCCACACUUUUAUGAUUGUAAAACUAUGUUUCAAUUAGUAGGUAAUAUUUGAAUAUCAACACUCACAGAGAUUGGUGAGAGGUGUUGCACAUUUCUCUAUUAUACCCUAUCUUAUCUCAUUAUAGUAGAAGUGAAUGCUAUUUAGGUCAGAACAACUUCAAACACAAGAUGACAUGCGAGCAACAUGCAAGAUCACAACCAUAUUUAUAAGCCUUCUGAAAUAAACUCGUGAGUAAUCCACAUAUGUAUAGCUAGAAGACAUUAAGUGCUAUGUGCAUGUCAAUUUUAUUGUAAAAUGUAACAAAAAUAUAUUUUCAUUACUGUGAUUAGAAUAUAAUGCAAAAUUUGAAACAUGGAUCAUUGGAAUUGAAUAAUACAACUUUUAUAACUAAAUCGGACACCUACUCGAUUUAGUUGCCUUUAUUGAAAUAACAAAAAAAUGAACAAAACCAACUGUUAACUGGAUUCACUAUAGUAAUAAGGAUGAUAACUGCUAAACAUAAAUGCCUGGUAUCUAUAAUCAAAAGGGAGGAAAAAUAAAUAGCUCAAAAUCACUGUCCUAAAAAACGUAGUAUUUGAUAUCUGAUGAUACUAAGAACCAAAAAACAUUGUCUGGCACCUAUGCGUGAUGCCUCAAUAAAUGAAUAUUGUCUGACACUUUAUGCUCAAAAUUGGGAGCACAGCCCCAGGAAUGGACCCCAAUCCUUCAUCUAGCUCCUUGAAAGCUGGCAAAAAAAGUUUGAACAACCUACAAAAAUGAUAGCAAGAUUUCUUUUCUCACUCUUUCACUACGAUAAAAUUUAUAGUCGCUAUCGUAGUAAUCUGGCUAUGUUCUUGCCUAGAAAUAAGAACGUGUAUGAAAGAUAACUCUUAACAUUUUUUAAUACACAAUGACAGAUACUAUAUAUUUUCUCUCUUCAAUAAUAAUGAUACUAACUAGGGCAUCGGAGGGGCAACUUUCUUCAGGUUAUUGGGAGCAGUGCAAGAGCUCGUUUCGAUGAUACAAAAAUUUUAGAUAUUAUCAAAGUAAAUCUACAUUUCAAAAUUUAAAAUUUUUAUUUGACUUUCGUAAAACCACAAUAUUUGUUUUCAGUUUUGAGGAUAUGAGAAAUUCUAGAAGGUCUAAACUUGAUAUCACAUAUUUUAGGCAUAAAUGUCUUAUUGGUGAUCUGCUUCAUGAAACAAACAUCAACAAAAUAUAAGCUACUCCAAUUAAAGGUAUGUUGUUAUAAUAAAAUACAAAAUGCAAUAAUGUUAAACUAAUUUCAUCUGUAGGGAGCCUUGCACAUAUCAGGCAACAUUUUUCUCUACAUGGGACAUUGGUUACAUCAUAUAUAAAGCUUAUUUCUAAAUAAAUAUACUAAGAAGAGAUAUAUUUAUAUCCAGCAACUACAAUCAACCAUGUGGGCUUAAGCGGGAAUAUGUAGCCUUAAGUUUAACAAACGUCCAACUCCACGAGGGAAACAGAACAAAUUCAAAAUGUGUAUUUUGGUUAACAACCUAGAAAUGGGUAGUGCUAUCUUUUGUUCAAUUGCUUAAGGAAAGUGAACAAAACUGACCGAGAACUGCAAGAAAAUCUCUACUGAACUAGAAACCAUCAAAAGCAAAGGUUAAUCAGGUAUUCCAAUUUCAUUGUAAACUUGUAAUAUUCACAUUUUUAAUAGUUAUUUAUUAAAAUACUAUGUAUGGUGAAAAGACCUUUAUUCUUGCUCAUAGUUAAUCUUCUACCAUUAACUAAUAGGGAUUUGACCGUUGUUUGUUGAUUAAGAAAUGCAAGAAGUCCAUUUACAUAACAGCUAUCUCAUUGCACGCCAAAAUUUUUGAGUUCAGAAGGAUACUUCGCAAAACUUCAUGAUAUCAGUUAUAAGAAAGUAAAGAUAAAAAUUACAAUAAACUUGCAACCAAACAAACAUUUCUAUCUUCCCACCAUCAACAAAAAAAAUUUUUAUGAAUUAAGAUAAUCUCUUUUCGAAUCACAACAUUUUUUCCUUAAUGGAACAUGAAGAUAUCCAAAUCAAGUCAGGCAAAAAAAAAAAAAAAAAAAAAAAAAAAAAAAAAAAAAAAAAAAAAAAAAAAAAGAAAGAAAAAGAAACAUACUAAAAAGUAUAUGUUGAUCUUUAACAAUUCUCCUAAGUUUAAGCAGAUUCCUUAUAAUUUGAAUAAAAUGUACACAGGUUUAGAGCUUUAGCAUGACUGUCAGAUUAAAUUGUAUGAACUUUUUAGACCAACAAACUUGGACAAAAAUGGAUAUUUUGGCAGUCACCAACGACCUUGAGCGAGAGAGAAUGAGAGAGGAAAUUGAGAGUCGUUUAGGUUUAGGGCUUUUGUUGCCAUAUGAAUGAAUAUUUUUAACUAUAUAUAUAUAUGUUUUUUUUUUUUUUUUUUUUUUGGGGGAAAAAAGGACAUCCAACGUAUUUCAAUUUUUUUGAGGGCCAUAAAAGUCAUAAAGUGAUAGUUUAGUCAAAACUAUUAAAAGGUGAUAUUUUUGUAAAUGCAACCCCAAAAAAUGACAUCUGAUGUAAUUUCCACAUAAAAUAAAUAAAACAGUUGUAUUUUGAAAUAGUUAGACUGUCCAGUUUCAGUGAGGUCAUGUAUAAUGUCAUGAUAAAACUUACUCGUUAUGCUAAGAAAGGAGACUAUGUAGCAAAAUUUGCUACUAUUGGAAUGUUUAGUUAAUAGUAUAUUUCUUUGUGCUCUUAUAUUGCUAGUUGUUUUUAAUUUACACGUUGUUAAGUCAAUUUGAGUGCGUUUUAAGUGUUCAUAAGCUUUUCUAACUUCAUUGUUAACUGUAUAUAUUCCUUUGCAUCCACAAUCUUAAUAACUUUUAGUUUACACAUUUUUAAUUAUAUAAAGAUAACCAUUUAAGAAUUUAAAUGAAAGAUCAAGUUUAUCAAAAUUAUGUACUUUCCUUACACAAUUUCACUACAUUUUAUUCAAAUUUGAUCACUAAUCUAAACGCAAGUUAUAAUUGAUCUUUAAAAAAAAAAAAAAUCAACUAAAAACAAAAACUUCAUAAGCAAUUACUUAUUGAUUUAAUUAUUUACCCAUGUCACAAUAGAGGCAACCACACAUGACAUUUUACAUUAUCGAGAUGGAAUCCAUAGUUACAUAUUACUUGUUAUAAUUUUCUCCAGAUUGGUAGGGCCGGCCCUGGAACCAAGCCACCUAGGCAAUCGCCUAGGGCCUCAAAAAAUGUGGCUUGGGCCUCAAAACUCAUGGUAAUAUCAUACCAGCAGUCCAUGUAUUAUACCAACAGAAACUUAAGCCGGAAAUUGAAGGGACACUGCAGGAAGGAAAUUGAAGGGGCUGGAAGGAAAUUGAAGGUCGAUUCGACCAAAAGGUAAGUCGUCUUCUUCAAUUUAGAAUUCCCAAAUCUCCUCUCCAAAAACUUUUUUGUUGUCCUGUAAGUUUUCUAAGUAAGUUGUUUAAAGUGAAGGAAAAGCAGAGCGGACUUAUUUUCAAGAAAAUUGAGGAUUUUGUGUAUCGAAUGGAAGAUCUCAAGGAGGUAAACACCUCUCCUUUCUCUCGUUCCGAAUUCCCUCUUCUGGGCACAAUUUCUACUAUGUUUAUAAGUUUCCAAGAAACGAAUGGUUUGUGCGUAUCAUCUUCUUGAGUUCUAGUAUGAUUUACAAUUGCAUAUUCGUUGCUUUGACUUCUUGUUGUGGCACUGAUUAAAUGAAAAUCGAUUGAAAUUCUUGGGAUAUAAAUUUCAUAUGUGCAAUCUAAAUUUGCUUGAAAAAAUCCGAAAAUGAAAAGUUUAUGUGAAUCAAUCAAAAAUUAUGUACUUUGACUCGUUAUCUUAAUAAGGGAGGGAAGGAGGAGUUGAAGAAGCUAUUAUCAUUUUUUAUUUCUCUAUGUUGAAAAUGCGUGAAAGAAAUGGAUGCUUCACCAUUCUUUCUUUCGAAAGAGGAUUGGGUUGGUUUGAAAAUUUCAGAAAUAUAAGCCUUCAAUGCUUAGCCAUUAGAAUAGUCAAUUAAAUGAUAAUCAUUUCAAAUUAACAUUAAGAUUGACUGUUAAACACGACGUUGUUUGCUGUAUAUGUAAUGACUUGCUCAAAAAUUGAAACAAAUGGCUAAUUCUUUCUACCUUUUUCCUUGUCAUUUAGAAGAAUGCACCAUGGCUAUCCGUGCCACAAUUUGUUUUCCUGUAAGUUUUCUGAGUAAGUUGUUUUCUAUACUGUGUUUAGUCUCUCAAAAGUAGGAGUGGACAAAUGUGCUAAUAUAGGUGUAUAAUGAACACAUAUAUCCCUUGUUUUUGAAUGUAGUGUUUGAUUUUAUUGCUCAAGUUCAUCAUUUAUGUUGGUAUUGCUCAAGUAUAUUCUAAAUGUUAUUUGGUUAUUUCUUGCGGGUUGAUUAUUGAAUUCCUUCACUUGGCUAUAUUUGAUAAUCUGAGAUAUUUUGAAUUCUACCUCAUCAAUCAAGUUCUAACGUUUUAAUUGCUUAUAAUUAUGUCCUCUAGAAAAUUUGAAUAUGGACAUUCUAAAAGAAAACGGAAUAAGAAGGUUGAACAAUUGAUUAAAUAUCAAGAGGGAGCCCUUGAUAAAAAUUUUUAGUGGCAGUAAACGGAAACAUAAUGAAGGCGCUGUUAUCAAAGGAGAGUCCAAUAAGAAUGAUAUCAAUGAUAAUAUAGUUGAAAAACAUCAUUGUUUGGUGAAUGAAGAGGUAUGUAUUGGGGAUGAUGUUAUGGAUGAAAGAAACAUUAAUGAAAAGGAUAGACUGGAUAGUGAACCAUUUUCCCUUGACAUUAGUGAUCUAGCAAAUUGGGAAAAUAUGAAUCAGAAUUUAAGAGACUUAAUUGUAAUGAAAGAUCCAAUACGAGACAAUGAUGUUAUUUUUCCAAAAGUUUUCAUUUGAAUGUACAUAUGUUUUUUUUUUAUUUAAAUAUUGUUACACGUGCAAAAUAUAUAUAUAUAUAUAUAUAUAUAUAUAUUGGGCCUCAAAAUAAUUUUUUGCUUAGGGCCUCUAAAUUCUCAGGGCCAGCCCUGCAAAUCGGGCAUUAUUGUCAGUUUUGGCAUUGAACUUUGCAUGCACACAGUACGACUCUUCGCACUUCGGGCACGUGACUGCUAAUUUUACUCCUCCAACGUCUUUAUUUUUAGGAAUUCAUUGCUGUUUCUCGUUCCAAUUAUUUUCUUUCGUAUAACCUACGGGAUUGGGGACUGCACCUCUACCUGAAACUCUCUCCUUGCAAAUGUAGAAUUAAAACUACUAAAUUUAAAAGGAGAUUUUAUAAGAAAUUCAUGGAUAAAACCACAAAAGAUUAUAGCAGUUUUGCGAUGGAUUAACCACGGUUUAUGCACAGCUGAGCGUUGCAAACAAAAAACCGAUAGAAAAGUAUAGAAAAUAAAAUUGAGCAAGAUCUACCCAGCAAGGGAGUGGCAGACUUGAUGUGCCUAGCUUCGAUCAGUGUCAUUUAUAGUGCAACUACUUGGGUCAAUCACAUUAGCACUUAACAGUGACUAUAUUUUAAUUCAAUUUUCGAAAGAGUAAUUAUACUUCAUUUUGAAUCAAUCAUAUCACUAUGUUUUAAUUUUGUAUCAAUUGGAUCACUAUAUAUACUAAACUUUUGUCUCAAUUUAAGGCUUCUAGAUUCAAUUCUGCAGUGUUCAAAGUCAGACUCAAAUGGUUGUGGUUGUCACAUACUAACGUCUGUCCUAUAAUGUCAUACCCCCCCCCCCCAACCCCACCAAAAAAAAAAAAAAAAACCCCCCCCCAACCCCCCCCAAAAAAAAAAAAAAGACCUCGAAAAAGUGAUGGAAUCAAAGAACUCAUGUUAUGCGUUAGACCAGUGGAUUAAAAAUAACACAAACCAUAAGUUUUGUGAUUCUAUUACGUCCAAGGAUGAUGGAUAAUAGUAUUUAAUUAUUAUGUCAGCGUCCAGUUUUAUACAAUACGACAUAAUUAAAAAAAGUGAUCUAAAUUGAGACAACUUUAAAACACUAUGACCCAAUUGUUACAAGAUUAAAUUAUAGUGAUCAAAUUUUCACUUAAUAUAACUAAUUAAAAAUUAUGUUCAAAGUACCAUCACUGAUAAUAGAAUUAACGAGUUAAUUAAAGGGCUGCUCACUGAAUUUUACCAUUGGUUACCACUUGCUCACUAAAGAAUAAAUGGUAACUAAAUGCUCACUCAACUUUUCAUUAAUUUACCCAUCUAUCACUAGAUCUAAAUCCGUCUGUACAGUUAGUCAAUAAAUUCCACGUAGAUAUAAAAAAAUGACUUGGACGAUGAAUUAAUCCCACAUCAUCUAAAAUUAUUAUUUUUUAAAUCCCAAAAUCAUAAAUUAUUAACAAUUGUUUUUUGGACGGCCAAAAUCACAGUUCUAAGAAAUCAGAGAUGAAAUUUAUCCCCAAAUCAUCUUCAUCUUCAUCUUCAAAUCACAUCUUCUAAUCUAACUCAUUCAAUUGGUAAUUUCAGCUUUGUAAUCCAUAUCCAAGAAGUUCUAUAUCCACAUCCCAAUUAAUUGAAAUUUACACUGCACAGUUCAUUCCAAUCGUCUGCGUCGUUCUUGAUAAAAAAUAAAAAAUAAAAAAAUUUGGUUAUAUGAUUCAUCUACAAUUAAAUCUGCAUGAUGAAAUUUCAUAAGAAGAUGGAGGUGUGAAGUCUGCAUCAAUUCACUGACGACCUUUGGCAAAUUACAGCUCUGGAUAUGGCUUGAUGAGUUCAUUCAAAAAAAAAGAACCGAAAAGUAAAAUUGUGAGGAAUCCAUUCGAUUUUCUUCCUUAGUUUUCCUUGCUGAGGCUUCUUUCUCAAAGAAUUGAUCAUUGAAUGCUGAAUUACUGCUGCAAUACUAGUAGGAUAUAAGCCCAUCUCCUUUACAUCUACAAUAUCGGCAGAUAGAAGCCAAUCUCAUGAUUCUGAGAAGUGGAUGAAGAGAUUUUAUUGACGAAUUUGGUUCUUCAUAGGGUUAGGUUUCAAUUGGGGAUUUCGGAUUUCAGAUUUCUCUCUUCUAUGGAGAUCGUCAUUUUAGAUGGAAAAUGGAAUAAAAUUGCUAUUUUAACAAUUGCAUUCUUACCCAACAUGUAUUCAACUAACGUCGUCAUUGCCAUGUCAAGUUUUCAUCCUCCACGUCGAAUUUAUUGGCCAACUGUACAGACGAAUUUAAGGCUAGUGAUGGAUAGGUAAAUUAAUUGAAAGUUGAAUGAGCAUUCAGUUACCAUUUAUUCUUUGGUGAGCAAGUGGUAACUAGUGGUAUAAUUUAGUGAGCAUCCAUUUAAUUAACUCUAGAAUUAACUGGCAGCCACCCAAAUUGAAUACAUGUGAAUAUUUGAUUUCUUUAUGUACAUCGCUUUCUAAUUGGUCUUGAAAUUAUGGUCCCUCAUAAUUUAGAUUAAUUAUAUACAAGGUAAAUUUGCAAAAUGUAUAAGAUUUUAAUGUUUCCCAACUGCGGAAAAAAAAAACAUUCCAUAUUAUAAGCGCAAGUAUUAGCCCCUGUUUUUUCUAACUAAAAAUUAAUUUUUUAGUAAAUUUUAAUAAACGUUGAUGAAAUAUCUUGAAAGUUUUGGUUUGGUGGAUUCCAAAUUAAAGUUAAUUAUUGAUUUUUACUUAAUUUUAAUCAAUUAUUUAAACUAUAUCAAAUAGGGGCUCAAUGAAAUUUUAUCUAUUUGAAGUCCAAACACAAUUACUUUUUGGAAUAAUUGUAGUUGUGCCCCCAAACCUUUAAAACGAUGUCGAUUUUUCUUAAACAUUUUUCUUGCAACUGUAGUCCAAAACCUUUCAAAUGCGUGCGUUUAGAGCCUGGAUGGAUGGAAACCAUCCAAUCUAUCAUUAGUUGACCAAGAAAAUUAAGUUUCACCACAUUUUUAACAAUUUCAACGAGGGCAAAAUAGUAACUUCAUAAACUUUCACAUAAAAUGAGUUAAAUUUUAAAUUAGAAAAAUCAAAAUAAAUAAAUAAAAACUUCCAAUAGUGUAAUACUGAUUCUUCUUCACCCUCAGCCUCAAUCUACAGCACUGCCCGUCGACCAUCGCCACUCACCGUUGCACUGCAAUGGCCGCCACCGCCAUCUCAAACCGCCAGCUGCCUUCACCAUGCUCAAAUAUACUUCUCGUUCAUUAACACAUAACCCUUUUCAAAUCCACCCACAAAUAGUACAGCUAUCUUCAAAAGAAACUGUGCAAAUAACAAUCGAGGCAUUUUAAGGAAAAUGCUGAACAAAACGAAAAAGAAAGCAGCUUCAGGAGUUAGGGUUUUUCGAUAUCGAACACGUCGAUUACAAUUUGUCUUGGAUUGCGCCGUCACUACAUAGGCAAACUCCCAUGGUGUAAAACGCGAUCGAGAUAAAACUAAAGUUUAAUGAUCCAAUUGAGACAAUCAAUUGAAAUUUAUGUUAAAGGACAAUCAUUGUGAAUUAAACAAACUUGCAAUCACUCAAAGUGGUUACAUGUGAAUAUAUUGACAUGUCUCUAAUAUCGUACACUUGACCGUGUUCAUAAAUAAAUUUGGUAGACCCUACAUAAUUAAAUGUUAAUCUAUUGUUGAAAAAAAAUUAUAAAUUUACUUCUAAAAAAAUAAAAAUAAAAUAAAUGUAUAUAUAUCGUACCAUUGGUCUUCAACCUAUGAACUUAUUACAAUUUGAUCUUUCGACCUAUUUUUCUUGACAGUACAAUCCUCAACUUUUUAUAUUUGCAGCCCUGUUGAUCCAUCAACAUAGAUGUAAAUUGAAACAAAAUCAAAAUAUAAAAACGCAAUCGAGAUAAAUUUAAAGUCUAAUGACCCAAUUGAGACAACCAAUUGAAAUUUAUAUUAAAAGAAAAUCAUCGUGAAUAGAAUUAACUCGCAAUCACUCAAAGUGAAUUCAUGUGAAUAUCUUGACAUAUCUCUAACAUUGUACACUUGGUUGUUCAAUAAAUAAAUGUUGUAGACCCUACAUUAUUAAAUCUUAAUAAAUUGUUGAAAACAAAAAUUAUAAAUUUACUUUUAGAAAAAAUAAAAAUAAAAUAAAUGUAUACAUUGCGCCAUUAAUCUUCAAUCUAUGGACCUUAUUACAACUUGAUCGUUCGACUUAUUUUUUUGAUAGUACAACCCUCAACAUUGUAGAUUUACAAUUUUGUCAAUUCCCGAUAGAUAGGUAAAAUGAAAAGAAAAAUUUAAAUAAAAAAACGCAGUCAAGAUAAAAUUAAAGUUUGAAUACAUGUGAAUAUCUUGGCAUGUUUCUAACAUCGUACACUUGAUUGUUUGAUAAAUAAAUGUGGUAGAUACUACAUUAUUAAAUCAUAAUCUAUUGUUGGAAGCAAAAAUUAUAAAUUUAAUUCUAGAAAAAAUAAAAAUAAAAUAAAUUUAUGUAUCGUACCAUCGGUCAUUAACCUAUGGACUUAUUACAAUUUGAUCUUUCGACCUAUUUUUCUUGACGGUACAAUCCUCAACUUUUUAGAUUUGCAGCCUUGUUGAUCCAUCAACACAGACGUAAAUUGAAACAAAAUCAAAAUAUAAAAAUGCAAUCGAGAUAAAUCUAAAGUCUAAUGACCCAAUUGAGACAACCAAUUGAAAUUUAUGUUAAAGGACAGUCAUCGUGAAUAGAAUUAACUCGCAAUCACUCGAAGUGAAUUCAUGUGAAUAUCCUGACAUAUAUCUCUAACAUCGUACACUCGGGUAAAUAGUACUAAACGUGAAUUAUUAAUUACACAUGAAAUAUUUACUUUGUCUUUACUUAAUAUUUCCGUGAAAUAACAUUUACUUUGUCUUUAAAUAUAACGAAAUAAAUUUCGACUAGCAAUUAUUAAUUACACAUGAAUUUUAGCAAACGCAUGUACUACACUUCCUUGACUUGCACUGAUAAUAAAAAUAUUUUUUCUAUAUAUUAAUGCUAAGAAAUAAUAAAUUACGGGUAAAUAGUACUAAACGUUCAUACUUUUCAAUAUUAUUGUGCAAAACGUCUUUAUCUUUCAUUUUUUGAUAUUUUCACCCCUAAUUCAAUCUUUCAUUGCAUAAAAGGUAAUUUCCAUCCAUAUUUUCAAUAAAAAGACGAUUUUACCCACCAUUUAAAUUUAAAAAAAUAAUAAGAAGAAGAAGAAGAAUAAGAAAAAGAAGAAAUGAAAUGUGAGGAUAAAGAACUAAUUACAACAGUUAUCCCAAAUUUUUAAAAAAUUAUAAAUUAAUCACAAAUAUAUAAUUAAAAAUCAAUACAAAAAAAAAUAAAUAAAUAAAUUAAGAUUCAUUCAUUUUCUUCCUCCGUAUUCUUGUUCCAACUCCCUAUAUGUCUUCGGCAAGCCCAGCUACCAAUGCCAGUGGAUCCCAAAUGAAGAUCCCAAUUCUACCGUUGAUCUGAAAAUCCUCCCUGACUGGGGCUAUGGCCGCGUCUAUUCUCACUGGUUUUAGUUGGUUCCUUGGAGGAAUCUUGGCCGUUGAUUUUAGUGAUAACGUCUUUAGGAGGGGACAGAGAGGAGGAGAUGGAGGAUGAUGAAGUCAUACCGGUACCAGCGGCAUAGAUGGCGAAGGUAGUAGAGUUCCCAAAUGAAGAUCCCAAUUCUACCGUUGAUCUGAAAAUCCUCCCUGACUGGGGCUAUGGCCGCGUCUAUUCUCACUGGUUUUAGUUGGUUCCUUGGAGGAAUCUUGGCCGUUGAUUUUAGUGAUAACGUCUUUAGGAGGGGACAGAGAGGAGGAGAUGGAGGAUCAUACCGGUACCAGCGGCAUAGAUGGCGAAGGUAGUAGAGUUAGCACUACUGUUACUGUUAUCCAUAGUGAUGGGCUUUUGAUGAAGAAGCAGAUUUUGGAAUUCCUUUUUUUUUUUUUUUUAGGGGCUGGAUUGGGGAGAUUUGACGGACUUUUUGAGCUUCUCCAUGUUAAAAAUGGUGGUUAUUCAAUCUAUAUAAACUCUAGUGAGUUCACAAAAAGGGGGGCUGUGUAUAUAUUAUAAUUAUUAGAAGAGACUGAUGAGCUGUUGAGCCAAAGGAUUAAAGAAAUAGCCCAGAAAUGCCUACAUUGGGUUUGGUGAAAAGGAGCAUGAAGACUGUAAGCUUUGGGCUGAAAACGCAAGGAAGCGAGAGAGAGGAGAUUUUACUGUUGCAUAGAUACAGAUUUGCAGCCAAAUGGAUGCUGUUCUUUGAUGUGGAUGAAUUCAUUUUCCACAAAAUCCCUUAAUAUUAUAAAUUGUUGGAGUUUAGUGUAGUGGAUGAAAUCGAAUUAAUUCAUAUCAUGUAUGAACUUUAUAUGUUGGAUUUAUACAUACCAUAUAUGCAAUAUACCAUAUUUACAACUUAUCAUAUAUGCAACAUAUUGUAUUCGUAGCAUACUGUAUUUACACAACAUACCGUAUAUGCAACAGCUUAGCAUAUCGUAUAUGCUGUCUACCGUAUAUACACAUUUUGUUUUUAGAUACCGAUUUUGCAUUUACACAUACCGAAGUUACAGUAAUUUUUUCCAAUUUUUAUUUUUAACAUAAAUAGAAAUUAACGCAGAAUAAUUUUAAUAAACAUAAAUAGAAUGAUAACAUAAUAAAACUACAAAUUAUAUGAAUCACACAAAUAAACGCUAAAUAAAUAAUUCUGCAAGAUUAAAUAAAUAGCAGAUGAAUUUUCAACCAGAGGCUUGUGCGAACACAGUUUCUAAAUAACUAACAUAAAAAGUUUCUAUCAUUCUUCUAACAUAAUUAGCUUUUGUAAAUUGAAAUCCGAAUCUUAAUAGAUAUUUCUAUGUGAUGCAACAUAACCCCAAAAAAAUAGUACUAAACGUGAAUUAUUAAUUACACAUGAAAUAUUUACUUUGUCUUUACUUAAUAUUUCCGUGAAAUAACAUUUACUUUGUCUUUAAAUAUAACGAAAUAAAUUUCGACUAGCAAUUAUUAAUUACACAUGAAUUUUAGCAAACGCAUGUACUACACUUCCUUGACUUGCACUGAUAAUAAAAAUAUUUUUUCUAUAUAUUAAUGCUAAGAAAUAAUAAAUUACGGGUAACUAGUACUAAACGUCCAUACUUUCCAAUAUCAUUGUGCAAAACGUCUUUAUCUUUCAUUUUUUGGUAUUUUCACCCCUAAUUCAAUCUUUCAUUGCAUAUAAGGUAAUUUCCAUCCAUAUUUUCAAUAAAAAGACGAUUUUACCCACCAUUUAAAUUUUAAAAAAUAAUAAGAAGAAGAAGAAGAAUAAGAAAAAGAAGAAAUGAAAUGUGAGGAUAAAGAACUAAUUACAACAGUUAUCCCAAAUUUUUAAAAAAUUAUAAAUUAAUCACAAAUAUAUAAUUAAAAAUCAAUACAAAAAAAAAUAAAUAAAUAAAUUAAGAUUCAUUCAUUUUCUUCCUCCGUAUUCUUGUUCCAACUCCCUAUAUGUCUUCGGCAAGCCCAGCUACCAAUGCCAGUGGAUCCCAAAUGAAGAUCCCAAUUCUACCGUUGAUCUGAAAAUCCUCCCUGACUGGGGCUAUGGCCGCGUCUAUUCUCACUGGUUUUAGUUGGUUCCUUGGAGGAAUCUUGGCCGUUGAUUUCAGCGAUAACGUCUUUAGGAGGGGACAGAGAGGAGGAGAUGGAGGAUGAUGAAGUCAUACCGGUACCAGCGGCAUAGAUGGCGAAGGUAGUAGAGUUAGCACUACUGUUACUGUUAUCCAUAGUGAUGGGCUUUUGAUGAAGAAGCAGAUUUUGGAGUUCUUUUUUUUUUUUUUUUUUUUUUAGGGGCUGGAUUGGGGAGAUUUGACGGACUUUUUGAGCUUCUCCAUGUUAAAAAUGGUGGUUAUUCAAUCUAUAUAAACUCUAGUGAGUUCACAAAAAGGGGGGCUGUGUAUAUAUUAUAAUUAUUAGAAGAGAUUGAUGAGCUGUUGAGCCAAAGGAUUAAAGAAAUAGCCCAGAAAUGCCUACAUUGGGUUUGGUGAAAAGGAGCAUGAAGACUGUAAGCUUUGGGCUGAAAACGCAAGGAAGGGAGAGAGAGGAGAUUUUACUGUUGCAUAGAUACAGAUUUGCAGCCAAAUGGAUGCUGUUCUUUGAUGUGGAUGAAUUCAUUUUCCACAAAAUCCCUUAAUAUUAUAAAUUGUUGGAGUUUAGUGUAGUGGAUGAAAUCGAAUUAAUUCAUAUCAUGUAUGAACUUUAUAUGUUGGAUUUAUACAUACCAUAUAUGCAAUAUACCAUAUUUACAACUUAUCAUAUAUGCAACAUACCGUAUUUGCAGCAUAUUGUAUUUACGCAACAUAUCGUAUAUACAACAGCUUAGCAUAUCGUAUAUGCUACCUACCGUAUAUACACAUUUUGUUUUUAGAUACCGAUUUUGCAUUUACACAUACCAAAAUUAUAGAAAACCGUAUAUGCGGUGAACACGACAAAAUCUUGCAGAUUUAAUUUUCAAUAGAAUAAACAAAUUAAUUUGAUCAACUAAUCUAGUUGGCCAAAUAAUGCAGAUUAAUUUUUAAUAAAUAUAAAUAGAACGACAAAAUAAUAAAACUGCAAGUUAUAUGAAUCACACAAAUAAAUCGUAGAAAUAUAUAAAUAACGAAUGAACUUUCAACCAGAAGCCUAUACGAGUACUAUUUCUUUUAAACAGAUUCGCCCCUUCAUCGUAAACGCUUGAAAUUUAAUUCGAGUGUCUAUUUCUCAGGAUACAACGGUAAAACAGUAGAAUCUGAGCACUGCAGAAACUACUCCGAUAAACUGAUUAGUAUCCGAACAAUAUCACCACCAAGACGAAGCUGACAGAAAAAUUAUGUAUGCAGAUAGACUGAACAACACUAUGAUACAGAACAAUUUUCUCUGUAUUUUGUGUAUGCAGUAUUUUCGUGUGUUCUGAAAUUGCUGAAAAAUGAGAAUGUAUAUAGAUAAAUCUAACAUUAAACUCCAUGGCAAUAAAAUUUGGAGUUGCUUCAAUUUCUGGGAGUUUUGACACUUUCAGAAACUCAAAGGUCAGUUGGAGAAAGUAAAAAAAUUGAAAAACGUGGAGACUUCAAACAGGCCAAUUUUUACUCUGUUCGGUCCGACAUUUGUGUACGCAGGUUGUGCCUGCACACAAAUUCAAAGUUUGAAGGUUAUUUCGGUUCGUGAUUUGCACUCUCUGUGCGCACACGUGAAGAGAGCAUCUAUGCUACACAUGAUUACACUCUUCCAAUGUACAACAAUAUUUAAAGUGGUUCUUACUUUCAUAUUUUUCCUACGUGGGAUAAACUCAAUUUCCCACACAAACUAUUUUCCAAUGGUCAACAUUGAGCUCCAAUUUCUCAUUCAUCCAAACUUCAUUUUUGGCAGGUACAUAUAUGGUUUUGAUGCUCUUAUGGAGAGAACACAGAUCAACUUUGAUCGUCCAAAUUAAAUCAACGAGUCCCACCGAAAAUUGUGCCAAAAGUGAGCUAUUCACUCAUUUUUUUCCAACAUAGAUAACCCAUUGUUUAGUGUUUGAAGUUAAUUUGGGAACAAUUGAUUGUGUUCUUAUUUGUUGAUAAAGAUUUUGGAAGAGAAUGAAGAGGGAUUUUUGCUACAUAUAAGGAAAAGAUGAAUGGUUUUUGUUUUUGUUUUUGUUUUUUUUUUUUAAGUUUUGAACUUCAAUUUUAUAUUUGUGAUUGAUUUGUAAUUUUUUUUUUUUAAAUUUGAGUACAAUUAGUUCUUUAUCCUUUCAUUUCAUUUCACUUUGUUUUUAUUUAAAUAUGAGGGUAAACUCGUCUUUUGAUUGAAAAAUAGAUGAAAAUGACAUUUUGCACAAUGAAAUGUGAAAAUAGGGGUGAAAAUGCCAAAAAAUGAAAGGUAGUGAUAUUUUUCACAAUAAUAUUGAAAGGUAGGGACGUUUUGUGCUAUUUAUCCGAUAAAGUUAGGAUUUUUCGACGUCGAAUAUGUCGAGUACAAUUUGUCUCGGAUUGCUCCAUCGCUAUAUAGGCAAACUCCCAUCGUGUAAAACGUCAUCGAGAUAAAGUUAAAGCCUAAUUACCCAAUUGAAAUUUAUGUUAAAGGACAAUCAUCACGAGUAGAACUAACGAUCACUCCAAGGGGAUACAUGUGAAUAUAUUGACAUGUCUCUAAUAUCGUACGCUUGGCUGUUCCAUAAAUAAAUUAGGUAGACCCUACAUAAUUAAAUGUCAAUCUAUUGUUGAAAAAAAUUAUAAAUUUACUUUUAAAAAAUUUUAAAUAAAUAAAUGUAUAUAUUGUACCAUUGGUCUUCAACCUAUGGACCAUAUUACAACUUGUUAUUUCUACUCAUUUUUCUUGACAGUACAAUCCUCAACUUUUUAGAUUUGUAGCCUUCUUGAUCCCUUGAUGGAGAUAUAAACUGAAACAAAAUCAAAAUAUGCAAAUGCAAUCUACAUAAAUUUAAAAUCCAAUGACCCAAUUGACACAACCAAUUGAAAUUUAUGUUAAAGGACAAUCAACAAUCAUCGUGAAUAGAAUUAACUCGCAAUCACUCAAACCGGAUACAUGUGAAUAUCUUGACAUGUCUCUAAUAUCAUACACUUGAUUUUUUGAUAAAUAAAUGUGGUAGACCCUACAUUAUACCCUACAUUAUUAAAUCUUAAUCUAUUGUUGAAAACAAAAUUUAUAAAUUUACUUUUACAAAACAUAAAAAUAAAAUUGAUGUAUAUAUUGUACCAUUGAUCUUCAACCUAUGGGACUAUUGCAACUUGAUCCUUGGACUUAUUUUCUUGACAAUACAGUCCUCAACUUUUUAGAUUUUCAGCCUUGUUUAUCUCCCGAUGGAGACGUAAAUUGAAAUUAAAUUUAGAUAUAAAAAUGUAAAUUAGAUAAAUUUAAAGUCUAAUAACCCAAUUGAGACAACCAAUUGAAAUUUAUGUUAAAGAACAAUCAUCGAUAAUAGAAGUAACUCACAAUCACUCAAAGUGGAUAUAUUUGAGUAUCUUGACACGUCUCUAAAAUCGUACACUCGAUUGUUCGAUAAAUUAAUAUGGUAGAUCCUAUAUUAUUAAAUCUAAAUCUAUUGUUAUAAACAAAAAUUAUAAAUUUACUUUUAGAAAAAAUAAAACUAAAAUAAUUUAUAUAUUGUAUGUAUCAUUGAUCUUCAACCUAUGGACCUUAUUAAAACUUGAUUCUUUGACCUAUUUUUCUUGACAGUACAAUCCUCUAACUUUUUAGAUUUGCAGCCUUGUUGAUCGCUCGAUAGAGAUGUAAAUUGAAACAAAAAUAAGAUAUAAGAAUGCAAUCGUGAUAAAGUUCAAGUCUAAUGACCCAAUUGAAUGUUGAAGGACAAUCAUUGUUAGCGUGCAAUUACUCAAACUGGAUACAUGUGUCUAACAUAGUACAAUCAGUUGUUUGAUAAAUAAAUAUGGUAGAGCCUACCUUAUUAAAUCUUAAUCUAUUGUUGAAAGCAAAAAUUAUAAAUUUACUUUUAGAAAAAAAUAUAAAUAUGAUAAACGUAAAUAUUGAUCCAUUGAUCUUCAACCUAUGGACCUUAUUACAACUUGAUCCUUCAACUAAAAUGGGAGCCAAAUGGAUGUAUUUCAAUUGUUAAUAAGCAUGAGUAUUCGGUGACCACCCUGUGCAAUUAUGUCAAAGCAAGCACGUUUAAUACAAUCAAAAGACUAAAAAGCAAGGAAAAUCACAGCUUUCAAUCUAGUUAUUGUUGGACAAAAGUUUUUGGCAAGAUUUGAUAAGAGAAUAAAAGAUGUAGUAUUGAGAACAUCGAAAAAUAUGAAACUAAGACUUGAACAGCGAUAACACAAUCAAAUGACUAAAAAGCGAGGAAAAUCGCAGCUUUCAAUUUAGUCAUUGUUGGACAAAAGUAUUCGGAAAGAAUGGAGAAGAGACUAAAUGAUGUAGUAUCGAGAACAUUGAAAAGUACGAAACUAAGACUUGAACGCGUUAUUGCUAUUCUCAAACGAUAUUUGUCCUAUCUAGGAUUAUUUUGGUGAUUAAAGGGACUCAUAACAAUGGCUUGUAAGAUUGAACAAACCUUGAAAAUGAAAAUACGUACACUUGUGAUAAUCUUCCAAAACUCAAAGAACGCAAAAGGAGUUUAAAAGUGAGAAAAGAAUUGAAUUUAAGGAACUCUAUAGUUAUUUUAUUUGAUGAUGAUGAUGAUGAUUAUCAUUAUUAUUAUUAUUAUUAUUAUUAUUAUUAUUAUUAUUAUUAUUAUUGUAUUUGAUUGAAAUCUAUUACCUAUUUAUAGAUUUUAAUCAACACCUUAUGAAAUAGAGCCAAUGGUUCAUGAAAAUCAAGUAUUUUCAUGAAGUCGCUUGAAUUUAAACCAAAAAAUCAACCUAACAACUAUUUUAAGCCCAUGCACACGCAGGGGCGAACCCACAGUGGGUCCUGGUGGGUCACGUGACCCACCAAGUUUGGAUUUUUUUUAAUAAAAAUUUAUUCAUCAAAACCAGAGGAGUCUAUCCCAUUCCAAAUUGCAAUUGAAAUAUGAGGACGAAAACUAACUGUCCCUCCGUAAUGUUCGUCUCGCUUGAACUCUUCCCUAAUCCUCCUCUUGACUUGAGUGUUGUCAGCGAUUGAAGACUCAAAGUCAUCCACCAAUCCAUCCACCAUCCGUUGCGAGCCUGCUGCUGCCAAUUCAAUCGAGUGGUGCUAUUGCCGAUUCAGUGGAUUUGACGAGCUAGCCAUUUGCCAUCGUCCAGACGUUGAUAGUUGUCGCCACCAGUCUACCGUCUAUUGCUAUAGCCGCCCCUUCCCAAAUCCCAUUGACCCAAGGUUAGUUACAAAGUCUACAAGUCUUUACUCUUAUUUUGUGUUUAGAUUUUAACUUACAUAAACACUACAUCUCCUGAUCUCCGAACUCCGGUAAUGACAUUAGUUAUGGCAGUGUGGCAAAGUGAAAUUUGAACUGAAGAUUUAUUUUGUGAUUUAGGAAUCUAUUUGAAUUUGUUGAACUAGAUAUGUAAAUGCUAGGGAUUGAAUUUGCUUGGAGCAAAUCUGAAUAUAUUAUUUGUGAAUUUCUGUGAAUGUAUUGAACUAGCAAAAUAGGUGUGUAAAUGUUAGGGAAUAGGGAUUGACUGUUUGAAUUUUGUUUGGGAUUUGGAAAUUUCAUCAAAAAUUAAAAAUAAAGAUAGCAUUAUUAGGUAAUUGUGAGACUGAUAUGCUUAAAACUUCAGGCAAUUAUGAAAUUUAUUUUGUGAUUAUUGAUAGAAGGACUAUAUUUUUUUUUACUUGAAUUGAUUGUUUUAUUUUCGUUGAUUGUUGUAAUAGUUAUGAAAAAGUACUUUAAGCAUAAAUCUGCAUUUUCUUGUGAUAUACAAAAUGUUAAUCAAAGGAAUAUUCAAAAUGAAAAGGAUGAAAUGAAUGCUGGGGAUGAAAGUAUGAUAUGAAUUUCUAUUGAUUUUUUCCUAACUUUUUGGAAGUUUGAGUGUGUCCUACUAACAACAAAUUCCCGCAUCCGCCACUGUGCACACGCAUCUGUGCCCAUGGUGUAAUGAAGAUUGAUUCAAGUUUGCAAAAUGGAAGUCAUGCGUAUGCAUGGGCAAAAAUUUGGGAAAAAUUACCCAAAAUAAGUAUACAUUUCAAAUAUUAAUUUGGGUUGAGUUAGUUUGAUUUUAAACAUAUAAUUGAGUUGGAUAAAAAUCGAUCCAACCUGACCCAUGCCCACCCUACAAAAGGUGCUUUAUAUAAAUAACGAGUUUCUUGGAAAUGUUUCAAGAUAUUCUUUUUUUGUAUAGAGCAUCUUAUAUAUAUUAUAGAAAGUAUAUUUAAAUUUAAAGAGUCAAAAUUUUUAUACACUUCAACAAUACUCUCUAUUUUUUAAAACAUUUAUUAAUUUCUCCUCAUAUUUUAUUUAACAAAAUUUUUUAUACGUUAAUGACCAUUCAAUUUAAAUAUUACUUGAAUAGUUUAAUAAAUAGAAUAGUGAAAUUUGCGACUUAUUAAAUGCAGUCGUCGUUAAUUAGAAAUAGAAAGUGAGUGUGACUCUCUGUAUUUGAAGAGUCAAGCACACUCUCUAUUUUAAAAGGUUAAAACAAAAAAAAAGUUUCUUAGAGCUUAUUUUUUAGCAUUAGCUCUUUAAAAUAAAGAUCAUUUUUUAUUUAGAGAUUUUUUUGAGAAUAUUAUUACUAUAGGCACUGAUCUUUGGCGACCCCAUGCAAUUACGUCAUGCUACAAUUAUAGAAUCAAAUAGGCACGUUUUUCAAAAUCAAGUGACUAAUUCUGUCUAGUUAAAUAUUAACAAAUGAAUAAAGAUAUUUGUACAAAAUUUGGUUAACAAAAAGUUUUACUCCCUCUCACAUGCAUACGGGCCUUACAUGAAAUAAAAAAUUCCAACAUAUGGUCCCAUAAUCCCACCUUCCCAUUGUGAGUGUAAGUAAAACUUUUUGUACAUCUAGCAUUGUCCAAAAAAGUUUUCCAUUCCAUUUUUCUAAUAAUUUUAGCCCUAUUUUUUUUUAUUUUAUAUAGCACCAUGGCUCCUAGUUAACAAAAAUACGGACAAUGAGAACUUAUUUUUGAAUGUUUGGCCCAAAUAAGUAUACAUUGCGAUGGCAUCCAAUUUAGUCAAAUGGCUAAUCAGGAGAGAAGGUCGCCACUCUUCAUGAUUAGUCAGAUGAAGUUUAGACACUCGAGUCAUAAAAAAAAAAAUACAAAGAAGCCUCACGUAUCUCAUUUCCCAAUGGACCGCUCCACGCGCAAAUUACUUCAACCACCCAUGUUUGCAAAUAUCGCUGUAAAUCAAUUAAGUUCAUAUUUGAUAGAGAUUUUUGGAAAUUUUUUUUUUUUAAAAUAUAUGAUUAAAAUUAAUAAUUAUUUUUUUAUUUAGUUUUAAUCAGAUAUUUAAGCAAUAAUAACAAAGGCUCAAUGAAAUUUAUCUCUCUGAAGAAGUGGUCCGAACGUAAUCACAUUUUUGAACAGGUAAUUUUAUCAUUAAAAAUGGAUUUAUUGAGGAAGUGCUAAAUUAGCUUAAGGGCCACACUUAAGGUAAAAAAUAGUGUGAAUGUGAGACAAACAUUAACACUUGCCCAACCACGCCUGGUCCCUAGAUCUGGACGGACAAUUAAACGGAGACGACAAGUAUCCAAUUGUAAUAGAGAUAUUGGAAGCCAAAAAAAUAAAUGAAUCGAGAUAAUUUUAUCAAAUAUAUUCUCGAAGACCAUUCUUAAACAUUUAUAAGUAAUAUAAUAUUUUUAAGAUUGACUCGAAAGUUAACCCAAAUGAGAGGUCGGUUUAUGGGGUCAAUGGUUCAACAUCUAAUCCAGUUGUUGAAUGGGUGAGUCAAUUUAGGUCAAAUAUAAUAAAAAUUACAUUUAUUAUAUAAAAGUUAGUAAUUAUUAUUUACUAAAUUAAUCCUUAAUUUAUUUAUUUUUUCAAUUUUUGCUCCGAAACUUGAAAAGAUGAAAGGUUUUUAAAAUGAAGUAGAAAAAAUAAUUAGCACUUAAAAUGUGAACAAUGAAGUCUAGUGUGUUAUGCAAACUAUUCAAGUGCUCAAUAAAAUCUGAAAUUUUUACUUAGGCCUUGUUGAGAGUGAUUUUUCAUCUUAAAAACUUGAUUUUUUUGACCGUUAUUUUACUAUUUUAAACAUAAUUUUUGACUUCUUCUUUCAUAAGUAGCCUCCACUUUUCUUUUUAACGAUCAAAAAAUCAAUUCUCAAAAUCACUAUCGAACAGGUCUUUAAUAAUGGCUUGAUGGGUUAAUGGGUUUGGUUCAUUGUCCUUUUAUGAAAAUUUGUGGGAUUUUGAUUUUUUAUUGUGCCAACUGUAGACUGGUCACAUUGAUAUCGUGUCUCGGGUUUUAUCGUUGAACCUCUUGAUUGGUCCAAGUUUUAUAAUAAUGGGUAAUAAAUCUUGAACGAAUUUUUUUUUAUUAAAUUUUCAAAUAUAUAAUUAUUCCGUUUAUACCUGUAAUUUAAUAGUCGAGUAUAAUUAUUUCAUGCAACAUAAGUACCUAACUCUCUUUUCUUUUCUUUUUUUUUUCCUAGAAAAAAAAAGUCUUUACUCUAAUAUUUCAAUGAAUGAAAAGUUACUUCGACUUUUAGUAUAACGGGAUAAAUUUCGACAAGCAAUUAUUGAGUACACAUGGAUUUUAGCAAUCACAUGCACCACACUUCCUCGACUUGCACCACACUUCCUCGACUUGGAGUGGUAAUAAGAAUAUCACUUCUAUAUAUAUAAAUGAUAAGAAAUAAAUUACUAUAAAAGAUUAAUGUAUUACAAAUUUACAAUAGUUAGUAAGCAUGAGUCGUCGGUGACCCCAUGCAAUUACACCAUGCUAUAAUUAUGAGAAUCAAACAAGCACGUUUUACACAACCAAAUGCCGAAAAAUCGAGGAAAAAUGCAGGUUUCAAUCUAGUCAUGUAAUAACAAAUAGACCAUGUUUCUAUUUUUCUGAUCAUUUUAGUCGCCCAUCUUUAAUGUUACAUAGAACCAUGGUUCCUAGUAGGGUUGGACAUGGUCCGAUUUAGUUCGAUUUUAACGAGAAUCGAACUGGAUCCGAAAUUUUUAGAUAUUUAGUAAGUGGAACCGUCGAAUCCAAAUUUAAUUAUAGAAUUGUUCGGGUUCGGUUCCAUUCGAUUCGGUUCGUUUCCAUUCUGUUUCCAAGUUCCGUAUUAAAAUUAAAUUUUUUUAAUAUUUACAAAGUUACAUUAAUUCAACUAAUAAUAUGUUCAAUCUUAGCUCUAACAAAAUAAUGUUGUUCAAUCUUAUGUGUCUUUUGCGUUUCUUUCUUCAUAGAUUUGAUUGUUAAAAUAGCGAGAAGAGGAAGAUAGCAAGCUCAAACUAAUUAAGAAAGCAAUUGUCGAAUUUCAAUUCAAUUUUUUCAUAAUGGUAGAAACGGCACUACGAUAGAGUAAUAGAUUUGGAUAAAUUUUAGGUCAAUUUAAUUAAAUUGUAUUUGAAUUGAAAAUCAGAAAUAGAGAAAUCAUAUUUUUGGAUUCGAACUAAAUUAACCAGUUACCAAAUUAUUUAUAAAAAUAUAAUAAUUUGACUUGUUUAUAUAAAUUAAUUAAAAAAAAUUAGAGAGAUUCGAUUCUUCAAUUCUUGAUCCAGAACCGAGAAUCCAACUGAAUCCAUCGGUUCUUGAUUCAGAUACUCAUUUGGGUAUUUAACUUAAAAAGAACCACUCGAUUCGAUUAGUAUUUUGUCCAGCCCGAGUUCCUAGUUAAUAAAAACUAUCUAAUUGAUGGUGAAACAUGUAGACAAAUCUCACAUAUCACCUUUCCUAAUGGAUCACACCACGCACGAAUGAUUUCAACCGCCCAAACUUUGCACCCAUCGUCGCUAAAACAAUUAGGCUCCAUUUGAUUCUUAUCAAAAUCAGAGGUUCUCAUUUUCCAACAAAAAAGAAAAAAAAAUGUUUUAAAAUGAUCUUGUGAAUAAGAGUUGUUAGAACAUCAAAAAUGAAGGCAGAACCCUCAUUUUUUUACCGCCACCAUUUAAAUCAAGGGUGUUUUGGGAAAGUGAAAUUUUAACAUGACAUAUCCAUACACAAGUCAACAAUUCUAGUGCGUUCCUCUUUCCAACAGACAGCUUCGUUAAUUAUGGCUCCACUGAAGCAGAAAAUGAAGAGAUGCUAGACGGGCUCCCAGCCAAGCGGACACGCGUCCUCCUGGACGUGGCCCUCUCCGUCAAGAAUUAUUGAAAUGAAAAUGGCUUCAAUCUCAUAUUAAUGAAUAUCAAACAGGGUAUAAGUCCAAUGUUUGUUAGAAAGUUUUUAAGAAUAAAUUUUGUGAAAAAAUAUUUUUUUAAGAUGUGUGAUUAAAGGUUAAAAAUGGAUUCACGGGAAAAAUUAUUUUAUUUUUGACAAAUGUUUAUUUUAAAAAUGAGGGCAAGGCCUAAAUAAAAUUAGGUACGUCGUUACUCUUCAACAAGAUUCAUGUAAAUUAAGCAUUAACACGAGCGUAAUGGCCCUUCGAUAGACUAGCAAACAUAGACAAAAAGUAUCCUAAUAUAUUUAGAUAUCUAAUUAGAAUGGUAAGCCACAUAUUGAAUGAACCGAGACAAUUUCAUGAAAUGCAUACCUUGAAGUAGUUGUUAAAUUAAUGGGUAAUAUCAUAGUUUUAGAUUUGACUCGAACACUAACUUAGAUGAAGAGGUGAUGUCACUGGAUCAAUGGUUAAACAUUUAAUCUAAUGGUUGAACGGAUAAAUCAACUCAUGUCAAAUAUGAUAAGAAUUAUUUUUAUAAUAUAAAAGUUAGUAAUAAUAAUUAUAAUUAUUUACUAAUAUAAUCCUUCAUUUAUUUUUUUCAAUGAGAAGAUGAAAUGUUUUAAAGAUGAAGUAGAAAAAAAAAACAAUUAAAAGAAGUGAAAAAUGAAGUGUAGAGUGUUAUGCAACUCCACAAAUGCUAAAUAAAAUCUGAAAAUUUUAAUUAACAAUAAAUCAACGGUUAAUGGGUUUGGUUCAGAGGUUUUUUUAUGAAAAUUCAUGGUUUUUUUGCUUUUUAUUGUGUUGAUUAUAGACUAAUCUAAUAGUACAGCUUGAACAGGUUUGGUAACGAGUUUUCCGUUGAACCGUCUAACUUAUUUGAGUUUUAUAUUACCGAUUAAUACAUCUUCGAAUGGAUGUUUUAAUAAAUAUUGAAACUAUAUUAUUAUUCCUUUUAUACUUCUGAUUAGUAGUCAAGUAUAAUUCUUUCAUCCUGUGGAAUUCAAAACCCCAUUCAUCACCCCUCACUAUGAGAUGAUCAUCUCUUAAGUAACAUAAAAGGAUUUGUCGAGCUUAACAUUUGUUAUAGAUAAAAAUAAAUAACUAUCAUAAAAGGGUCUCUAUCACUCUUCUUAACAUGAUUAGCUUUUGUAAAUUGAAAUCCGAAUCUUAAUAUAUAUUUCUAUGUGAUGCAACAUAAGUAUCCAACCCCGCUACCCCCCGGAAAGAAUUGUCUUUACUUGAAUAUUUCCACAAUAUAACAUUUACAUUGACUUUAAUAUGACGAGAUAAAUUUUGAUAAGCAAUUAUUAAGUACAAACGGAUUUUAGCAAACACACGUAUUAACUAUUCCUUGACUUGCAGUGAUUAUAAAAAUAUUUUUUCUAUAUAUAUAUUAAUGCUAAGAAAUAAAUUACUACAAAGGACUGAUGGCGAUGUCUGCAAUCUUAAUGUAUUACAAUAUUUAAUAAGCACUAAUCUUCAGUGACUCAUGCAAUUACGUCGUGUUACAAUUAUGAGAAUCAAAUACAACCAAAAGACUAAACAGCGAGGAAAAUUGCACUAUCAGCUUUCAACCUAGUAAUGUAAUAACAAAUAAGUCACCAUUCUAUUUUUCUUAUCAUUUUAGUCCUCUAUUUUUAGUUUUACGUAGCACUGUGGUUCAUAGUUAAACUGAAAUUAUCGAACUGACCGUGAAACAUGCAGACAAGUCUCAUUCCUAAUGGGCCACACCGCAGCAAAUGACUUCAACGACCUAACCUUGACUAAAACAAUUAAGUCCAUCCACGUGUUGAUAGAGAUUUUUUGACAACAAAUUUUGUAAAUAAUAAUUUUUUGAAUAAUGUACGGUUAAAAAGUAAGAAACCCUUAUGGAUGGAUCCAUGUGCACAUUAUUUGAUUGGAAAAAAGUGAUCGAAAAUGAGUUUAAAAAAUGAAUUUUAAAAAAUGAGGACUAAACAUUAGGGCUGUAAGCAAAAACCGCCAAACCGAAAAAUCGAACCAAAAUCGCAUUUUAGAAACCGUCGAUUUGGUGCCACGUGGACCCGAUCAAAGAAAUGGUUUUGACCCAAACCAAACUGGUCAAAAUGAUUUGGUUUAGGUUUGAGAAUUUUAAUUGCGGUUUAAAAUCAAACCGGACCGACGAAAAAAUAUAUAAAAAUGAAAAAAUGAUUUUUUUGGAAAAUUUAUCCAAGUAUGUAAAAUUCAAUAGUUUUAUUUGUGGGUAUUUUUGUCAAUUUCUAAUUUUCUAAUACAGAUAUAUUAUUAUUAUUAUCAUCAUCCAAUAAUCCUAAUAUAUAUCUAAUAAUCUCAAGACUAACAUAAUCUAUCAAAAAUCAUUUUCCUCUUCAGAAUUUAGAUGAACUCCAGCCGACAUCUAACACAGUUUUGAGUCACCGGCACUACACACUUCUUUUUCAGAUUUUUCACGCCUCUUCAAAGUUGAAUAGUAGUCUAUUAUACCAAAUCGGAGACAAAAAGAUCCUAGACAUUCGGUGAUAAUAUUUGCUACGAAUAAAGUUUCAGAUUAAUAAUUUUUUGGAACAAACUAAAGUAAGAAUUUGAAAUUAAAUGCGUUUCGUAACAUCAUACAAACGUACACUUGUGUAAUUGUUAUGUUUAGAUAUUAUAAACAAUUGUUUUAUUAUUGUUGUUGGUUAUUCUCUUUAUCUAAUCAGUAUCUUUUUUUCAGAUAUGAUGAUCACGAGGUCUAUUGAACAUCAUUAUAUUUUUUGGGCCUUAUAUCUAAUUUAGUAGACUUAUAUUGUAACGUUAUUAUAUUGUCAUUAGCCUUAAAAAAGGUGAAUAAAAAUGAAAAAAAAACUAUGUUUUAGUUUAUUAUAAUUUUUCUUUGAUUUAGUUGGUAUUUAAUUUAUAAUAGAUAUAUUUAGCCUCUGUUUAAGUCAUAUUUUCCAUAUCAUCAUAACGAGAAAAUUGAUCAUUGGAGAGGAGGCUAUGUCCCACACAUGAAACGGCAGGUCAACAAAGGCGGUUGGACUUGUGGAAUAAUGAUCCAAAUUUUCAUUUUUUUGUUUCAAAAAUUUGAUUCAAACAGAGGUUUAGUUUGUUUUAGAUUUAUUGCUAGUAAGAUAUAAAUAUAUAUUGAAUUCAAUGUUUCAGGAAUCGAACCCCCACACUGCGGCUGCUAGCAAGGUAUGAGAUAACCUCACUCUUGUCAUUUUCACCAUUGGGCUAUGCCCUGAGGGCUCAAUUCCCCAACUCUACAUUUGCGAAGGGGGAGAGCAAGAGAGCGCGUGUGUGUGUGUGUGUGUAGAUUUCUUUUUCUCAUGGGCAACACACAAAUUUUUCUUGUCUAACCCCAAAAAAUAAAAAUAAAAAAUCACAAAAUGCCAGUUUAAAAUCUUUAAUCCAAAUUACAGAUUUUUUGACGUAAAAUUUACAAAACAAUAGGAUUUAUGUUAGAAUUUAGGCUUCCAUCUUAAAAGAUCUACUUGGCUGGGAGGAGUAGCUCAAAACCUUAUAAAUUAGUCUAUAUUUUCUUCUUUAUUCAACGUGAGAUUUUAUCUCUUAAUAUGCCCCCUGCAAGUAGGGUUAUUAAUGGAUUGAAUUUUGAUCCGAAUCCGAUAAAAUUAAUGGGAGACGGAUUUAGGGUCUUAGUCCGAUAACCCGAUCAAGAUCCGAAUCCGAUUAUUCAUUAACUAAAUGAAAUAAAUAUGGAUUUAGAUCAGUCCGAUCCGAUUUAUUAUAAUAAUAUAAUAUAUUUUAUAUAUCAUCGAAAUUUUUUAUAAAACAUAAUUUUUUCCAUUUUGAAAUACUUUACACAUAAUUUUCAAAUAAUAAUUAAUAUUAGAUAAUGAUAUGAUAUUGUUAUUUGAAAUAUUUUAUUUUUUUAUUAAUUAAAAUAAGAUAAAAAUAAUAAUUAAUUUAUUAUUUAUUGAAUAAAAAGCCAUCUAAGCCUUUUAAGUUUAGGGCUUAAAAGUUGACUAAUAUAAAAUAUUUCUCCUACUAAUUUUUUCCAAUGUUUUAAAAAUUGACUCGAGCAUCGAUUCAAAAAAUGAAGAGGGUUAAGAGUCAAAGGGUUGAACCGUGAUCGAACUGUAUGACAAAUUAAAUAAAUAAAUACACAAAUAAACUAUAUUAUAUCACUAAUAUUUUUUAUUUUUAGUUUACCAAUUAAAAAAAUAUAAUCCAUAUUUAUUGAUUAAAUUUAAUGUAGUAAUUUGUAUUAAAACAAUGAUUUUUUUUUUUCAAAUUCAGAUCGGAUUAUCGGAUAACAUAGCAAAUCGAAUAUGGAUUUAACAAUCAAAUAUCCGUUGGAUUAUGGGAUCGGAUCGGACCGAUAAUUAUUCUUAACGAAUCGGAUCGGAUUUGGGUAUAUCUGCUUCAUAUCCGAUCUAUUUACAGCCCUACUCGCAAGGUGGUGGUUCAUUUGAGCACAUCAAUUUUGAAAUCCGUAUGUUUAUUUAUUAAGUCUAAAUCGGAUCAAGGGUUUCAUUUUAAAAGGUCAACCUUUUAAAUAUAAGUAGCUCAAAGCCUUACAAAAUGAUCUAUAUUUUCAUCUUUAUUCGAUAUGAGAUUUUAUCCUUUAACAAUUUAAAUAAUGACGUUAUUUUUGGAAACUAACUCCAAUUAAAAUACAAAACAACUAAAAACCAUCGAGUACAGUUCCUUAAAAGUCGGCCACCUAAAUUUCCAUGUUUAAUACAUUCAAAAAAUAGAUCCCGCUUAAUUGACACCAAUUACCUCCAGGAUACGUGGAAUAAGAAUAUAUUACCUUUGAAAAAUCAUAAAUUUCAUUAUUAUUUUUUUUUUCAUUUUUUUUCUUUUUCACCAGAUUCAUAAUUUAUAAUCUCUAAAGAUGUUUAAGGCUGCCUUUCUUCUACAUAUGUGAUUUCCAUUACAUGUUACACAUUUUUUAUGAAAUGUUUUUGUUGCAUAUAAAAUAUUAUACAAUGUAAUAUACGGAAGUAUCACGUGUAGCAUAUGAUAGCUCGAAAACCAGCGCAUGUCGACUUUAAUCUUCUUGUGGUUCACCUUUUGCGAUAAAUUUGACGAUGAAAAAGUAACAAUGGAACGUUGAAAUUACAAAAAUAAAAAAUUGCGCGAGAAAUUAUCGGAAUCUGUGAUGGACAUCUUGGAGAGAAGAUACGUGCUUGAUAGCUUUAGGCUUACUCCGUGUCUGGGGGCGAAAAGGCCUUGGGACCCAGCCCUGCCACCACCUACUCGCCCCUGCUAGGUUAGCUUUCAAGUCGAAUCUGGAAACUAUGAUAUUGCCUACAGAUAUUUAAGAGCUGUUUUGAGGGUAUGCAUUGGAUUUUGAUAAUUGUACAUCAGGUUUGACAUCCCGAUGUACCAAUCCCUCACAACAAAAGGGGGUCCACGAUGAAUAAAAAAAUUAUAGACCCCCUAUUGUGAGGGGGUCGGUACGAGUAGCAUGGUCCGUAUGCAUUUGAUAAAUUGGUCUUAAGGGUUGUGCAUGUGUUAAAUAUCUGACUUGCGUUGAUUCCUUGUCCCUUGAAUCUCCUUGUUGAAGAGUAACAUUGUAACAACAUUCACAAUUUAGCUCCCGUUCGGUAUUCAUGUUUUUCAAAAUGCAUUUUUCUCUCUUCUUUUUAAUCACACAUUUUUUAUUAAAAUAAUAUUAUACGUAAAUAAAAAACUUUUCCUUUUUUUCAACCACACACUUCCCAUCAAAUUACUAUUCUAAAAUGUAUUUUUACAUAAAAAUAGCUCUCCAACACCCCCUUAAUUUAGAAUAAUGAGUUACUUGUACAUAAACAAUUACGUAUGAGUAAAGAGGGCGUUGAUGGUGCUAGAGACGUGAACCACUAAGUACAAAAAUGUUGUAACUCUUCAUUUGCAAGGAGAGUUUCGAUGAAUUCCUUGGUUAGUUUAAAAUAAGAUCAGGGGAAAGAGACCGUGCUAAUAAUGGAGAUAAUGAAGGAGUAACAUUAGCAAUUUAAGUGUUCGAAGUGCUAAAAGUCGUACCGUGUGCAUGCAAAUUUCAAGGUAAGAUUCAACGAUAAUGUCCAAUCUGGAGAAACUAUAAAAAGUAAGCGUAACACUGUAGUUACGUCUCAAUAAUGUAAAUUAAAUAUCAUAUGUGGAUCGCCUCUAUUGUGACAUGAGCAAUUAAGUGAUUACUUAAGAAGUUUUUGAUUUUAAGUGGAGAAAUUUUUAAAUCAAUUAUAAACUGUGUAUAGAUUAGUGAUCGAAGUUGAAUAAAAUGUAAUGAAAUUUUGUAAGUUUGCAAAAUAAAGUACAUAAUGUUGAAACACUUUAUCAUUGAUUUAAAUGUUUAAAUAGCUAAAUGAAGUCACAUGUAUAUCAUUUAAAAUAUUAUCUAAAACAGUCAUUAAGUAGUGAAUUACAAUUGUGGAUCUAAAUCAUAAGUAGAAAUAAUAUUAACUAAACACUCUAGUAGUUUGCAAAGUUGCUACUUAGUCUCCAUUCUUCGCAUAAUAAUUAUUAACUUGUAUUGCCUCCCGGGGCAUAGUCCAGUGGUGUAAAUGAUAGGAAUGAGGUUAUCUCAUGUCUUGCUGGCAGCCGCAGUGUGGGGGUUCGAUUCAUGAGACAUGGAAUUGGAUUCCUUGUAGGCGCAGUGUACAGGCAACUCUUGUUCCCUAGCUUGCUGGGGCACAUCCCGAGAUUUACCUCCCUCACAAAGCUCUAGGGGUGGGGGCCCUCAAGGUUGAGGUUCAAACUUUUUUUUUUUUAAUUAACUUGUAUCACGACAUUAAUUAUGAACCCACUAAGUAGCAAUGUAAUGACUGAACCCCCAAUUCUCCCAAAAUACAACAAUUUUAUUUCUUUCUUCGUCUUUGCAUUUUAAUUUAAAUAUAAUUCAAGACGUAAUCCCAUAUCCAAAAGAAAAAAAUUUAAUAAGUUUUCUUUAGUUAAUUUUCUAAUGUGGCAAAUUUCAUUUAUUUAACCGUCAAAAUAUCAAUUUUUUUUUAUUGAAAAUAUAUUUAAUUGUACCUCAAUUUUAGUAUUUAACUGCUUUAUAUUGCAAAUUUCAAAACAAAACUUCAAUGCAUUUUUCUUGGCUGGCUGAAAGCAUCUCCAAAAAACUCUCUAAAUACAAGACAUUUUUUAUUUUAGAUAGUCAAUGCUUAAAAAUAAAUUUCAAGAUACAUUGUAGAGGCCAUUAGCAUCUGCUUGAAGGAUAUAAUACUAUAUAAUUCUUGAGAAAUUACAACUGGGAACAGUAGAUUUUUUCAUGUAAAUGGACAACAAUUUCUGAAGAGAAAAAACAUCCAAACGAUGUACAGUUUAAGCCCUUUCUGGAUUAAUAGAAGUUGAGAGACAUCUUAGAGUAUAUAGUAGAGAGACAUACUAUAAUUUCUUCUAUUACUGUUCCUCGUCUGAUUUAGAAAGAGGUUGUCAUAAUUCUACUAAUUAAUAUAAUCCUUCUACUAGCCUUAGAACAUAUAAUUAGCACAAGAAAUAUGUCCAAAUCUUGUAGGAGUAGACAAUACUUACGAAGCAACAAACAAUAAAUGGAGAUUAUCCUGCAAUUUUAGGUGUGAUUGAGCGUGCUUAUUUUCAUUCAUAAUCAACCGUUCUUUCCGAUAAUCAACUUGGGAUCAAAAUAAUAGUCGUGAUACUUCUUCCAUCCCACUGUUAAUUCCACUUCCAUUUAACGGACGUCCCAAAAUUAGAGUCUACUUGAUAAGUAGAAUAAUCUAUUAACUAACUGUUCUCUAAAUGUAUGGUAUCAUUGACUAAAUAUCAAAAGCCGUGACCCCCAAAAUGCAAUUGUAUUUUUGGAAGUGAACAGAGUAUUAAAGGACCGCACGUGGCUCCAAAAUGAAAUGAGUUGAAAGGAGGUAGCAGAAAUAUUUGUUUACUAUCAAUCAGCUUGACAUUUUUCGGGUAAAUUAGGAAUUUGAAUUUAUCAUCAUCCAUGAGGCUAUAAUCUAAUAUUUGAUUACUAUUGCUUCAGGUACAAACCAAGUGGUCUAAUUUGAAGAAAAGAGUGUUUAGAUAGAAAUCGUGAUAAAGAUUGUAUUUUUGAAGAAUUCUGCAAAUCUUUUGCUUUUCUUUUCGUUCCAGCAAUCUUGAUUCGCCACGCACAGCCGUCCAAUUGUCCAGCCUCCAAAGGUGAUCCACACAGAGAACAAGAUUGCAGCUACCAGGGUUUUCUCCUCUUGUGCUAGUAAGAAUAAUUAUGAGAAAAACCAUAUGGAUUGAUAACCCUAGCCAUGUAUUUAUAUAAGCCCAAAUGGGCCUGGUCUGGUCCUAUCAAAUAUUUAAUUAAUCCAUUUAAUUAAAUUCGGUCCGUGAAUUAAUUAAUCCAAUUAAUUAAUUCGGGCCUAUAAAUAACCAAACCAAUUAAUUAAUUUAUCAGACGAUUGUUAAAUUAAUUAAUUGACAAAUUAUAAUCUUCCAAUUCUCUUUUGUGUGCGACCCAUCAGGUUCCCGAUCACGAUGCCUAACGACGUGAAAUAUUAUUUUGAUCUAAUCAAAAUUGAUAAAUUAAAAUACCAUUUUAAUUUAUCAUCAAUUCACACUUGCCGUCCCAGAUUGACAUUUAACAAUGUGUCAGGGUAAUACAUGUGAUAGGAAAUGUCACGUGGUAUGACAAAACCAAACUCGUUGGUUUACCGUGAAACUAUAAUCCCUUCGUCAAUAUGAUCCUAUCAAUUACGAGAUAUGAAAUUGUGUCAAUCCCGAAUAUCGAUCAUAUCUUUCACUCCACUAUUAAGUCAAUAUAAGUCGAAAAUUCCUUUUCGACUUAUGAGUACACCUUGGCCAAUGAUUUUGUUAUCAACUUAAUUUGAAUGAAACGCAGAUCAUAAUCUCCUACUAUCUAAGAGUGAUGAAUCCUUUAUUGGUCAAUCACAACCUUCAUACGAUUCUUGACGUACCCGAACGAUGUCGUAUUAGUGGCCCUUUGCAGAGCGACAUCCAACAUCGCCAAAGUAUGACUGUCCUCAUAUAAGGUACCAUGACGAUCUCAAGUAAAAUGACCAAUUUCACUACCGAACGUUAGAGAUUAACCACUGACACUCAGAUAAUUAUCCAUGUGGAAUCUCUCGGCGGGUCUCCAAUAUUUUGUUUUAUAACAAAACAUUCACGUGUUCAUUUAAGUGUUAUCACACUUUAACUUGUGAGAUCAGCUACUUACUUCACAAGUAAGAAAUGCCACACGUGAUGGUCUAUCCGUAAUAACGAUAUCUGUAUCUCGUUAUUACUUACGACCACGGAUGAUUUAAGAUUCAAUCAGAUGUAAUCUGUAUCUCAAAAUCACAACCCCUUGUGAUUAACAAAUUACGAAGAUUUGAAUCUACGAACUCUAUUAUUUAAUUAAUAGGCAAUUAAUCAAAUAUUAGAUCUGCCAUUAAACUGCAUUAAUUAGAUAUCCAAAGUAUUUAUGUCCAAAGUUGAUUGGACCUAGGGCAUAAUACUUACAAACUCCCACUUGCACUAGAUCCAAUCACUUAUGUAUCCAAUAUCAUAAGUCUACAUGACGAUCAUGUUUAUGCUACGAUAACUCUUAGUCAGUGGAUCUGCAAUAUUGUUAAAUGUGUGAAUUUGUUCUUCUCUUUACGUCAUUUCUAUGUAUUAUCUUUCUGAUGAGAUUAUACCACCUUAAUACAUGUUUGGAUCAUCGAUAAGACCUUAGUUCCUUCACUUUCGCAAUGGCUCUAUUGUUAUCACAAUACAAUGGCAUGUGAUCAACAAUAUCAGGAACUACUCCAAGUUCAUUUAUGAAUAUCAUGAUCCAGAUUGCAACUCUUUGCUACUUCUGAAAUAAUCAUGUAUUAGGUUUUUACUAUUGAAUCAACGGUUGCUUCACGUUUGGAACCUUUCCAACAUAUCGCUUAAGAGUAAACCAGUUUCUCCAUAUGAAAUUGGGAUGAGUUAAGCAACCUUCUAGAUCUAUCUCUAUAAAUCAAGUUACUUCUCCCAUAUCGUUCAAGAAUAAAUAUUUUAAAAGCCAUUAUUUCAACGAUUGAAAUAUAGGGAUGUCGUUUUCUAUAAUGUUAAUAAUACGACAAUGCUCACACUAUCUUCUUGUAAACACACAAUUCGUCUUCAAAUUUGAUGAAAUCAAACACUUUGACUUUUUCAUCAAAUCUAAGAUUUCAGCUCCAAGGGAUUUCUCUUAACAUAUAGUCACGGUAUGCAACUGUUGUAAGCAAAACCCGAAUGGACUUAAGCAAGGCUACAGGAGAAAGGUUUCACCAAGGUCAACACUUAACCUUUGCUUCUAGCCUUACUUUGUGUAUAUGAAUAUUUACAUCCAUAUUGACCUUUUCCUUGUAAACUAUUUACAAAAACUUAUGGGUUUUAUUCCAUCAGGAGGCUUGACCAAGGUCCAAACCUUGUUCAUAUACGUCGAAUUCAUCUCGAGUUUCAUGGCCUCUUACUGUCUAUUUUAGGUCAACACUUGACUUUAUUUUGGUGCAACUAGCAAGUUCAUUAUCCUGGAUCGGUAAUACCUGAUUAGUAAUGAUGGAUUCGUAUCGUCUUCAAGGUCGAAUGAUCCUACUAGAUUCACAUAGAGUUGAUAUGUUCUCAGGAGUCUUUACUUCCUGAUCAAGAGCAUUUCCCAUAUCAGAUAUGGGAUCAAACUCGGAUUUAUUUACUUGGUUAACUAUAUCUGUGGACUCUUGAGCUCUUUCAUGUUCUAUUUUGCUCUCACUGUCCUCCCCUAUAAUAAACAUUUUCUCUAAGAAGACGGUAUGUCGAGAGAUGAAGACUUUCUUCACAAUAAUAGAAUUUAUAUUCAAAUAUUUGCUUUGAAUAUCCCACAAAUAUGUAUUUAUCGGAUUUAGUUUCAAACUUAUCCGAUUUAAUGCGCUUCAAAUAAGCGUCAUGGCCCCAAACUUUCAUAUGAGAUAAAUUGGGACUACUGUCUUUUUAUAACUCGUAUGAAGUUCUGUUAACCAAUUUAGAUGGGACAUGAUGGACAUGAUUUAGUGUGUUGCACACUGCAAUCAAUACAUGAUGCCAAAACAAUUUUGGGAGACUCCCACGGCUUGUUAUUAAUCGUAUUAUAUAUAAUAGUUAACGAUUCCUCCUUUUUGAUACACAACUAUGUUAUAGCGUAUAUGGAGGAGUCCACUGCAAGAGAAUCUUAUUCUCUCUUAGAUAAUCUAAAUUUUAUCUUUAAGAUAUUCUCAUUCGAUCGAAUCUUAAUGUGAGGGUAUCUUUACCUAUUUGUUUCUCUACUUCUUGUUUGAAUUCCUUGAACCUUUCAAGAGUUUCAUGUUUGAAUUUCAUCAAGUAUACAUGAUCAUUGAUAAAAUAAGAGAAACAUUACCUGACAUCAAUUGACAUGAGUCCAUAUGCAUCACUAUGCAUUAGACCAGUAAUUAUGCUGACCUUUCUUCUUUUCCAGUAAAAGAAGAUUUGGUCAUUGUGUUAGACAUGCACAAUUUAUACUUGUCAACAUCAAUUAAUCCCGAGUAUACAUCUUUAUGUAACUUUGGAAUUGCAUUUCAUCUAUAUGACAAAGUCUGCCAUGCCAGAUUUCGGCAAUAAUUUGAUUAUCAUAUUUAUGCCUUAUAAUUUCUAUACUUAUUAUAGAAUCCUUAGUAUUAAAGAAUAUAAACGUCGUUUUUUUAAUUUACCAUAGCCAUUAGGAUUUUUAUCAAGAUAAAUAAGAAAAAAAUUGUCCUUAAAAUUAAAACAGUUCAUGUCCGAACAUGAAAUUCAUUUUAAUGUUUCAGCUAUGGUGGGUAUAAAGUAACAUUUCCCUAAUUCCAAUACUAAACCAAAAGGUAAUGACAAGAAGUAUAUUUCUACAGGCAAUGCAACAACCUUUGCUCAUCUCCAACGUGUGGGUUAACUUCUCCCUUUCGCAGUGGUCUACUUCUAUUUAGUUUCUCCAUAUUUGUAUAAAUAUGAGAUUUACAUCUGGUAUCAGAUACCUAAGAAACUCGUGAAGUAGAUGCAAGCCACACAAUAUUCUUUCCAAUGACCUUUCAUUCUAUAAUGAAAUCAAGGGUCAUUAGAUUUGGUAUUGUCCUUCGCUUAGACUGUCUUAACCAUAUUGGGUACUUUCUCAAAGUCCCUUUAGACUUCCUCUUAAUACCCUUAGAGGAAUCAAUGGUUUGCCCACUACCAACUUUGAUAAAGGGGUUAACAGUCCUAAGCAUGUUAAGCAACUUAAUGAGUAUGCAUUCGAGUUUAUUCAUAUCAUAAUUCAUAAUUAGUAUGAAUGACUCUAUGACAAAGAUUGCAUAGCUAAGUCAAUACUUAGUUCAUAGUUAAUGAUUGAACUUAGUCGAGACACUUCUCAUGUCAAUCAUCUUCAGUACCUUAGCACUGACCAAAGAUCGUUCUGUCAUUUUGCAUCGAUAUAGUUGUUCGGAAGUCUCAUAUCCUUCCACACAUGAUUAUUAUCAUACAACCCUUUGAAAUGAAAAAUCACGUGUUAGCAUCUAUACUCUCAUGUUGUUUCCGUAACUCAGGUGACAUAGUUGCAAGAAUCACAUACGUUGCGGUACUAUUGUCAUCAUUGCGUUUAUUACAAUAGAUACCUCUUCUUUAAUCGAAUCAUCAGCAGGUGUCUCUGGAAAAGGCUACUCAAGGACGUGACCAAUUUUCUCAUGCAUUAGAACAAUUCUCAAAUUGCUGAGUCAAUUAAGAAAAUCUAGUUUGGUUGUUGACAUCUAGUAUGCCAUUCAAAUACAUAUGGUUACACAUGAUUCAAUAAGUAUAAAUGACGAAAAAAUGAAAGAAUAAUAUAUAAAAUACAUCAAUUAAUUUAACAUGGACUUUUAUUAAAUUAAUUAUGCUCCCACUGUUUAAAUCAAAUUUAUGACCCUCUCACAUAAAUUUAUGGAAUCCAUAUUUAACUCCCAGUGGGCUGAAAUCCCAUCUAUUAUAUUAAGAUCUUGAGUAUAAUCAACAAGCCUUAAUAUAACAUUAGGGUAGAUACUAUUAUCAAUUGUAUCUCCAUACAACUCCCAAAUCAUUAAGCUGACAACUCUUUAUCUUCACAUAUCUUAUGUGUUAGCUUAACAUGCCUCUAAAAUUUAUCUCCUUGAGUGUACUUAACAAAAGAUAAAUUUUAGUUAAGUCAAACCCGUCAUUCAGAAAUAUCAAAUAUUUCAUAGUGUCAAACAUACCCCUAAUAGACCAGCCUUGAGUAUACUCAACAAGUUUAGACGAUUUGGGACUCUAGUUUUUCACUAUAAUGAUGGAAGGCGAUUAUAAAUGUGACUUAAUAUUUUAUGGAAGGAUUUUGCAUUCAAGGGUCUCAUUGUAACAGUAAUAUAUAUUUUAUUAUACAUCUACUAUGUAAAUAAAUAUAUAUAACAUAAUUUAAUAGUGUGGACGAUUAUAGACUUUACUAUCUAGUCUUCCCGAGCCAUAAGGAAGACUAGUUGGUCAGUUCCUAGGGGGUAUUACACUGACCAAUAUCAAUGCGCCAUUUCCAUGGUCUCCUCCUCUUCUUGUUUCUUCAAUUAGUCCAAUUGCAACCUGUAUCUUAUACUAGUUGGCAUGCAGGCUUAAAUGAAAUUGGACUCGCAAGCCCACAGCAAUAAUAAUAAUAACGGACUCGCAGGUCCAAAAUGAUCAAGAGCUUGCAAGCCCAAAAUAAUGACAAUAAUAACGGGCUCGCAGACCCAGAACAACAAAAAUAAAAAUUAACCAUUCAACACAUUCAUAUGGUCGAGUCCAUAAUUGUCCACUAAUAAUACAUUCAUUAAAUAAAUGUAUACCUCUAUAAUAUCUAAUAUUAUAUGCAAAUUAGUUUCAAGUUUCUAGUAAUUAAGUGGUCUAAACUCCUUUAGACAAAUGGAUUGGAACAAUUAAAUAAUUAAUUAAUCAUAUUAAUCAAUUAUUUAAUUAGCGGGCAUUAAAAUCAAAUUUCAAUUAAAUACCAAAUUAGAGUCCAACUCUAAUUCAACAAUUAUAUGACGGAAUUAUUUAAUUAAAAUCAAAUUCUAAUUAAAAAUCAAAUUAGAGUCAAACUAUAAUUUCACAAUUUAAAGUGGUGGAAUUUAAUUAAAAUCAAAUUUUAAUUAAAUAAAAAAAUUAGAGUCUAACUUUAAUUCCAAGAUUUUAGGGCGGAUUUAUUUAAUCAAAAUCAUAUUUUAAUUAAAUACCAAAUUAGAGUACAACUCUAAUUCCAAGAAGAAAUUUAGGGCGAGACAAUUUAAUUAAAAUCAAAUUUUAAUUAAAUGUCAAAUUAGAAUCCAAUUCUAACUUCAAUAACAUAUUUAGGUGAAUAAUUUAAUUAAAAUCAAAUUUUAAUUAAACACUAAAUUAGAAUCCAAUUCUAACUUAAAUUGAAUUAAGAUUUUCAUUUAGGAUAAAAUCCCUAAAUAAAAUAAAAUUCAAUUUAGGGUCAAAGUUUAAUAUUCAAGUUAAAAUCUAAUUUUAACGAAAAUAUAAAAAGUCGUCAACUUUAAAUAGAAUUUUAAAUCUGGGUCAAAAUUAAAAUUAUGGGUCAAACCCAUUUAAAGUACAAUUUUAAAACCAAUUCAAAAUUCAAAUUCAAAACCAUUUGGAAAUUGAAAUUUGACCCGAGUUAAAAUUUAUAAUCAAAGCCUCACAAUUUCGAAAAUUUUAGAACCGACCCUCCCAAUUUCACAAAUUACAGAAAUAGGUCCUUAUUUGAAAAUUACAACUUAACCCUAAAAUUUAAUUGUAGGCAGGGGCCUAAAAAUUAUCAAUUUGCAUUAGAAGCCCCCGCCUCCAAUGACCCACGGUUUGAAAACCCUAGAAAAAAUUUUUAUUUUUAUUUUUAUUUUAUUUUCUCUUAGCUGGCGGUGCCGCCCUAAUAAGCCGGCAAGCCCGUCGCCUAAAGACAGCGGGUUGUUGUCGGCCGCCCCAGUAGCGCGAAAGCGCUGCUGCAGCAGCGGCAGACGCGGCUGUUGUCGCUUUUGGCAGCGUCAUCUCUUAGCAGCCGCAUCUGCCGCCGGUAGCUUCGCUAUCGCCAGCAGCAAUUGUUGCUGUCGGCAUCCCAUCCCUCCUAAAUCAGAUUUCAAAAAUUAAGAAAACUAAAUUUUCUUCAAUUGCUAGAAACAUGAAAAAUAAUAACAAUCAAAGAUCAAUUCCUAACAAACACAAAGUAGGCUCUGAUACCACUGCUGGGAAUCUACUUAUACAUGCACAGCGAAAAAUUAAAAUUAUUUCGAUUCCCACCAAGGAUCCCUUUGUGGUUAGAUAGAAAUCGUGAUAAAGAUUGUACCUUUGAAGAAUUCUGCAAACCUUUUGCUUUUCUUUUCGUUCUAGCAAUCUUGAUUCGCCACCCACAGCUGUCCAAUUGUCCAGCCUCUAAUGGUGAUCCACACAGAGAACAAAAUUGCAGCUAUCAGGGUUUUCUCCUCUUGUGCUAGCAAGAAUAAUUAUGAGAAAAAUCAUAUGGAUUGAUAACCUUAGCCAUGUAUUUAUAUAAGCCCAAACGGGCCUGGUCCAAUCCGGUCUAAUAUUUAAUUAAUACAUUUAAUUAAAUCUGGUCCAUGAAUUAAUUAAUCCAAUUAAAUAAUUCGGACCUAUAAAUAACCAAACCAAUUAAUUAAUUUAUCCUACAAUUGUUAAAUUAAUUAAUUGACAAAUUGCAAUCUUCCAAUUCUCUUUUGUGUGCGACCCAUCAGGUUCCCGAUCACGAUGCUUAACGACGUGAAAUAUUAUUUUGAUCUAAUCAAAAUUGAUAAAUUAAAAUAUCAUUUUAAUUUAUCAUCAAUUCACACUCGUCGUCCCAGAUUGACAUCUAGCAAUGUGUCAGGAUAAUACAUGUGACGGGAAAUGUCACGUGGUAUGACAAAACCAAACUCAUUCGUUUACCGUGAAACUAUAAUCCCUUCGUCAAUAUGAUCCGAUCAAUUACAAGAUAUGAAAUUGUGUCAAUCCCGAAUAUCGAUCAUAUCUUUCACUCCACUAUUAAGUUAAUAGAAGUCGAAAACUCAUUUUUGACUUAUGAGUACACCUUGGCCAAGAAUUUUGUUAUCAACUUAAUUUGAAUGAAACGCAGAUCAUAAUCUUCUACUAUCUAAAAGUGACGAAUCCUUUAUUGGUCAAUCACAACCUUCAUAUGAUUCUUGAGGUACCCGAACGAUGUCGUAUUAGUGGCCGUUUGCAGAGCAACAUCCAACAUCACCAAAGUAUGACUGUCCUCAUAUAAGGUACCAUGACGACCUCUAGUAAAAGGACCAAUUUCACUACCGAACGUUAGAGAUUAAUCACUGACACUCAGAUAGUUAUCUAUGUGAAAUCUUUCGGCGGGUCUCCAAUGUUUUGUUCUAUAACAAAAUAUCCACGUGUUCAUUUAAGUGUCACCACACUUUAGCUUGUGAGAUCAGCUACUUACUUCACAAGUGAGAAAUGCCACACAUGAUGGUCUAUCCACAAUAACAAUAUCCGUAUCUCGUUAUUACUUACGACCACGGACGAUUUAAGAUUCAAUCAGAUGUAAUCUGUGUCUCACAAUCACAACUCCUUGUGAUUAACAAAUUACGAAGAUUUGAAUCUACGGACUCUACUUUUUAAUUAAUAGCCAAUUAAUCAAAUAAUAGAUCUGCCAUUAAAUUGCAUUAAUUAUAUAUCAAAAGUAUUUAUGUUUAAAGUUGAUUGGACCUAAGACAUAAUACUUACAACAUAAAGGGUAGUAUCAAUGAUGCUAGUAAGUCUUUCGCAGGUCCUUAAUUUGUUUCUGUCACAGUGUGAUAACAGGCUUUCGAGCUAAAAAUCUUAAACAGGUAGAUCCAUAAGCGAGAUUUAAUACCACUCAUAUAAGUGUGGAUAGUUGAUACAAGAAGCCUGGUGCAUUUCUCAGCCUUGAAAUCUCGAAGAGAUGUAAUUUUGUAAAGAUAUGAAAUCAUUUCUUUGUUUUCGAACAAAGCAGCUGCCUUUUCAAGUGUGGUCAUUUCUUGGCUGCCUCGAGUUGUUGGCAGAGUACGAUUUUUUUUCAUAACGACCUUGGAAAUUUCUACAAUCCCUGAUGCAGCUGCUAAACAAAAGGUGGUAUUUCCAUGUGCAUUUGGCAACGCCAAGUCACUAGAUUCUUGACAAAUUCAGUUUGCUUGGUGACAGAAUCUAUGCGAAGAGGCCAUUUUCUCUUUCUAUUUUUUCUAUACAAGCUACACUUCUGUCCACAAUCAGAACAAUUUCAAUAGCCUUCCAAUCACCUCCUAGAGCAGCUGGAUAUCAAAACGCUGGAACCUUUAGAGUAUACAAUGUAACACACAAAAUUAGAGGACAUCCCAUGUGAAUAACUUAUACAAUGCAUCAACUCUUGAAGUCUACGAGUAGAAAGGAGAACAAUUUUAUUACUCAAUACCAAAUCUAGAACUCUUGAAAAUACUGAGCGAGUCUAGAAAAACUCCAAAAUCUAAUCUAAAAUAAAUUUAAAACCAGUUUUUAUUUUUAUUUUAUUGUUUUUUUCUUUUUCUUUUUUUGCGCACUUUAAGGGACAAUAAUAGAUUUCAUCUAUCUCUUCUACGCAAAUGUGAUACCAUACACUUUCUUAUUUCAUUAAUUUGCUUGACUUUGGUACUGGUAUAUUGAACUCAAAAACUGACUGCCAGUUUUGUUCAUUGCAUUUAUCUUGAUUAUGUUGAAAUAUGUGAUGAAGCUUCCCACACUCUCACUCAAACAGGAAUAUCAUCUUCUCUUAUCUACUUUACUAAACUACCACCAUCAUUUUAUACAUUAUGGAAAAGGCAGACAACGUGUUUACUACAAUCAUCUUAGUUCUUUUCAAGUCAUAAGUAUUGGUCUAUGAUUCAUGUGGUUUUUAGUCCCUGGGUAGUUAAUCUAUCAGAUAUUGUCAGUGUAACGAUAUGCCAACAUCAGAAAUAUGCCCUAAUAUAAUAAUAUUUUGCUCUUCUAGCUGGUUGGUUACUGUCUUCAAUGAUGAAUUUUCUUUUGUCAAGUGCACCUGUUCAGUGAUUGCAGGUAGUGGAUACGUCAUACUUGAAAGAGAGUAUGAACAGAAACACACACUCUGGAUUGGCCAUGACACCGAAACCUUCGAUCCUGAGACAGAGAAUAGUUUUUCAGCAGAAGCUAGCAUACAGAAUGCAGCUCUUCAUUAAGUUCUCUGCUGAUUAUUUUGGAAUUUCAGAAUGGAAGCGAUAGGUAUGACAAUGAUAUUUGCUUGUAAGCUUAUGGUAUCUUAGUAAAAUGCUAUAUUAAUUGGCAAACACAUUAUCUGGUAAGAUGAUAAUUCUCCUUUAUUUGCCUAAGCAACAGUAUUUUGGUUGAAACUUUUAUCAACUCAUUUCCAUACUCGUGACACUAAAAAGUCAAAUAAAAUGACAUUUGGAAAAUUGAUAUCGUUUCUUUUGUUGGACCCGAAAGAAUUGUAGUGAAUGAGAUUAAUGAUGCGAUAUGAAGUAAUAGAGAUCGUAACGAGAAACAAGAUUUAAAAGUAAACAAAGAGAGUUAAUCACAGAAGCAUGACGUUUUAUUAAUAGUCAAUAUGGAGAGAAAUAUAAGAACUCAACAAUUAUUACUUGAACAAAACUGAAAGAGGAUACCACUGUUUAUAGGUACAUGGCAUAACAUAAAGAUGGAAAUAAUGUGGAACAAGAAAUAAUAUGUUUCCAUAAAAUAACAUAUAAGGAAACAAUUUUUCUUACAUGGAAAUAAGGAAACAAUUUAUUUCCAAAUAAAUCCACACUAAUUUGGGUUACAAACCACCUUGAUCCAAAUUCCGAUGCAACAAACUAAACUCCAAAAUUUCAAAUCUGUCUGCAUCAAAAUAGCAAAUCUUAUCAACACAAUAAAGAAAACUCUCUAAACCAAACUAUCGUUCUAUGAGAAGUGUCCACAAGCGAUACCUGAACCCAAAUUUCGGGUUCCCAAAAUCCUACCGAAGAAUUACUGUUGACCAAACAGGGUCAAAGCACACCCUGUAAAAGAAACCAUACCAUAUGCUGGAUCAGAAGGCCCUUUGUUAGAUCUUCCCAAAAGCAUCACAGACAUUAUUGACACCACGAUACCUACACUCCAUGAGUCCAACCCUAGCAAAUGAACACAGCUUAUCCACUGAAAAUGGUGGGAAAGUGGAAUCACCAACGCUCUCCCUAACGGUGUUCUUAACCAACUCAAAGCUUGCCACAAGAGGUACUGUACCAAACUGUAUAUCUAUCACGAUAUUGAACUUGUCCAAAUGUCUCUUAACUAGUUCUGCGUUCCUCUGGAAGAUGUACAACUUAGACCUUUUCCGUCCCUCAAGUACAACCCGGACCCCCAUUCGAACCUUCAAAACUUCACAUCCACCAGAGAAUUUAUACCCUUUUGCAUCCAAGGAAGUCAGCGAGAUAAGAUUACUUUUCAGGUCUGGAACAUGUUGAACCUGAUUAAUUGUUCUGAUCGUCCCAUCCUGCAACCUUAGUCUGACUCGAUCGAUUCCAACAAUACGGCAAGAUUCGUUGUUUCCCAUCACAACUCCACCUUGCUUAACAGCCUCAUAUGUCUGAAAAUAUUUUGAUUGGAACGCAUAUGAUACGAAUGUGCCAAAGCGAGAUUCCACUCCUCAUUGGGUCUAGACUCCACAUCAGAUACCACGGUCAACAACACAUGACCACCAUCCGAAAAAUUCUCGGCAACACUAGUUACGUAAGAAUUACAGAGUUAACCCCGUAAUUUGCAGCUAAAUCACCUUUAGCCUGCAACUUGUCACAAUCCUUCUUUACGCGUCCUUUUCUCUUGCAGUAGAAGCAGUACAAAUUACUGAAGUUCGCCCUCGAUCUAUCCCAUGUCGAUCACCAUGAGAUACUAGAGCUUCAUCAUCCCUCAAUAUAGCUCCAACCAAAUACUUCAACUUCUCCUUUGAGUGCAAAGCAUCAUAGACGUCAUCUAUAGUCAAAGUAUCUCGACUAUACAAAAUAGUGUCUCGAAACGACGUAUAAGAAUCAGGCAGCGAAUAUAAUAGGAUCAAGGCAAGAUCCUCUUCAUCGUACUUAACAUUAAACGUUUUCAAACCUACGCCAAUUUCCUUGAACACGGCAAGAUGGUCUUCCAACGACCCUUCUUCCACCAUGCGAUGAGAAUACAGCUUCUGCUUUAGAGCCAGUUUACUGGUAAGACUCUUGGUCAUACAUAACUACUCAAGCACAAAGUAGCUGCUGUUUUCUCCUUCAAGAUAUCUUACAGAAUAUUGUUGGAUAGAUGAAUCAACGACAAGGCCUUCCAAUCCCUUCGUUGUUUCUCUUUCAUUGUCCAAUUAGUUGGCAUCUACUCAAAACCCAACAACACAUUGUCCAAAUCUAACUGUGCUACAAUAGUUCUCAUCUUGACUUGCCAUAAAGAAAGUCUUGUAUAGCGAUCCAAUUACAGAAUAUCAUACUUUAAAGUAGCCAUCUCUGAAAAACCUCAACCAAUCCACAAGAAGAACCAAACUUUGAAACCACUUGUUGGACCCGAAAAGAUUGUAGUGGAUGAGAUUAAUGAUGCGAUAUAAAGUAAUGAAGAUCGCAACAAGACCCAAAAUUUAAAAGUAAAGAAAUUAAUAGAGAGAGUUAAUCACAGAAGACAAUGUUUUAUUAAUUGAUAACAUGGAGAGAAAUACGAGAACUCAGCAAUUAUGCUUGAACAAAACUGAAAGAGAAUCUCACUAUUUAUCGAUACAUGGCAUAGAAUAAAGAUGGAAAUAAUGUAGAAUAAGAAAUAAUAUGUUUCCAUAAAAAAUCACGUGAAAUAUAAGAAAACAAUUUUUCCCACAUGAAGAUAAGGAAACAAUUUAUUUCCAAAAAAAUCCACCCUAAUUUAGGCACAAACCUAACAUGUUUCUGUGGUGCAAUACCUUUUUUUAAAUGUUUUUAGUUUUAUUCAUGUUAGAUAAUUUGUUGUCAAACGACCUCUCGAGCAAUGAUGUAACCUCGGUUUUAUGUAUUAUCAGUCGGCCUUGGUCAUAUGAUUGAACUAUAUGUUGACACUAUCAUCGAGACAACCCAACCCAAUUUUCUAUGGACCAUUAGAAGCAACCUAUUUUAAUAGUGUUGCUCGUGGUCCGUCCCAUUUACUUGGAUGGCUACGAUAUCCAUUUGAAGCCCAUCAUCUUUGUGCUAACCCUUUUUUGGACCACUAAGUUAACCUACCCUAACUUACCUUUUUUGGUCACUCUCUUAGGCUAUAAUUCUCAGCUCCCCUACGCCUCCAAUAUGCCGUCUUCUCCACCUCCCUUUGUGACCUCUUCUCUGCUGAUUCUCGACCUCUUUUUCUCAAGCAACCUAUGUGGUUUCUCUUGGGUAAUAUUGUUCUCAUCUUGGUCGACUUUUUGUGGGUAUGAAUAACAACCGUAGGUGGGAAGAAAAAAAGAGAAAGUUAGGUGUGUCUCAAUAGUGGUGGUGUCGACUUUGGUGAAAACUGAGCUCGGUAUCACCUUGGACAUUGCUGGAUUUUUAGCCUCUUCUGGUAUCAGAGCCAAGGGCUUGGUUUUCUAGGAGAACCAAUCCAAAAUUAAGAGAGAGAGAGAGACGCCAUUCUUCAAACUGACCGAAUUGAAAUUCGUUAAUUACUCUCAAACCAUACCUCCGUUGGAUAAACGGACCUCGGACCCAUCAUCAGCAGGUUGAGGCGUCCCCUAUGAGGUGGCGCGUGGCUGUCCGAUGUCGAAAAGUGGAGGAGCUCCUAUGUUGUUUUUUUUCGUGCCAUUCCACUUAUUUUGAUUCCCUGAAUGUACUAAUGUGUUUGGUUUAGUGUUUCAAGUUGUGUAGAAAAUUUUGGAUAAUUUUGCCCCUGAUUACAAUCUGCAUUCGUUGCUGAACGAGCUGUUAUAUUUGCUGAAUCUUUAGGGAGAAUAGUGGUGGCCCUAAAGUAGCAAAUUCGCAUCACUCCACGUUGCGGACUCAAAUAGGUCCGCUCUGCUAAAUUGGCUGAAAUCUUUACAUUUUUGCACUAGCAGAUCAUUGUGUGGGGUGAUCAUUAGAUUGGGGGUUGCCAUUGCUUGUACUAGAAAUUACGGUUACGUGCUCUUGAUCAGGCCUAGUCCUGCUUAGAGGCAGAUGAAGCCUGCACCUCAGGCCCAAAAUCUAAGAGGGCCUCAUAUUACUGGCCCAAUUUUUUUUCUUUGAACAAUAGUAGUCGAGGCCCAGCAAGAUUGCAAGAGCAGCCCAAACCUCUCAAGCUCAAGCGUGUAUCCUGAUCCAUUAUCCAUUUUUCCCAAAAUUCCCAAAUUGAAAUCCAUUUUCCCCAAAUGCUCUGUCAUUUCCAUCUGACUGUCUCUCUCGCUCGACUUCUCUUGCUUUCACUUCCAGUUCCAAACUCUAGACUUCCAGUUCCAGUCUUCUAGAAUCCCAUAUUUUCUCGCUUGGUUAGUUGGCUACUUGGCUUCGCAGUUCGGUAAAAAGCCUCGAGUCUCUCUCUCGUCCACGCACACUCACAUAGAGAACGAAAGCUAGGCAUAUUUUGGUAAUCAUAGAAAUUAGGGUUGGUUGAACCAUUUGGAGAGAGAAGUGUAUUAAGGCUCAAAUUGUAGUGGAAAAUGGAAGGUUCUGUGAUUCUUGAUUUGGAGAAUGCUGUAACAAUCGGAGGUAGUUCUUGAUUCCAGACUUCCAGUUUGUAAUUAUUUUUUUCUAGCCAAUUUAAAUUUUUGCUAAUAGCAAAAUUAUGAGCUUUUUGAAUAUGCAUGUGAACGCCAGCUAAUAAGUAAUACCUAACAUAAACAGAGAUCAAGAAAAUUCAGAGGAUUCACAUUAGAUCUGGAACCACCAAGCUUUUUCGGUUCAUUUCAUUUUUAGGUACCCAAAGUUAAGAAAAUUAUUUUUACUUUGUGCUUGCAUUAGGGAAUAAAGAAAGAAAAGAAAAAAAGAAGUCUAGAGGUCGGUUUUGGAAUUGAAACCUGCUUUCAUAGGCUAAGAAAUCGAGUUUUUUGAGGGAUUUUUGGCACUUGGAUGGGUAUUUGCCUCAGCAACCAAAUCAAGGCGGAUAGUCCAUUUAAUACUGGAACAGGUAUAUUCUCAAAACACAAUUACUUUCUUUAUGUAGAGUGAAAGAGAGAACGGUGAAAUUAUAUUUACUAGAGAGAUUUAAACGAUAAAUUCAAAAUUUGUGAUCUUUUUGAGUUGUUUUUCUAAAACUAAGAAUUCAUGUCCUCUGCAUUUUCUGGUUUGCCGUAUCAUUUGCCUUCAAAGGUAAUAAGAUACCUGAAACUUCUAAUGCUGCGUAGUCUACUAUUUCUUCAUUGAUUUUAAUUGGUGGCAACUAAUUUCUUCUACACAUUGCAUAUUACAAAUAACACGUGAAAAGAAAAUUCUACCACCAGAGGAGGUUUGUGUACUUGAAGGGAAAAUUGUUAUGCUUCGAACUCUGAAAUAUUUAAGGUUCAUUUUGAAGAUAUAAUAUGAAUAACAAUAUUUCUCCCUUUUUUAACAACUCAAAUUUUUGGACGAGUCUAUAGUUUUAAAGCAUACAAUUGUUCUAUGUUUAAUUCAAAACUGUUUCCUACUUAUGAAAAUUCUACUUUUCAACCCUUUGAUGAAAAAGAAAAUCUGGUGCUGGUGUGGUAUGCAAGUGAGGACUGUGAACCCUCUUUUUAAUGUACUUGUAUGCUUUUUGUGCAAUUCACGUGAUGCUUGAAAUUGAAAGCCUUGAAUAUAUUGUAACUGUAGUCUGUAUAGUCUGUAUUAGUAUGGUUUUAGGUUUAUAGCGUGUCAUUUUGGCUUUCGCAAUUUUUUCACCUUGAAGUGCCUAUUAGGGUUCGAGGCUUUGCGUUUUGCUCUUUGCGAAAUUUCAACAAGAAAUUGGAUAAAUAACUGUCUAAUCUGUUUAAAAUAAAAAUAUUCAAUUUGACCAAAGAACCCUAAUUAUCUGUGUUAACUUUUAGAUUUCAAUAGUGAAUUUGUGAUCUAUUGGUGAUGAUUAGGGCUUUCUCGAUGUGAAUAAAAGAAUUUGGGUCAUUUUCAAAAAUCUAGGCCCUCGUUUCACUGGGAGAAACCACAAUCUAUUUCAAGAACUACUAACGAGUAUAUUGACCAGAUCCAAAAGGUAAUCCAUUCGUAAGUCUUGUAAUCUGCAUGAUCACUGUAUUUGUUGGUGUGUAUGAUUUUUCUAAAUUGCAACUUUGCUUUAGUAACAAUGCUGGCAAUAAAAACAUGAACUGACGAUUAAAAAUCAGAGGUGGGCUAAAGUGAAUGUUAGAAUUUUGAUUCUUAAUGCUAUCUCCUAUCAUGUGUAAGUGUAAAAUAGUUUAUAGUUGAUUUGAAUAACUUAGUUUGAUAGAAUGAUAGGUAAAAUGUACAAUUGUUAUUUCCCUAAGCUUGAUGAUCAUGUUCAUAUUUGUAUUAGCGUUUGAUUUGAUGUUCAUGUUCAUAUUUGUAAUUUUGUAUUAGCAUUUGAUGUGAAAUUUUUGUUUCAGGGUCGUGAGUUGUGAGUCUUUUGACAGUGGAAUUCUCGAAGGUGUAACUCUACAGUUUUCGUAGAAAUUCUACUUCUUAAGUAAGUAACGGCUUGCCUUAACUUGUUAUUGAAGAGAUUGGAAAUGUUUAAAACCUUGUCAACUUAUAUAAUUGCAGCCUGGUCGGCUUAUAUGAUUGCUUAUUGUACGAUGAACAAUUGCACAGGCGCACGUAGUAACUAUAUUUGAAACUAUAAUUGUGAGAUGAUUGAGAUAUUGUGUAAUUAUUUUUCAACUUAAUCAUUGGACAUCUGAUAUACACUUCUACACUAUGCCUCCUAAAUAUGAGUCUGGUGCUCAAAAGCGAAAAACGAAAUGAAAUAAAAUUGCAUUAAUUCAAAGUCAAGCAGGGGAUACUAACAAGUACUUCAAAAACAACAAUGUGAAUGCGUUGGAUGAGAGUGAAGAUGAACUAGAGAUUCAACAUGCCCAUGUUAAUGAAGUAGACGAUAAGGAUGAAGCAGUGAGUUAACCUGUUGAUGUUAACGAAGUAGAUGAUAAGGAAGAAGAAGUGAUGAAGACCGGUUCUAAUAAUGAAGAAGAUGAUAAGGAAGAAUAGGGUUGCUUUUCUCUAAAUUUGGAUGAUUCCGGGAAUUGGAAAAUCAUUGAUCAAAGAACAAGGGAUUACUUAGUUGAAAGAGGUCCAAAAAGAGUGGAUGACAUCUCGUUUCCGAAAGACUAUACAAAUAGACAUUUCGAUUCUUCACAAUAUAAGCGGUUGCUACCAAAUGGGCAAACAGUUGACAGAAGAUGGCUAGUAUAUUCAGUGUCUAUGGACAGGAUUUUCUACUUUUGUUGCAAGUUGUUUAAAACACCAAUAAAUGUGACCAAAGUUGGCCACCUAGGUAAUGAUGGAUUCAAAGAUUGGCAUAAUUUGCAUCGCUCUAUUAAAAGUCAUGAAGAAAAUGAGGAGCAUUUACGUUGCAUGACUAGCUGGAUUGAAUUGGAAAAUAGGCUUCGAACAAAAACUACAAUUGAUAAAAGCUUUGAAUUGUUGAUUGAUGUUGAAAGGGAACAUUGGAGACAUGUAUUAACAAGGAUAAUCGCUACUGUGAAAAGACUUGCGAAAAACACCUUGCCAUUUCGUAGAGAUGGUGAAAGGCUACAUGUUGAGAACAAUGGCCUAUUUUUACAAAUGGUGGAAAUGGUUAGUGAAUUUGAUCUAAUAAUGCAAGAGCACCUUUGACGGACUAAAGCAAGAGAGAUUCAAUAUACGUAUCUUAGCAAAAAAAUUCAAAAUGUGUUGAUACAAUUGUUGGCUAAUGAGGUGAGAAGUUCUAUUGUCAAGAAAUUUAAACAUGCAAAAUAUUUUGUAGUUAUACUUAAUUGUACUCCAGAUGCAAGUCACGAAGAGCAAAUGUCUUUAAUUGUACGAUUUGUAGAUGAUUCAGCAAACUUACCUAUAGUUGAAGAAUAUUGGCUAUAAUUUUUCUAGGUAGAUGACAUAACGGGACUUGGAAUUGCAACUCAGCUUCAAAAGGCUUUGAUAAAACUUGAUCUCGAUAUUGAUGACAUUAGAGGGCAAGGGUAUGACAACGGAUCUAACAUGAGCGGGAAGCACAAAGGUUUGCAAAGAAGAUUUCAUGAAAUGAAUUCCCGAGCUUUCUAUACUCCAUGUGGCGUUCAUUGUCUAAAUCUAGCAUUAUGUGAUAUGGUGAACUGUUGUUCCAAAGGUGUAUCCUUCUUCGGAGUGAUACAACACAUCUACACAUUGUUUUCCUCUUCUAUCAAGCGAUGAAAAAUUUUCAAAGAUAAUGUACAAGGGUUGACAGUGAAGCUAUUGUCACAAACACGCUGGGAAAGUCAUGUUGAGAGUGUGAAGCUUAUAAUGGAGCAAACUGCACAAAUAAGAGAUGCAUUACUUGAUUUGGCAGAAAGUAAUGAAAAUCCUAAAGUAAAGUGUGAAGUUGAGUCAUUAGCAGCACAUGAACUUCAAAAUUUUGAUUUUUUGCUUGGCAUGAUAAUCUGGUACAAGUUGUUGCAUGCUGUCAAUAUUGUGAGUAAAUUUCUUCAAACCGAAUCCAUGGAUAUUGAUCAUGCUAUCUACCUCUUGCAAGGACUUGUUUCAUUUCUUGAAGAAUAUAGAGAAAUUGGAUUUGCUAUUACCAAGGAUGAAGCUACAAAAAAGGCAAGCGAAAUGGGAAUUGAAGCUUUAUUACAGAAAAAUGCAUAAUUCGAAGCAAAAAGCAAUUUGAUGAUAGCGGUAGUGAUGAGGUAAAGCAAUCAGCAGAAGAAUCAUUUAGAGUUGAGUGUUUUGUUUUUAUAAUUGAUCAAACUCUAUCUUCUCCGAUGACCCGAUUUGAAAAUUUUAAACAACAUGAUGACACAUUUGGAUUUUUGUUUACUUUGAAGAGGUUAAGGAUUGUAGCUUUUUCAAGUUUGUUGAACUCUUGUAUGAUUCUUGAGAAAUAUCUUCAACAUGAUGGGUGUUCGGACAUUAGUGGGGAUGAUUUAUGUUCGGAGUUACAAGUUUUGAGGUGUUAUAUACCAAGUGAAGCAACAAGUGCAAUUGAAGUGUUAUAAUAUUUGAAGACAAUGAAUGUUUGUUUUACAAAUGCUUAUAUUGCUUACAAAAUUUUGUUAACCAUACCGGUAACAGUUGCAUCCGCGGAAAGAAGUUUUUCGAAAUUGAAGUUGAUCAAGACCUAUCUCCGAUCAACUAUGUCGCAAGAAAGAUUAAACGGGUUGGCUAUGUUAUCGAUAGAGAAAGAAAUGGUUGAGCAGCUAAAUUAUUCAUAUUUGAUUGAUAUUGUUUUCCUCUAAAACAGCAAGACGAAUAGUAUUUAACUAAUUGUUUCAAACGUUAUUGGUUUUGAUAAUUGAUAAUAUAAAUCUUUUCUAUAAUAUAUUUGGUUGUUGUUUUAAUGUUAAUUUUUCAAGUUAGUUAUGGGUCGCAUAAUACAUCGUUGAAGUUUGCGUUUACGUUGAUUUUAUCGGGGGGCCUAAUUUCCAGACUUCACCUUAGGCCUCGAGAAUCACAGGACCGGCUCUGACUAUCCAGCAUGACAUUAUUCAGGUAAAUUAGGAACUCGAAUUUAUCAUCAUCCAUGAGGCUUUAUCUAAUAUUCGAAUACUAUUUCUUCAGGUACAAACCAAGAUGUCUAAUUUGUAGAAAAGAGAAAUAAAUCUUUAUUAUCUUACAUGGAACAUAAUGGAUGGUAGCAAUUUCUACAACCCCGAAUGCAACUGCAAAAUAAAAGGUGAUAUUUCCAUGUGCCAAGUCACUAGAUUCUUGAUCGAUUUAGUUUGCUUGGUGAUAGCAGCUAUGCAAAGAGGCCUAUUUCUUCUUUCUAAUUUUUCUACAAUCUACACUUCUGUCCACAUUCAAAACAAUUUUAACAGCCUUCCAAUCACCUCCUAGAGCAGCUGGAUAUAAAAAUCGGGAACCUUCAGAGUACUUAUACUAUGUAGCAUAUAUAAAAUUAGAGGACAUUCCCAUGUGCAUAACAUAUAUAAUGCAUAUGUAGCACGUAUAAAAUUAGAGGACACUUCCAUGUGCGUGUAACGUAUACAAUGCAUCAACUCUUAAAGUCUAUGAGUAGAAAGGAUAACAAUUUUAUUACUCAAUUCCAAAUUCAGAACUCUCGAAAAUACUAAUGAGUCUAGAAAAACUCCAAAAUCUCAUCCAAAAUAAUUUUAAAACCAGUAUUUUUUUUUUUGCGCACUUUAAGGGAUAGUAAUAGAUUUCAUGUCUCUUCUACGCAAACAUGAUACUAUACACAUUUGCACUUCAUUAAUUUGCUCAACUUUGGUAUUGGUAUAUUAAACUCAGAAAUUGACCGCCAAAAGCUCUUAGAUGUUGGACAAGGAUUAACAGUGUUCAUAUUGGUAUUGGAUAUUGGAUUUUCAACUCUAAUUUCAAUCUAGCUAGGUAUUUGCUAUAAAUUUGAAUGAGAUAAAAACAAUUAAAAGAAUACCAAAAUAUUAAUAGAGAAAUGCAUUCUUAUGCAUGAUUAGGGAGAAUAUUUACUUAAUUAAAUUAGGUGGUCUAAGUAGCAAGGAGUUUGAACCGUCAUUAUAUUCAAAUGUGCGAGAAAUUUUUUAGUACUCAUGGAGUAUGAAAAUCAGUACUUUCUGUCACUACUUAAUUGACAUGUAUAUUAUUAUAUGUUAAUAUUUGUGAUUCCGUCUUAAAAGAUUAACUUUAUUAAGAGGAGUAAUUCAAUUUUUUAUAAGUUGGCCUAUAUUUUCAUUUUUAAUUGAUGUGGAAUUAAGCAUAUCAAUCUUGAAAUUCAUAUGCUCAUUUUUCAGUCUUAAUUUGAUCGAAUCGCUCAUUAAAUUUUAAUGGGUUCUGAUACCAUGUUAAAAUUUAUGGUUCCAUCUUAAAAGGUAACCUUAUUAAGAUGAGUAGUUAAAUCAUUUAUAAAUUAGUCUAUGUUUUUCUUUAUUAAUCAAUGUGGGAUUUUUAUCCCUUAACAAUCUGUUUCCAAUCGAAAGUCUCAAUUAUUUAAUGCACAAGUUAAUUAAAUAGUAACCGAGAGUGCUAGAAAUUUCUCUGGCAAGUUCUCCCAAAUGUAUAAGCACUCUCUGAACGUUCUCUAAAAAUGUAAAAUGACACAAAAUUGGCAGCAAUUCAUUCAAUUUUCUGAAGUUUCUGCCUCUCUCUUGCUCCCAAAAUUACAGACAUUUUCUAGGAUUUGAAUCUUGUAAUAUAUAGUAUAAAUUUAUCUUCUUUAUUAGUAUAUUUUCCGAGUUUUGAAUCUUGUUCAUCGCAAUUAGAACAUGGGUAUUGUCUAAUAACCAAAGUGCACUGAUGCAAGGUGAGUUUUUUAUGGGGAAUCCUCGUGAUGAAUAUCAGACCGACAACCAGGAAACAAUUCAUAACGGAACAAGUACUAGUUGUAGAAAUCCCAAAAUCAAUUAUAGGAUUAUUGUAUGGUAUAAUUAGAACUAAGUAAGGAAAUGGUUUUUUCUUUCUUUCUUAAGUCAGAAUAUUAUUUUCCUUUUCUUCACAAUUGUAUUGUAGUAUAUAUUGAGGCAUAAUGGUGUAAGAAUAGUGUAUGGAAGAGAAAAAAGAUUAUUUCUCAUUGUGUCUUUAUUAACUUUAUUGUAGCAGAGUACGGUGAAACCCAAAAUAGAUUCGUAAUGGCGAAAACACCGCCAAUAGUAAAAACUCGACCAUCUUUGAAAUAGAAUCCGGUGAAACCGAAGUCAUCCAUAUUGUGAAUUCAAUUGGAAGUGAUAAUUUCCCCUUCCAACUCACAAUGAGAAACUUUAGAGAAUGGGCUCAAUCAAUCAAGUUGGUGAUCGAUAGGAAAGGAAAAAUUGGGUAUCUUACUGGCGAUAUGAAGAAACCCAUGGAUGCAAAACUUCCAACAAAAAUGAAAAUCGGAAAACUCCAUGGUAAUGUCUUAGCUUGUCAGUUCGAUGAAGAAUUGCCAAGAUCUAUCUCUUCAUGGUGACUACGAAGGAUAUAUUGGAUGCCGCUAAGAGAUGUACUCCAACGCGGAAGAAUUUUCCCAAAUCUUUAAAAUUAAAACUAAACUAUGGCAGGCCAAGCAAGAAGAAAGGGACAUCACUGAGUAUUACACGGAGAUGACUACCUUCUGGAACGAAUCGGACCUCAGCAUUGACGAAUAAUGGGUUUGUCCAAAUGAUAGUGUUCGAUACAAGAGAAGAGUGGAGAAUGAACAAGUGUAUGAAUUAUUGGCUGGGUUGAAUAGGGAACUAGAUGAUGUGACAGGUCAAAAACUUGGCCAUCGGCCAGCCCCCACCACAUGUGACUCUUUGUAGAAGUAAGGCGAGAGGAAGUCGUUGGGUGAUUAUGCUGAAGAAAAAACUGGGUCUGAAAAACCAUCUGAUUGAAAACCAAGAUAGAACACCAGAAAUCACGACUUCCAAACCACAAUCAAUUCCACUGAAACACAAAACUAUACUUCGAGUUUAAUUCCGAAUAACUAGAACAACUCUAAAAAAUGUUUUCCGACCUGCAGUCAUUUGGCUCAUCAACCACCUUAGCCCACAGAAGUAAUUCCCUAAGAGCUUUAAACACCAUUGCACUCUCUAAAGUACCAUGUAUUAUUGACUUUGGUGUGUGUGAUUAUAUAACAGACUCUCACCAUUUAUUCCCUUCAUAUUCACCUUGUGCUGGUAAUCCCAAAGUCAAAAUUUGCAGAUGGUUCUCUCUCUCCGGUAGCUAAAAAAUGGAGUAUUUGAAUAUCUAAUUCAAUCAUACUCGAACGUGUUCUACAUGUCCCAAAUCUAUCCUGUAAUCUACUAUCCAUUAGCCAAUUAAUAAAUAGUUCAAAUUGCUACACUAACUAUUUUUUCUUCUCACUAUGUUUUUUUAGCACCUAUCAUCGAGGAAGAUGAUUAGCAGUACUAAAGAGUGUAAGGGACUCUACUACUUUGACGAGAUUGAUAUGAGUAAAGAAAGUCGAUUUGUUAGUUGUGAUUCUACAUUUGUCCCUAAGAAUAGUGAAAUUCAUUUAUGGCAUUAUAGAAUGGGUCAUCCAAAUUUUUAGUAUCUAAGAAAUGUAUUUCCUUCAAUAUUAGAAUAAAAUACCUUCUGAUUUUAAUUGUGAAAUUUGUGAACUCGCAAAAUAUUAUCGCUCUUCAUUUCCAAAAUCUACAUACAAAACAUCUAAACCAUUUACUUUGAUCCACAGUGAUUUAUGGAAACCAUUACGAACCCUAAUUGUACCUACACAAAAUGGCUUCUUAUAUUCAUCUGCGACCAUACUCGAAUCUAUUGGUCUAUAUACUAAAAGAAAAAAAAUUGAUGUCUGUUUUGUGUUCAUAAAUUUUCAUUCUAUGGUUCAAACCCAAUUCUAGACAAAAACUCAAAUUCUACGCAUGGAUAAUGACAAAGAAUAUUCAAUAAUAUGCUAAAAAUCUAUCCCCAAGAAAAUGGAAUAAUCUACCAAAGCUCAUGUGUCGAUAUAGCCCAACAAAAUGGAGUUGUCGAACGAAAAAGUAGACAUCUACUUGAGGUAGCCAGUGCCCUAAUAUUCACUACAAUUAUAUACAAGAUUUUUUGGGGCCACGUCAUUUUAAUAUCAACCUAUCUCAUCAACAAAAUGCAUAGUCGCACUCUCAAUUUCGAAACUUCCUUCUGAAAACUCAAGAAAUUCUUCCCCAACUUCGAUCUCACUUCCAAUCUCCCUCUAAGAAUAGCCUUUGUCCAUAUACAUUCUUAUUACCGAAGUAAGCUCGAGCCCUGUGUACUUAAGUAUGUAUUCAUUAAAUACUCACCUACACAAAAAUGGUAUAAAUGUUAUGAUCGAAUAACAAAAAAGGUAUUUGUCAGUCUUGAUGUCACUUUCUUCGAGAACAGUCCUGCUUUCAAAAAUCCUCCCUUCAGAGAGAGAACUUAAGUUAAGAUUGGUUCUUGGAAUCUCUCUUCAUCCAUCUGAAUCUAUUUUGAACACUGAACCUACAACACCACUAUGCCCUACUAUGCCAUUUAUAGAAGGUAAUUUGAACUCAUGGAGAGAACAGAAAGAAAAACAUGACAAAGAGAUCAUAGUUUACUUAAAAAGGCCAAAAUCAAAGGAUAAGGACAAACUCACACUCAAAGCACCAAGAGAAUCGAAACCAAUGAUAGCUCUAGAUGAGCUUUCUCCAAAAUCACAUGACAUUGAUUUACCUAUUGCUCUUAGGAAAAAACUAGAUCAUGCACUCUUCAUCCUAUCUCAGAUGUUGUUUCUUAUAAAGCUCUAUCUCCAAGAUUUUCAGUUUUUGUAUUUAAACUUAAAGAUACAGAAAUUUCGAGAAAUAUUCAAGAAGCCUUAAAAAUUUCCUGGUGGAGAAAGGCAGUUAUGGAUGAAAUGAAAGCUUUAGAGACAAAUGAAACUUGGGAUGUGAUGAAACUACCAAAAGAAAAAAGACCUUUUAGGUGGAAAUGGGUGUUUAAUGUGAAAUAUAAAGUAGGCAAAAUAGUAAAACAGUGUAAAGCUCGCCUGGUUGCAAAGGGAUGCACUCAAACUUAUGAUAUAUAUUACACAGAAACAUUCGCACCGCUUGCAUAAUUGAAUACAAUUCAUGUUCUCCUACCACUAGCAGCAUACAUGAAUUGGCCACUCUAACAACUUGACAUUAAGAAUGCAUUCCUGAAUGGGGAGUUGGAAGAAGAAGUCUACAUGAUGCUACCACUUGGAUUCUCCAAUAUAAACGAAAAAAAAUAAAGUAUGCAAACUGAAAAAAAUCUCUAUAGGCCUCAAACAUUCACCUAGAGCAUGGUUUGAUAAAUUUGCAGACGUGUUGAAAAAUCAGAGAUAAAAACAAGGGUAGUUAAGUCAUAUUAUGAUGUUCAAGGUAUUUGACGGUGAGACAAAGAUCAUUUUGAUCAUAUAUGUUGACGAUAUAAUCCUCACUCGAGAUAAUACAGUUGAGAUAGAGAGACUAAAAAGGGGUCUAGCUACAUAAUCUGAAGUAAAAAAUCAAGCACAAAUGUGAAUUUUCUAGGAAUGGAAGUAGCAAGAUCAAAGAAGGGUAUUAGUAUCUCACAAACGAAAAUAUGUUUAGGAUCUCUUCACUAAAACUAGUAUGCUUGGGUGCAAACCAAGUGAUACCCCUAUGGACAUUGGAAGAAAAUUCAGAACGUCGGAGAAUCAAUUGAAAAUGACAUAUAUUAGCGACUGGUUGAAAAACUAAUCUAUCUAGCACAUACUAGACCUAACAUUGCAUUCGCGGUAAGUGUGGUAAGCCAACAUAUGCAUUCUCCAAAGAAAACUCAUCUAGAAGCAGUAUAUAGGAUUUUGAGAUAUCUCAAAGGCUCUUUUGGGAAAGGAUUAUUGUUCAGAAAAAUGAAAAAAGAGAGAGAAAUAUUCACUAAUGUAGAUUGGGCAAUAGCAAUAAAAGAUCAACCACUGGUUAUUGUACUUUUGUGUGGAAAAAUUUUGGUUACUUAGAGUAGUAAGAAACAGGUUGUGAUAGCCAAAGCAAUGCUGAAGCAAAAUUUAGAAUAUCUUUCAAGGAAUAUGUGAAGGACUAUGGCUAAAGAAACUCUUUGAAGAAUUACAAAUUACAAUGAAAUUCGCAAUUAAUCUAUUGCGAUAACAAAGCAACUAUCAGUAUCUCACUCAAUCCCGUUCAACAUGAUAGAACCAAACGUAUAGAAGUGGACAGACAGUUUAUCAAGAAGAAACAAAAAUGGAACUAUCUGUAUGAUCUAGGGUCUUACCAAAGAACAAAUUGCACAUAUAUUCACCAAAUGGCUACAAGGACAAAAUUUUGAUGAUUUUAUCUACAAGUUGAAUAUGAUCAAUAUCUAAAAUCCAACUUGAGGGGGAGUGUAGAAAUCCCGAAAUCAAUUAUGGGAUUAUUGUAUGGUAUAUUUAGAACUAAGUUAGGAAAUAUUUUUUAUUAUUUCCUUUUCUUCACAAUUGUAUUGUAGUAUAUAUUGCGGCAUAAUACUGUAAGAAUAAUAUAUGGAAGAGAAAAUACCGAUAAAAAAAAUGUACGGAAGAGAGAAUUUUCUCACUGUGUCUUUAUUAACUUUACUACAAUUGGGAGUAGAGCAUUAGACGACGUUGGACCUACAAUAACAUUGGCAGGCAAAUGUCCCAUUUCUAUGUGCGUGUAAAAUUGACAGCUACUACUAUUGACAUUGGAAUGAAUGCAGAAACCAACGCUCGACAAAUUGUUGAAGAAUCAAUCCCAAAAUAUUCUAGCAGUGGCAAGGGGCGUCGAAUAUGAUAAGACUAACCACACACCGGCUAAUGGCUUUGGGUAAUGUGUACAGCUAGCUCCAUCCUGCCCUUGGUAUUGCAAAGCAAUCCUAUAGUAUUUCGUGCUAAUUGAAAUUCAACAAACGAGCACUGACAUCGUUUUGCUCUUUUCAUUAACAGUGGAUCUAUCCAUGUUAGUAAUGAUGAAUUCGUUCGUGAUUUCUUGUCUUUUCAUUUUAAUGCAUGUGAGUUCUAAUUUUCUGGUGGACUACUCUACUUGAUUUAAUUUGGACUGCAAUGAUAGUUGUGAUAUUUAUUUAUAAAUAUAUAUAGAAGAAUACAAAGACUAAUUAAUAAGAAGAGAAAGCUUUUCCACUUUUUUCACACUCGAUAAACAAAGCAUUUUAUUUGAAAAUACAACAACAAUUAAGUAACAACUAGAAAACUAAAGGCUAAACGAAGCCUUUUAUUAGAAAAUACAACAACAACAAAGUAGAAUAAAGCUUCUCCACUUUUCUUAGUAACAACAACUAGUAUUGUAGCUCCUUUUAUUAGAAAAGCCUGUGCUCACCUGGUCGGAACAUAAACCUUGACGGUCGGAUUGUUGAGCGGAAUACAGAAUACCAUAACCUAAAAUUUAGCAUUACAUAUAAAGUGACCGGAAGCAAAGCAAGACCAACAACCAUUUUUGGCGAUAUCCCUGGCUUUUCUUCCUUGUGGACCAAAAAGUAGGUAGCACUAAAUUAAGUCCAUGCAAAUGAUUGAAGCAAAGAGUGUAAAUAGUCCAACCAUGAACUUUACCGUUAAUAUAUAUAGAAAAUCAUCUUCUCCAUAGCCUGAAGUUAAGAUAGACAAGAACGUCAUUAUGGAAGCUGUCGAGCUAAACAUUGCCAAUGCAUUAGAUGUAGCAAAAACUGUGAACCUCCUGUUGUGAGCUACCUUAUUCCCAUUUGGUACGAUAAAGGAUGCAUUUAAUGCAACUGUGGCAGUUAAGUUUGCGACAACCAUGUAAAAAGUUGAUGUGUCCUUCAUCCACCUUUCACUAGCUUCCCGUAACUCCUCAUGCUCCUACAUGAACAACUCCCUAGGUGUUUUGCCCUCUUGGUCUUUCUUGUCAUUUUUCCCUCCUGAAUGACCCAAUGUCGAAAUGCCACCUCGAUGGGUGGCCCACACACCUCGAGGGUGUAUGGUGGGCCACCCGACGAGGUGGCACACAGUGAUAGGACUGUCACACCAUCAAGUGGUGCGACUGCCUCAUGGAAGAGUUUUCCCUCCCGAACAUUGGAAGACUGAGGGGGAGACCGUAGAAUAUUCUCCACCUCCUGCAAAGCUUACUCAAAUUAAUGUAUAUUGCAUAAUCAUUAAAUUUUUAACUCUAACGAGAGGAAUUAAUUUUGUAUCUUGUAGNNNNNNNNNNNNNNNNNNNNNNNNNNNNNNNNNNNNNNNNNNNNNNNNNNNNNNNNNNUAUAUAUAUACACACACACACACACACACACACACACAUACACAUACACACACACACACACGCAUAUUCAAGAUAAACAAGAAAUUAAUGAUACAAUUCACCAUCAUGCUAUGAAGUCUUCCCGUUUUAUUUGAGGGGAUAAGGGAAAAGGGGAUUCGAUAGUCAAGUAAAUUUCUCACCUUAAACCACUGUAGCUCUCUCUACAUUUGAAGAACUGCUCCAAAUACACUAUUGAGUCUGCUUGAAGGUGGUAAUUUCGCGGCCAACUGCAAAACGUUGUUUCCAAAUUUAUCUUUUCUGACCAUCAAUAAAUCUUUAAUAGCUCCUGUGUAGUAGAUGAGAUUAAAGACUUCCUCUUAUCAGUAAAUAACAGCAACAUGAAAUAUGGAGUAAAAAUCUUUGUCGACUGUCCAUAUAAGAUCAGGAUAUGAGCGGAUAAGCAGAGUCAAAAGCUCAACGUUCCCAAUUUUUCCAGCAUCAGUAAGUAUAGGAGUUUGAUCAAAUAGGUUUGAAAUUUUUGAGCCUUCUAAAGUCAGAAUCUGUUUGAACACCUUCUCUGCCAACUGAUUGGCUUUUCUUCUCUUUGAAAUUAUUGAACCAUAUAUCCUUUUGAAACCUACAAAUCUUUGCUAAAUUAUUUCUAAAAUUCAUGUUAACUACAGUGCCAAAAAAAAAAUGAAAAUCUAAGAAAAAGGUGAAAUGAAUCUAUAUGUGGAUCAUUCACAGAUAAAGCUCAACAUGAAACUAGCAUUUUCAAGGAGUUACUUUUAAAAAUAGAGCAAUUUAUAUUCUGAUAAUUUUGUGAUAGUAUAAUGACUUAAUAAUCAUCAGAAAACAAUAAAACAAAACAGAAACACUAGGAAGGACACAAAUGAGUUGAAAGGUGUAAAUACAUAAAUGUCUACUAUCAACUAGAAAUUUUCAGGAAAAUUAAGCUUGAUUUUUUAAUUUUUUGUUAGUUGAAAGUUAAAAACAAAAUAGAAUGUUCUUACAGGGAACACUAGGGACGAUUCUAGCAAGUCUUUCACAUAGCCAUUCUUGAAUUGUACCAUAGUGUGAUAAAGGUUUUCGAGCUAAAGCGUGUAGGGCACUUCCUUUCUUCGGUUUUGGAGUUUUGAUGACUAGAUAUCUAUCUGCUUCCAAUAUUUGUAAUACGAUAUCUGCAUAUAAGAAAAGCAAUUUUGAAACUAUUGCAAACAUAAUUUUCAAUGUCAUCUUGCCCAUAGUCAUGAGCAGAGAUUCCAUACCAUACAUCUCCCUGUUGAUAGUUACAACAAGAAUGUCCAUGCGCUCCUCAGCCUCGAAAUCUUUAAGAGGCAGGGACAGAACCACAGUGGGUCCUGGUGUGUCACGUAACCCACCAAGUUUGGAUUUAUUUAUUUUUUUUUGUUAAUAAAAUCGUAUUCAUUAGAACUAGAGGAGUCUAUCCCAUUCCAAAUUGUAGUCGAAAUAUGAAGAGGAAAACCAACUGUCCCUCUGUAAUGUUCGUCUUGCUUAAACUCUUCCCUAAUAAUCCUCUUGACUUGAGUGUUGCCAGCAAUUGGAGACUUAAAGUCAUCCACCAAUCCAUCCACCAUCCACUGUGGGCUUGUUGCUGCCGAUUCAGUCGAGUGGUGCUGCUGCCAUUUCAGAGGAUUUGACGAGUUCUGCUACUGUCAAUUCAGUCAUCUGCCAUCUACUCUCGUCCAGACGUUGACAGUUGCUGCCAUCGGUCCACUGUCCAUUGCUAUAGCUGUACCCUUACCAAAUCCUAAGGACCCAAGAUUAGUUACAGAGUCUACUGGUCUUUACUCUUAUUUUGUGUUUAGAUUUUAACUUACAUAAACAUUACAUCUCCCAAUCUUCGGACUCCCAUCAUGACAAUUAGCUAUGGCAGUGUGGGAAAGUGAAAUUUGAACUGAAGAUUUAUUUUGUGAUUUAGGAAUCUAUCUGAAUUUGUUGAACUAGGUAUGUAAAUGUUAGGGAUUGAAUUUCUUGGAGCAAAUUUGAAUAUAUUAUUUGUGAAUGUGUUGAACUAGCAAAAUAGGUAUGUAAAUGCUGGGGAAUAGGGAUUGGCUAUUUGAAUUUUGUUUGGGAACUGGAAAUUUCAUCAAAAAUUAAAAAUAAAGAUAGCAUUAUUCGACAAUUGUGAGAUUGAUAUGCUUAUAACUUUAGGCAAUUAUGAAAUUUAUUUUGUGAUUAUUGAUAGAAGGAUUAUUUUUUCUCUUGAAUUGAGUGUUUUAUUUUGGUUGAUUGUUGUGGCAGUUAUGGAAAAGUACUUUAAGCGUAAAUCCGCAUUUUCUUGUGAUAUGCAAAAUGUUAAUGAAAGGAAUAUUCAAAAUGAAAAGGGUGAAAUGAAUGCUGGGGAUGAAAGUAAGAUACGAAUUUUUAUUGAUUUUUUCCUCACUUUUUGGAAGUUUGAGUAUGCCCCACUAACCAAAAAUUCCUGCGUCCGCCACUGUUAAGAGGUGUAAUUUUGUAAAGAUGUUUAACCAUUUUUUUUUCUUGAGAAAGCUACCAUUUCAAUUGGGCUCAACUUGUUUUUGUCUCGAAUUGUUGGUAGAAUAUUAUUUUUUUCGUACAUGAGCUUGGUAAUUUCUACAACCCCUGAUAUAGCCGCAAAACAAAAAGCUGUAUCAUUAUAUUUAUUCGUCAAUUCCAGGUCUUCUUUGUUCAAGCGUUUGACUAACUUGCGGACAAACACAGUUUGCUUGGUGACAGCAGCUAUGUGAAGAGGCCUAUCUCCUCUUUCUGUUAGCUUAAGACAACCUGCAUUUUUGUCUGAUUCUAGAACAUGUUCUGCAUCCUUCCAGUCUCCUUUUAUAGUAGCUUUAUACAUACGAAGCUUCCUUUCUUCACCUGAUGAAGUCUGGGGAGAACUAUCAUUAGAUAUGUGUUAAAAAAGAUGCUCCAAAACUUGGCGAGAAAUAAACGUAUACUAUGUAACAUAUAUAAAACUAAAGUAGAGAUAAAUCCACUUACAUAAUCAAAUCUUAAUUUUUACUAGCACAUCAACUUUGUAUUGCAAAGACUAUUGCAACAAUGUCCAUCUUAUUACUGUUGUAUGCUAUGUGUCAAAUGUACAAGUUGGGCCAGGGACAGUUUGUGUGGGUUAUUGCUGAAGUUGGUUAGGGCUGUAUUUAUUUAAUUUCUGUUUUCAUUUGUAUAUAACUUAGUCCAAGUCAUGGUCUAUAGAGCAGUUAUUAAAUUUCUUUUUGUUGUUAGCUCUUAGUGGAGCAUUAGGAGUUCAUGUGUGAAUGUGUUAGAGCUUGUAGGCUCACUUUCAGUUUCUUGCAUUUCCAUUCUGUAUUAAUUUGGCAGUUAAUUGAAAAUGUUGAUUUAGAGGACAGGCUCCCUCGAAGAAGCCAUUCAAGGUGUGAAAAAGGUGAUUUAGAAAUCGAGAAAUGUUGACACAUAUCUAGAAAUCGAGAUACGUGUGUGUAUGGAUUCUCCUCGACUUUGCCAUAGAAUUGGUGUCCAUUUUGAAACAGCUGUAUUACAUUGGUCUUCAAUUGAAAAUUGGGCUGCCCAAACGGUGGAUAUACAAUGCUGGAUUAGCUUUGAAUAACUUGAGGAGUCAAGAAGUCCCCCAGAAUUUCAUUUCCUUCAUCCAUUGCCUCUCCUUCGUUAGCUUGAAUGACAGGAUUGUUUAAUUCGUUAACCAUUUGUACUUGUGCUUCGCGAUGAUCUCUUUGUCGUCGAUGAAAGGUGCGCUCAAUUUCAGGAUCAGCUGGAAUCAAUUCUCCUCCAGGCAAUCGUGACAUGCAAAUCUGAGAAUUAAAACCAGUACGAGCACUGAGAUUCAAACAAUUUAAAUAACUAAAACACAAAUAAAAGAUAAUAACUUAAAAUAAAAAUAAAAACAAAAACAAUAUUAUACUAGCAAAAUAAAAAUUGAGUUCGAAUUAGUGCCUCGAGAAAUAAAAUUAAACUAAACUCAAUCCCCGACAACGGCGCAAAAAAUUUGUUCACGAAAUUAUUUCUUUCGAUUUUAAACCACCACAAGUGUACGGUUCGUUAACAAGUAAUAAAGUGGAUUCAAUGAUUCCGAAUGUCGUCCCACAGAGAUUGAUUAGCUCAAAUUUUAUCUAACAUAGCCUUAACCGAAAUUGGAUUGUCAAAAUGGAUAUGGACCUAAUUAAAAACUCUAAUUUCAAGAAGAAACCCUAAUUACGCAAAUUUAAUGAGUAAAUUGAAACUAAAACUCAAAACAAUAUUUUAACACUCUAGAAAUAAACUAAAAGUCGAGAAUGCACGUUGUUAUAAUCAAUAGAGAUUAAAUACGCUAGGAACACGAAUUCCCAUGCAAUUAUCACUUUAAACCCUAGUUUCACAAUAUGACAACACACUCAAUUGUGACGAAUCAAUAUUCCUAAGUCUAUCCAAUACUCUCUCUCGAGAUGUAUCAAACCUAUUUCUACAUACCACCGGUCUAUUUCCAUGACAAGAGCAUAUGUAAAAAUGCAUGCGAUUUUAUGAACACUUAAAGAUUCACGUAGGGAAUAACAGUAUAUUUCUAUCCACUAUCGGAGCCUACGAUGAUUUAUAUUAUGUCAAAUCUAUUCCAAUUCUCUCGAAUGCAAGAAUAAAUCACUUAAAUUCACACAAUUAUGAGCCCUUAAUUGCGGAAAAACAUUAAUUGCAUAUAAAUCAUUCAAAACAAUAAAAAUUGUGUCUUAACAUCAAAUUGCAAAACAAGGAUAUUAAAAUUCAAAUCACAUGGUUCAUCGAUCUCCUAGCAUAAUAAAAAUCUAGCCUAGCAUAGUUAAAAUAACAAAAUACAUCAUGUUUUGAAUAAAAGAUAUCACUGGGUUAUGAAAUCUUGAAGAAAUCUUGAAGUUCUUCGUGCCAAUCCUUGUUCUUGCGCUCAAAUCCUCUCCAAGAAGUGUUUUUUGGCCUCCAAUUACGUUCUGGUCAUCUUUGGAAUGUUUUUGAUAUUUAUAUCCUGUGGGAAAUUAGGUUACCAAAGGUGUUUCAAUCGUAUAAAGAAAGAAAAAAAUUGCGUCGGAAACGUACCAUGCGACCGCAUGGUUUUAAUCCGUGUGGCCGCAUGGUUAUUUCGUAUUUCCACUUGAAUUCCCUACAUCCAUUUGUGCGGCCGCAUGAGAGUUCUACCAUGCGACUGCAUGGUAGAAUUCAACUUUCAUUUUCUACAAAUGGGCCCCUCUACUUGAAUCUUCCACUUCUUUACAUCUUUUCUUCAUUCUUCACAUUCCAUCAUCCCAAAAUGUCAUCAAUUUGUAUUUGGCAAACUCAAUUUCUUGAUUUGUUCAUCGGGUCAACUUUUGGGUAAUUGCACCUUGGUCCUUGAACUUUCACUUUGUGUCAUUUUAAUCCUUUUUCGUGUCUUUUCUCAUGUAUUUUACCAUGUUCAUCGGUGUUACCUACAAUUCACAAAUGUAACGAAAUUAAGUCACAAUUCAAUCAUUUUAUUCGUAAUUAAGUCAUGUUUGUAACCUAAAUAAGUGUGCAAAAACACACUUAUCAAACCCCCAAACUUGAACUAUUGUUUGUCCUCAAACAAGAUAGUGACUAAAUUCUGAACAAAUAUGGCUUAAUACCCUGCUACGACUUAGGAUUGGACUAAGUGUUUGAUUUGAUGAAGAUAUAUCAGUGCAAAAAUGACAUCAACCUUCGCCUGUUAAAUGCGUACUUAACAUGUGUGUGUGAGUUCAUGCCAACAUAUUAGGUUCAUGAUGGAUUUGAGUCCCGACCCCGAGUGGUCAAUUCUAUCCUUACUCGCUCGAGAGAUACACAACCCCCCAAACUUAUGUUUUUUUUCCACUCAAUUAUCCCAGGGUUGUGUUUCGAAACUAGGAAUUCACAUAGCUAUAGUCUUCACCCUUUCGUAGUUUGGAUUAAUCUCACUAUCACAAGUUUACAUUUCAACAAGUGAAGGCUCUCCUAAGUUUGAUCGCUUCGACACUCAAGAUUAAACUAGGUUACUUGCCUCGCCUCAAAGGUAUAGUUUCUUUAACCAAAUGUCCAAGGGCUUUUCUUCAUGUUAUCAUCUCUCUUUUCUCUAAUUGUUCUGAUUUUAUUAUUAAGCUUCUCAUUUUUUUUCAGUUUCAUCUUCUCAUUUGCUUUGUAUAUAACCCAUGUAACGAGUUUUAGGCCGAUGACUCCCAAACCAGUUGGCUUUAGGGCACCAGGUUUUAAAUCCUUGCAGGCUUAUUCACUCGAGUUAUAAAGGCUCGAUCAGAUGACUUUCAAUUAACCUUUUUCCCUCUUGCUUUCUAUAUGACCCUUUUAAUGAGCUUCAGGCCGGUGACUCCCAAGCCAGUUGACUUUAGGGCACCAGAUUUUGAAAUAUCCUUACAGGCUUACUUGCUCGAGUCAUAAAAGCAUGAAAAGAAGUGUAUUGUUCUCACAAAUUUAUUUUAUGCCCUUAUUGUUCUAGACAUUUAGUUUCCAAAACUAACCCUUAAUUUAAGAUUUUCACCUAAUUUUCACCUCACUGGUCUAGACAAUCCACACAAUAAAAUUCAUGCACCGAGCCUCCACUCAUCUCAAUGCUCUCUUACAAUAGCUCAACCAUCACCAAAUUAUCUUAAGGCAGUUUACGGUUUAAUUCAAUAGAAGGUUAUCAUUCUUUUCCUAUUUUAUGCUCAAAAUCUAGUCAUUUAUCUAAUAUGUCAAGCAUGAAUAGUGUGCACAGAUAAUGUCAAGUUUUGCAUCAACAAGUGUCAGCUAGCCUAGUUGUAUCAGAUCCAAAGAUUUUGCAGUUUAAACUAGUCCAAUUAUAACAUCGUAGCUAGCAAGGUUAUCAAGCCCACACAAGCAUGCAUGAAAAGAAUUAAAGCAAAACUGAAUAAAAUGCAAAUCUGUUUUUCAUGCACACAUACAGAUGAACACAGAUAACACAGAUACUCAGUUAAAAUUAUGUCACCUCCCCAAACUUUGUUACUACCUCAAUGUAAAAUUAACAGAAGAUUAAAGACAGAAUUUUACGGACAACAUAAAAAGAAAAAUCCAAAAUGUGGUAAAUAGUACUUCCCUUGAAUCAAAAUGGAUGAGGUGGUGGGAAACUGGGUCCUACUGUACCAUCAUUCGGCGGAGGAGGGUGUCGUCCAAGGAGCUGCCGCAUUAUCUCAUUCAUUUCCCGCAUCAAGGUAGACUGUUGUGUCUGCUCGGCCUGGAUAGCUCUCAUGGUCUCCCAAGUUUCAUUGACCCUCAUUUGGAUACCGUCCACCCGACCAAUAUACAUGUUCAGUCGGCCAUUCAAGGUAUCAACCUCCUAUCGCAUGACUGUAGCAUGAUCCCUAGCAUCUCUGAUGUAGUUCAACACAAGGUGAUUGUCUCAUUGUAAACUUCCCAAUUCAGUCCUCAUGUUGCCAAAAUCUUGAAAGAAACUGUGGAGGUCUCGGCUAAUGCCCGUGGUGGUGGAGAAGAUCUGUCUCAGCAACUGAUUAUCCAUUUCAGCUUGUGGUGCUGGAGCCCGUUGGUGUUCCUGAUCUGCAGGGAUUUGGCCUUGUUCUGCCUACUGUCUACGUCACUCAAUUUCUUGUUGUUCCCGAUGUUUAACCCGAGCCCUUGUCUGAUCAUCAAAUGUCAUUCGUUUGAUCAUGGGACUGGGUUUUUUAGGUAAUUCUUCAGGUAGGAGGGCAACACCCGCAGCCCGACAUAUACCACUAAUUAGGCUCGAAAAUAUCAAAGUGGAGCGGUGAUCUCUCCAAGUUCCCAAUGAGUGUAGUUGAUUGUAUAUAUGAGUAGCGAGAUCAAUAUUGUUGCCUCGAGCCAAGUGGUAGAUGAAUCCUUCUGUCUGAUCUGGAAAUGUAGUCCUGUGUGAUAUGAGCUCAACAUUGUGGCACAUAAGGAGCCAUAGAAUAACCAUGGAAGGGGUGAGCUCAAUCUGAUGCCACUCGAUAGUUUCAAGGGGCCAUGCAUUCUCCCGCCCCAUUAAAACCUUAGCCACCUCAUUCCAGAUAAAGUCAAUUGGGAGAGGGACCACAUUCUCCAUGGUAAGCUGGUAGUAAUCAUGAAUGACCUCGGGAGAGAACAUUAUCCACUUCCCCUGUACCCAAGUCUGAUGGAAAUGCUCGGAGCCUGGCAUGUCAAUGUCACUAUUGAAGUUGGCGAAGAACUCUCGGCAUAAAGUCUCAUAGAGUGGAUAAAGUCUCUCCACUAACUUUUGCCACACACAGAGCUAAAUUAAGUUGACCAACUCAAAACCCGAGAAGUCAUCAAGCUUAACGGGUCUUUCAGCAUGUAAAGUCCAAUGGCGUACAAUGUUUUCAUAUCGUGCCGCGGUAGUUGCAGUUAAGAAUCACUGAACUUCUCCCGCGAGCUCUCGAGUACGGGCUGUCCUGGUGGAGGAGCUUGCUUUUUCUUUCCCGUGCAAAGUUCUUUUAGGGGGCAUCCUGCAAAGUUUGUAAGAUUAUACUCAUUAAGUUCGAUGUGAAAAGAAUAGGCAAGAAAUGAGAAAAUAAAAUAUGCAUUGCACAAUUCCCCCAAACUUUCCUAGAUGCAUGUGUAGUAACAUGGUGUGCACUAGUCAAGAUAUGAUGUUUAAUUGAAUUCAAGUAUUUUGCCAAUAUGAAAAAUGGAGAAAAACUCGGCGUAACAAUGCAAUAUUUUAGAAUUUGGAACCAUGACCGAGUGCACACUUUCGGCCCUUGACAUCAUUAAGAAUUAUCAAAAUUUUCCCGGACAAUCUUUGGGCAUAUCAAAGUAUUGAUUGAAGUGUAGCACAUACUCGAAUUUCAACUCAAUUGGAUGUCGUUUGGUAUGUCAAAUGAAGAUGCAAAGUAAGGGACAGAGGAUGCGUUAUGUGCGGUGACCUAGUCAUGUGCCUAUGUGGUGCAAUGUGAAAGUGGAUGUUUUCUUGUUCAAAUUAUUUGGGAAUCCAUUAAAAUAUAUCUUGUGCCAUGUUGGUGAAUCAACGUAUAUGCAAAAAGUACCUAAUUGUACACAAAAGGUUAUUGUGGCAUUUUAUCAAACACUUGGUGUGCAUUAUGUGAAGGUAGCCCUAAAUUAAUAAAAUUAAUAUCCAAUUCAUCCAAAAAAAAAUCACACAACACAAUCACAAUAAAUCUAUUUCUAUAUGAACUAGCCCAUUCUCCUUCAAUUCAUAAAAAGAACGAAUUUAAAGACGAAUUUCCCAAAAGAAAAAAAAAGGGAAAUGAGAGAGAAGAGGCAAUACUUUACCUUAAAGUGGAUAGCGUGGUAUACGGGGUGAAUGUCGUGCGAUGCAAACAUGAUUGGAAGGGAAGAGUGUGUGUGUGAAAUUGGUAAAUGAAUCGUGAGGAGAUUAGGGUCGAAGAACAUGAAGAGAGGAAGAAAAAAAAAUGUUGUGAAGAAAAGAAACCGAAUGUGAUUUUAAAAUCACACCCGUCUCUGCCAUGCGACUGCAUGGUUCAAGUGGCAUUAGCCACUUGAGUUUCGACACCUAUGUGUGCGGUUGCACCAUGCGACUGCAGUAAAAAAGUUUUUUUUUUUGGAAGGAAAAAAUAAUAAUAGGAAUAAAAUAAAAUAAAAACACGUUUGAUAUCCCCAAAAACCCGACUUUUGAUUAAAAUUUUGGUUUUCAAUUGAUGAAUUGACCCGGCUCUCAACGUCCCCAAUUAUUCAAAAGCAUACUUCUAAACAUUCUGGGACGUAUAUGGGUCUUAAACUUAGUACCCAAAACCAAAUUUUUGUAUUCAAAAUCAUACAUUGACAUGUGAAAUUUAGAAAACAAAAUUUACCUCAAAAUGCGUGAAUUCCACACCCAAUCACCCAAACUACUCCAAUCAUCCCGAACUCGUGUGUACAGUGCUUGGACUCUUUUAACACGUAUGGAUGAUCGAUGACCAUAUAAAAAGUACAAAAUGAAAUUGAAAAAAAAAUAAUUCCUAAUCUAAUGCAGAGAGCUUAAUAAAUUAAAUAAAAAUGAUACAGUGGGUUGCCUCCCACCCAGCGCUAGGUUAUAGUCGAUAGCUCGACUUCUCUGCAGCUGCUUCAUUUUGGCGUCUCAAGUUGAACGGUGAACUUUUGGUUGGAGAAGUCACCUCCCCAGUAGUGUUUCAGUCUUUGCCCAUUAACAGUGAAGGUACCCUGAGUCUCAUGGCUCACUUGUAUAGCCCCAUAUGGUAGGACCUUCGUGACAGUAUAAGGACCUGACCACCUUCAUCUUAGUUUUCCUGGGAAAAGCUUGAGUCUCAAGUUAUACAAUAGCACUUUCUGUCCCACUUCGAACUCUCGCCUCUGAAUAUGCAUGUUGUGCCACUUCUUGGUUCGUUCCUUGUAAAGUUUUGAAUUUUCAUAAGCUUCCACGCCUCUGAAUAUGCAUGUUGUGCCACUUCUUGGUUCGUUCCUUGUAAAGUUUUGAAUUUUCAUUCUAAACUCGUCUAACUCAUUAAGUUGCAGUAGGCGCUUUUCACCGGCGGCGCUCAAGUCCAUAUUUAACUGUUUCAUAGCCCAGUAUGCUCGGUGCUCCAUUUCUAGUGGCAGAUGGCACACUUUCCCAAAGACUAGGCGGUAUGGAGACAUGCCUAUCGGGGUCUUGAAUGCUGUUCUGUAAGCCCAUAAUACAUCGUCCAGCUUUUUAGACCAAUCCUUUCUAGAUGAGUUCACAGUGACCUCAAGUAUUCUCUUCAGCUGUGGAUUAGAUACCUCAACUUGCCUGCUGGUUUGUGGAUGAUAUGGAGUAGCAACGCGGUGUUUAACGUCAUAUUUAUUCAACAACUACUCAAACUGGCGAUUGUAGAAGUGCUUGUCCCCGUCGCUGAUUAUAGCCCGCGGUGUACUAUAUCGGGUGAAAAUGUAUUUCUUCAAGAACCCAAUUACUGCCUUUGAGUCAUUUGUUGGCAGUGCAACUGCUUUCACCCAUUUUGAUACGUAAUCCACUGCUACCAAGAUAUACUGAUUUGAGAACGAAGGGGGAAAAGGUCCCAUGAAGUCAAUUCUCCAAACAUUAAAUAUCUCCACUUCCAAAAUGUUAUUUAGUGGCAUUUCAUUCCUCCUUGAGAUAUUCCCAGUGUGUUGACAUCGGUCACACCUCUUGACAAACUCAAAUGUGUCUCUAAAUAGUGUAGCCCAGUAGAACCCUGAUUGUAGAAUCUUUGUAGCUGUUUUUGAAGCCCCAAAGUGCCCUGCGUAUGCAGAUGAAUGGCAGUGCUCGAGAAUCUCAUGUACUUCUUCCUCGGGUAUACAUCUCCUUACCAUCUGAUCAGCCCCUCACCUAUAGAGAAUUGGGUCCUCCCAAAAAUAAUACUUCAAUUCAGCGAAGAACUUUUUCCUUUGGUGACUCGAGUAGUCCGAUGGUGGGAUGGAACUGGCCAAGUAAUUGACGAUAUCUACAUACCAAGGUGCUUCAUCUACUCUCAACAUCUGCUCAUCUGGGAAGAUUCAUUGUUGUCCACUAAUUCUUCUGUCUCCCCAGGCUCUAAUCGGGAUAGGUGAUCUGCUACUACAUUCUCACUGCCCUUCUUGUCUCGUAUCUCGAUAUCGAAUUCUUGCAACAAUAGCACCCAAUGAAUCAACCUCGACUUUGCAUCCUUCUUUGUGAGUAGAUACUUCAAUGCAGCAUGAUCUGUGUAGAUGAUGACUUUAGACCCGACAAGGUAUGACCUGAAUUUGUCGAAUGCAUAUACUACAGCUAAUAGCUCCUUUUCAGUGGUGGCAUAAUUGAUUUGCGCUUUAUUUAAAGUCCUACUUGCAUAGUAAAUUACGUGAAAGAUUUUGUUCCUCCGCUGUCCUAAUACUGCACCCACGGCGUGAUCACUUGCAUUACACAUCAAUUCAAAAGGGAGUUCCUAGUCUGGUGCCACAAUUACUGGUGAUGUCGUAAGCUUUACCUUUAAAGUGUUGAAUGCUGUGAGGCAUUCUUCAUUAAACUCAAAGGUUACAUCUUUCAUUAGCAGAUUGCAUAACGAUUUAGUGACCUUUGAGAAAUCUUUUAUAAAUCUCCUGUAGAACCCCGCAUGCCCCAAGAAACUACGAACUCCUUUAACUGAUGUAGGCGGUGGUAACUUCUCAAUAACUUGAAUUUUUACCUUGUCCACCUCAUUUCCUUUUGCUGAGAUUCGAUGCCAGAGUACAAUGCCUUCUUGCACUAUAAAGUGGCAUUUCUCCCAAUUUAAAACCAGGCUAGUCUCCUUGCAUCUCUGUAAGACCAAAUUCAGGUGCUCUAGACAUUCAUCGAAUGAAGAUCCAAACACUGAGAAGUCGUCCAUGAAAACUUUAAUAAACCUUUCAAUCAUAUCGUAGAAUAUCGCCAUCAUACAUCUCUGAAAUGUGGCUGGAGCAUUGCAAAGACCAAAAGGCAUCCUACGAUAGGCAAAAGUACCAUAGGGACAGGUGAAAGUGGUCUUCUCCUGAUCUUCUGGUAUGAUAGGUAUCUGAUUAUAGCCCGAGUAUCCAUCAAGAAAACAGUAGUGUGAAUGUCCAGCCAGUCUCUCUAACAUCUGAUUAAUGAAUGGGAGGGAGAAAUGAUUCUUUCGUGUGGCUGCAUUGAGUUUAUGAUAGUCGAUGCAAACUCUCCAUCCCGUAACUGUUCUGGUAGGAAUUAAUUCAUUCUUCUCAUUUUUCACCACCGUGAUUCCUCCUUUUUCGGUACCACUUGAACUGGGCUAAUCCAUGCACUAUCUGAAAUUGGGUAGAUAAUUCCUGCAUCCAGUAAUUUCAGUAUCUCUGUCCUGACCACUUCCUUCAUGUUCAGAUUUAAUCUUCUCUGACCCUCUAUACUUGGCUUGCAAUUUUCCUCCAUUAGAAUUUUAUGCAUGCACAGAGAAGGGUUGAUUCGUUUAAUGUCUGCUAUUGUCCAUCCAAUCGCCGUCUUGUUCUCUCUGAGUACCAUGAGCAAUUUUUCUUCCUCCACCUCACUGACUGUAUUCGAAAUGAUUACUGGAAGUGUAUCUGACUCCCCCAAAUAUGCAUAUCUAAGAUGUGACGGUAGUUGCUUGAGUUCUAAAACUGGUGGCUGCUGAAUGGAAGGCAGUGACUUUGUAUUUCCCGUCCCCAGUUCCUCGAAGUGCCUCUUUCGAGUGUAUGGCGGGUUGGUCUCCAAAAAUCUUGCAUAUGUUUCAACUUCAAGAGACUCUGACGGGACUGAUUGGGAUUGUGCAAUACAUGCUUCAUAGGCAUCAGAUGGGCCGUGAAGUAAGAAUGUUUUUUGUACUGCCUUGUCAAUGAUGUCAACUUGGUAACAAUUAUCUGAUUCUGUUGGCAGUUUCAUGGCCUUGAAAACAUUGAACAAUAUCUGCUCCUCUUCCAAUUUUGAGAUCAACUGCCCCCUUUGAACAUCAAUUAACGUUCUCCCUGUUGCCAGAAAUGGUCUGCCAAGUAUCAAUGGGACGUCCUUGUCUUCUUCCAUGUCCAAGAUAAGAAAAUUCGCUGGGAAUAUGAACUUCUCAACCUUGAUAAGCAUAUCUUCAAUUAUUCCUCUGGGAUGUGUCAGUGACCUGUCAGCCAGCUGAAGUGUCAUAGUGGUUACUUUAGCUUCUCCCAAACCGAGUUUCCUGAAAAUAGACAGAGACAUUAAAUUAAUACUUGCACAGAGUUCACAUAAUGCUUUAUCGAAAUAUACUUCAUCGAUUUUGCAAGGAACAGUAAAACUUCUUGGAUCUUUUAGUUUUGGUGGGAGCUUAUUCUGGAUUCUGGCACUACAUUCCUCCAUAAGCAUAACUGUCUCAUGGUCUUCCAGAUUGCGUUUAUUUGAUAUGAUAUCCUUCAGAAAAUUUCGAGUAGCUAGGCAUCUGAAAUAGUGCAUCGGCUAGUGGGAUGAUGAUAUGGAGCUUUUUAAAGACUUCUAGAAAUUUUUUGUAUUGUUACUCCACUUUUUGCUUCUUCAAGCACUGUGGAAAGGAAAUCGGAGGCUCGUAGGGGUUGACUGUGACCUUGGCCUUAUCCUGUGACUCUUCUGAAUUUUCUUUGUACUUGAUUCCUUUGCAACAGUCUCUUCUUCAGCGGGGGAAGAUGUCUCUCCAGUCACACCCGAUCUCUUGACAUGGAUUUCAGGCAAUUGUACUCCACUUCGAGUUGUAAUGGCCCUGGCUUGCUCUUUAGGAUUGAUUUCUGUAUUACUUGGUAAGUUACCUAGCAUUCUGCCAGUCAAUGCGAUGGCUAGCUGCCCCAUCUGAGUUUCCAAAUUUUGGUUGGCUGCAUUUUGAUUUUGAAGUGUAGCUUCGGUUUUCUCCAUGAAUUUUCCUAUCAUAUCUUCCAAUUGAGGCCUCUUCUCUUGUUGUUGAAAUUGCCCCUGUGGCUUAUUCUGAUUCUGGUUGCUCCAAGAGAAGUUGGGAUGCUUCUUCCAGCUGGGAUUGAAAGUCUCUCCAUAUUGAUUGUGUUGCAGGCGUUGUCCCUACUGUGCGUAGUCUGCUUGCUCAAUUCCUUGCAUGAGUAUUGGGCAAUCUGAUGUUUUGUGCUCGGCUCCACAUUCCUCACAAUUGCUCUUCUUAGUUUGUGAUGCUUGUGAUAUGCUUUCCACCUUGUGAUACAGAGAGUCAAUUUUUGCAGAUAUUGCUGAAUAAGCGUCCACGUCGUAGACACCUGGAGUUUUCUUUGGGAUAGCCCUCUCAGAAGACCACAUGGCUGAUGUGGUAGCCAUACGCUCAAAUAAUUCCAAUACCCCAUCAACUGUUCGUGUGGAUAUUGGGCCAUCUGAUGCUGAAUCCACCAUGUUUUUAUGGUAUGGAAGUAAUCCUGUGUAGAAGAAUCGGAUUUGGGUCUUUUUAUCGAACCCAUGCUGAGGGCACUUCCGGAGCAUUUUUUGAAUCUGUUCCAUGCUUCGCCAAAUGAUUCAUUUUCUCCUUGAUUGAAUACUGAUAUGUCAUGUCUCAGCUUUGCUAUCUUGGCCGGGGAGAAAAACUUUGUACAGAAUUUGUGUGCCAGCUCAUUCCAUGUAGUGAUACUUGCAACCGGGAGUGAAUCCAACCAUUCAAGUGCUCUGUCUCCUAACGUAUGUGGAAAAAGCCUUAACCUAAUAGCGUCAUCCGAAAUCCCUUGGUAUCUGAAAUGUUGACACAAAACCAUCCAUUCUGGUUCUAUAUUUGUUCGAAUAAAAUGCUUAGCCAAUUCCAUGCGUCUAACUAAAAAAUCCUUUCUUCUUCCAACCUUUUGAUCUUCCCAUUCAUUUCCUGUGGGUCCUUCUUCCCCUAAUUCUUUCCAUUCUACCAACGAAUUAUCUAGAAUAAUUCGUAAAUCUAGAUCGGCUAAUUGUUCUCGGCCUUCCUCGUCAUUAAUAUGUUUGCUCGCGGCAAUUGUGAACUCUUGGGAGAAUUCUCAGAUGUACUAGCACUGCAUCAAACCCAGCGUUUACCGUGGGCACGAUAACUGGUACACCAGAGGUGCGUCCUUCCCGGUCCUCUCGUACUAGAGAAAGGUCCUCUCAAUGCUCUAAGACCCACACCAGAUAUGGACCGAACUGUCUCACGACGUUCUGAACCCAGCUCACGUACUGCUUUAAUGGGCGAACAGCCCAACCCUUGGAACAUACUACAGCCCCAGGUGGUGAAGAGCCUAGAGAUAGGGGACAUAACUCACAUGGAUAUAGUAAGUCUCGCUUGGGCUGCUUUAAUGGUAGUCUUUACAUUUUCCCUUUCACUCGUAGUGUGGGGAAGAAGUGGACUUUAGAAGUACUACUAAUUAAGUUGAGGAAUCAAACUGUAUCAAUUAUUUUAUAGAUCGUUCUGCAACGCGUUUUGAACUAUUUAAAAUCAAAAUAUCUUAAUUUCCAAUUCCAUUGGACAUCUAUUACCAAAAACAAGUCAUUUAUUGAUAUUAUUAGGAGGGCCGUGCAGAUCUAGUCUAGUCUCACUUUCGCUUCACAAGGAUCAAGAUCAAAUAAACACGCAUUCUCGUUCCAUAUUUUGGACCUUAGCUCCAUGGAACAAUAUGUUACUGCUGAAACAGAAACACGAAAGAAUUGAAAUCUUAGAUCAAAACACUAUGUAUGUCCGAGAUCUACAUCUAUGAAUUGAAAGGUCCGAAUGAUCAACUCUGCAAUCAGUUGUUAGAAUCAAUAGGUCUUCAAAUUGUUCAUUUGAAAAAAUGGAAACCCUUCUUAUUGGAUGAUCAUGAUACUUCCCGAAAAUCUAAAUUCUUGAUCAAUGGAGGAACAAUAUCACCCUUUUUGUUCAAUAAGAUCCCAAAGUGGAUGAUUGACUCAUUCCAGGCUUAAGAAAAAAAGGGAUUCCUUGAUAUUGAAGAAAUGAUUUUAAUUUAUACAAGUUAAUAACUUGGGUUUGUGAUAAUUUGUAAAAUACAUAUGCCUGUGAUAAGUACGAUAAGUCAUAAAAAAUAUGUGAAUUUGUCUCGAGGUAUAAUGACAGACCGAGAGGCUCGACUCGAAGGAAUCGGCAGAGAAAUUUUGUGUUAUAUAUGGUAAUCCUUUUAAUAUCCAAAUUGGAUCCGAAACUUCUUCCUAUUUCUAAAAUAAAGAAAAGGGACGAGUUGUCUAAUAUCGUUCCUCCUCCAUUAGUUGAUACUUCAAGGAGGCUUUACCUGGAAUGAAAGAACAAAAAUGGAUUCACAUAUCUAGAAAUCGAGAUACGUGUGUGUGUGGAUUCUCCUCGGCUUUGCCAUAGAAUUGGUGUCCAUUUUGAAACAGCUGUAUUACAUUGGUCUUCAAUUGAAAAUUGGGCUGCCCAAACAGUGGAUAUACAAUGCCGCAAAUCUGAGAAUUAAAACCAGUACGAGCAUUGAGAUUCAAACAAUUUAAAUAACUAAAACACAAAUAAAGGAUAAUAACCUAAAAUAAAAAUAAAAACAAAAACAAAAUUAUACUAGCAAAAUAAAAAUUGAGUUCGAAUUAGUGCCUCGAGAAAUAAAAUUAAACUAAACUCAAUCCCCGGCAACGGCGCCAAAAACUUGUUCACGAAAUUAUUUCUUUCGAUUUUAAACCACCGCAAGUGUACGGUUCGUUAACAAGUAAUAAAGUGGAUCAAUGAGUCCAAAUAUCGUCCCAUGGAGAUUGAUUAGUUCAAAUUUUAUCUAACGUAGCCUUAACCGAAAUUGGAUUGUCAAAGUGGAUAUGGACUUAAUUAAAAACUCUAAUUUCAAGAAGAAACCAUAGUUUCGCAAAUUUAAUGAGUAAAUUGAAACUAAAACUCAAAACAAUAUUUUUACACUCUAGAAAUAAACUAAAAGUCAAGAACGCACGUUGUUAUAAUCAAUAGAGAUUAAAUACGCUAGGAUCACGAAUUCUCAUGCAAUUGUCACUUUAAACCCUAGUUUCACAAUAUGACAACACACUCAAUUGUGACGAAUCAAUGUUCCUAAGUCUAUCCAAUACUCUCUCUCGAGAUGUAUCAAACCUAUUUCUACAUAUCACCGGUCUAUAUUUCUAUGACAAGAGCAUAUGUAAAAAUGCAUACGAUUUUAUGAACACUUAAAGAUUCACGUAAGACAUAGCGAUAUAUUUCUAUCCACUAUCGGACCCUACGAUGAUUUAGAUUAUGUCAAAUCUAUUCCAAUUCUCUCGAAUGCAAGAAUAAAUCACUUAAACUCACACAAUUACGAGCCCUUAAUUGCAGAAACAUUAAUUGCAUAUAAAUCAUUCAAAACAAUAAAAAUUGUGUCUUAACUUCAAAUUGCAAAAUGAGGAUUUUAAAAUUCAAAUCACAUGGUUCAUCGAUCUCCUAGCAUAAUAAAAAUCUAGUCCAGCAUAGUUAAAAUAACAAAAUACACCAUGUUUUGAAUAAAAGACAUCACCUGAUUAUGAAAUCUUGAAGUUCUUCGUGCCAAUCCUUGUUCUUGCGCUCAAAUCCUCCAAGAAGUGUUUUUUGGCCUCCAAUUACGUUCUGGUCGUCUCUGGAAUGUUUUUGAUAUUUAUAUCUCGUGGGAAAUUAGGUUACCAAAGGUGUUUCAAUCGUAUAAGGAAAGAAAAAAAUCGUGCCGAAAACGUACCAUGCGACCACAUGGUUUUAAUCCCUACGGCCGCAUGGUUAUUUCGUAUUUCCACUUGAAUUCCCCGCAUCCAUUCGUGCGGCCGCACGAGAGUUCUACCAUGCGACCGCAUGGUAGAAUUCAACUUUCAUUUUCAACAAAUUGGUCCCUCUACUUGAAUCUUCCACUUCUUUGCAUUUUUUCUUCAUUCUUCACAUUCCAUCAUCCCAAAAUGUCAUCAAUUUGUAUUUGGCAAACUCAAUUUCUUGAUUUGUUCAUCGGGUCAACUUUUGGGUAAUUGCACCUUGGUCCUUGAACUUUCACUUUGUGUCAUUUUAGUCAUUUUUUACUUCUUUUCUCAUGUAUUUCACCAUGUUCAUCGGUGUUACCUACAAUUCACAAAUGUAACGAAAUUAAGUCACAAUUCAAUCAUUUUAUUCGCAAUUAAGUCAUGUUGUGACCUAAAUAAGUGUUCAAAAACACACUUAUCAACUUCAACUUGGCUGGGCCUGCUUGGUAGCUCAACAAUGGGUGCCUCAACCUCUGGUGCUGUAAUUGUAGAAAAAUUAUUUGCAGAUACCUUUUAGAAUAACAAUUAAAAUGCAAAAAGUAAAAAAGACUAAUCAAUUGAUCGAGAUUCAUGACAGUACGUCUUAAACUGAAAUUGUUCAUUAUUAACUGUUGUGAUUUAUUUGGACAAUCUCUGGCAAUAUAACGAUCGAAUCACAAUAACAAGAGCUGUCCAAAAACUCAAGUUUUACUCCAAGACUAUGCCCUAUCUGGAGCUGCUUCUUCAACAAAUUUUAAGCAAAAUAGAGCCAUUAUCUUUGACCGCUAUCUCAACAAAGUUAUUAUAAACUAAAAUUUUCAUAAAGUGCAUAAGAUAAUUUUUGUAUAAUUUCCAAGAAAACGAAGGGUAUAUAUAGCCCACAAAAAAUAACUUACAAUGAUAAUUCAAAAUUAAUAAAAUAAAAUAAAAUAACUGCAGGUUUAAUUAUUCUCUUUAGAAUUUAAAUCACUCCAUAAGUGCCUCUAAUAAUUUGUUUUAAUGGAUAUAUAUAUCAAACUGUCUCUAAAUAUUUAAUUUUACUGGGUAGUUUUUAACAGAAAUAAAUUUGGAAAUAACUUAAAUAAACAAUAACAAUAAGAUAUUUAUUAUACAAAAUCCAAGAAGUCCAAGAUCCAAUUAUAAACUUAUAAAUACUCACUUGAAGUAUGUUUUGAAUUAUAGAUCUCUCACGUAAAUUCCACUCGUUUUAUCAAUCGACCAACUAUCUCAAUUCAAUUAUUUCUUCCAAAUUAAAUUAUGAUAUACAUUCAACGGUGGCUGGCUUGUUUAUAACCACAAGUAUCCGAGAAUACGCAUGAACCUGACCGAUCAGCCCUUGCCGGAUCUUUUUCUAGUUCUGGAUCCGUUUCAUAUCUCGAACUCACUGCUUUAUCCGUCUUUAGUCUUCUUCUAACCGCUGAACUGGAAAGAUAUCAAAAAAACCAACAUUAUACAGUUAAUUGGUAUCAGUUUGUGUUAAUUUCUACAUAAAUGGUAGAUAGAAUUUGAUAACAUUUCAACAUGGUGCACGUAACAGUUGAUCAGCUAUAGUACUUCAGUACUUGAUCAUAUAUGGAAAUUCUGCGAAUGCUGAUUAUUCCAUGCAGGCUCGGGUGAUACUGCCCAAAAAGAACUUUCUAAAAUGCUUUUAAGAACGCCCAAACAAGCUCUCAAUUUGUUCUGUGCUAUGCUGCAUACUUGCAUGGAAAGUGUUAGCGAAGGUGAUGGUUUUUCUUGUUGUGAUGAGAUUAGAUUAGAUGGGUUAAUAUGUUUUGUAUGUGAUAAUUCUGGAGGUAGAAAAUAAUUGGCUUUUUGUUGGAAGUUAGUAGUAUGAAGGAUUUUGAUAGAAAGUAAUUUAGCAGACAAGGUGGAUAGGAGAAAGGAACUUUAUUAGAAUGAUAAUGUCUUAAUUUUGGCUUGCGUUGGCUUACAAUGGCUUUUACUUGCUUACAAAUGAGAGAUUCAUGCUCUAUUUAUAGACCAUAGCUUACAUCAAUUUGUGGCUAAUAUGAUUUUUCUUCUAGAUAAUUCUACAUGUGCCUAAAAUACAAACCACACAAACGUUCUUGGUGCCCAAGUUUCUCUAGUGAAUUUUAGAUAAUUCUGAUUUUUUAUUAUUCUUGCUUGCCAAGUAAUUCUAGGAUAUUUUUGCCAAGCAAUUCUAGGAUCUUCUAGAAAGUUUCUAAAAUAUGCAGCAACCAUCAAUACUCCUCAUUGAUGCAUAUUUUGGUAACUCCAAUCAUUUCUCGUAGUAUUUCAAAUUGUGAAUAAAUCUGCUAAUUGUUCUUCAGUAUUGCAAUGUUUGACCUCUAUCUCUUUAUUUGCUUCAGCUUCUAUGAUAAAAUGGUACUUGAUGUUAAUGUGUUUGGUUCUGUUGUGGAAUAUGGGAUUCUUGGCCCUUGCUAUUGCUGACUUGCUAUCGCAGUAGAUCUUUGUUGCUUUAUUUUUUGGUUCUCCCAUAUCUUCAAGUAUAUGUUUUGACCAUAUAGCUUGACUGGUUGCCAUUGCUGCUGCAAUAUACUCUGCUUCAACUGAUGAUUGUGCAACCGUUGCCUAUUCUUUGCUGCCCAAGAGAAUAUUUCGGAACCUAGUGUGAAUGCGUAGCCUAAUGUACUCUUCAGAUCAUCUACUGAUCCUGCCCAAUCGCUAUCAGUAUACCCAAGUAGUCUUGAGUCGGGCUUCCAUAGUCUUUUGUUCCUUGGAGGUAUCUUAGUAUCUGCUUUGUAGCUCCAUAGUGAACUUGACUUGGAUUUACAUUAAUCUUGAAAGUAGGCUAGUUGCAUACAUUAUGUCUGGCCUUGUAGCUGUGAGAUAGAGCAAACUUCCAAUUAAGCUUAGAAAUUGUGAGUUGUCUGAUUUUGGACUACCAUCUUCUUUUCUGGGAGAUUUAUGCUAUCUAAGGGUGUUGCUACUGUUUUGCAACCUUCCAUCUUGAACUUCUUUAAUAGAUUAGUGGUAUACUUCUUCUGAGCAAUGAAAAUCCCAUCUUCAGAUUGCAUUAAUGUAAUACCUUAAUUUGGUUAUAAAAAAAAAAGGGUCAAACAUAUCAUGCAAAAAAUAAUAAUAAUAAUAAUAAACAUAUAAAACAAAUGGGCAGGCGGUUAGCCCAAAACAAAUCCAUUUCUAUUAUUAGGAAGAGAAAAGAGAAAGGAAAAAGAAAAAAAAAAGGAUGAAGAAGAAGAAAAAAAAAGAAAUUUUUUGUUAACGUGUUAGGAAUUAAGUGGUCUACAUUAUUAGGCUUGAAUUCCUCAAUUUUGAAAGGUAAGUAAAAAGUUAUUUAUUGUUAAGUUAUGUUUGAUUUUAUAGUUGUUAGAUUGUUAAACUAAAUUCAAUUUUAUUGAAGGGGUUAAGUAUAAUAAACUAUGAAAUUGAGUAAAGUGAAAGAAAAAUUAGUUUUAUUGAUUAAAGAGACCGUGAAAAUCGCUUAAACGUGAAAUGAUUAAGUUUGGGUAUCGCCUAUUUAAUUAUUGAAAUUAUUUAAAAUAAUUAAUUGUUUAUUUAAAAAUCAUAUCGUAUUCCAGGCGGCGAUACGGAUAUCAGGACAACAUACCAAAUGGAUUGAUUUUGCGAACGUAGUACUGUGAGUGGAAAAAUAUAAAUAUUUUUAAAGUAUUUAUAAAUUAAGUUUAUUGUUAAAGUAUGUGCAAUUAUAUGCAAUUAUGUGUUCAAAUUACAUGAUUUUUAUGAAAAUAUCUUUUAUUAUGAUACAUGUAGGAUUUCAAAGAUUAUAUACGUUACAUUGUAAAUUGGAAUAUGAGAUAUGAUUUUUUGAUCGACCAGAAAAGUACCCGUGAUUAUAUAUUUCUUCUAGUUCACUGAGGGGUCUUGGCCGUGUUCUAUACUACACUGAGGGGUCAUGGACCGGGGAUGAAGGGGUCUCGACCGUGUACAUAUAGUUCACAGAGGGGCCUUUGCCGUGUUCUAGAAUUGAUUUUGAUAGGUCUUUGAGACCGGCUUUCGUUCACGGAGGGGCCAAAGGCCCAUGGCGAAAGUUCUUAGCCCGAGGGGCGGAUUACAUAUUUCAGUCAGAGGGUACAUUUUUGGUGGAUUUUUCAGCACGUUUGAUAUGAUGAGAUUAUAACAUGGUUAUCAGCUGAUGUUAUAUCAUGAUUUUAAAAUGAUAUUUUUAUGACAUUAUGUGAAUAUUUCACUUUUUGGCUAUAAUUACAUGAUGAUAGCUUGUGAAUUAUCAAAUGGUAUGAAUUUGAUUUUCAAUAAAAAUGUAUAAAUGAAAAAGAAUAUUUAUUUUGAACUUCUCCACUCACUGAGCUAUCAACUCAUAUAUUUUUCCACGAUUUUUCGUACAGGUGAAAAUUAAUCAUUAUUAGCUGGAAGAGCCUAAUGAUUUCGAAAUAAGAGCCACACGACAUGUUGAGUGUUAUAACUCAUUUUGAUGAAGCACAAAGUAAAUAUUUUGGGCCCAUCGCAUUAUAUUUUACAUAAGCAAUUGAUUUUGUUGCAUCUUUUUGAAAUAACUCAUAGUCAGCCUUGGUGGUAGAUUUGACAUCUAGUCAGCAUCUAUCAUCGGCGCACGUCACAUUUCGGGUCCACUAGGGUGAUUCGGGACGGGUCGUGUCAAAAUGGUAUCAGAGCAUGGUUUCAAAAAUUUUUAUAGUUCAUGCAUGUUCAGUUGGUAUGUUCACAUGUCGUGGUGGCAGAAAUCACAAGCUCUCUAGCUCAAAUGUGUGGAACCAAACAAAUGAUAGAAAAUUAUUUUUUUAACAGAUCCAGAAGAGACUAGAAUGUAAAUAUGAUAGUUGCAAUGAUCCGAUUGGUGGAAAAAGAUUGAUUAGCAUAUUUCAUAUAUAUGCAUGUAUGGCUAAAGAAAUGGAAUGAGACCAUGGAAUUAAGGAAUAAGAAAAGGAGAAAAAGCAAUGAAUGGCAGAGUUGAAAUUUAUUGAGAUUUGGAAUUGACAUAUGAAAUUUUGGUAGUAUAUUGGUUUGUGAAAGAUUCACGUGAUAAAUAUGAAGAUUAUUAUUUUGUGAUCUUAAGGAAAAUUGAUAUAAUUAAAAGUUAGAAGGCAUAUGAUAUAGCCAUAAGUAUGUGAUGAGGUUAUAUGAUUACAACAUAAUAUGGUGAGUAUGUAAAUAAACGUAAUGGUUGUCCUAUAGCAAAAUAAUGUGAUGAUUGAUUUGGUUAUUAAAUUAAUUAAUUUCGUUAAGGACAUUCGUUAGAUUAUUGUGUUAUAUUCCAUACAAUUUGGAAGCGUUGAGUUAAAUUUUGAAGUUAAGAUGAAUUUAAUGAAUUUUUAGUGAUGUAAUUUUUGGGUGAUUUCAAUUGUAUUUUUGGAUUUCACGUAUAAAGUAUUUCAUUUUUAUUGAGAUCUAUUUGUUAUGGAAUAUAUGGAUGAUAUGUCGAAUAGUUUGAAGUUUAGGGUGAUCAUUGAAUGUAAAUUUUAUUCAAUUGUGGGACAGUAUCUUUGUGUUAUAAUCUUAGUUAAAUGUCUUUAUGCGAUAUACAAGAAGGAUUAUGCAGUGAUGAUAGAUCAAUGACCCAUUUAUGGAAUAAGAGUAUAGAUUUUCAUGAAUAAAUGUUAUUAUUUUCUCUUCAUAGAAAGAAAGAACAAAAUUUAUAUGGGUAUAGAAAUAUCAAAAGUUUGCUAAUAAGAAAUUCUGAGGAAAUAUUUGCUCUUAUAUCUAAAGAUGAUAAGUGAUUGAUUCACGAUAAUGAUUUAUGUUAAGGUUUAGAAAGUAUUCUGAAGUAAACUUAUAAAUUAUAUAUGAAACUUUAGAUUGUUGAAGAGUCAUGAUUAAAACAUGAUUUGGAGUUGGUUAUAUCGGGAUUUUGUCAUCACAUUGUGAGAAAUAUCAAUAUUUAUCAAUCAUCAGACUUUAAGGUAUAUUUUAUUCGAAAUGGUGGAAAUGAAAAUUGUGUAUAUAUUAUCAUUUGGUGAUAUAGAAUUAAAGGAAAAGAACACCAUAUUGAACUAUUUCAAUUGUUUUGUUGGGGAUAACUAGAAUUUUAGAAAAUCAUGAACAAUUGAAUUUUUGGAGAUAUUGUCAAUUUAGAAUGGAGGUAGUUACCGUUAAAGUAUUCUUUUUUUUUUUUUUGGAUUCCAAAUACACGGAAUGGAGACAAAAUAGUAUCUAAAUCCUUGUGGAUAGAUUGAUAAAGGUUACAAGAUUCUUUUUAAAUCAUAUAGUCAGUUCAUAGGAUAGACUUACAAAAUUAUAUUUAGACAAUAUUGUUAAUUACAUGGUGGAAUUGGAGUAUUUAUCUUUGGUUAGUUGUAAGAAGUUAUGUAAUUAAAUUUCACUAUGCAUUUUCUUUUGAUAGAAUAUCAGAUAUUAUGAAGAUAAGUUUAAAAGAGAGACUAUCAACUAGUUUGUUAAUCAAAGAGGACUCUGAUGAUUACCUAUUCUUCAUGGAAUUGACCUAUAAAAAUUAGACAUAAGUGACGACAAUUGAGGUUAUAUAUAAUAUUGAAAUAUUCCAAGGAAGCAUGACGAAAUGGCCGAAAGAAUGUUGUUCGAUCUUAAUAUGUAACCAUUGUUAUAGAAAAAGAAUGUAAACGUGAGGUGAAGAUUUGGAGAACAUGAAAAGUAGUACUUGAACUUCAAAUUGGAAAAAUAAUAGAGUUUUCCUAAGGUUUGGAAAAAAUAAAUAAAUAAAGGCUGAGAAUACCAUAUAUUGGCUCUUACGAAGUUAUUAAAACUAUGAUGGGAAAGAUUAAAUUUUGGUACUAAAUGUUUGUUGGAGAAAUCAUUCAAUAAAAGAGGCAUUAUGGGUAGCGAAAGUUAAAUGUGAGUUCUAUAUCCUUACGUGUUGGACCUCUAGCUAAUUGAAUUUCGAGGAUGAAAUUCUUUUAAGGGGGUGAGUUUUUGUAAUACCUUAAUUUGGUUAUUAAAAAAAAAGGGUCAAACAUAACAUGCAAAAAAAAAAAAUAAAAAAAAAAUAAACAUAUAAAACAAAUGGGCAGGCGGUUAGCCCAAAACAAAUCCAUUUCUAUUAUAUUAUAUUAUAUAUAUAUAUAUAUAGGUAAUCCAAAUCCAUUUCACCACAAAAAACACGUAAAGAGAGAGAGAGAAAAUGAACCCGAGAGAAAAGGAAGAGAAAAGAGAAAGGAAAAAGAAAAAAAAAAGGAUGAAGAAGAAGAAGAAAAAAAAUAGAAAAUUUUAGUCAACGUGUUAGGAAUUAAGUGGUCUACAUUAUUAGGCUUGAAUUCCUCAAUUUUGAAAGGUAAGUAAAAAGUUACUUAUUGUUAAGUUAUGUUUGAUUUUAUAGUUGUUAGAUUGUUAAACUAAAUUCAAUUUUAUUGAAGGGGUUAAGUAUAAUAAACUAUGAAAUUGAGUAAAGUGAAAGAAAAAUUAGUUUUAUUGAUUAAAGAGACCGUGAAAAUCGCUUAAACGUGAAAUGAUUAAGUUUGGGUAUCGCCUAUUUAAUUAUUGAAAUUAUUUAAAAUAAUUAAUUGUUUAUUUAAAAAUCAUAUCGUAUUCUAGGCGGCGAUACGGAUAUCAGGACAACUUACCAUAUGGAUUGAUUUUGCGAACGUAGUACUGUGAGUGGAAAAAUAUAAAUAUUUUUAAAGUAUUUAUAAAUUAAGUUUAUUGUUAAAGUAUGUGCAAUUAUAUGCAAUUAUGUGUUCAAAUUACAUGGUUUUUAUGAAAAUAUCUUUUAUUAUGAUACAUGUAGGAUUUCAAAGAUUAUACACGUUACAUUGUAAAUUGGAAUAUGAGAUAUGAUUUUUUGAUCGACCAGAAAAGUACCCGUGAUUAUAUAUUUCUUCUAGUUCACUGAGGGGUCUUGGCCGUGUUCUAUACUACACUGAGGGGUCAUGGACCGGGGAUGAAGGGGUCUCGACCGUGUACAUAUAGUUCACAGAGGGGCCUUUGCCGUGUUCUAGAAUUGAUUUUGAUAGGUCUUUGAGACCGGCUUUCGUUCACGGAGGGGCCAAAGGCCCAUGGCGAAAGUUCUUAGCCCGAGGGGCGGAUUACAUAUUUCAGUCAGAGGGUACAUUUUUGGUGGAUUUUUCAGCACGUUUGAUAUGAUGAGAUUAUAACAUGGUUAUCAGCUGAUGUUAUAUCAUGAUUUUAAAAUGAUAUUUUUAUGACAUUAUGUGAAUAUUUCACUUUUUGGCUAUAAUUACAUGAUGAUAGCUUGUGAAUUAUCAAUGGUAUGAAUUUGAUUUUCAAUAAAAAUGUAUAAAUGAAAAAGAAUAUUUAUUUUGAACUUCUCCACUCACUGAGCUAUCAACUCAUAUAUUUUUCCACGAUUUUUCAUACAGGUGAAAAUUAAUCAUUCUUAGCUGGAAGAGCCUAAUGAUUUCGAAAUAAGAGCCACACGACAUGUUGAGUGUUAUAACUCAUUUUGAUGAAGCACAAAGUAAAUAUUUUGGGCCCAUCGCAUUAUAUUUUACAUAAGCAAUUGAUUUUGUUGCAUCUUUUUGAAAUAACUCAUAGUCAGCCUUGGUGGUAGAUUUGACAUCUAGUCAGCGUCUAUCAUCGACGCACGUCACGUUUCGGGUCCACUAGGGUGAUUCGGGACGGGUCGUGUCAAUUAAUCCCAGAUCAAUCAUCUUGAAUGUUUUCAUCAUAUCUUCUUUGAAUUUCUCGGUCAUCUUCUCAUCGUUCCUUGUAUAGAUGAGAUCAUCAAUAUAUAAAGAGAUUAUACAGGUACUGCUUGUACCUUGAUUUUUUAUGUAUAGAGUUGGUUCACUUUGGCUCUUCCUGAAUCCUUGCUCAGUGAAGUAAUUUUCUAUUCUAUUAUACCAUGCUCAUGGAGCUUGUUUUAAUCCGUAUAGGGCAUUCUCGAGUUUGAGAACUUUAUCUUAUUUUCCUCAUACCAUGUAACCUUGAGGUUGCUCUAUAUAAAUUUCUUCUUCAAGAUAGCCAUUAAAAAAUGCUGAUUUGACGUCUAGCUGGUAAAUCUUCCACUUUUUCUGUGCAGCUAGUGUAAUCAACACCUUUAUAGUGUCAAGACAUGCAACUGGAGCAAAUGUCUCAGUGUAGUCGAUGCCAAAAUGUUGUGAGUAUCAUUUGGCGACUAGCCUUACUUUAUGUUUUUGGAUUGAGCCAUCAGCAUUGAGCUUUGUCUUGUAGACUCACUUAACUCCAAUGACUUUUUUGUCUUGAGGAAGAUCUACAAGUUUCCAAGUGUUGUUUUUCUCAAUCAUUUUUAUGUCUUCAUCCAUAGCAUUUUUCCAUUUUGGUUGUUUUGAAGCUGCUUCAUAGCUUUCAGGUUCAACGAUCGUCAAGUUGCAGCUUUGAUAUAUUUCUGAUAAUUUUCACGUCUUUCUUGAUGACGAUUCUGGUGUGUCAACUGGUUCUUCUAUUGUUGCUUGCUGUGGGGACUCUAGUUGAUUGUUUUCCUCAACGUCACCCUCCUAUUUUUGUAGUUGUGUAAGGAUGCUGAUAGCUUUUCUCUUGACUUGACCAGUCUCUCAGUUAUAGGUGGCAUCUUAUCAAACUUAACAUCUCGACUUAUAAUCAACUUCUUUGUUCUUAGGUUAUAUACUCGAUAACCUUUUGAUUGGGUAUUAUAACCUAAGAAGAUUCAUUUUUAUGUUUUUUCAUCUAGCUUACUUCUUUUCUCCUGUGGAAUGUGUGUGUAGCAAACACUGCCAAAAACUCUGAGAUGUUUGGCUGAUGGUUUUCGUGGCUCCAUGCUUCCAUUGGUGUUUUGUCUUGCACAGCUUUAGUCAAACAUCGAUUUAGUAGGUAGACUAUAGUGCUUACUGCUUCUGCCCAGAAAAUUUUUGGAAGACUUUUCUCCAUUAGCAUAGCUCUAGCUGCCUCCAUUACUGUUUUAUUCUUUCUUUCUGACACGCCAUUUUGUUCAGACGCGUAUCCAACUAUGAGUUGAUGCUCCAUUCUUUCAUCUUCACAAAACUUGUUGAAUUCAUUUGAUGUAUAUUCUUUGGCUCUGUCGCUUCUGAUAGCUUUGAUUUGCAACCACUUUGCUUUUCGACGUAACUUUUGAACCUUUUAAAAAUUUCAGUACUUGGAAUUUUUCACGUAAGAAAUAUACUUAUGUCAUUCUAGUGUAAUUAUCAAUGAAGAGAAUGAAGUACCUGUUUUGCUCAUGUGAUGGAAUACGCAUCGGACCGCAUAUAUAUGUAUGUAUCAGCUCUAAUGGCUUUUUAGCUCUCCAGAUUUUAUGGACGGAAAUGGUUGGCGGUGUUGUUUCGGGAGCAAACAUCCUUCCCAAACUGCAUCAAUCUCUUUUAUGAUUGGUAAGUCUCUCAUCAUGCUCUUUUGCUGCAGGAUCUUUAACUCGUGGAAGUGGAAAUGUCCAAAUUUUUUAUGCCACCGCCACGACUCGUCCACUUGUGCCAUCAAUACCGCAUUGUUUUCAUAUCUCCAUUGGAUUGGAAAGCAUCAGUUCUCCUGCUUUUUGACUUUUGCAAUUACAAAAGAUUCAUCUUUCUUGUCAUAGAUCUUGCAAGAAUCUCCUUCAAAACGUAAUGUAUAUCAUUUCUCCAUCAUUUGACCUACACUUAAUAGAUUUUGAUCUAUUGUAGGGACUAUAAGAACUUUAUUGAUGUAUCUCUUGCCAUUUUUUGUGUCAAUAGCAAUAGUGCCUAUACAUGUCGCCUUUAUAAAAUUUUCAUUGCCAAUCUUGAUUUUUGCCUUGAUUUUAUCAAGACUAUAGAAAAUACUUUCGUCUUUCGUCAUAUGAUUACUACAACCACUAUCUAGAUACCAUGUAUCGAGUUCGUCAUCAGAUGCAUCUUUGCUAGUGGUGUAAAAUAAACUUCCUUCUAUAUCUUUUUUCAGAGAAAUUAGCUUCAUGAUUUUGUUUAGAACGACAAAAUUUUUCGUCAUGACCAAAUUUUUUACAGUGACGACACUAUGGUUUUCCUUUAAACCAACAGUCCUUCUUCAAAUGACUUUUUCUUUUACAUAUACCACAUGAAGGAUACUUGCUGCUUUUAUCAAAUUAUUUUUCUUGAGUUUCUUUAUUUUUACAAUUUUCUCCCACCUUCUUUAAAUUUCUAAAACAGCAUAUUAACUUUAGAUUGGAAUGCGUUUUCCGUGUUAAUCUCAUAAUGCAUUUCUAAUCUUUUUUCAUGUGAUUCUAAUGAACCUAUUAUUCUGCAGCUAUCAAUUUAUUUAUAUCUUUUGACUCAUCAAUAACUUUCGUGCAAGUAAUUAAAAUUUUUCCAACGACUUUCUUUUGCCGAAUAUCAUCUCCAUAAGAUCUUAAUUGAUUUAAUAUUUCAUCUAUUCUUGAAUAAUAAUCUUUCGUGAUUUUAGAAUCUUUCAUUUUUAAAUUUUCAAAAUUCCUUCUUAAUGUUUGAAGAUGGCAAGUACGUACUUUGUCACUGCUGUGAAACUCCUCCUUCAGCUUAUUCCAAGCUUCUUUUGCCGUUUUGGCUCCAACGAUUUGUGGAAAAUAAGUGUCCGUCAAACUCAUUUACAGAGCUAGUAGUGCUAGAGAAUCUUUUUGUUGAUUCUCUUUAAGUUCCUUCUUUUGUGUGGUAGACAGAGUGGAAAUGUCAUCUGGGUUAAUAUACCCGUCAUUGACGACAUCCCAUAAAUUUUGUGCACAAAAGUAGGUCUUAAUUUUGAUGGACCAAAAGUCAUAGUUGUCUCCAUUAAAUGUUGGAAUAGGGAUGGGUGAACGGAAAGCGUUUGCCAUAAUAUCUGAUUACGCCCAAUAUCAAUCGAACGUAGCUUUGAUACCACUGAUGGUUUUUCUUGUAGUGAUGAGAUUAGAUUAGAUGGUUUAAUAUGUUUUGUAUGAGAUAAUUUUGCAGGUAGAAAAUAGUUGGCUUUUUGUUGGAGCUAGUAGUAUGGAAGAUUUUGACAGGAAGUAAUUUAACAGACAAGGUGGGUAGGAGAAAUGAACUUUAUUAAAAUGAUAAUGCCUUCGUUUUGGCUUACAAUGGCUUUUGCUUGCUUACAAAUGAAAGACUCAUGCUAUAUUUAUAGACCAUAGUUUACAUCAAUUUGUGGCUAAUGUGAUUUCUUCUAGGUAAUUCUACAUGUGCCUAAAAUACAAACCACGCAAACCUUUUUGGUGCCCAAAUUUCUCUAGUGAAUUCUAGAUAAUUUUGAUUUUUUUCUAGGAUAUUCUUGUCAAGCAAUUCUAGGAUCUUCUAGAAAUUCCUAAAAUAUGCAUCAACCAUCAACAGAAGGCAGUGAAUUUAUAGCUGUUUUGAGGGGAAAAUUGCAAUAUUUGUCUUCAAUCUAUUGCCUUAUUAGCAAAUCAGUCUCUAAUAUUUUUUCUUGACAUUUAAAAACAAAUUACAAAAUCAAACUAAAAUCGUUAUUUUUAGACCAUUGAUUUGGGUCUACAUAGACCCAUGAAUGUUUAGGUUUCUAAAUCAACCAAACCGUUUAGAAAUAGUUCGAUUUAAAUUUUUGAUACUUAAAAAUCAUUUAAAAUCGAAAUGAACCGUUAAUAUAAUUAGGAAAGAAGAAAACACUUUGCUUAAUGAUAAAGCUGCUUGAAAACUGAAAGCAAUUUAAAAUAAAUACCACUAUUUUCACUAGUUCAAUUUAUUUAAGACUCAAAGCCACAAAGCAAGUAUUUAUAAGCGAUGAAUUAUAAUUAUAUCGUUACACCUUCCUCACUUAUUUGCUUGCUAUUUGGAUUCUUCUUCUUCUUCUUCGCACCAAACAAUUAUUAGUCAAUAAAUGUAUAAUAAUUUUAUCAGAAAAUAAAGUUUAUUGGAUUUUCUUAUGUUAAUUGAACUCCUUCGCAUGCAUACGUGGUUCAUUUAGAGAUACAACUUUUUUGUCCUUCUCUAUUAAUUUCUUGAGAAUUGAAGAAAAGAUGAGUUGUCAAAUAUUAUAUAUUGGAUUUUCCUAAGUUAAUUGAACUCUUCGCAUGCUCACGUAGUUCUUUUAUGGAUAUUACUUUUUUGUCCUUCACUUCUGUUAAUUUCUUGAGAAUUGAAGAUAAGAUGAGUUGUCAAAUAUUAUAUUAAUAUUCUAGGAAAAAAUGGAAAAAUGUACAAUCAUUGUGCAUUUGGGAGGUGCUUCCAUUAAGUAUUGUCGUCUUGUAGUUUAUUUUCACACCUCAUUUUGCAUUAAAAUUCAAUAAAUUUAAUGGAAAACGUGUUAACAUCUGUCUCGCUACAAAUUAUAAAUGGUAGUUAAUGGCUACAAAUGAAAAAAAAAGUAAAAGAGAGAUAUUAGUUCAUUGUUGUAUGAAGUAAUUGCAUCACUUUGUUGUAUUCGAGUUAAAAUUUAUUGAUUGUUUACUUAAGAAACUAAUAUAAAAUAUAUAUAAUCAUUUUAAAUAGUUUGAUAUAUAUAUAUAUAUAUAUAUAUAUAUGGAAAAAAAUCAUUCAAAUUGAACCAUUUUCAUUCCUUGAAUCUCUCUGUGGAAGUUUAGCAACAUACCCAAUUUUAUUUAGGUCAUGUUUUGCCUUCAUUUUCUAAAACUUACUUUCUUUAAAUUCAUUUUAAAUCACAAAUUCUCUCAAUAAAAUAAUAUUACACGUUAAUCUAUAAAUUUUUCCUACUUCUUAAUCACAAAUUCUUCCUUAUUAAAAAAAAAAAAACAUUUUUACAAAAUAUAUUCUCAAAAAAUUUCUAUCAAACUUGUACCUAAUUGUUUUAGCGGCAAUGGUUGCAAAGGUUGGGUGGUUGAAAUCAGUUGCAUGUGAUGUGGUUCAUUAGGAUAUGUGAUAUGUGAGACUUUUCUGCAUUUAACUAGGAACUAUGGUGUUACAUAAAUUUAAAAAUGAGGGACUAAAAUGAUUGGAAAAAUAGAAUGGGGACUUAUUUGUUAUUACAUGACUAGGUCGAAAGUUGUACAACUAUUUUCCGCGCUCUUUGGCCUUUUGGUUGUGAAAUACGUGCUUGUUUGAUCCUCAUAAUUUUAGAAAGACUAAUUACAAUAAUUGUAGCAUGACAUAAUUGCACAUCAGUCACUAAAGACUUGUACAUCAGUCACUAAAGACUUGUGCUUCUGAGUUUAUUUGAUUCGGAUUAAAAUCUAAGUUUAAUUUAAAUCAAAGUCAAACAAUCAAUUAAUAAAAUCUUUUAUGGGUAUCACAACUUUCUAAUCAUGCAUUUCAAAAACUUCUAUUGUAAUCUACUAAAAAAUCUAAUUUUAUUCUCCACCAAACACCCUCUAAACCUUUGUUUGAACUCCAUUUUCUCAAAAAACUCAUUUUUUGCCAAGGAUUUGAAAGAAAAUAAUCAAAGUGAUUUCAAUGUGUAUAUUCGGGUGAAUGAACACGAAUUGGACGUUUGGUAUUUAUAGAGGUCGACACAUGGUAAUGUGGAGCGUUAAAUAUUCGCGAGCGUUUAAAAUUAGGUUUGGCUAGAUAACAUGGUCGCUCGAGCGAGGUCUUAGCGAGCCUCGAGCGACGUGUCUUCCGCUCGAGCGACGGUCCAGCGUCUGUCCAGCGAAGUUGUUUCUGCAAUUGUGGCUCGAGCGAGGUCAUGGUGUGACUCUAGUGAAAUCACCGCGCCGUUUGCAUCUUCGAGGCAUCCCACACAACCCUAGACCAAGCCUACAAACUUUGGUUAAUUGCAACUCUAGUCCCUGAACUAUUGGACGUUGACAAUUUGGUCCUUGACCUUACAAUUUUGACAAUUUCAUCCUUGACUUUACAAUUUUGACAUUUUGGUCCUUGGUCACAGAUUUUCCAAUUACAUAUAUUCCUAACAAACUCCCCCUUUGGCAUUCUGUGACAAAAACACAUUUGACAGUCAAGGAUAAAAACAAAUUGACACCAAACUACCAAUCUAUUCUAUUACAUUGGUAAUAUCUUGUUGAAUCUGUUUCCUGAAAAACAAAACUCAAAUACCACGUAAAAACGCAUGUGAAAUGGAAACAGUAAACAGAGACAAGAUAUAAAUCAUAUAUCAUUAAUCAGAUUAAGAAGCAAUAAUAAUGUAUGUCUAAAACACCAAAAACCGACAUUAAGAUUGCCAAAAUAUCAAAAACUUAAUCUAGUUAUAAAAUGACAUAUAUACAUCAAUUUUAUAUCACAGUUAUCAAAAACAAUUAUCUGCUCUAAUAUCUACUCAAUCUACUCUAGUCAAAUUAAUCUAUCUACUCCCCCUUUUUGUCACAAAGGGCCAAAGAUACAGAAACCAACAAAACAAGCUAAGAAGCAGCAUCUGCAGCAUCGGACGAAUCAGAGCCACUCUCAGCACUCGUGCUCGCCUCCAAAUGAUCUCGAAUCAAGCGCAACUGACGCUGACAGACAGCAAGAGCACGACGAAACGUAGUCAUCUUGACGGACUGACGCUCUGAAGCAGCACGUAACUGCGUGAUCUCAACUACGGUACGAGCCUGUUGCUCGAUCAGUGUAGUCAUCGAUCAGUGUAGUCAUCGGACCCAUAAGCGGCACCAAGGGGUCAAUGGGCAAUGUAGCCACCCCAGGCACUGAUGUAGAAGUAGAAGGACCGGAGGAGCUAAGCGGAAUAGCUAGAUGAGGAGCGGAACGAGAAGGAAGAAAGACCCGAGAACCCCUAAUAAGAAUAUCAAAAAUAGGAUCAAGGGGCUCGGAUGAAUCAACAACAUCAAAAAUCGCAGCCGCAGCUGGAGCAUGAGCAGAAGAAGAAGAAGCAGGAAUAUGAGAACGACUCUGAUGUAUAGUCUGUUGUCCAAUCGGACGUCCAAUGCAUCGAGUCAAACUCUCUGGAAAUGAAGCACCUAAGGAUAAAGCUACCCUAUGGAUCAAACAAGCAUAUGGUAACCCGAUCUGACUCCUCGGAGUACGAAACGAAGCCAGAAUCUGCUGGCAAACAAAACUAGGAAGGUCAAUCGAGUCCCCGCGAAGUAGGGCAUAUAGAAAGCGGGCCUGUCCCAUGGGUAAAGAAGAAGUAUGGUCUACGGGCCAUAGGUUCGUGCACACUAUGCGCAACAAAACCUGGCGAUCAGUGGGUAAAGAACCCGUGGCCAUCGCCGUAGGCCCCCCGACAGACGGGGUGUUCAAAAUUGUCGACCGAACAAGGGAGUCGGUCGGAACAAAAGAACGUAAAAUAUAGGGGUACGUAGGAUGGGUAAUCUCAGGAAUACCUAAAGCAAGAGCUACAGCAGAAGGUGUAACUCUAAACGUAUGACCCCGCAGAAAAACCCUAAAAGACGACCCGUCAAUAUCGUGGAUGUUCGCAUAGAACUCCUGAACUAGAAGAGGGGGUGGAGGUGAUAGACCAACAAGCAAAGGCUCCCAACCCCGAGACACUAAGAUGGCAGCUAUCUCUACGGGAAGGUCAGACAAAAUUACCUCACGCUCCAUGAGAACGGGGCGUAAGGAGAACUGGGAAGUGAAAACCUCCUGAGCAGUGGCAGAAAUGAAUCGCGAUCGACUGUAGACGUAGAACCACUAGCUGGCUGGGAAGAGGGACGUGAUCGCUUACGGGCCAUCUGGCACACGUAAAGAAGCAAGAAAUGAGAUACAUGAAAAAUGCACGUGAAACGAUGCAAUGUGACAUGGCACACCGUGCACACAAAUGAGACACAAAAAUGAGACAUCGAAAAAUGCGAUCGACCCUAAGACCAAAGUUAUCACGACCCUGACACUCGACCAAGAAUAUGCACACAAUUCCAAUGGAGAAAAAAAUGCAAAAAGAAAAAGAACCAACCAUGCCAAAGAAGGACAGAAAUAGUUAAGUCAAUUCAUCGAACAUGUGGCGUGAGACACUUCGGCACGAAUUUCCAAGCACACAAGAAACGUAACCAUGUAACCAAAUACAAAAUCACAAACUAGGCAACAUGCUCUUCACAAAGAAACAAACCACACGCAAAACGGAGUUACGGAAUGGAAGAACCAAAGCGAUGAACAUGGAUGAAAAUCACACAAAACAUAAGUAAAACACAAGCACAAAUCAAGCAAAAAUCACACAAUGCUAUGUAAUACAUGAAUUCAACGUGCAAGAAACUUCAAUCCAACGAUGCUAAACAUGCUAGAGGCUACGAACUCAUGUAAUAGAAGCAAUAAAUCAAACAAAAUGGAAAGAGAUGAGGAAAAAUAAAAAAAAACGAAAAAAAAUGAAAACAAAUGAAAAAACCUACCUCAAUUGACGUUCAAAAUGGAAUUUUGAUGUUGAAAUUGGGUGCUAUAGCUUCGAAACAAUCAAUAUAGAAGAUUUGGAGAAAGCCCCGCCCUCUCUUUUCAGGUUGCACGUAUCUGUCGGAGUAGCAGAAACACUAAAGGUCGUAGAUAGAUUCAUGAGGCAUUAUUCCACCACCAUUUCAUAACGUGAGGCUUGAAUCAGGGCCUUAUGCUAACUUCAAAUAUGGGGCCCUAUGAAUAUUAAGCUCCAGGUAGAUAGAAAUUAAAAAUUAUACUUUUAGCAGAUUUUAAAGAAAAGUUGAUGGAAUGUGUGGCUCAAAAAUUGUGGAUCCUAUGAAAUGUGUGGUUAAACUUAAUUAUUGACUUUUACUUAGAAAAUAGUUAAAUACAAUUUAAAAAUAAUUAAACAUAAUCAAGAAAAUCGGAAGAGAACAUACAAGAUUUAAAUCAAGAAAAUUGGAAGAGAACAUACAAGAUUUAAACUCGUGUACAAACAUUAAAAAAGGGUAAAAUAUAAUAAGUGGAUCGAAAAAAUUCCAAAGCAAAUUACAUAACACAUAGAAGCAUCUGUUUAAUUAAAACAUUAAUCAAUACAAUUACUCUGGAAAACUGGAAAAAAUGGGACAAAUAAGACGAAAUGCAAGAACCUAGAGAGAAAUGAAUAUCAUUGCUUUUAGCAGUAGCUCCUUGAAUAGGUAUAAGACCCACCAUGAGAAAAAUUAGAAAAAUUAUCAACAGUAAAUUUUAAAGAGAGAAAAGUGACAUUUUGUUUCUUGUAAAGAGAAGGAAAAAAAUAAUGGUUGGGAAGAUAAAUAGUCAAAUUUAGUAUAUAUAAAGAAAAUAAUGGUUGUGAUAUAUUUAUGUGAUACAUAAAUGUAUGUGAUAGGUUUUAUGCCAUUUAUAUGAAUUUUAUACAUGUGUUUGUAUUUUCAAAUUUUAUUAGUUUCUUGUAUUUGCAUAUGAUAAUUUUAAUUUAAAGAGUUUUGUAAUUGUAAUCUUCGCUUUUCUUCAACCAGUCAAUUUUAACCUUACAUAAUUUGGAGCCUUCAUUAAAGCUAGACCAUAGUCGAUUGCAUAUGUUGCCUAUAGUCAGGGUUGGCUCUGCAUUUGAUCAACUUGGAUCAAUGUUUGAUUUUCGACAUGGCAAGUAUGAAGUUUAAAAUUCCCUUUUUGGACCAAAACAUUGGACUUUUUUAUGAUAGGCUUUUGUUUGUAAGCUGGAGGAAAAUCAAUGUAAGGAUUUAUUUGUGAUUUUAUUGCUCGUGGUGAUAACUGGAGCAAAUUUGGUACUCAAAGUAAUCAUGCUGAGCAGGAUUAAUCUGUUGAUGUUCAGUUAAUGAAUUUACCCUAGUUGGGCUUUGUGGAAGAUGUGGAGAAUUUUGUUGAAGAAUUUUUUAUUCUCGAACGCGCCACCUUUUGCCAGACUCUUUAUUGUAUUAUAUUCUCCUAGUGUGUCAAGGAUUCUUUGAUUAUAAUUAUGUAGUGUACAACACAUACUGAGAUUAACCAAUUGUCCAACUUAUUAGUUUGGUCAGGAUAGAUCCCUUGUAAUCCUUACUUUUGAUUAUAGUGAAUUUUCUGUCUCUAUCCAUGGUUUUGUCCAGUUGGGUUUCCACAUAAAUCUUGUGUUCUUGUGUUUGUUUAUUUUCAUAUUGCCUAUAUCUCGCCCUUAAUUGAUAACAUAACAGAAAAAUGGAAGAGGACACAGCUGCACUCCUCAAUUGCAUUGACACCUCAUGCGGACAAAUCGUGAGAAUUUGGAGACAGUUACUGGAAGCAUGCAUUUUACUAACAGAAUAGAAAUGAAGCAAAUAUUAAGCUAAUUAUUUAUAGGGACACCAUGGUUGGGUUCUGUAUUCAGGCAGGAAAGACAAUUGCUUUUGAUUUCUUUUUAGUAAAAGUUGCUGGUUAUGUGCUUCAAGAUGGUGCACCUUUUGCUAGCAGGCGUGGCUAGACAUUUACCUAAUGAAUUAUCUGAGAGAUUCGGAGGAUGAGAAGAGUGGCAAAACAGUGUUAAUGUAUUUAGGACCAUGAUUCUGAGGGGGUUCAAUCAAUAUUGGAAGAUGUGGGGGUGUAAGCGAUGGUUCAUGGAACUUGUUGCCAUAUUUAUUUGCGACAUUUAUGGCAUCUAUGUAAAACCAAUUAUUUUGUGGCCCAUGUAAUAUUAAAGAAUUAAUUAAAGGUGGUUAAUAUUACUAAAAUUCUAUUGGCCCAAUUGAGAAGUGAUAGUUUUAUAAUUGUAUACUUUGAAGGAAAGUGGAGAGUUUUAUGGCUCAUAGGAGAUUGCCUCUCUCUGCCUAUAAAUGUGAAUGAAAUCCAUCAGUUAAUUCAUUCAAUCACAGAUAGGGAAAGUGAGAGAACAGUUUCUCUAAUUUAACAGUUUCUUAUUUUGCUGAUCUAAAAUUCUCAAUUAUUGCAAUGGAUUAAUGUAUGUUUCUUGAUUUCAUAUGUGAAAAUCAUGAAUUCUAAAGAUCUUGGCAUUAGGGUUAAAUUUAUUAAUAUGGUAUUGAGCCAAGUUGAAGAAUUUUUGAUUUUCCUUAAAGAUAUAUUGUUUUACGUAUGAGAUCUUUAAUUUCUUAUUAAUUUAUGGAUCAGAUCAUUACAGCAAAUCUCAUUUGCUAUCUGCAUCGAUUAAUUGGUUUUUCCAUGGAUCCGAUUUGGGGAGACUAUAUCGUGUUCAAAUUAAUUGGCUUUUCCAUGCAUAUGAGAGAAAGAGACAGCCCUUCAAAGUCCAUUAUUUCGACUAUGUGCUCCUGUUUGUCAUUAUUAAUUAUUCAAAGUUUAAAUAAAAAAAAUUAAAAGAGGGGCAAAAACGUGUAAAAUUGAAAUUGCAGAAACCAAUUAAUGCAUGAAAACAUUUGCAAGACACAUACUGUUUCUUUCUAUAAUCCCAUGGCCCAAUUAAACCCCAUCCUUGGAAAAUCAAAUGAGGCUGACAAUUUCCUAGAAUGUCGUACUGUAGGUAUAUGUUUCUACCAUAUACGUUGAGUUGUUUAAGAAAAUGUCAGUCCCUCGUAUUGGUUUAAGGUAUAACAUUGGCUGAAGUUUAUGCAUUUGUGUUCAAUAUAGGUGAAGUACAUAUAUAUUGACUGUUUUUGGCAAUUGGACAUUUAUUGUUUCAUAUUUAAAUUUGAAUUAUGAAUUAUAUUAGAUUAUGUCUAGUUUAAUUACUUAUAUUAUUCACAUUUUAUUUAUGUAAGUAAUGUUCGAUUGAUGUUGUUUGUUAGUCACCAAAGUGGCCAAACAUUAUGGUAUUUCGAACACUAAAUUACAUAAUUUAUUUUUCAAUUACUCCUGAUAGUUUGAUGCUUAUAAAUGAAAAUGACUUUAUUAUUGGUGUCAAGAGUAUAUUGACAUUCAUAUAUUAUAAAAUUAUUAUAGAUCGCCCAAAGGUUGAUCAGUUAAUUUUAUUAAUCUUGAACAUAAUCGCGAUUAAUUGAUUUACUUGGUCGGAUGUGUUUUGUAUAUCCAAAGAUAUCAUACAUGUUUGAUUAGAGUAUAUUUAAUUACCAAUUAAGUGAAAUUAAAUUAGCAUCAUUAUAUUUAUUAUGAUGGUAUAAUGUAAUAUCACCCAAAGGAGAACUACGCUAUACAUUUAUUGUUAUCUGAAUCAGAAAUUAAAACUCAAAGUAUUAUUGUUAAAGCAUUUUAUAUUUUACAGUAUCUGUUCCCGUUUCUCUGCAUUCGCAUACUUCAUUUGCACCACUGUUCAAUGGACUCAAUUUCUCUGACUAGUGUGAACAAGUCCAGUUCAACUUAGGUGUUUUGGACUUGGAUUUGACAUUUCAAGUUGAGAAACCUGCUGAUCUUACUGAUGAGAGCAGUACUGAUGAAAGAUCAUUCCAUAAAGCUUAGGAAAGAUCAAACAGAUUAAGCUUAAUGUUUAUGCGGAUGACCUUAGCACAGAAUAUCAAGUCUACUAUUCCUAAAACUAAGAAUGCUAAGGAAUAUAUGAAGUUUGUAGAAGAAUGUUCCCAAACAGCUGACAAAUCACUUGCUGGCACACUGAUGGGUACCUUAACCACCAUGAAAUUUAAUGGUUCUAGUACCAUGCAUGAGCAUGUUACUAAAAUGAGUAACAUUACAGCAAGACUUAAGACUCUUGGGAUGACUGUGGAUGAGAACUUUCUGGUACAAUUUAUCAUCAACUUCUUGCCUCCCGAGUACGGUCCAUUCCAUAUGAACUAUAAUACCUUAAAGGAUAAAUGGAAUGUGAAUGAAUUGCACAGUAUGCUCGUGCAAGAGGAGACAAGGCUUAAGAAUCAAGGAACUCAUUCUAUUCAUCUCGUAAGUCAUCAAGGAGCUCGAAAGAAAUAUAAGAAAAUAUCUGAAAAGGGCAUUAAGCAAGGACCACUAAAGAUAAAUGAGUCUUCUACCCAAGUCCACAAUAAGGAGCACAAGAAGGAUAUGUGCCAUUUCUGUCGCAAACUUGGGCACCAUAAAAAGGACUACCUGAAACGUAAGGCAUAGUUUGAAAGUAAAGGUAAGAUUAUUUCUUAUGUAUGUUUCGAAUCUAAUUUGGCAGAAGUUCCUUAUAAUACUUGGUGGAUUGAUUCCAGAUGUACCACUCAUGUUACUAAUAUGAUGCAGGGAUUCCUUUCAACCCAGACCAUAAAUCCAAAUGAAAAGUUUGUCCUCAUGGGAAAUCGAGUCAAAGCUCCAAUUGAAGCCAUUGGAACUUAUCGUUUGAUUUUAGAUACUGGACAUCAUUUAGAUUUAUUUCAGACUCUUUAUGUACCUUCUAUUUCUCGUAAUUUAGUUUCCUUAUAGAAAUUUGAUCCUGUUCGAUAUUUCUUUGAUGGUGGAAAUGAAUGUUUAAAUUUGUUUAAACAAAAUCAUCUUAUCGGUUCCGCUAUUCUUUGUGAUGGCUUAUAUAAAUUAAAGCUUGAUAACCUCUUUGUCGAGACUCUUUUGACCUUGCAUCAAAAUAUUUGUACUAAACGUGGUUUACUGAAUGAACGAUCUACUAACUUGUGGCAUAAAUGUUUGGGUCACAUAUCCAAGGAAAGGAUAGAAAGAUUAGUAAAGAAUGAAAUCCUUCCUGACUUGAAUUUUAGUGAUCUUGAAACUUGUGUGGAUUGUAUUAAGGGUAAAACAACCAAACACAUAAAAAAAGGAGCCACAAGAAGCACGCAGCUUCUUGGAAUAAUAGACACCGAUAUAUGUGAACCUUUUGAUGUUCCAUCAUUUGGUGGGGAAAAGUAUUUUAUCACCUUUAUCGAUGAUUUUUCAUGCUAUGGUUACAUCUAUCUACUACAUGAAAAGUCUCAAGCUGUAAAUGCUUUAGAGAUUUUUAUCAAUGAAGUUGAAUGGCAAUUAGACAGAAAGGUAAAAAAUUAUUAGAUCUGAUAGAGGUGGUGAAUAUUAUGGAAAGUAUGAUGAAACUGGACAACACCCUGGUCCAUUUGCUAAAUUUCUUGAAAGUCAUGGCAUAUGUUCUCAAUACACUAUGCCAGGCACACCACAACAAAAUGAUGUGGCUGAAAGGUGUAAUCGUACUCUAAUAGAAAUGGUUAGGUGUAUGUUAAGCAAUUCUUCUUGACCCAUAUCUUUGUGGAUGUUUGCAUUAAAGACUGCUAUGUAUCUGCAAAACAGGGUUCCUAGUAAGGCAGUUCCAAAGACUCCUUUUGAACUGUGGACGGGAAGGAAACCCAGUUUAAGGCAUCUGCCUAUUUGGGGUUGCCCGGCAGAAGCAAGAAUUUAUAAUCCACAUGAAAAGAAACUGGACUCAAGAACAAUCAGUGAAUUUUUUAUUAGUUAUCCAGAAAAAUUAAAAGGGUAUAGAUUUUAUUGUCCUAACUGUAGUUCAAGAAUUGUUGAAACUGGAAAUGCUAGGUUCAUUGAGAAUGGGAUAGUGGGAGUUUUGAACCACGAAAUGUGGAAAUACAAGAAGUUAGUGUUCAAGUUUCUCUACCCUCAACUUCUUCUAAUGUUGUUGUUCCUCAAAUUGUUGAACGACAUGAUAAUUCUCCUGAACAACAAAUAAAUGAUCAAACACCUCACAAUGAAGUUGCCACCGAUGAACCCGCUUUAAAUGAACCACAAGAUAUAGCAUUAAGAAGGUCACAAAGACAACAUAGACCUGCUAUUUCUAAUGAUUAUGUGGUUUACCUGCAAGAGUCUGAAUUUGACUUGGGAAUUAUUGAUGAUGGUCCAGUUUCAUUUUCACAGGCCAUUGAGACCGCUAAUUCUAAUAAGUGGUUAGAUGCUAUAAAAGAUAAGUUGAAAUCUAUGGAACAUAAUGAAGUCUAGGAUCUCGUUGAAUUACCAGAAUCAUGUAAAAGAGUUAGGUAUAAAUGGGUCUUUAAGACCAAGCACGACUCUAAUUGUAAUGUCGAACGACAUAAAGCUAGACUUGUUGCUAAAAGUUUUACUCAGAAAAGUGGCAUUGAUUAUAAGGAGACAUUUUCACCAGUCUCUGAGAAAGACUCACUCAGAAUUAUAAUGGCUUUAGUAGCUCAUUAUGACUCAGAACUAUAUCAAAUGGAUGUGAAAACUGCCUUUCUAAAUGGAAAUUUAGAUGAAGAAGUUUAUAUGGAUUAGCCUGAAAGUUUUUCAAUUAAAGGAAAGGAACACAUGGUGUGUAAGUUAAAGAAAUCAAUAUAUGGACUUAAACAGGCUUCCCGUCAAUGGUAUCUUAAGUUCAACGAUACCAUUACUUCCUUUGGAUUUAAGGAAAAUGUUGUUGAUCGAUGUAUAUAUCUAAAGGUCAAUGAGAGCAAGUUUAUAUUACUGAUUUAGUAUGUUGAUGAUAUCUUACUAACUACUAAUGAUUUUGGUCUGUUAUACGAGACUGGGAAAUUUCUCUCUAAAAAUUUUGAAAUGAAAGACAUGGGAGAGGCAACCUAUGUGAUUGGAAUUGAAAUAUUCCGUAAUAGGUCACAAGGAUUGUUAGGGUUGUCUCAGAAAGCAUAUAUCAAUAAAGUUUUAGAAAGAUUUAAUAUGAAAAAUUGUUCAGCGAGUGUUGUUCCAAUUCAGAAAGGAGAUAAGUUUAGUCUCAUGCAAUGUCCUAAAAAUGAAUCGAAACGCAAACAAAUGACAGCUAUUCCUUAUGCAUCUCUUGUUGAGAGCUUAAUGUAUGCUCAGACUUGCACCAGGCCAGACAUCAGUUUUGCUAUCGGAAUGCUGGGCAGGUACCAAAGUAACCCGGGACUUGAUCAUUGGAAAGCUGCAAAGAAAGUACUGAGAUACUUGCAAGGAACGAAAGAACAUAUGCUCACUUAUAAGAGAUCUGAUAACUUGGAGGUCAUUGGAUAUUCAGAUUCGGACUUUGCUGGAUGUGUGGAUACUAGAAAGUCCACAUUUGGCUAUUUGUUCCUCUUGGCUGGAGGGGCUAUAUUAUGGAAAAGUGCGAAGCAGUCAAUCAUUGCUGCAUCCACUAUGGAAGCCGAGUUUGUGGCAUGCUUUGAGGCCACAGUUCAAGGAAGUUGGCUGUGAAACUUUAUGUCAAGACAUGGGAUCAUCGACAGUAUAACCAAGCCACUGAAACUUUAUUGUGAUAAUUCUGCAGCAAUCUUCUUUUCAAAGAAUGACAAGUACUCUAAAGGUGCUAAACACAUGGAAUUGAAGUACUUUGUCGUUAAAGAAAAAGUUCAAAAACAAGAGAAGUCAAUCAAGCAUAUUAGCACCAAUUUUAUUAUUGCAGAUCCAUUAAUAAAAAAAUUGUCACCAAAGACAUUCAAUGAACAUGUCAAAAGGAUGGGAAUUAUUGAAAAUUAUCUUUAACAUUAUUAUGUGAUUUAUGAUGCUUAUGUAUUGACAUUUUGAGCUCAUUUAUAUAUUGUUUUUGACAAAAUAUUAUUCCUGUCAUAACUGUUGCUACAUGUAUGUGAAUGGAUUAUGUGAAUGCUGACAGGGAUAGUCUUUUCGAAGACAUUAUUGAAAUGUAAUUAUCAAACUUCUCAUUAUGUGUCAUGUUGGGUAGGGACUAAUAUUGUAGUACAUGGAAGGAAUUAUACUUAUAUGAUGGUGUAAAACCGCCAUGACUCUUAUUAGUCUUUACUUAAGGAUGAUAUAUUAAGUGGCUAAUGUAUGAUGGAUUUUAGCUCAUGGUAUGCACAUUAUGUUAUAUACCACAUAACAAAGCAAUAUUACAUGAGCCAAGUGGGAGAAUGUAAAACCAAUUAUUUUGGGGCCCAUGUAAUAAUAAAGAAUUAAUUAAAGGUGGUUAACAUUACUAAAAUCCUAUUGGCCUAAUUGAGAAGUGGCAGUUUUAUAAUUGUCUAGUUUGAUGGAAAGUAUAGAGUUUUAUGGCUCAUAGGAGACUGUCUCUCUCUGCCUAUAAAUGCGAAUGAAACCCAUCAAUUAAUUCAUUCAAUCAUAGAGAGGGAAAGUGAGAGAACAGUUUCUCUAAUUUAAUAGUUUCUUAUUUUGCAGAUCUAAAAUUCUCAAUUACUGCCAUGGAUCAAGGUAUGUUUCUUGAUUUCAUAUGUGAAAAUCAUGAAUUCUAAAGAUAUUGGCAUUAGGGUUUAAUUACUUACAAUCUACAAUCUAGAAGACUACUGCUUUCAAUGUUGACACUGGAGGAUUCAGCAACAAUGUAAACUGCUUGGCAAGUUACAAGUACUUGAGUAGUCUGAGAAAUAAAAAAAUGAUUAGAUACACCUGGAGAUUAUUUUUCCUCUUCGUUCACUGUUCUUUGCUAUUGAAGUUGUGUCAUACAGCCAUAUUUGAUUAUUUAUGGUUACAUCUAACUAAACAGUUAAGUGUUUAUCUUGAUUAUGUUGAAAUAUGUGAUGAAGCUUCCCACUCUACAUAUAAAUAAACUCUCUUUUACAGUCUUACUCAAACAGGCAUAUCAUCUUCUCUAGUUAUUUUACUGACCUACCAUUAUCAUUUUAUAUAUUCGGAAAAGGUAGAAAACGUGUUUACUACAAUCAUCUUAGUUCUUUUCAGUCAUAAAUAUUGGUCUAUGAUUCCUGUUUUUUAGUCCUUGGGUAGUUAAUCUAUCAGAUAUUGUCAGUGUAAAGAUAUGCCAACAAUGGAAAUAUGCUCUAAUAUUUUUUGCUCCUCUGGCUGGUUGGUUAUUGUUUUCGAUAUGAAUUUUCUUUUGUCAAGUGCAUUUGCUCAGUGAUUGCAGGUAGUGGAUUUGUUAGACUAGAAAGUGAGUAUCAACAGAAACACAAUCUCUCGAAUGGCCAUGUCCCUGAAACUUUUGAUCCUGAGACAGAGAAUAGUUUUUCAGCAGAAGCUAGUGUAAAGUCCACAAUGCAGCUCUUUAUCAAGUUCUCUGUCGAGAUUAGUUCGGAAUCUUGAAAUGAAAACGAUAGGUAACACAAUGAUAUUUGCUUGGAAGUUAGAUAAGUACGUUUUUACAUACUUAUUCGGUCUACAAAAAACGACUAAUUGUUGAUGAAAUUGGUUGAAUAUGGCUUAAUUCCAUGCAAAUUUUGUUUUGUAGGACAACAUUGAUGAAUAUGGCGGAAUCUAGGUAAAACAAGUGAAAAAUGAUCAAAAUGGAAGAAAAUUAAAGUUCAAGGACCAAAAUGCAUAUAAUCAAAAGAUGACCGGGAAACAUAAACAAGGAUGUGAAAGAGUUAAAAACAAAUUUAGUAAGGAUUUGAAAUAUUGGGAGAAGAAAAAAAGAAAAAGGAUCUACAAAGAAUAAAGAAUUGAAUUCUGGGAUCAAAAUGCAACAUUCGAAAGUUUUUAUAAGUGGACGAUAGCCCAAUUGUUUUGAAUGGGUAACUGCCUAACAUCAAGGAACAAUUACUGAGGCGAAGAUUUUAGCCUAGUCAUCGCAGCGAAAGAAUUAUAGUUUUCUUAUUUGACUGAAAUUCUUAUGGAAACAAAUCUUAAGAUGUAUUUUAAAACCCUAGGGCCAUUCCUAAACAGGGGAGGACGCAUUGAGAGAGAAAAUAACACAUUUUGGAGGAGAUUUUGCACUACAAUAACGAAGAGAGACGCGAAGAUCAACGAGAUUACACGCCAAUUCUCACACCUGUGAUGUCAUUUCUUAAAAUUAUUGUGUAUUUUGUUAAUUUCUCUAUGCUAGGCUAGAUUUUCAUGUACUAGGAGAUCGAUGAACCUUGUGAUAUAACUUUUUAAUUUCUAGUUUUGCAAUUUUGACAUCAAACACAUUCUUGAAUUUUGAAUGAUUAAUACACAAUUAGAUGCUUCCAUGAUUAUAGGCCCGUAAUUGUGUGAGUGUAUUGACUUAUUUCAUGCAUUCGAGAGAAGGGGAAUGAGGUCGACAGGGUAUAAAUCAUCGUAUGGUCCGAUAGCGGAUAGAGAUAUAUCGUUAUGCCAUGCGUGAAUCUUUAAGUGCUCACAAACUUACAUGCAUUCUUGUAUAUUUGCACCCGCCAUAGAGAUAUAGGUUGAUGGAAUAUUAGUAUAGGUUCAACUUUAUUCGAGAGGCUGUUGGAUAGAAUUGGGGGGCAUUGAUUCUUCAAAAAUUCAAUGUGUUGUCAAUUUACGAAACUUGGGUUAAGAGUGAGCAUUGCUUAGGGAUUCGUGAUCCUGUUGCGCUUCAUAUUCAUUGAUUACAUCAAAAUUGCAUUCAAACAUCCAUUUUGCAUUCUAGUUUGUUUGAGUCAUACAUAGUUGCAUAUUAGGUUAAGGUUAAAUUAAGUAAAUACAAAUCUCGUUUGAAAAUUCGGUUUCGGUUAAUGUCGAGUUAGAUAAAAUUAAACUACUCAAUCUUGUGGGACGACAUUCGGACUCUAUUUUUCAUUUUAUUACUUGUUGCGAACUGUACACUUGCGGAAACAAAUCAAAAGAAUAAUUUUGUGAACAAAGCUUAUGGUAUCUCAGUAAAAUGUUAUGUUAAGUGGCAAACACAUAAUCUGGUAAGAUGAUAAUUCUCCUUUAUAUGCCUAAGUAACAGUAUUAAUUGGUUGAAACUUUUAUCAACUGAUUCGGGAUCAUUUCCAUACUCGUGCCGUUGAAAAGUCAAAUGAAAUGACAUUUGGAAAAUUGAUACGUUUUGUUUCUGUCGUGAAAUGCCUUUUUUUUUUUUUUUUUUUUUAAUUUUUUUUUUUUUUUUUUUAAUGUUUUUAGUUUUAUUCAUUUGCAAACGUCUCUUUUGGUUGCAAAGCUGAUCUCAUUUUGGCAAUAUAUAUGUCCAGUUUUGUUCAUUCAUAAAUUGUCCUAACGUAUCAAUCUAAAUCUUAAGUUCCAUGAUUAGUUUAACAAAUUUAGUGUACUAAAGAAAAUUCAUCAUCAAAUAAAUAAAUAAAAUAUAAAAUUUAUACUAACCGAAAAUUAUGUCGCAAACAAAAUAAAAAUAAUUCAUAAGUCAGUAGUAUUAUAAGGAAAAAAAAAAAGGGAAAAAAAAUUAUUUUUCUUAAUUCUCAAUAUCUCUAAAAAAUACAGAAAAAAUAAAUUUUUCUAAGUUACAACAACAAAGCAUCAUCGUGAUGACCAUGAUAAGUGUGUGCAAAUGAUUAACAUUGAUAUCUUGUUGAUAAUUUCAUCUGCAUCAUCAAUAUAUAUUGAUUUUAAUCAAAGUUAUGUGUAGAAAUUAUGUAUAUAUGUCCAACUAUAAAAUAAAGUAAUAUGUAAGUGUUAAGUAAGUAUAAACAUAUUCAACACAAUAACAACAAAACCCAAGCGCAAAGUCAGAAAUUCAACCAUCCCAAUUUUCGCAACAUAAUGAACUUCUCUUGAAUUAAUUUUGAAAUAUAGAGUCUGAAUCUGGUAAAGUUCACCGGCUUGUCUUCGUAUUUGAAAUGAGAAUUAUUCUUCUUGUACAAUCGGCGUUGACUACCCCAGUCGACAAUGUACUCACGGGAUGGGAGACCCAUGAUUUUUUUAUUCAGCGUGGGCCCUCCUCCCAUGUGUUUAAUUAUAAAUCCCGAUUGUACACAUAGCACAACUGUUGAAAUGAACUAUGAAUAUCCUUAUGAAACCUGAAAUCUUCGCUAAAUUAACAACAUUUGCUCUACAAACCCUUAAAUUUUUAAGGGGAAAAAAAUCUUAGAGUAAACUACAUGAUUACUGAGGCAAAAAAUGAAAUCAAACCAGCCCAGACAUACAAACUGGCAUUUCCUUGGAAGUUCUGAAGCUCGUCCAAAUUUAGAUUGAGUAGCCAUUAAUGUUUAGGUGGGGAUAAUAAGAAUCCUUAUAAAAGUAUAGAUACAAAUGAAAGACUGACAUUACAGUUUCAAGAAGCAUAAGUACAUUCUCCAUGGAUCAAUUCAAUUCAAAAUUUCAAAAAUAUUAUUAUCAUUGAUUCAAUUACAAAUUUACAAGGUAUGUAAAACUCCCUAUCCAACGGAUUGAUGCAUAUAUAAUAACAAUUUUAACUGAAUAGUUUCACUUUCACUGUUCUUUCUCAUAAUCAACUUUAAACUUGGGAUCUCAAUAAUAUUUGUGUUACUUCAUUCAACUGUUAAUUCCACUUUUCAUUUAGCGGAUGUCCCAAAACUAAAGUAUACUUUGAUAAGUAGAAUAAUCUAUGUACUACUUUUCUCUAACUGUAUGAUAUCAUCGACUAAAUAUCAUAAGACAUGAUCUGCACAUAAUGUAUAAAAAUCUCAAUUCCCUAAAAGCAACCAUAUUUUAUGAAUUGGGCAGAGUAAUUAAGGAUCGCAUGCUGCUCGAAAAUGAAAUGAGUUGAAAGGAACUAGCAGAAACGUUUGUGUACUAUCCAGCUUGACAUUAUUCACGUAAAUUAGGAACUUGAAUUUAUCAUCAUCCAUGAGGCUACAAUCUAAUAUUUGAACACUAUUUCUUCAGGUACAAACCAAGAGGUCUAAUUUGUGGAAAAAGGAAAUAAAUCUUUGUUGUCUUACAUGGAACAUAAUGGAUAGUAGCAAUUUCUACAGCCCCUGAUGCAGCUGCAAAACAAUAGGCGGUUUUUCCAUGUGCAUUUAGCAAUGCCAAGUCAUUAGAUUCUUUGUCAAUCUACUAUUCUAAAAUGUAUUAUUAAGAAAUAAUGGGGCUCAAACAAGCCAAAUAGAAAAACUUCAUGAAAUUUCACUAAUUCUAAUAGAAGAUGGCAACUAAGAUUAUUUAAGGAAUAUGAUAAACAAUAAAAACUUUGUUCAUCAAAUAUAUUCGAAUAAUUUAAUUUUUAAAAAUAAAUUAAUUAAUUAAAAAAUUUAAUAACAAUAUUGUCUUACUUAAAUGAAUGGAGGCAUUAAAAUGAAUUAUCAAAAAAAAAAAAUAGAAAAAAAAUUAAAUGGGUAAGUAAAUGGGGCAAUAGCCUUGCCCUGCCUUAAAUGAGCACAGGGCGGGAAAAUGCUAAGCUGUACGCGGGGCGGGCUGCCUCAUUGCCAUCCCUAAUUUGUCAUCAUCCAUGAGGUUAUAAUCUAAUAUUUGAAUACUAUUUCUUCAGGUACAAACAAAGAGAUCUAAUUUGUGGGAAAGAGAAAUAAAUCUUCAUUGUCUUACAUAGAGCAUAAGGGAUAGUUGCAAUGAUGCUUAUAAUUCUUUCCAAGGUCCGUCCUUCAUUUCUGUCACUUUGAGCUAACAAUCCUAAAUGGGUAGAACCAUAAGAUAUGAAACCAUUUCCUUGUUUCCGAGCAAAGCAGCUGCCUUUUCAAGUGGGGUCAUUUCUUGGCUGCCUUGAGUUGUUGGCAAAGUAGGAUUUUUUUUUACGUACACGACCUUGACAAUUUCUAUAACCCAUGAUGCAACUGCAAAGCAAAAGGUUGUAUUUCCAUGUGCAUUUGGCAAUGCCAAGUCACUAGAUUCUUGACAAAUUCAGUUUGCUUGGUGACAGCAGCUAUGCGAAGAGGCCUAUUUCCUCUUUCUUUUUUCUCUAUACAAGCUACAAUAGUGUCCACAUUAAUAACAAUUUCAACAGCCUUCCAAUCAAUCACCUCCUAGAGCAGCUGGGUAUAAAAAUGCAGGAACCUUCAGUGUACUUAUACUAUGUAGCACGUAUAAAAUUAGAGGACAUUCCCAUGUGCGAAACAUAUACAAUGCAUCAACUCUUAAAGUCUACUAGUAGAAAGGAGAACAAUUUUAUCACUCAAUACCAAAUCCAUAACUCUCGAAAAUACUAAUGAGUCUAGAAAAAUUCCAAAAUCUCAUCUAAAAUAAUUUUAAAACCAUCUUUUUUUUUUUGGCGCACUUUUAAAGGAUAGUAAUAGAUUUCAUGUAUCUUUUCUAUGCAAAUGUGAUACUAUACACAUUUGCACUUCACUAAUUUGCUCGACUUUGGCACUGGUUUAUUGAACUCAAAAACUGACUGCCAAAAGCUCUUAAAUAUUGGGCAAGGAUAUUGACGUUCAUAUUGAUAUUGGAUAUUGGAUUUUCAACUCUAAUUUCAAUCUGGCUAGGCGUCUGUUAUAAAUGUGAGUGAGAUAAAAGCAAUUAAAAGCACAACAAAAUAUUAAUAGGGAAACACAUUCUCAUGCAUGAUUAGGGAUAAUAUUUUUUUAAUUAAAUUAGAUGGUCUAAUUAGCAAGGAUUUUGAACCGUCAUUAUAUUCAAAUGUACGAGAAAAUUUUCAGUACUCAUGGAGUAUGAAAAUUAGUAUCUCGUGUCACUACUUAAUUGACAUGUAUAUUAUUAUAUGUUAAGAUUUGGGGUCUCACCUUAAAAGGUCAACAAUAAGAGGAGUAGUUCAAUUCUCUUUAUAAGUUAGUCUAUAUUUUUCAUCUUUAAUCGACAUGGGAUUGAGCAGACCAAUCAUGAAAUUCGUAUGCUCAUUUUUUUGAGCCUUAAUCAGAUCGAAUCGAUCAUUGGAGUUUAGUGGGCUCUAUUACCAUGUUAAGAUUUAGGGUUCCAUCUUAAAAGGUAACCUUAUUAAGAGGAGUAAUCCAAUCCGUUAUAAGUUGAUCUAUGUUUUUGUCAUUAAUCGAUAUGGGAUUUUUAUCCCUUAACAAUCUGAUUCCAAUCGAAAAGUGAGUCUCAAUUAUUUAGUACACAAGUCAAUUAAAUAGUAACCGAGAGUGCUAGAAAUUUCUCUGCCAAGUUCUCCCAAAUGCAUAAACACUUUCUAAACGUUCAGUAAAAAUGACACGAGUUCAAUUGGCAGCAAUUCAUUCAAUUUUCUGAAGUUUUCGCCUCUCCCUUGCUCCCAAAAUUACAUAUAUUUUCUGGUAUUUGGAUCUUGUAAUAUAUAGUAUUAAUUUAUCUUCUUUAUUAGCAUAUUUUCUGGGUUUUGAAUCUUGUUCAUUGCAAUUAGAACAUGGGUAUUGUCUAAUAACCAAAGUGCAUCGAUGCAAGGUGAGUUUUUUUUAUUAGGAAUCCUAGUGAUGAAUAUCGGACCGACAGCCAGGAAAAAAUUCAUAACGGAACAAGUACUACUUGUAGAAAUCCCAAAAUCAAUUAUGGGAUUAUUGUAUGGUAUAAUUAGAACAAAGUUAGGAAAUAUUUUUUUCUUUCUUGAGUUAGAAUAUUAUUUUCCUUUUCUUCACAAUUAUAUUGUAGUAUAUAUUGAGGCAUAAUACUGUAAGAAUAAUGUAUGGACGAGGAAAAAGAUUGUUUCCCAUUGUGUCUUUAUUAACUUUAUGGUAUUAGAGCACAGUUAAAUCCAAAAUCGACUCUUAAUGGUGCAAAACACCACCAAUAGUAAAAACUCAGCCACCUCUGAAAUAGGAACCGGUGAAACUGAAGUCACCCAUACCAUGAAUUCAAUUGGAAGUGAUUGAUGCUACCAAAAAUCGUACCUGUUGAUUUUUCGAGCUAGACGACUGAUAAUGAGCACGAACGAGAUCUUCCGGUACCUGAAAUAAAGGCGUCGAGGUGUGUCCUCAUCGCCCUCCGAUACUUAAGUCAGAGAGAGAAUUUGUGCGUAAGGCUAUGAACUGAAAAUUAUGUUAAACGUACCUGAAUAAUGAUUAAGGGCUUUGUAUUUAUAGAGGUAGGUGGUGUGUUCAUAUUAGGAUUCCGUAGUGCACUUGUAAUAGAACAGCUUGAUUUUGCAAUCUUAUACCAAUGAGUCCUACGCGAGAUAUGAGUUUGAAUUGUGGUAUAAUUGGGAUAUCAAUUAUCUAAUAGAGUUAUUCUGGACAUAGGAGACAUAGGUUGAGGAGUUUAAGUCAGAAUAAAUUUCUUAUUGGAUAAGGCGUUGACGCCGGGGACAUGUCGAAGACAUAAUCCCGAGGACACGUCGAAUGACAUUCCACAAACUCUUGGGUCAACAGCUCGGGCAUGUGAAAGACAUCCCGAGCACAUAUAUCCCGAGCAUACUGAUACACAAAUCGAUGAAAUAGAGUCCUCGGGUUUGUAUACGUCGGGAACAGUAUUUGGUAACAUCAGUGGCCCCCGUGCACCUGUGCUCGAUUAUAUGCAUGAGGAUAGGUACAAAAGAUCAAAAUUACAGUCCUCAGUAUAAUACCCCCAACAAGUCAUUGCAGAGGAAGGAUUCAUGAGGGCUGACGUCAGAUGUGGUAGUGACUCCAGCCCUAGUACAAAGGCGGUGUAACUUUUAGACCCUAGGAUGUAGGACACAUGGCAUGAUGGAACGGUUCAGGAUGUGACCUUUGGCCUCCCACCCAUGUUUCCCUAUAUAAGCCUCAUUUCCUAUUCAUUUUUUUACUUUUUCACUAUCAGUAAACCUUGUUGGAGUCGUCGGGAUAAGGUGAGUCCUCUGGACUUUAAGUUGUUUGUUUUUAGAAAAGUCUAAAUUUAAGAUAGGAUGUCGAGCAGUGAUAGUGAUACGUCAUCCUCGAGUUCAGGAACCUCAACCGAGGACUUAGGCCAGUCAAUAAUAUCUAUGGCCAUCUCCAUAAGUGUUAAUCCUCGAGCUCAGGAUAUCCCGACAUCGUUAGUAUACCCCGACCAACCGUGUAGGUUUAAGGAGCACUUAGCAGUGGCGACUGCUAGGGAGUUCGGCCUGAUGCCGAACUGUGAUAUUAGAUCUCCCGGGGAUGAGGAUAGGGUAGCUAUUGCUCGGGAAGGAGAGUUUGUCGUUUUUAAAGAUUCUCUGAAGGGGGGAUUUAGGUGGCCGCUGCAUCCUUUUUUCCUCGCACUUUUGAUCGAGCAUAAUAUGAGUCUGGGGCAAUUAGUGCCGAACGGGUGGAGGAUGUUGACGUAUUUUUUUAUUGCUUGUAGAUACCUCGGGAUUAUCCCAUAUGCCGACUUAUGUAGGAUGGUCUUCGUCCUAAAACAACUUCCCCAGUACUCUUGUUUUGCCUAUCUCUCAACCCGAGGAGGGUUUAGAAUCCCGAGGAUGCCUAGCUCCCUGAAAAGAUAGAAGGAUAAGUGGUUUUAUGCUAUACCUCAAGAUCCCGACGUUCCCUUUAGUCCUCGGUGGGGGGUGCCCGAUACUGCUAGGUUUUGUGGGGGUCAGGCGUAUUUUAGUCGUUGGAGAGGCAUAGGCAAAUGCUAGAGGAGCUCGAGCCCUUCGUUUAUGACUUGGAUGAUAUCCUCGAGCUUGUGAACAUGAACGGCAUUGAGGGUAGGAUAUGUGAUUUUAACACUUUAAUUUCCCGACCUAUAUUUUUAUUAAUGCUCGUGCUAAUAACAUGUCAUUUUUUGCAGAAAUGACGUUUGACCCAAGUGCCCUUCGCCAGGCAGUUAGCAAGAAGACAAAGGCUCCCCAGGCUCGGGCUCCAGACCAGAGGAUGGGCCAAAAGAGACCUCGGGAUUCGAAGCUUAAAAAGCAGACCAGUGGGUCAAUGAAUCGUCAAGGCCCAGAGGACCAUCACCGGGAAUAGGGAGGACGGGAACUCAGCAAGAAGAUCUUCUGGGUACUCCUCGAGGGCCUCAUUCUCGAGGACCUAUUGACGUGGUCUACCUUGAGGAUGAAUGCAUGCCAUCGGGCCCUGCUAAUCAUGAGGGAUGCUCCCCGUGUCAGUCCGUGCUCAACAUUGUUGACAAGUACCGGGCAGACGUCGAUUUAAGCAAUGGCUUGAGGCUUCUCGAGGCUAUGGCCUUGAAGAUAAGAUCGUCGACAGUUUUUAUUUUUAUUUUUAUUAUUUUUUGCAAUAUUUACUUCUCGAGGUUAAGUUACCCGCGCUCUUUUUUUCCAGACAUUGGGCAUAGCUUGAGGUCUUUCCUUAAAGGGGAAAGACGAGUCUGCAAAGACGGCCAACCUCGAGGGUGCCGUUUCUGCUCGGGAUCUAAGGAUCGCCGACCUCGAGGAGGAACGUGCUCAACUAAUGAGGAAGCGCGAGCAGAUGAGAAACGACCUUCGAUUGGCUUAGGAUGAGGCCAGUACUACAAAGGACGAGUCUGAGCACCUCAAGCUCGAGCUCGAGCGCACUCAAAAAGAACUGGAUGCAAAGCUAGCCGAUGCUCGAGAUGUUGUAGUCGAGGACUUUAAGAAGUCAUACUUCCAUGCCUUGAAGGAAGCUCGAGCUUUUAUUCGCCUGAGGCCAGAUGCUCGCCCUAAGGAUCUGAAGUUGAUUCCCGAGGUGGCUGAUGACCUUCAGCUUUCUGAGUCUGAAGAAAAUUCUGGGAAUGAAGACGUCGAUAUUGAGGGUGACGAUGUCGAGGAAGGCCAAGGCAGUCAGAACACCGACAUCUAAAGUUGAUCAGUCCCCGAGUAUUUAUUUUGAUUUGUAAUUUUUGAUGUAAAUAGUUUUUCCUUUUUACCGAGCUCAUUUUGUGUUAUCGACGUAUUUUUAUUUCAUUAACAUAUGCCGACAACUUUUGUCAAUUAAUUAUCCCGAUGACUGAGAAGAAUUAAUUAACUCGACGACUAAGAAUAUUAAUUAUCUCGACGACGAAUUAAUUAUCUCGACGAUUGAGAAGAAAUAAUUCGAUUUUAAGCAAGUCAUAAUGCCGAGGACAGUGAUGAAUGUAGGAUAUAGUUUUACACUUGACAGUAAAAAAUAUCUCGACGUCUAAGAUAAAUUAAUUAUCUCGAUGAUUGAGAAGAAAUAAUUUGAUUUUAAGCAUCAUAAUGCUGAGGACAGUGAUGAAUGCAGGAUAUAGUUUAACACUUUGACUGUAAAAUUAUCCCAACGUCAAUAUUGAAUCCAAUCCUAUGAAUACCUCGAGGACUAAUUACGAGGGGUGGUAACCUCGAGGUAUACGAAGAAUUGUGCCCGACCUCUGCACAGGAGUAUAUCCCGAGCUUUCUCUUUAGAACCUCAGACAAAAAUUCAAGGAUAGAUAGUCGGGGAUGUAUGUCCUCAGGAUGUUUACUUGUGCUGCAAGAUUUUGAUAUGCUGAUUAUGGGCUCCAAAGUUUGGGUGCUUGCGCGGGGCAAGGCUUAGGUGCUUGCGCGGGGCAACGCUUAGUUGCUUGCGCGAGGCAAGCCUUAGGUGCUUGCUCGGGACAAGGCUUUGGUGCUGAGAUCACAUAUUUUAAUGAAUAGCUUAAUACUUAAAAAUUGACUUGGCAUGCAGGCCUAACAACUAAAAACGUGAACCUUGGCACGUAGGCCUGACUACCGAAAAAUAAAACUUGGCACGCAGGCCUGACAACUAAAAACAUGAACCUUGGCACGUAGGUCUGACUAUCGAAAAAAUAAAACUUGGCACGCAGACCUAACAACUAAAAACAUGAACCUUGGUAUGCAGGCCUGACUACCGAAAAACAAAACUUGGCACGCAGGCCUGAAAACUAAAAACGUGAACCUUCACACGCAGAUCUGACUACCAAAAAAAUGAAACUUGGCACGCAGGCCUGACAACUAAAAAUGUAAACCUUGGCACGCAGGCCUAACAACCGAAAAGACGAUAAGAAAAAGAAAAAAAACUUAAAGCAGUGCAAAUAUUUACCUGCCAUGUGGUAGGGCGAAUUAUUUGUAAUAAACCUUCAAAUUAUCGGCAUUCCAAGGCCUAGGAAGGGGUCUUCCCGAAGUGUCUCUUAGGCUGUAUGCUCCUUUGCGAACCUAUCGUAUGACCUCAAAGGGUCCUUCCCAGAUGGGCCCGAGCUUCCCUGGGGGGUGACCUGCUGCUUUGGCCCUCCUCAAGACCAAGUCACCAGCUCUGAACCUCCGAGUCUUGACUUUAUUAUUAAAAUGCUUUGCUGUCUUAGUUUGGUAAAAGGCAACCUUUGUAGCUGCUUGCUCCCGUACUUCUUCCAAGAGAUCAAGGUGUUCAGUUGUAUGCCCCGAGGUUUCUGGCUCGAGUCUCUUAUGGCUUGGCAGUUUAAUUUCCACCGGGACCGUUGCUUCAAUGCCAUAGGCUAACAUAAAAGGGGUUUCUCUUGUGGUUGUCCUAUGAGUUGUUUUAUACGUCCAUAGUAUAGAAGGCAGCUCGACGGACCAAGAACCCUUAGCAUUACUAAUUCUUGUUCGGAGGUCUUGUAAUAUGAUUCGAUUUAUUACCUUGGCCAGACCAUUGCUCUGAGGAUGCGAAACUGAAGUCAGACAGUGACCAAUCCUAAGGUUUGAGCAAAAGUCCCUAAACCGUUGAUUGUCAAAUUGCCUACCAUUGUCGGUGAUGAGGACCUUUGGUAUCCCAAACCUGCAAAUGAUAGACCUCCAAGUGAAGGCUCUUAGCUUGGGCUCCGAUAUCAUUGCGAGAGGUUCGGCCUCUGCCCAUUUAGUGAAAUACUCUACUGCUACAGCAAUAAACUUUAAUUGACCACUUGCCACAAGAAAGGGCCCGAGGAUGUCAACUUCCCAUUGUUCAAACGGGGCCGAACAGUUAAUGUUGGUGAGGGCUUUGGUUGGUGAAUGGAUAACAUUACCAAACCUCUGGCACCUAUCACAUCUCUUAAUAUAUUCUGAGGCGUCUUUCUUCAUAGUUGGCCAAUAGUACCCAUAUCGUAUGAGUUUAAAGGCCAGGGCCCUGGCUCCUUGAUGAUUCCCGCACAUACCUUCAUGAACUUCGGCAAGGGCUUGGGAUGAUUCUGAUGGUCUAAGGCACCUUAGGUAUGGAAGAGUAAUACUUCUGCGAAAGAGGACACCGCUAAUCAUGUAGUACCUAGGAGCUCGAGCUCGGAUGCUUCUAGCCAACCUGGCAUCGCUUGGUAGAUUUCCACUUGUGAUGAAUUCUAUGAUUGGGUCCAUCCAAGACGGUUCGUUGUCAAUGUCCAUGACGUCGGGGAUUUGAUUGAUGUUGGGUUCUGUGAUGACUUUAAUGUGAACUUUUCUGUCCAGGCUGUUAACCCCCAUGAACACAAGCCUGGAUAAUGCGUCGGCUUUUUCAUUGUCCUUUCAAGCAAUUUUUGCAAUUUCACAACUCUUGAAUUUUCGUUGAAGAUCCUGAACCUUCAUGCAGUACAAACUCAUUUUCUUGUCUUUCCUUUCAAAUGAUCCUUUAAUCUGUCCGACCACCAGUUGUGAAUCGCUGAAUACCUUCACGAACUUGAGCUCAAGGCUAAGGGCUAGCUCUAGAGCAAUAACGAUGGCCUCGUACUUGGCCUCGUUAUUGGUUGCUUCAAACUCGAACCUAAGAGCACAUUGAAUCUCCGUAUGUUUGUCAGGGCUGAUAAUGAUGACCCCUGCACCAGAGCCCGAGGAGUUCGAUGCUCCAUCUAAAAAAAUUUGCCAAGUGUCCAAAUUAGUGCUCAUGCUCGAGCCGUCACCUGGCCCCCGAGGCCUAGGGGUUAGUUUUGCAAUGAAGUCGGCUAGCGAUUGGGCUUUGAUAGAUGGGCGUGGUUUGAAUUUGAUGUCAAAUUCUCCAAGCUUGAUCGCCCAUUUCAUCAGUCUUCCUGAGACAUCCGGCUUCUGAAGUAUAUGCCUAAGUGGUUGAUUUGUGAGCAUCACAAUAGGAUGAGACUGAAAAUACUGUCGGAGCUUCCGUGCUGCUAUCACCAAGGCAAGGGCAAGUUGUUCUGCCAAAGUAUACCUUGUUUCCGCAUCUAGUAGGACCUUGCUUACAUAGUAGAUAGGUUGUUGGACUCUGUUAACCUCUUUCACCAAGACCCCGCUGACCGCAUUUUGAGAUACGGCCAAGUACAAAAAUAGGGUGUCACCAGGCUCAGGCCUAGUGAGGAUAGGAGGAGAUGCCAAUGUUUGCUUGAGCUCCUAAAAAGCUUUCUCACAGUCUUCAUUCCAAUCAAAGCCUUGGUUUCCUCUGAGGACUUUGAAGAAGGGAUAGCACCUGUCUGAUGCUCGGGUCAUGAACCUGUUCAAGGCUGCUAUCCUACCAGUCAACCUCUGUAUCUCUUUCUUAUUCCUUGGUACUUCCAUAGAUGCCAAGGCUUGUAUUUUGUCAGGGUUAGCCUCUAUCCCCCGGUGAGUGAUCAUAAAGCCCAAGAACUUGCCCGAGGCUACACCAAAUGCACAUUUUGCGGGGUUCAACUUCAUUCUGUACUUUCGCAAGGUGUCCAAAACCUCUUCAAGAUCUGAAAUAUGCUCGUCCACCCGUUUGUCUUGACCACAAUGUCAUCAAUGUACACCUCCACAUUCCUUCCUAUCAAGUUAGCAAAGACUUUGUUGAUGAGCCUUUGGUAUGUUCUCCCUGUAUUCUUCAAACCGAAAGGCAUGACCUUACAACAGUAUAUGGCGGAAUCGGCCAUGAAUGAUGUUUUUUCUUGAUCUUCCUCGACCAUGAGGAUUUGAUGAUAACCAAAAAAUGCAUCCAAGAAGCUGUAUAGCUUAUGUCCAGAUGUGCUAUCCACCAAGUUGUCAAUCCGCGGUAGGGGAUAACUAUCCUUUGGACAUGCCUUGUUUAGAUCUAUGAAGUCAAUGCAGACCCUCCACUUACCAUUGGCGUUCUUUACUAAAACAACAUUGGCAAGCCAAUCGAGAUAUUGGACCUCCCGAAUGAAUUGAGCACUGACGAGUUUGUUAAUUUCUUCACGAAUGACCUCCCGACGUUCUAGGGCAAACUGUCUUUUCCUCUGCUUUACUGGUCUGGCCUCUGGGCUAAUGUUAAGCCUGUGGACUACAAUUUUGGGGUCUAUCCCUGGCAUAUCCUCAACCUUCCACAAUGUUGCGAGAUAAGCACCCAAUAAGUUCUGUCUUUAGGUUGACGUCAAGAUCCCGCCCAAUCAUCACCUUCUUAUCAUGCUUGAGCUCGAUUUCCAUCAAUUCCUUGACAGGAGCAAGUCUGACUUGUUGUCCGAUCUCAGGCUCUGUCCUUGAGAUUUGCAUGACAUCGUUAUUUGUUUCCUGAACACUGGCAACAUAGCAUUGUCUGGCAGUUGUUUGGUCUCCACGCACGACCCCAACGCCAUUGCUUGUUGGAAACUUCAUGGCUAGGUGGAAGGUAGACACAAUGGCUUUGAUUUUGUUCAAGAGUGUUCUUCCCAGAAUAGCGUUAUAGGCCAUUGAGACAUGUGCCACUUGAAAAGAUGUCAUCUCCGUAACCUGUUUCUGGCCAGAACCCAAAGUUAGAGGAAGCUCGAUGACACCCUCUGGAGUGAUGACUCCUCCCCCAAACUCCUGGAGAGGAGUUUUAACAGCUUUUGAGCUGUUGAGAUGAGAUUCCCAUUUUGGCAAAAGCCUCUUGUGAAAGUAUAUUGGCUGCACUCCCGUUGUCAACCAAGAUUCUCUUUACUUCAAAAUUGGCCACAAUCGCUAAGAUGACCAAGGCAUCAUCAUGUGGAAGUGAUACACCUUCCAAGUCCAUGGUUCCAAAAGUAAUAUCCUCCAGCUUUCCAUGAGGCAUCCCAAAGGCCAUUUAAUUGUUUUCUUCCACUGUUUGAGUCUCCUCCCGAAGCAAUACCCCCAAUGAUGAUAUUGAUGGUUCCAGCAGUGGGUUGACCAUCCCUUUUUCCCUACCACGAUCGUUCCUCGAGCGUUUGUCGUUGCCGAUGUAGGAACUCAGGAGUCCUCUUUUAAUAAGGACUUCAAUCUCCCAUUGCAGGGCCUUAUAGGUUUCCAUGGUAUGCCCAUGAUCCCGAUGGAACUCGCAGUACGUGUUCAUGUCCCUGGAUUCAGGUGGUGACCUCAUUCUGGCUGGCCAUUUGAGUUCCUUCAUAUCCUUGAUCUCCAUCAAUAUAUUUAUUUUUGACGCAUUUAAACGCGUGAAUGACGUCGGGAGAACCUCCUGUCUUUGUUUUCUACAAAGUGGUUCUUGACGGGGGUUCAGGUCAUGCUGUCGUUUAUGCUCGACCCUAUCAUGGGAUGGUCCAACCUUUCUCGGGGUUCAGUAUUUUCUCCAUAUUUAUGUAUUUCUCAGCUCAGGUAAGAAGCUCGGUCACUGUCUUUGGCGGAGUUUUGGAUAACGAUAUCUUGAAAGCCUCACACUUUAUGGCAUAUGUGAGGGCAGAAACUGCUGCAGUUAUAUGUAGGUCGGGAAUAUAAAGUCUUUCCUUGUUAAACCUGGUCAUGAAGUCACGUAGGAUCUCAUUUUGCCCUUGUCUAAGUUGCAUGAGGGAAGCCACUGUCUUCCUGAUGCGUUUACUGCUUUCGAAGAAAGCAGAGAACUUGUCCGCCAAAUCCAAGAAUGAGGCUAUGGAGUUGGGCUCCAAGGCCGAGAACCAAUCCCUAGCAGCAUUCGUCAAAGUUUGCGGGAAUGCCUUGCACAUCACCUGAUCCGGUACGACCUGUAGAUUCAUGAAGUCUGUGUAUACGUUAAGAUAAUUGAUUGGAUCGGUGGUCCCAUCAUACUCUUUGAUUCUAGGAUACUAAAAUCUAUCUGGCAAGGGAAAUGUCAAUAACUUGGGAGUAAAGAAAGUGUUGGGACUGAAUCUUAUUGACCCUUUGUUGCCCUGAAGUAGGCCCGUUGUAAUUCCUUCUUGAAUAAUCCUAGCGAGUUCUUUGGACUCCAUGGUCACUGAUCUCGAGGUCGAGGUCACAUGUGGUAUGCCCAAGGCCCCUGCUCCGCCAUUGUCAGGGACAUGUCGCUAAUCUCGAGCUCGAGCAUCAGCCAUAAAACCUCCCUGGGGUACCGGUGUGGGUGACGGAUGCGAAUUUCUUUGACUUAGCAGCUAAGUCAGUGUGGUGACCUGUUGUCUGAGCUCUUUAAAGGCUCCGGUAGUGACGACUGUCGGCUGGGGCUCUGGCACUUCUGAUGAUUCCUCUUGAGGAACAGGGAUAUCCUCAAGAGGAGGUUGGUUUGGAGCGAAUGAGCUUGCUGGUGGAAGACAUGAACGUGUGUUUACCAUGGCUUUUGGUAGUGCUUCCCACAGACGGCACCAAUGAUACUACCAAAAAUUGUACACGUUGAUUUUUCGAGCUUGACGACUGAUAAUGAGCACGAACGAGAUCUUCCGGUACCUGAAACAAAGGCGUCGAGAUGUGUCCUCGUCGCCCCUUCGAUGCUCAAGUCAGAGAGAGAAUUUGUGCGUAAGGCUAUGAACUGAAAAUUAUGUUAAACUUACCUGAAUAAUGAUUAAGGGCUUUGUAUUUAUAGAGGUAGAUGGUGUGUUCAUACUAGGAUUCAGUAGUGCACUUGUAAUAGGACAGCUUGAUUUUGCAAUCUUAUACCAAUGAGUCCUACGCGAGAUAGGAGUUUGAAUUGUGGUACAACUGGGAUAUCAACUAUAUAAUAGAGUUCUUCUGGGCAUAGGAGACAUAGGUUGAGGAGUUUAAGUCAGAAUGAAUUUCUUAUUGGAUAAGGCGUUGACGCCGGGGACAUGUCGAGGACAUAAUCUCGAGGACACGUCGAAUGACGUUCCACAAACUAAUGCGAACCCCGUAGCAACGUUGACUAUGAAACCCACAACGAGAUAUACGAACCCAAGAAAGCUAAAUUAAUCCAAGAGUUUAGAAUUAACCCGAAAGAAAGUCGAACCAAAAAACCCAACAAGAACGAUGCUUGAAAGACCCCUUGAUCACGCAAUCCAAGAAUUAAAUCCGGUUGUUUGAACGCCACAAGUUAACACUUGAUAAGUUCGAAAUUGUUCAAUGAAGAACGAUGAAGAGAAGACAAUACGUCUCACUUUUAAUUCACUAUCAAUAAUGUCAAAGGUUUUUUUUAACAAUUGAAUGGAAACUCCUAUUUAUACUAAACCAAAAAACUAGGUAAAAAUCGUGUAAAAGUUGAGUAUAAUCUCCAAAAUAUGGAAAAAAAAGUCAAAAUGUAACAAAAUAUGGAGAAUUGCCAAAAUUGGAAAAUUCGCCAAAUUUUUGGCCUAUGCGGCCACAUGGUGUAAAUCCAUGCGGUUGCAUGGUUCAACUAAAAUUGCACUUUUGAUUUUCGGUAUGCAUGUGUGCCGUAUGUGGUUUUGCCUGUGCAGUCGCAUGGUGUUGUCUUCAGCCUCCGCUUUCAUCGCUUGAUAACAAAUUGAUCCAAGUUGAUUCGACCUUCGACCCGAACAUGAAAGCUGCUCCAUUUUGAGUCCCGAACAUGGUUCCAUCAAUGGUUUCUUGAACGAGUAUUUCCAUUGCUUGUUUCACUUGCUUUGCCCUUGACUGCGUCAUUGGUCCGUCAUCAACUAUCAACGGGUCUCGUCUCGCACUUGCCUUUGUCGGGCUCGACUCCUGGAUCAUAUCAUCCCCUCCCUCUUCAAAAGGAUUCGUCCUCGAAUCUAAACCUGCAUCAAACAGAGAGAGAUCAGAUACAUUAAAAGUAGCCGAAACAUUGCACUCACCUGGAAGGCCCAACUUGUAAGCAUUGUCGUUUAUCUUUUCAAUCACUUGAAAUGGACCAUCGCCCCUCGGUUGCAACUUGGACUUCCUUUGCUCCGGAAACCGCUCUUUCCUAAGGUGCACCCAAACCCAAUCUCCUGGCUCGAAUGUCACGCGCUUCCUACCUUUGUUCGCCUACGACGCAACCAACUUACUUUUGUUUUCAAUUUGCGCUUUUACCUUUUCAUGGAGUGACUUAACCAAUUCCGCCUUCUUUUUGCCAUCUAAACUACCACGUUCAUUCACAGGUAAAGGAAUUAAAUCCAAAGGAGUUAGUGGAUUAAAACCAUAUACAAUUUCAAAUGGAGAAUAUGACGUAGUGGAGUGAACAGCUCGAUUCUAUGCAAAUUCAACAAAUGGUAGACACUCCUCCCAACUCUUCAACUUUUUAUUGAUUACUGUGCGUAACAAUUGUGUCAUAGUCCUAUUCACCACCUCGGUCUGCCCAUCUGUUUGUGGGUGACAAGUUGUGAAAAAUAGUAACUUAAUGCCUAACUUACCCCACAAAACUCUCCAAAAGUGACCCAAAAAUUUGACAUCCCGAUCCGACACUAUUCUUCUAGGAAUCCCAUGUAAACGCACAAUCUCUUUAAAGAAUAAGCAGCAAUGUUCGUGGCAUCGUCAAUUUUGUGACAUGGUAUAAAAUGUGCCAUUUUGCUGAACCUAUCUACAACCACAAAAAUAGAAUCCCGACCUCUCUUAGUCCUAGGUAAACCCAAAACAAAGUCUAUCGAGAUAUCAACCCAAGGCUCACUAGGUGUAGGUAAAGUUGUGUACAAACCUUAUGGUAAAACCUUAGAUUUAGCCUUUUUACAACCUAUACAUCAACUACAAAUUCGCUCAACAUCACUUUUCAUCUUAGGCCAAUAAAAAUGCUCCUUCAAUACAUCUAAAGUCUUUUGAACCCCAAAGUGUCCCAUCAAUCCACCACUAUGUGACUCCCUUACUAACAAUUCUCGAAUAGAACAAUUUGGAACACAUAACCUAUUUUCUCGAAAUAAAUACCCCUCAUGCCUAAAGAACCUAUCGACCACCCCCUUAAUGCUUGACAAAUAAAUAUCCGAAAAAUCAACAUCUUUUUCAUAUAAUUUCUUAAUAUGUUCAAACCCAAGUAACUUAGAAUCAAGAAUAGUUAGCAAUACAUACCUUCAAGACAACGCAUCCGCCACCACAUUUUCCUUACCUUGUUUAUACCGAAUGAUGUAUGGAAAGGUCUCAAUGAAUUUCGUCCACCGUGCAUGCCUCUUGUUCAAUUUACCUUGUCCCCGCAAGUGCUUUAGUGACUCAUGAUCGGUGUGUAUUACGAACUCCUUCGGCCAUAGAUAAUGUUGCCAAGUCUCCAAAGCUCGAACAAGUGUAUAAAGUUCUUUGUCAUAUGUAGCAUAAUUUAAAGCAGCUCCACUCAAUUUCUCGCUAAAGUAUGCAAUAGGCCUCUGAUCCUGUAUUAAAACUGCUCCAAUCCCUAUUCCUGAUGCAUCACACUCAAUCUCGAAUGUUUUAUCAAAGUUAGGUAAUGCCAAAAUAGGUGCUUCACACAAUAUACCUUUAAUAGUAUUAAAUGCAAGUUCCUGUUCAUCACCCUAAUGAAAACCUACACUCUUUUUAACUACUUCCGUGAGUAGUGCGGUGAUAGUGCUAAAAUCCUUCACAAAUCGCCUAUAAAAACUAGCCAAACCAUGAAACUCCUAACUUCUCUUAUGCUUUUAGGUGUCGGCCAAUCUCUAAUAGCUUUUAUCUUUUCAUCGUCUACUUCUAACCCAUUAGCACUAACCACAAAACCAAGAAAAAUAACUCUAUCCAUACAAAACGUGCAUUUCUUAAGAUUAGCAUAGAGUUGUUCUUUCCUUAAAAUAAUUAGCACACAUUUUAUAUGUUCAAAUGCUCUCCUAGGUUUUUGCUAUAGAUUAAGAUGUCAUCGAAGUAAACCAUGACAAAUUUUCCUAUAAAAGCACGUAAAACAUGAUUCAUUAAACGCAUAAAAGUGCUAGGUGCAUUUGUGAGUCCAAACGGCAUAACCAACCAUUCAUAUAAACCAUAUUUAGUUUUAAAAGCCGUUUUCCAUUCAUCACCCUCCCACAUACGAAUUUGAUGAUACCCGCUUUUAAAUCAAUUUUAGAAAAUAUGCAAGAACCAUGUAAUUCAUCAAGCAUGUCAUCUAACCUAGGUAUAGGGUGACGAUACUUUACCGUUAUGUUGUUGAUAGCCCUACAAUCCAUGCACAUUCGCCAUGUACCAUCCUUUUUUGGUACAAGCAAAACCGGUACCGCACAAGGACUCAUGCUUUCCCUCACGUAUCCUUUGCUCAUCAACUCCUCCACUUGCCUUUGAAGCUCCUUAGUCUCCUCGGGAUUACUUCGAUAAGCCGGUCAAUUUGGAAUGACAGCUCUGGGUAUGAAGUCAAUUUGAUGUUCAAUGCCUCGACUAGGCGGCAAUCCAUCAUGCAUAGCCUUCCUAUCGUAUUGCCAUGGUCGCCCCAAUAAAAUAUGUCCCGCUUGCAUUGGUACCACAUCACACACUAACUCAUCCUUAUAACUCUGAAUUGACAAAUUAAUUAACACUCUUCGAUUCACCCUCACCUCGCCACUCUCAUUCAACCAUUGCAAUUUAUAAGGUCUCGGGUGUCUCAACAAUGUUAAACCCAAUUUUUCUACAAGAGAUACGCUAGCUACAUUAGUACAACUAUCACCAUCAAUUAUAACACUACAUACCGUAUUGUUGACGUAGCAUCGAGUGUGGAAAAUGUUCUCCCGUUGCAACUCCAAGUCAUCCGCUUUGACGUGAGUAGUGAGAGCUCGCCUUGUGACUAAUAGAUCCCCAACAGGCCCUUCAACUUUUUCUUCUUCACUAACACCCUCCAACGUCGGCAUGUCAUCAAACUCGCCAUCACUAUCGCUCGUAAACUCUCCAUUAUCCCGCAACACCAUCGCCCGUUUGUUUGGGCAUUGAGAAGCAAUAUGCCCUGUUCCCAAACACCUAAAACAUUUGAUGUCCCGAUUGCGCGACGGUUGUGCCUUCGAUUUUGAUAUUGGUUUGCUAGAAUUUUCAUCCUUGCCCUUUUGCCAAUCAUUUUUACCUCUAGGUGCAGCCCCAUUUUUGUUGUUGUCAUCCCACUUCGAUUUCCAUGUUAGAUUAGGAGUCAAAGUACCUAAUGGUUGCCUAGACGUCCCCUUCCUCUUCAAUUGCCUCUCAACCUUCAUUGCCACAUGUAACAUGUCCUCGAUUUCCAUAUAGUGUUACAACUCUACAACAUUUGCAAUAUCCCAAUUUAACCCAUUCAAGAACCGUGCCAUGUUAGCUUCCCGAUCUUCCUCCACAUUAGCCCGAAUCAUAAGAAUUUCCAUCUCCUUGUGAUAAUCCUCUACGCUUUUCGAUCCUUGGUACAAACCUUGCAAUAUUUGAUGGAUUUUCCUAUAAUAGUGACUUGGAACAAACCUCCUCCUCAUCAACAUCUUCAACUCAUUCCAAGUGCUAAUUGGUCUUUCCCGACCCCUAGGCCAUGAUGUCAGUACUUGAUACCACCAAGAUAUUGCGUAAUCCACAAAUUCAAGCACAGCUAAUUUUACCUUUUUCUCCUCCGAAUAAUUAUAGCACACAAAAUCAUCUCAACCUUUCUUUCCCAAUCUAAAUAUGCUUCCGGGUCGCUUCUCCCCUUAAAUUGCGGAAUAUUCAUUUUAAUACUUCCCAAAUUUCCAUCUACUUCAUCUUCCAAGUUAUUUCUACCCCGUCUUUCCAUCCUAUUGUCCCUAUGCCUCACUCGACCCAUAUCAAUGUCAUUUUCAUCAAAAUCAUCCUCAUCACUACGACACUCAUCUCGCCUUCCUCUCCUAGAUUCACGCCUACCCGGCCCCCUAGCAUUAGAUAUCUCCACUUGUCCCCAGCUAAGAUUAGCAAUUGUAGUACCCAUUUGUGCCAUCCAUUCCCCUUGCCUAUCCACCUUUUCCCUAACAUCACCAAGUACCCUUUCAAACCUCCUUAUCAUGUCCUCCGAUGCAUUGUUGUCAUUACCAUUUCGAUUUGAAUUAGAACCUUCUCUUUCCGACAUCAUAUCACACAAUUUUUUUUUAUGCCUCACAAAGAUUUCACUUGGAAAACACUCACUAUGGCUUUUUCCCUCUAUUAAACUCACCACUCGGCCUUUUACCACUCAAAGUCUCCCUCCAAGCACUUCAAAGAACCAAGUGAACUAAAUCAAUUGUUUUACCGACAAUUCAAACAAAUCGAAUAUUAAUCAAAGACCACGAGACUCAAAGGACUUGAAUAAGUGGAAUAGAUGAAUGUUUUGACACGAAUAUGUGAAUAGACUCAAAAGAAGAAUGACAAACUCGAACCCAAUUGAAUAUCCCAAAAAUCAAACACAAAGUAGGUAUUGUUGUUGGUAGAAAAAAACACAAAAUCAAACAAUGAUAUCAAAAUUAUAUAUAUAUAUAUAUAUAUAUAUAUACUUUUUUUUUUGUGAACAAUACUUCGAGAUGAACAGUACCUCGAAUGUACAAUAACCUUUUUUUUCUUUUUUUUUACUCCUUGAUGAAAGAAGGUGAGUAAACUACCAACAACUCGACAAAACGAUGAAAAGAAAACAAAAAUGAAGAAAAACUAACAAAGAAAAAAUUAAUGACCCAAAGAAAUAAAGAAAAGAUAUAACCUUCAAUUAAUUUGGAGCCAAAGCUCUGAUAUCAACUGAUGCGAACCCCGUAGCAACGUUGACUACGAAAUCCACAACGAGAUAUACGAACCCAAGAAAGCCAAAUUAAUCCAAGAGUUUAGGAUUAACCUGAAAGAAAGUCGAACCAAAAAACCCAACAAGAACGACGCUUGAAAGAUCCCUUGAUCAUGCAAUCCAAGAAUUAAAUCCGAUUAUUUGAACGCCACAAGUUAACACUUGAUAAGUUCGAAAUUGUUCAAUGAAGAACGAUGAAGAGAAGACAAUACGUCUCACUUUUAAUUCAAUAUCAAUAAUGUCAAAGGUUUUUUUAACAAUUGAAUGGAAACUCCUAUUUAUACUAAACCUAAAAACUAGGUAAAAAUCGUGCAAAAGUCGAGCAUAAUCUCCAAAAUAUGGAAAAGAAUCAAAAUCUAACAAAAUAUGAAAAAUUGCCAAAAUUAAAAAAUUCGCCAAAUUUUUGGCCUGUGCGGCCGCAUGGUGGAAAUCCAUGCGGUCGCAUGGUUCAACUGAAAUUGCACUUUUGAUUUUCGGUAUGCAUGUGUGCGGCCGCAUGUAGUUUUGCCUGUACGGCCGCAUGGUGUUGUCUUCGGCCUCUGCUUUCGUCGCUUGAUAACAAAUUGAUCCAAAUUGAUUCGGCCUUCGACCCGAACAUGAAAGUUGCUCCAUUUUUUAGUCCCAAACAUGGUUCCAUCAAUGAUUUCUUGAACGAGCAUUCCCAUCGCUUGUUUCACUUGCUUUGUCAUUGAUCGCGUCAUUGGUCCGCCAUCGACUAUCAACGGGUCUCGUCUCGUACGUGCCUUCGUCGGGCUCGACUCCUGGAUCAUAUCACAAACUCUUGGGUCAACAGCUCGGGCAUGUGAAAGACAUCCCGAGCACGUAUAUCUCGAGCAUACUGAUACACAAAUCGACGAAAUAGAGUCCUCGGUUUGUAUACGUCGGGAACAGUAUUUGGUAACAUCAGUGAUAAUUCCCCCUUCCAACUCACGGUGGAAAAACUCAACAAUAGAAACUGCAGAGAAUGGGCUUAAUCAAUUAAGUUAGUGAUCGAUGGAAAAGGAAAAAUCGAAUAUCUUAUCAGCGAUACAAAGAAGCCCAUGGUUGCAAAACUUCAACAAAAAUGACAAUCAGAGAACUCCAUGGUAAUGUCUCGGCUAGUCAAUUCGAUGAAGCAGACAAUUGGCAAGAUCUAUCUCUUCAUGUCGACUAGGAAGGAUAUAUGGGACGCCACUCAAGAGAUGUACUCUGACACAGAAGAUUUUUCCUAAAUCUUUAAAAUUAAAACUAACAUGUGGCAGACCAAGCAAGGAGAAAGGGAUGUCAGUGAAUAUUACAUGGAGAUGACUACCCAUUUGAAAGAAUCAGACCUCAGAAUUGAUGAAUAGUGGGAUUGCGCAAAUAAUAGUGUUCGAUACAAGAAAAGUGUGGAGACUGAACGAGUGUAUGAAUUCUUGGUUCGGUUGAACAGGGAACUAAAUGAUGUGAGAGACCAAAAACUUGGCCAUCGGCCAUCCCUACCACACACGACGUCUUCGUAGAAGUAAGGCGAGAGAAGAGUCGUCGAGUGAUUAUGCUGAAGAAGGAAACUGGGUCUGAAGAUUUGGUUGAUGGGUCAGCCCUUUCUUCUACCUUUAUUGGGCCAACUGGGCCGAUUGAACAUAGGUCGAGAAUGGUAGCUAUAAAAAUUAAAAGAAAUUUAGAAGAUGGGCCUAAAUAUAUUGGGCCUGAUUUGGGAGCCCAGAUGUUUAGAGGAACUCCAAAAAUUGGAUCUGGCUCAAGAAAACAAAUGGGUGUGAUCACUAUCGAAAACCUAGACAUAAAGAAUAUACGUGUUGAGAUUUACACAGAAAACCAUCUAAUUGGAAACUAAGACAGAACACCAGAAAUCACGGCUAUCAAACCACAAUCAAUUCCACUGAAACACAAAUCUCUACUUCGAGUUUAAUUUCGAACAACUCCACAAAAUGUUUUCCAACCUACAGUCAUCUGGCUCGUAAGGCACCUUAGGUCGCAGAAGUAAUUUCUUAAGAGCUUACCGUACUCUCCAAAGUACUAUGGAUUAUUGACUCCGGUGUGUUCGAUCAUAUGACGGACUCCCACCAUUUAUUCCUUUUGAUACUCACCUUGUGCUGGUAAUCUCAAAGUUAGAAUUUGAAGAUGGCUCUCUCUAUCCGAUAUUUGAAAAAUGGAGUAUUCGAAUAUCUAAUUCAAUCACACUAGAACAUGUUCUACAUGUCCUAAAUCUAUCCUACAAUCUGCUAUCCAUUGGCCAAUUAACAAAAAGUUCAACUUGCUUCGCUAACUUUUUUUUCUCUCACUGUAUUUUUCAGGACCUAUCAUCGAGUAAAAUGAUUGGCUGUGCUGAAGAGUGUGAGGGACUGUAGUACUUUGACAAGACUGAUGUGAGUAAAGAAACUCGAUUUGUUAGUUGUGAUUCUACCUUUAUUUCUAAGAAUAGUAAAUUCUUUUAUGGCAUUAUAUAAUGGAUCAUCCAAAUUUUCAGUAUCUAAAGAAUGUAUUUCCUUCAAUAAUUUCGAAUAAAAUACCUUUUGAUUUUAAUUGUGAAAUUUGCGAACUCGUAAAACAUCAUCACUCUUCAUUUCCAAAAUCUAUGUACAAACCAUCUAAACAUUUACUUUCAUCUACAGUGAUUUAUGGAAACUAUCACGAACCCCUAAUCGCACCCACAAAAAAUGGUUUCUUACAUUCAUCGACGAUCAUACUCGAAUCUAUUGGUCUAUAUACUAAAAGAAAAAAUUGAUGUCCAUUUUGUGUUUAUAAAUUCUCAUUCUAUGGUUCAAAUCCAAUUCUAGACAAAAACACAAAUUAUACGCACAAAUAAUGACACAGAAUAUUUCAACAAUACGCUAAAAACCUAUUCCUAAGAAAAUGGAAUAAUCCUCCAAAGCUCAUGCGUCGAUAUACCCCAACGAAAUGGAGUUGUUGAAUGAAAAAGUAGACCUACUUGAGGUAGCCAGUGCCCUAAUGUUCACUAGUAAUACAAACAAGAUUUUUAGGGCAAUGCCAUUUUAACAUCAGCCUAACUCAUAAAUAGAAUGCUUAGUCGCACCCUCAAAUUUGAAACUCCCUUCUCUCCCCUAACUCCCAUCUCACCUCCAAUCUCCAUCUAAGAGUGUUUGGAUGUACAGCCUUUAUCCACAUACAGUUCCAUCGGAGAAAUAAGCUCGAACCCCAUGUACUUAGUGUGUAUUCAUUGGAUACUCACCUACAAAAACGGGUGUAAAUGUUAUGAUCUAAUCACAAAAAAAGGUGUUUAUCGGUCUUGAUGUCACAUUCUUCAAGAACAUUUACUUUAAAAAAUCCUCUCUUCAGGGAGAGAACUUAGGUGAAGAUCGGUUCUUGGAAAUCUCUCUUCAUCCCUUUGAAUCUAUCUCGAAUGCUAAACCUACAACACUACUAUGCCCCACUAUGCCAUCUAUGGAAGGUAAUUUGAACUCAAGGGGAAAGCAGAAAGAACAACAUGACAGAGAGAUCAUAGUUUACUCAAAAAAGCCAAUAUCAAAGGAUAAGGACAAACUCACACUCAAAGCACCAAGAGAUUGAAACCAAUGAUAGCUCCAGAUGAGCUUUCUCCAAAAUCACAUGACACUGAUUUACCUAUUGCUCUCAAAAAACAAAUUAGGUCAUGCACUCUUCACUCUAUCUCAAAUGUUGUUUCUUAUAAAGCUCUAUCUCUAGGAUUUUGAACUUUUGUCUCUAACCUUGACGACAUAGAAAUUCCAAGAAAUAUUUAAGAAGCCUUGAAAUUUCCAUGUGUAGAAAGGCAGUUAUGGAUGAAAUGAAAGCCUUGGAGACAAAUGAAACUUAGGAUGUGAUGAACCUACCAAAAAGGAAAAGACUUGUUGGUGUAAAUGGGUGUUUUAUGUGAAAUAUAAAGCAGACGGAAUAGUAGAACGGUACAAAGCUUGCUUGGUUGCAAAAGGGUGCACUCAAACGUAUGGCAUUUACUACAAAGAAACAUUCACACCGAUUACAUAAUUGAAUACAGUUCGGGUUCUCCUAUCACUAACAACAAACUUGGAUUGGCCACUCUAACAACUUGACAUGAAUUAUGCAUUCCUGAAUGGCGAGUUGGAAAAAGAAGUCUACAUGAUGUUACCACAUGGAUUCUCCAAGAAAAAUGAAGAAAAUAAAGUAUGCAAAAUGAAAAAAAUCUCUAUACGAUCUCAAACAAUCAUCUAGGGCAUGGUUUGACAGAUUUACAAAUGUGUUGAAAAACCAAAGAUAUCAACAAGGACAGUCGAAUCAUACUAUGUUCGUCAAAGUAUUUGAAGAUGGGACAAAAAUCAUCUUGAUCAUAUACAUUGACAACAUAAUCCUCAUUGGAGAUAAUGCAAUCGAGAUAAAGGGGUUUAGCUACAGAAUUUGAAGUAAAAAAGAAAACCUAGGACAAAUGUGAUAUAUUCUAGGAAUGAAAGCAGCUAGAUCAAAGAAGGUAUUAGUAUUUAACAAUGAAAAUAUAUUCUGGACCUCUUAACUGAAAUUGGCAUGCUUGGGUGCAAACCAAGUAACACUCCUAUGGAUACUUGAGAACAUUGAAGAAUCAGUUGAAAAGGAUAUAUAUCGACAACUAGUUGGAAAACUAAUCUACCUAGUAUACACUAGGCCUGAAAUUGAAUUUGUGGUAAGUAUGGUAAGCCAACACAUGAAUUCUCCAAAGAAAGCUCAUCUAGAAGUAGUAAACAAGAUUCUAAGAUAUCUCAAAGACUCUCCUCAGAAAGGACUACUGUUCCAGAAAAAUGAAAAAAGGGAGAUAGAAAUAUUCACUGAUGCAGAUUGGGAAGGAGCAAUAAAAGAUCAACUACUUGUUAUUGUACUUUUGUAUGUAAAAACUUGGUUAGUUGGAAUAGUAAGAAACGGAAUGUAAUAGCCAAAAACAGUGUUGAAGCAGAAUCCAGAGCAACUACUCAAAGAACAUGUGAAAGACUAUGGUUAAAGAAACUCGCGGAAGAAUUACAAAUUACAAAAAAAUUCCCAAUUAAACUCUAUUGCGAUAACAAAGUAGCUGUCAAUAUCUCACUCAACACCUUCAACAUGAUAAAACAUAGAAGUGGACAAACACUUUAUCAAGAAGAAAGUUGAAAAUGGAAGUAUCUAUAUGAUCUACGAUCCUACCAAAGAAUAAACUGCAGAUUUAUUCACCAAAGGGCUGCAAAGACAAAUUUUCAAUGAUUUCAUCUGCAAGUUGAAUAUGAUCAAUAUCUACAAUCCAACUUGAGGAAGAGUGUAGAAAUCCCGAAACCAAUUGUGGGAUUAUUAUAUGGUAUAAUUACAACCAAGGAAAUAUUUUCUUAAGUUAGAAUACUAUUUCCUUUUCUUCACAAUUGUAUUGUAGUAUGAGGCAUAAUACUGUAUGGAAGAGAAAAACAAUUAUUUCUCAUUGUGUCUUUAUUAACUUUACUACUAUUGGUAGUAGAGCACUAGACAACAUUGGACCUGCAAUAACUUUUGCAGGCAAAUGUCUGAUAGCUAUUGACAUUGGAAUGAAUGAGAAAUCAAUGCUCAACAAAUUGUUGAAGAAUCAAUCCCAAAAUAUUCCACACAGUGGCAAGGGGCGUUGAAUAUGAUGAGACUAACCACACACCGCCUAAUGGCUUUGCGUAACAUGUACAGUCGGUUCCCUUGUGCCCCUAGUAUUGCAAAGCAAUUCUAUAGUAUUUCGUGCCAAUUGAAAUUCAACAUGCCAGCAUUGAUAUCGUUUCACUUUUUUGAUUAAUAGUGGAUCUAUCCAUGUUAACCCUGAUGAACUCCUUUGUGAUUUCUUUUGUCUUUUCAUUUUAAUACAUGUGAGUUCUGAUGUUUCUCGUGGAAUACUCCACUUGAUUUAAUUUGGAUCGCGAUGAUAGUUGUGACAUUUAUAUAUAAAUAUAUAGAGAAGAAUAAAAAAGACGAAUUAAUAAGAAUAGAAAGCUUCCCACUUCUUUUACACUUGAAAAACGAAGCCUUUUAUUGGAAAAUACAACAACAAUAAAGCUUCUCCACUUUUAUUAGUAACGACAACUAGUAUUGGAACUCCUUUUAUUAGAAUAGCUUGUGCUUACCCAGUCGAGACAUAAACCUUGACAGUCGGAUUGUUGAGUGGAUUAGGGAAUUUCAUAACCUAAAAUUUAGCAUUACAUAUAAAGUAAUCGGAAGCAAAGCAAGACCAGCAACAAUUUUAGGCAAUAUCCGUGGCUUUUCUUCCUUGUGGGCCAAAAAGUAGGUUGUACUAAAUUUUAAGACCAUGCAAACGAUUGAAGCGAAGAGUGUAAAUAGUCCAACCAUCAACUUUAUCGGUAAUACAUAUAGAAAAUCAUCUUCUUCAUAGCGUGAAGUUAAGAUAGACAAGAACGUCAUUAUGGAAGCUGCCGAGCUAAACAUUGCAACUACAUUAGAUGUAACAAAAACUGUGAACCACCUAUUGUGAGCUUAUUUAUUCCCAUCUGGUACGGUAAAGGAUGCAUUUAGUGCAACUGUGGCAAUUAAGGUCGCCACAACCAUGCAAGAAGUUGCUGUGUCCUUAAUCCACUUCUCACCAGCUUCCAGUAACUUCUUAUGCUCCUCCGUAAACAACUCCCUAGGUGUUUUGCCCUGUUUGUUUUUAUUCUGAACAUCCAAAGGCCGUAGAAUCUUCUCCACCUCCUUUAAAGUUUACUCAAAUUAAUAUAAUUGCAUAAUCAUCCAAAUUUUAACUCUAACAUGGGGAAUUAGUUUUUGUAUCACGUAGAAUGGUGGAUUGGAGACUUCUAAGAACAUGGAUAUAUAUCCAUAUAUAUAUUCAAGAUAAUUAAGAAAUUAAUGAUACAAUUCACUGUCAUGCUAUGAAGUGUUCCUCUUCUCUUUAAGGGGAAAAGGAAAAGGGAUUUGGUAGUCAUGUCAAUUUCUCACCUUAAACCACCGUAACUCGCUCUACAUUUGAAGUGCUACUCCAGAUACACUAUUGAGUCUGCUCGAAGGUGGUAAUUUCACAGCCAAGUGCAAAAUGUUGUUUUUCUCUUUAUCUAUUUUGAGAAUCAAUCAAUCUUUAAUAGCUUUUGUGUGGUUAAUGAGACUAAAGACUUUCUCUUGUCGGUAAAUAAUAGCAACAUGAAAUAUGGAGUGCUUAGCUGAGUCGAUUCUCCAUACAAGUUCAGGAAAUGAGCUAAUAAGUAGAGCCAUAAACUCAACAUUCCCAAUUUUUGCAGCAUCAGUAAGUAUAGGAGUUUCGUUAAAUAGGUUGGAAAUUUUCGAGCCUUCUAAAGUCAGAAUCUGUUCCCAGAGCUUCUCUACCAAUUGAAUGGAUUGUCUCCGCUUCUGAAUUGAACCAUAUAUCCUUUUGAAACCUACAAAUCAUUGAUAAAUUAUUCCUAAAAUUCAUGUUAACUACAAGCCCCCCCCCCCCCGACCCAAAAAAAAACACUAAGAAAAAAGUGAAAUGGAUCUAUAUGUGGAUCAUUCACAUAUAAUGCUGAAGCUUGAGACUAGCAUUUGCUAGGCCUUAUUUUUAAAAAUAUAAUAAUCUGUAUUCUGAUAAUUUUGUGAUUGUAUAACCAGCUUAAUUAAUCAUCAAAAGACAAUAAAACAAAAGAGAAACACUAGGAAGUACAUAGAUGAGUUGAAAGGUGUAGAUACAUAAAGGUUGACGAUUCUAACAAGUCUUUCGCAUGACCAUUCUCGACUUGUAGCAUAGUGUGAUAAAGGUUUUCGAGCUAACGCAUGUAAGGCACUUCCUUUCGUCGAUUUUGGAGUUCUUCUGACUAUAUAUCUAUCUGCUUCCAAUAUUUUUAAUGCAAUAUCUGCAUAUAAGAAAAGCAAUAUUGAAACUAUUGCAAACAUAAUUUUCAUCGUCAUCUUGCCCAUAGUCAUGAACAGAGAUUCCAUACCAUACAUGUCACUAUCGAUCAACGCAAUAAGAAUGUCCAUGCGCUCCUUGGCCUUGAAAUCUUUAUUAAGAGGUGUAAUGUCGUAAAGAUAUUGAACCAUUUUUUUCUUUCCCAUCAAAGCUGCCCUUUCAAUUGGGCUCAAUUGGUUUUUGUCUCUAAUUGUCUGAACGCUCGAGCGAUACCAUCAAAUUGUUCAAUAGAAUGUUUGCCAGCCUAUCGCCUACUAUUCGCUCAAGCGAUAUAUUGUUGCUCGUUUAAGUGUUUCCCGAGUUUUCGUGCUUUAAAGCGUUUUGAACUCCUAUUCAUCUACAACUUAGUUUUUCUCUAUAUAUGUAUGAAAAGACAUGUAUUAUUCAUAUAACAUAACUUACAAAGUUUUGAGAGUUUUAGAUCUUAGUUGAGAGCAAUGGGAUCUUGUAAACACAAAUCCUAUUAAUUAUAGUGAUUUUUUCUUCUCUGCCCAUGGUUUUUUCUCGUCUUGGGUUUUCAAGUAAAUCUUUGUUUUCUUGUUUUUGUUCUACAUAAUUUCAUUAUUGUAAUAAUCUUUCGGGCAAUUCACAACAAAAAAAAAAAGGAUGGAACGCAGCCUAGUGCAGCGCAUCUGAGCUGCCAAUCAGCCUGAUUCCAGUUGCUAUCCCGUGUGUUUGGCUCAGGUUUUGGUGUCUUCUUAUAAACCAUUGUACCCAUCCGUGUAUUAGGUGUUUCUAUCUAUAUGAAUAAAUUUUAUUGGAUAGAGAAUGUAAGGGGUUAACUGUAGUAUAAUUUAUUGCUUUAAAUCAUUGGAUCUUUCAUGUUAAAUCACCAUGAAAUACAUAAAUAUGGCGAAGGCGUACCUGAAUCAGAUAUGGUUAAUGUAAUAAUAAAUUACGCAGUAUAGUCUUCCAAAUCUACAUGCAGACUCCUUUUUUCUCUCUGUGACGGGAUGCAGAAGAGAAUGAAUAAUACGUAUGUGUGAUUUGGGGACCAUAACCGUAUUUAUAUAGCAACUCCCUCUGACCUAAUUCGGCCCAUCAUAGAAUUAGGACUUGGGCCCAAUUUCUACACAUAUGUAAAAUCACACUUUAAUUGGAUACAUUAAAGCCCAAAACUGAAUCCUUAUUAGAUCACUUUAAUUGGGCUCAAUCGAAUUCGAUAGUCUUUAAUUUAACACACAAUUAUUCACACAUAUAAGCCCAUCGAUGGAUUAAAGAUCAUUACAAUCUCUCACUUGGGCUAUAUGUGUCACCUUAUAAUUAUGCAUUAAACAUAACUUUAUGAGUACUCAGAAUUUUGCUAUCUCUCGUCCAUCAAUCAUAUCAACAUAGGAUCAAAGCGUCUUUCGCUACCUUCAUUGUAGCUAAACCCAUCAAUGGUCACGUAUAUCGAUAUAACCGAAUGACAUGGAUCAAGCAUAGAUGUGUAACAUGGAAAUUACAUGUGAUGUGAUCUGUAACAUGUCUAUUUCCAACUGGUCUACCUUAAUGUCUUAGUGAGAUCAUUUUAAACAAGUUUAGAGAUAAUAAACCAAAUAACUUUAUAACUGAAAAUAACUUUAACAUUAAACCGUAUCCAAAAUAACAGUACAUGUGUCCAAUAUGAAAAGCAAAAAUACAAACUCCCACUGAAACUAGAUAUCCUCAAGAGAUACUAUACCCAUAUGAACAGUGUGCUCAUGAAAGACCUUGGGUAUCAAUCCCUUAGUAAGCGGAUCCGUAGCCAUGGAGUUUGUCCCAAUAUGCUCUAUUGACACCUGUCCACUUUGAACUCUUUAUUUAACAGCCAGGAACUUGAUCUCUAUAUGUUUUGACUUUGUCGAACUCCUGUUGUUAUUGGAAUACAGCACUGCUGAUUUAUUGUCACAAAAUAUCUUAAGUGGUCUUUUUAUAUUGUCCACAAUGUGUAGCCCAGUGACAAAAUUACGCAGUCAUGUUCCAUGAUUUGAUGCCUCAUAACACGCUAUAAACUCCGCUGCCAUGGUGGAAGUAGCUAUGAGUGUCUGCUUAGCACUCUUCCAGGAAAUAGAACUCCAGCAAGCAGGUAAACAUAGCCUGAAGUGGAUCUCCUACUAUCUUGGCAUCCUACGAAAUCGGAAUCAGAAUAACCGAUGAUCUCCAACUGAUCCGAUCUCCUGUAUGGGAGCAUGUAGUCUUUUGUUCUCUGUAAAUAUCGCAUGACCUAUUUGGUUGCUUUCCAAUGAUCCUUUCUCGGGUUACUUAAAUAUCUCCCUAGCAUCCCAACAAUGGACGCUAUAUCUAGAUGCGUACAAACCUUAGCAUACAUCAGACUCCCUAUAGCUGAUGAAUAAGGAAUUUUCUGCAUUUCUUUAAUUUCCAAGUCAUUUUUAGGCAACUGACUUAAACUGAACUUGUCUCCUUUAGCCACAGGGGUGUCACCUGGUUUACAAUCUUGCAUGCCAUGUCUUUUAAGAACUGCAGGGAUGAUUUCCAGCAAACACCAAGUUCAAACCGGGCUCAGUUUCACCUAUUUCAUCGACACCACCAAGGUUGAGACAACUCCAAAACCACCACCAAGGCCGCCCCACUUCCGACUGCUAUAGGCUGGGAAGAUGAAGUCCAAUGAUAUGCCCACUAAGGAUUAACCACAAAGGUCACAGUGAAGUGAUGAAAGAAACCAAGAGGAAAGUCUCACAAAGAGAGAAAUUAGGCACACGCAUAUGGAGGCCGAGAGAGAGACGGGAAUAUAAGCCAAGUAAAUAUCCAAAAUAGGUAAGUCAGGUUAGGUUUAAUUUGUGGACCAAACAAAGAUCGACUCAAUAUUAAUGCGCUUCAAAUUAAUAAUAUAGCCUUCCAAGGAAAUGGGGCGUACCGCGAGCAACACGUUGCUUCGAAUGAUCCAUACGAAUGUGGAUAGUGUUGUCUCGAUAAUUGUGUCGAUUUACUAGUCAAUCAUAUGGCCAAGGCCAAUUGAUAAUAAAAUCGAGUUUACAUCAUAGCACAGGGAGGUCGUUUGACAACAAAUUGCCUAACAACCUCCACCUUGGUGUCAAAGGACCUGCAAAAGAAAAUUGUCUUCCAUUAGUGACACCUCUAAUAGAAAACCAAUAAAAUUAGAAAUCAUUUACCUGUACCAAUGUUUAGAAGUUCCUUGCAACUUCUAAGCUUUGCCAGUGGCAAUACCUUUGUCCCCAUAUCAGAGGGGUUGUAGUGGGUGUGGACUUUCUCAAGUCUUACCACCUCUUGAGAUACUAUAUCUCUAAUGAAGUGGAGUCUAACAUCAAUGUGUUUAGUGCGCUCGUGAAAAAUAGGGUUCUUGCAUAAAUGUAUAGAUGACUGAUUAUCAGAAUACACUACCACAUAAUCAUUCAAUACACAUAGUUCAUGAAGCAGACCUCUAAGCCAUAGAGCUUCUUUAAUAGCUUCAAUGGUAGUAAUAUAUUCUGAUUCUGUAGUGGAUAGUGCAACAAUAUGUUGUAACUGUGAUUUUCAACUAACACAUGACUUAGAUAAGGUAAACACGUAAGAUGAAGUAUAUUUCCUACCAUCCCUAUCUCCCGCGUAGUCUGCAUCUACAAAACCCUUUAAUUUUAUGUCUUCUUUAUUAGCACUAAACUUUAAACCCACGUUACUUGUACCCUUCAAGUACUUUAACAGCCACUUUAGCGCUUCCCAAUGUUCAGGGCUCGGAUUCACCAUAUAUCUACUGAGAGUACUAACAUCAAAACCUAAAUCAGGUCUAGUGCAAACCAUCAAAUACAUUAUGGAACCAAUCACAUUAGAGUAAGGCACUCUACUCAUGUAUUCAACUUCACGCUCAUUGUAAGGAGAUUGUUCCUUCGAUAAAACAAAAUGAUUAGCUAGAGGAAACAUGAUAGGUUCGCAAUCACUCAUAUUAAAUUUCUUCAAUACUUUGGAUAUGUAUGGAGACUGAUGCAAAAACAAAACAGAGUUUGACCUAUCUCUUUCGAUUUCAAUACCUAAGAUUCUCUUAGCCUUACCUAGAUCUUUCAUGUCAAAUUCACCACUUAGUUUUGCUUUUAUGUUAUUUAUCCACUUAGAGGAUGAUCCAAUCAAAAGCAUGUCAUCCACAUAGAGCAACAAAAACAAAUAAUUAUCAUCAGUCUCAUUGUGUUGAAAAUACAGGCAGUGAUCAAAUUUACUUCUUUGGAACCCUAUAGUGAGUACAAAGGAAUCAAACCUCUUGUACCACUGUCUAGGAGAUUGUUUUAACCCAUACAAGGAUCUUCUCAGAAAACACACAUAAUCAGGUUUUGACUUAUCCUUAAAAUCUUUUGGUUCAUUCAUGAAAAUUUGUUUAUCAAGAUCACCAUGUAAGAAAGCAGUUUUUACGUCAAGUUGUUCAAGUUCCCAGUCAAAAUGUGCAACCAAUGCAAGCAUGACCCUAAUAGUGGUGUACUUAACAACUGGUGAGAAAAUUUCAUUAUAAUCAACGCCCUCCUUCUGUGUGUAGCCUUUAGCCACUAACCUAGCUUUAAACCUUAGGGGUUCCAAGCUGCUAGCUCCUUUCUCAACCUUAAAAACCCAUUUGCAAUCAACAAUUGAUUUGUUCUUAGGCUUAGGUACUAGCUCCCAAGUAUGAUUCUUUUCUAGAGAACUCAUCUCUUCUUUCAUUGCCUUAAGUCAUUCAUUAGAUUGAUCACUAGCUAUUGCUUCUUCAAAGGUCUUUGGCUCUUUAUCAGCUAGUUCUUCAUAACUAGCCUGGGCGAAAGCUAAUUCAGAUUCAAAACCGAACCUUCUUAGUUCUCUCGUCUGUCUCCUCUCUCUAUCCCUAACUAAGUUAUAGUUAGCUAAUGGAUUUUCUUCCUCAUAGUGCUCUUCUGUCACUAUUUCGUUACUAUUCUCCACCUCGGGUUCCUGAGUUUGAGUCUCCACCUCAUUUGAAGCAGUAGGGGUAGGUGGACUGAGUUUUCCUAACUCCACCUUAAACUGGUCUCUCUUUUCCCCUGAUUCAACUUCACUCUCAGGUUCAGUUUCCCCUUUAAUACACGACAUCUCAUUUUUGUUAAACAUGAUAUCUCUACUUAUGAUGAUUUUAACCCCUUUUUGGCUUCUAUCCCAUAACAUAUAACCCUUAACACCCUCGAGGUAUCCUAGGAAGACACACUUCCUAGCUCUAGGUUCCAUCUUACCCUCACUUUGAUGAGAAAAAGUUGUACAGACAAAAGUUCUAAGUAUCGAGUAAUCACUCAGUUUACCCGACCAUCUCUCAUGCAGAGUGUCACCAUUCAAUGCAGCAGAAGGAGUCAGAUUAAUCAAAUAGCAAGCGGUCAUAAUAGCCUCACCCCAAAAUGACUUGGGAACACCAGAACUAAUCAUCAUGCAACGUACUUUAUCAAGUAUAGUCCUAUUCAUCCUUUCUACUACCCCAUUUUGCUAAGGAGUGUAGAGAACGGUCUUAUGUCUAGUUAUGCCUCUUUCUUUAUAUAUACUAUCAAAUUCUUUAUUGCAGAAUUCUAGGCUGUUAUCUGUCCUUAAAAAUUUAAUUUUCUUGCCAGUUUGGUUUUCCACUUGUCUCUUCCAAUUAUUAAAACUAUUGAAGGUCUCUGAUUUAUCCUUCAAAAGAUAGACCCACGCUUUCCUAGUGUAGUCAUCAAUAAUAGAUAGAAAAAACCUAUUUCCACCCGAUGUGGGAUUACUAGCAGACCCCAUAGAUCAAAGUGCACAUAUUCGAGCAUGCCUUUAGCUCUAUUAACACUCGUGGAGAAAGAAGUUUUAUGAUGCUUACCAAGCACACAAUGAUCACAAAAUGGCAAAUCUGACACACAGUCAUUACCAAAGGCACCCUUUUCAUUAAGUAGCUUAAGUCUCUUGACCCCUACGUGAGCAAGUCUAUUAUGCCAUGUGUAUGUGUGAUCAAUCUUGGCAGAGGAGAUAGAGGAAUUCACACCUCUAAUCACUUCCCCAGUAGUAGUAUCUUUAUAUCAUUUUUCUUAAUUCCCUUAAUGAAAACUAAAGCACCCUUGAUCAUUUUUAGCAUACCAUUUCCAAUUUUACCAGUAAAGUCAUCCUUCUCAAGUCUCCCUACUGAAAUCAGAUUCCUAGACAACUCAGGAAUAUAUCUAACGUCCUUUAACGUAUACACAAAACCUGUGUCAAACUUUAUGUUUAUGUCACCAAUUCCAGCAAUAGUAUAGGCAAAGUUAUCACACAGUACAACAUACCCAACAUUAGAUUCAUGCAACUUAUAAAACCAAUUCUUUUCAAACGUCCCAUGAAAAGAUGCACCAGAGUCAAGUAUCCACUCAUGCAUGCGGGAAUUAGCAGUUAGAUUUAAUUCAGUAGUGUAUGCAACUGAACUUGUAAUCAUAAAGACCUCACCACCAUUUAUAUCGGAAGUAGAUGCUAACACAUUUACCUCAUCUCUCUCUUUAACCUUUAGCUUACCCUUCUCCUUAUGACAAUCUUUUAUAAAAUGCCCUGUGUUUCCACAACCAUAGCAUUUUCUGGCCUUAGUCCUAGAUUUUGAUCUAGACCCACCUUCACUCUUCUUUUUCCAUCCAUUACCACUUGACUCGCCACUAGUUUGAUAUCCCUCAUGACUAUUUUGCCUAAAUUGAGUUCUAACCCGUAUCAUAUGUACCUCACGGUUCCUCUUAUCAUGUUUUUCAGCCCUAAUUUCAUUUCUUUACUUCCAAGGGAAUCUAUAACAAUUUUAGGUGUUAACGUGUCUCUACCAUACUUAAUGGCGUUCUUAACUUUCUUAUAGGAAUUAGGAAUUGCAUUGAGCAAAAUUAUAGCCUUAUAAGUUUCGGACACAAUCUCAUCACAAUUAACUAUAUCUUGCACCAAUUUGUUAAAUAUGUCUAGAUUGUCAUCAAGAUCCUUUGAAAAAUCCAUUUAGAACUGAAAAAACGUUCAAGCAGGUAAAGUUUAUUCGAUGUAGACUUAAGCAAAUACAAGUCUUCUAAUUUCUUCCAAAGUUCUUUAGUGGUUUUCAGUUUCCCCACCUUUCUUAAAAUGACGUCAGACAAGUGUAAAAUAAUUGAGGUAUAAGCAAGCUCAUCGGCUUCUUCUCUUUGUUCUUGUGAAAAAUCAAUUGAAAAAUUGCCUUCAAUGGCUUUUGAAACCUUUUGUUGGACUAAAAUACCCUUCAUUUUUUGUUGCCAAAUAGCAAAGUCACCCUUUUCAUUAAAAAUUUCCAAAUCAAAACUGUGAGUUGUCAUCUUUACACAACAGUCAAAAAUGCACAAACCACAAUAAAACCACACAAAGUAGUCCUAGGGUCACAGACAGUAUACACCGUUCUAGAUUCCCAGGAUUUCGUAAGACUCGGUCUUAGAUCAAGGGAAUGUUCGAACGGGUAAGGUCACAGUAUUUCUAACGGAAUAAGUAAGCAGCGAAAAUAACAAUGCAGCAAAAAUACGUCUAGCAGAUAACUAGUCCCACAGUAAUUAGAUUACUAAGAAUUACAAAACUGAUUUUAACCCAAAAAACAAAUACUCAAUCAAAAGAUCAAUCAAGAGCACGUAACUUUAAUUCUAGCACAAGCAAUGACAACCCCCAACCUAUUGUUACCCCACACGGUGAUGCGCUAAUGCUGAAAAAUUAAUGGGUUAAGCCAAUUUACCAGAGCGGACGUGUCUGAGUUCGUAUAAUCGAGAGAGAUGCGAAUCUACUGCUUUAGAGCCCCAAUCUUGGCCUAAAGUAAUUCAGUAGAAAUAUGCAGUUUCAACCGUCGAUCCACCAGGGGCAAAAUUGUCCAACUUUUUCUGUGUAACCUGAAACAGAAAAUAAACAGUAUCAGUACGUUUAGGGGAUUGAAAAGAGCAAACUGCCUGAAGGAAGUUCGUCCGGAAUCGCCACCACGCGCCGCCGUUGGAUGUCACCACUGGCGCUACGUGCCGCACUAGAAAGGGCGCUUCAGCCUACUGGUUUCGGAUAUGGGAUUGGUUUCACCAGAAAGUCACUGGUUUGGCCGAAAAAUGGGACUGCAGGUUCGAUUUCCUAUAGAAAUCGCGCACACCAUCGCCAAUUUUGGGUAAUUUUCUGAUCGGAGAAGGUUACUCCGGCUCUAAUACCAGAUGUAGGGAUGAUUUCCAGCAAAUACCAAGUUCAAACCGGGCUCAGUUUUACCUAUUUCAUCGACACCACCAAGGUUGAGACAACUCCAAAACCACCACCAAGGCCGCCCCACUUCCGAUUGCUAUAGGUUGGGAAGAUGAAUUUGUGGACCAAACAAGGCUCGACUCAAUAUUAAUGAGCUUCAAAUUAAUAAUAUAGCCUUCAAAGGAAAUGGGGUGAACCGCGAGCAACACUAUUAACAAUAGGUUGCAUCGAACGGUCCAUACGAAUGUGGAUUGUGUUGUCUCGAUAAUUGUGUCAUGUACUAGUCAAUCAUAUGGCCAAGACCGAUUGAUAAUAAAACCAAGGUUACAUCAUAGCCAGGGGAGGUCGUUUGACAACAAAUUGCCUAACAAGAACCUUUUUCGAUAUAGCUCUUUUUUGAUAAGCUAAGAAUACCCCGAGAACGAUCUCUGUGUAUAUGAAUUCCUAAUACAAAAGAGGCGUCACCAAGAUCUUUCAUCUCAAAAUUCUUUGCUAUAAAUCUCUUGGUUUUGUGCAAUAAGCCUAUAUCGUUGCUAGCAAGCAAUAUGUCAUUGACAUAUAAAAUCUGAAAAAUAUACAUGCUCCCACUGAACUUGUGGUAUAUACAAUCAUCGACCAAAUUCAUCUCAAAACCAAAUGAGAUGAUCACUUGAUGAAACUUGUAAUACCAUUGACGAGACGCAUGUUUGAGACCAUAGAUGGAUUUCUUUAAUUUACAAACCAUUUGUUUUGCAUCGUCCGAUAUAAAAUUUUAUGGUUGUACCAUAUAAAUUGUUUCAUCAAGUCACCAUUGAGAAAUGCUGUUUUAACAUCCAUCUGAUGUAACUCAAGAUCGAAAUGCACUACCAAUGCCAUUAUAGUCCUGAAAGAGUCUUUCGAAGAAAUCGGAGAGAAAGUCUCUUUAUAAUCGAUGCCUUCUUUCUGUGUAAAGCCCUUUGUGACAAGAUGAGACUUAUACCUCUCUACAUCACGUUUCAAAUCCAUCUUGGUCUUAAAUAUCCAUUUGCAACCAAUGGAUUUUGCACCUUCAGGCAAUGGAACGAGGUCCCAUAUAUCAUUGUCCUUCAUGGACUUUAUCUCUUCAUUCAUGGCAUCGAGCCACUUUUGAGAGUUAGAACUUUCCAUGCCUUGACGAGAGUUGGUCGGAUCAUCUUCCACCAUUCCAAUGUCAACUUCAUGUUCUUGGAGAAAUACGAUGUAAUCAUUCGAAACCGCAUUUCCCCUCUGUCUAGUGGAUCUUCUUAAUGGCAUCGGUUCUUGAGGUUAGAGUUUAUUCUUCUAGAACAAUUUGUUGAUAUUGAGAGGGAGGUAUGACAUUGUCUUAAUCCAGAGUUGCUUCUUGAACAAUAUCAGGGAUAGAAACAUGUUCAUUGUCAAUGGCAAUUGGAGGAAUUUCAACAUAUUCCUCCUCAAAGACAAAGCCUGUAACCCUUUCUCUCCCCAUAAACUCAACAUCCUCAAAGAACCGAGCAUUUUCUGUCUCAAAAAUUGCCUUAGUUGUGGGAUCAUAAAACUUGUAACCCCUGGACCUUUCAGAAUAUCCAAUAAAAUAGCAACUGAUGGUCCUUGCGUCCAGUUUCUUUUCAUUUGGGUAUAGGGCCAUGCCUCAGCUGGACACCCCCAAAUAUGUAUAUGCUUCAAACUAGGCUUCUUGCCCGUCCAAAGCUCAUAUGGGGUUUUAUCAGUGGCCUUAGUUGGAACUCUGUUGAGUAUAUAAGCUGCGGUCUUUAAUGCUUCACCCCAGAGAGAUUCUGAUAAGGUAGAAUGAUUAAUCAUACUCCUCAUCAUGUCCUUAAGCAUUCUAUUUCAUCUCUCAGCAACAUCAUUCAUAGUGGGCGAACCCGGCAUAGUGUACCGUGGGACGAUACCGCAUUCCUCUAGGAAUUUAGCAAAUGGUCCUGGACGUUGUUCACCUGAACCAUCAUAUCUGCCAUAGUAUUCACCCCUAGGAUCAGAUCUGACGCUUUUAAUCCUUUUGCCGAGUUGGUUCUCAACUUCAGCUUUAUAGUUUUUGAAUACAUCUCGUGACUGUGAUUUUUCAUGAACGAGAUAUAUGUAGCCAUAUCUAGAAUAGUCAUCUAUGAAUGUUAUAAAAUAUUGUUGACCAUUCCAAGAACCCGAAGGGAAUGGUCCACAAAUAUCCGUAUGUAUAAGUUCUAAGACGUCCGAAAUCCUAUUGGCUUGAAAUCUCCUUUUAUUGAUUUGUUUUCCCUUUAUACAAUUGACACACAAAUCAUAAUCUAUGAAGUCAAGAGGGUGGAGAAUCCCGUCAGACACAAGUCUCUCAAUUCUCCUUUUGGAGAUGUGACCUAAUCUCUUGUGCCACAACGAAACAGAAUUCUUGUCGUUUAAUUUUCGCUUUACACUCCGAGUACUUACAUGCAGGGAUUCAUUAAAAGAAGCAAUUGUAUCAAUUGAAUAAAGAUUAUCGUAGCCUGAUAAAGAACCGGAGCCAACCAAUUUUGAAUUAUGAAAUAAACUAAAUUUUCCAUUUCCAAAUGAACAAGGAUAACCAAAUUUGUCCAAAACAGAAAUAGAAAUCAAACUCCAUCUAAAAGACGGUACAAUAAAUGUCUCAACAAGAUCCAAAUAAAAUCCAGUCUUUAACUGUAAUCUAAAUUUUCCUAUUGCCUCUACUUCCACCUUCUUGUCGUCCCCAGAAUAGAUGUAUCUUUCACCAUCACUUGGUUUUCGGCAACUCAGGCAACCCUGCAUAGACAUACUGAUGUGAAUUGUUACACCAGAAUCUACCCACCACGUAUGUCUAGGUACCGAAGUUAAAUUAACCUCAGAACAAACCAAAUGAAAAAGAAUACCUUUCUUUACACGCCAUGCGUGGUAAUUGGUGCAAUUCUUCUUCUUAUGACCAGCAGUUCCACAAAAGAAACAACUAUCUUCAGUUAGUUACUUAUGCUGUUUCUUUUGCGGUGCCGUACCCGCAGCUUCCUUAUUAAUCUUCCUUUUCUUGUUCCUUUUAUCCUUAGAGGUGGUGGCCAAAUGAGCACUUUCUGUCUUCUCAUGCUUCAAUCUUUCCUCUUCCUGGACACAGUGUGAGAUGAGCUCAUUAGGCGACCAUGAGUCAUUUUGACCGAAAGGGAUAUCAGAACCAAAUGCACCAACAAGUCUUCAGAUAAAUCCAACUUGAGUGCCUUUAGUUUUGAAGCAAUAUGAGACAUUUCCAUAAUGUACUCCUGAAUAUUUCAUUUCCCUUUAUACCUCAUUGAGACAAGGUUUACCAAAAGUGUAUUUGUUUCAGCCUUUUUCAUUCUUGGCAAAUCUCUUCUCAAGAUCCUUAAGGAAACCCUUAGCCUAGUUACCUUUUCGGACAUAGUGCCUCGGAAUGCUUCUGGAAUAGCACGCUUCAUGACCAUUAAACUUAUGCGGUUCGAUCUUUCUCACUUUUUCAUCUCCCUCUUGUCAUCAGAGGUACUCUUAUCAGUAAGUGCAGCAUGUUGAUCGACCCGCAAAGCAAGGUCUAGGUCCAUAACUCCGAGAACAAUCAUCACGUUCUCUUGCCAUGCCCUGCCAUUUAGCAUUGGAAUUGAAUUGAUGCUAGCAGAGAUAUUUGUAAUAGAACCUGAAACUGAACUAGAGAACAUUUAUUAUGAAUAGCUCACAUGAAUAUCUUUAAUAUACAAAUAAUAAUAAUCUCAAAUAGUGAUGGGGCCCAUCACAAGAUACCAAGCACAAUAUCAAUAUCCAGUCUUUGGACAGAGAUAUUGAUUUGUAAGUAGUACUCUUGGCGUAGUGAUCAAACAUUGACGAUAAAAAAAUGUAUCAAUCAAUAAACCUUUCUUUGGACCGAUUUAUUGAUCACACAUUAAACCAAAUAAUCAUCACACGUUUACCACCACAGGCACACAUGUAUUCGGCUAAAUAUUGACCUUCCUUUGGGCCGACCAAUAUUCCCAUGAAUAACACAUGCACAAAUACUUUUUAAUAUUCUAAAUUAGUCAAUUUUCAAAAGAGAAGCAACUUUCGAAAAUUAUAUCUCUUAAAAGAGUCCUUAGUACCAAAAUUUGAGAAAGAAAAUUGCCAAUUUUGCAUAGUUUGUUUAGUUUUAAACUUUAGGAGCCUUAGAAUUAAUCAUUCAAAACUUUAAGGGGGCUGAAUUAAUUAAUUCCAAACUUUACGGGUUGAAAUUAAUAAAUUUGAAACUUUAGGGACCAUAAUUAAUUAAUUCAAAACUUUAGAGGAUCAAUUAGGACAAAAUUAAAACUUUAGGGGCCAAAAAUUGACCCAAUUCAAAACUUUAAGGAUCAAAUUUUGAAAAUUUGAAAAUUUGGGGGCCAAUUUGAAUUAAUAAUUAAAGUUUGAGGGCUUUAAUUAUAAAUUUCAGAACUUUAAUGGCCUGAAUUAAUUAAUUUUUAAACCUUAGGGACUAAAUUAUUAAAUCCAAAACUUAAAGGCCCAAAUCUGAAUAUAACUUAAAUGUUAAGGACUGAAACUUUAAUUUUAUAACCCUAACUGUAAUUGUAAGCAAGGGCCUCAAGUAGUCUAAUUUACAAGACAAGCCCCACCCCCAAAAUCUCAAAAAAAUAAAAAAAUUGAAAACCCUAAGAAAAAAAUUUUCUUUUUCUUCUCUCCCUUGUGGCGGCGCACUCUGACACCGCCCUGAGUAAGGGCGCCAAUCACGCCGGCGCUAGCACUAGCAGCGCGAAGCGCGCUGCAGCACCUCACGCUGCUGGCAGAAGCGUCAGCAGCACGGUGCUGUUCGUAGCAGCCGAGCUGCUACAUCUUUGCAGCCACCGGAAUUUAAUUUAAUUUUUUUUUAAACCCAAAAUUUGUAAUUUUAAAUCCAAAAAAUCUGUAAUUCUUCAAGAAAAUUCAGAAUCUGAAUUCCAAAGUCUUUAAUCCAAAUAUGAAAAAUAAUAACAAAAAAUAUACCACAAAAGCUUUCAAAUUCAACAAAAUAAAGAUCUAAACUUGUUAAAUUUGAAAACUUCAAAAGAAUAUUGCAAGAACCAAAAAAAUUAUUCGAUUCUCAAUGAUUCAACAUGAAAAGGUUCUGAUACCAGUUGUAGUAUAAUUUAGUGAUUUAAAUCACCGGAUCCUUCAUGUUAAAUCAUCAAGAAAUACAUAAAUAUGGCGGAAGCAUACCUGAAUCAGACAUAGUUAAUGCAAUAAUGAAUUACGCGGUAUAGUCUUCCAAAUCUACACGCAGCUUCCUUUUUUCUCUCUGUGAUAGGAUGCAGAAGAGAAUGAAUAAUACGUACGUGUGAUUUGGGGACCAUAACCGUAUUUAUAUAGCGACGCCCUUUGACCUAAUUCGGCUCAUCAUAGAAUUAGGACUUUGGCCCGAUCUCUACAUAUAUAUAAAUGAGGAAAUUACACCAAAGCAAGUUUUUAAAUUUUCCAAUUCAAAAAUGAAGUUUAAGGAUUUUUUAUUCAAAAAUCAGGUGAAAUUUAAAUUUUAAUAUUAAUAAUAAUAUUAAAAAAUAAAUUAAUCUAAAUAUUCAUCUCACCCCAUUCAAUUCCAACCAUCCUAUUGAAUUUAACUUCCAAACCCUAAGUAUCUUCGUCUCUCCUCUUUCUCUCACUUUUCACCCCUCUCCCCCUCUCUCUCUCUCUCUCACACUUCUUUCUUCUCUCUUCAGUCGCUAGCCACCUCCGCCACCAAACAGCCUUCUUCUCCAUCUCUCUUCGGUGAUGACACCUUGUCUUUUUUGUGCUGGUCAAUGCCUCUCUUGUUCUGAGCGCAGGUGCAGCGGCUGCCGCAACUGCAAGUCUAGAUCUCUUGGACUCGCUAAGAAAUCCCUCGAAGAAGCCAAUGAGGGUUGAUAGACCUCAUCCACAGAAAAUUGGAUUUUCUCAAUCGGUAUCUCUAAAGCAGGUGCUAAAGGGGCUUUGCAUUUCUCAGGUUGCAGUGAAGAGGAUAGGGACAGAUCUGUUUUAAUUGAAGUUGGGGAAUCUGGCUUCUCUCUAACUGAUGGUGUAUUCGAUUUUGAUCGAUUAUGUGAGGUGACUAUAUGGUGUGUGGUUGUCGAAUUUUUGGGGCAAUGUUGUUGCAAUUGUUUGAUGACGUCGCUGCAGUUUGGUAUUGCUGUUUGAUGUUGUGGUGGUUAUGGUGGUGAGGUGGUGGUGCUGGGGAUAGGGACUCUUUUCAGAUCAGUGAUUUGAGAUAGUGGUAUAGUUGGAUGCCGUGGAGUUAGGUGGUGGUCCUCGUUGUAGUCAUCGCUUCAGAUUUUUUAGGAUGGUUUCGAGUCUAUCUGGCUGGUCAAAGUUUUUGGUGGUUUUUGCAGGCGAGGUUGCAAAUGGUGAUAGUGGUGAUGGUGUAGAGGCGGUGGUGGUGUAGCUAUUUUGAUCCGUGGGUGGUGUUAUCUGAUGUGCAGGAGUCGAUGCAGUGGUGGCUCAGGUGGUGUUGACUAAUUGUUGUGACAUGAUAGGGGUGCAAUGGUGGAGAUUGAUAGUGUUUGUGACCAAGUACUGUGGUGGAAUUGGAUCGGGAUCGAGUGUGGUGUUGCGGUGGUAGUGCAAUCGACGAUUGGAUGGUGGUGGUUUGUGACCAAGAUUGGUGCUGGAUAGGACCGGUGGAAGUGGUGACCAUAAAGUUUGGUCUGUGACCUUAAAAUUUGACGAUUUGUGACUAAAACAAUAAUAUGUGACCUUAACGAUUUGGUCCGUGACCUUAAAAUUUGAUAAUCUGUGAGUAAAAAAGUUCAUGACCUAUAAAAUUUUUGAUUUGUGACUUCGAAAUAAUCCGUGACCAAUUAAUUUAAUGAUAUGUGACUAGUAAAUAAAUAUGUGAAAUUUGUGACCAUUAAUUGUUUAACUGUGACUUUAAUAUAUUUAUUUAAUAAAUAAUUUUAAUUAAUUAAAUACAAACCUGAAUUUUGAAUUUUCAAACUUCUUACCUGGCUUUUGAAAUGGUGUAAAGAAUACACCUUAAAUAUGAUUUUUUUUCCCUAUGUAAAUCCACACUUUAAUUGAAUAUAUUAAAGCCCAAAAUCGUAGCCUUAUUAGAUCACUUUAAUUGGUCUCAACUGAAUUCGAUAGCCUUUAAUUUAACACACAAUUAUUCACACAUAUAAGUUCAUUGAUGGAUUAAAAAUCCUUACAUUAACAUCUCUACUGAAUGCUUGUUUGGUAGGGAUUUUGUUAAUUGAUUUUUUGACCGUUAGAGAUAAAUUGGGUCUUACCUGUGAGAGAAGAAUUCAAAAAUGAUGGCGGAAUAGUGAAAUAACGGUCAAAAAAUUAAUGUUAAUUUGAUUAAAAUAACUACCAAACAUGCUUUGAAUUACAGAACUGAACUACUAACUAAUUUCGUAAACUCUUUUCUUUUUCUUUUUUUUUUCUUUCUUCUUCAUCAAGUAGCUUGUCAAAUAAUUCGAAUAAUUACAUUGAAUAAAAUGAAGGUCUCUCGAAACCACGGUAACAGGAUUUCCAGCUGGAAAAUCAUAUCAUUUGUAGUUGUUUAACGUGAAUGCCUACAUAAAUAACUUAGGCACAGUCAUACAUUAUGUCUCAACACCCAUUACGGAUUUGUGGCUCGCCACAGGAAUGAGGUAUGCACUUACUAUAUAUUUGAUCAACUCUAGAAAUGGUAAACAUACGUUGUCGGGCAUUGGCAUUGGAAAUUGGACUUUCAACUUGGCUAGGCAUGCUUGUUUGCUCAACAACGGAUGCCUCGACAACCUCUGGUGCUGUAAUAUAGAAAAAUUAGUUGUAGAAACCUUUUUAAAACAGCUAUUAAAAUUCAAAAAGUGUUUGUAAUCGGCCACAUUAAAAUUACCUUUUGGGAAGUUCUGUUUUAUAUCCAAAAACUGCUCAACAAUAGUCAGACAAGUAGGGAAAGUUUGGGUAAAACCGGAUCUAAGCGUUGACUAAGUAAGUGUCCUAUAGUAAGAGGAAUAAUUAUGAGCCCUGUAGAAACAGAAUUUCCACAAAAUUGGCUGACGGAUGGUAUUCAGAUAAAAAUCUUAUUUCCUUUCUGUCUGAAACCUUGGAAUAGAUCUAAACUCCGAUUCUCUCAAUAUAUAUAUAUAUAUAUAUAAAGAAAAUCAGAAACUUACCCUGUUGGGCAUUGACAUUGGAAAUUGGAAUUUCAACUUUGACUUCAACUUGGCUAGGCGUGCUUGGCAGCUCAAUGGAUGCCUCAACAACCUCUGGUGUUGUAAUUGUAGAAAAAUUAGUCGCAAUUACCUUUUUAGAAUAAUGAUUAAAAAAAAAAAAAAAAAAAAAAUUAUCAAUCGAUAGUGAUUUCAUUCAUGACAGUACGACAUUUUAAACUUAAAUUGUUCAUUGUUAACUAUUGUGAUUUAUUUGGACAAAAUCUCUCAAUGAUUUUGUUUUACUGGAUAUAACUGCCUCUAAAUAUUUUAUUUUGCUGACUAGUUUUUAACAGAUAUAAAUUUGGAAUAACUAAAAUAAAUAAUAACCAUAAGAUAAUUGUAAUACAAAAUAAAAGAAGUCCUCGGUCCAAUCAAAAACUUAUAAAUGCUUACUUGAAGUAUGCCGUUCUGAAGUAUUGACCCCUCACAUAAAUUUCAUAUAUCGGCCAGCUAUCUCAAUUUAAUUAUUUUCUCCAAAUUAAAUACAUGAUCUAUUUUCAACAGUGGCUGGCUUGUUUAUAAACAUGAGUGUCCAAGAAUACGCACGAACCUUGUUGUCGAUUUUAUCCCACAAGUGGACGGAUCGUAACAAGUAGUAAAGUGGACCUUUUGAGUUCGGAUUAUCGUUCCCACGAGGACUAUAUUUUAGUGGUUAAUUUAUUAUUCCUAAUUUCUAUUUAAUGAAAAUAAAUAAAUAAAUAGAAAUUGAAUGUGAUUUUUAAAUCAAUCUAAAUACUAAAAAAAAUGCAAAUGGAUGCAACAGAAAAUAAGCGAGAAUUCAAAUAAUAAACGGGCAUUAGGGCGGAACAAUUUCACCUAAUGGUUACCUUUAUUUCAUAAAUCAAGAUUCAUACAACCUAAAGUAGUGUUCGGUCAAAUCCUUCUAUGGUAUUCAACUUACCCCUCUCGAGUUCUCGUUGAACCUAUUUAAUUAGUUCAAUUUCAUGUCUCUAUGCAAAUUAAAUUUAAUUAAACGCAACAUUAGUUCUAAGAAUUCACACACGACCGCAGCAAUCAAUAAAAGUAUCUCUACACGUUAUAUCAAUUUACCGGAUUUUAACAUGUAGUCUAAACAAAUAAUCCGUAUCUCUACGCAAUCAUUGUUCACAAAUCAUCUAAUUAGUUAUCAAGUAAUUAAAAGCAUUAAGCACGACAUUAAAAUCAACACAUCAAAAAUUAAAGCACUAGAAUCUUAAUUCAACGAAAUAAAGGAAUCCAAUUAAGUUAGAUUGUUCGUCCUAAAUCAAAUUUAGCUAUUCAUAAUAAUGGAAGAAACACAAGAUAAAAUAAUGGAAGAUAUCACCGGGAUUAAUUGACGAAACGUGAAUGAAAUUUCAAUUUUACUCCAGUCGACAGCUUCAAUGUUUGGAGUCCAAUUCUUCCUCGGUUUCCUGUAUGUAUAAGUGAUAAAUUCCAGCAAUUUCUGAGCUUCUCUGUGUGCCUUUCCUCAAUUUCUGUGAGUGCCUCCAAUAUUUAAUUGUAAUCCCAGCUGGAACUUCUCAAUUCUGCCCCCUCAAGCUGCCGUCUAUUGGUGUGUAUGUAAAUAUAAUAAUUGCCGGCAGCUUCAAUUCUUGCCUCCAAAUCUGCUUUCGACUUCCCUCUAUGCUUUACACGUUUCUCAAUUGAUUUAUCCAAUUGUGUGUCGGGCCUUCUUCCAAUUAAUCCUAGCAGUCCGCAAUUGAAUUUUUGUCCAGCCGUUAGAAAUUCUUUCGAAGUGUUGUAUUUGGCCGGCUGCAGUUCUCCUUCCAGAAAGUGCGUUCUGCUGGCUGCAAGGGGUAAAUAUAUAUGUAUGUAAUUCCAAUUUCCAGCAACCAAUUCCCCCAGGUUGUCUCCCCAAUUCCACCUCUCCAAUUCGUCUUUUUUUUUAUGUGGCUGUUUCCACCGAUUUUUUUGUCUUCAGAAAACUCCCCUCCGUUCUCCUAGUUGGUAUGUAUAUAUAUAUUAUAUAUAAAAAACCUAGGGCCACCCUAGUUGACUAAGAAAAGGAUUCUCUCUCCUCUCUUUACUUGGCUUGUACGUGCUUAUAUAUAUAAAAUAACCUAGCCACAAUAUGACUUCAAAAUAGAUUCUAGUAAUGCCAAUUGCCUGCCACCUUUGUUGACUAAAGAAAACUCUAAUUCAUGCAUGCAUGUAGGGGUUAAAUCAACACCAAUUGAUACCAUAAUUAUUCUUCAAGUCAUUCCACUUUUUAAGUUAAUGCAAUGUAGUCCUUGAGUUCCUUCAUUGUGCAAUCAACAUCCUCUUUAAUUUUUCAAGUGUUGAAUUUGAUCUUCAAUAUUGCAUCCACUAGCCAAUUUGUUCUUCAUCCUUUUCCAUUUCCUCCAAACGAGUCCAUCACUAAAAACAAACUAAAAUUAACUCAAGUUAAAUAGAAAUUAAUAAUUUGACGACAUAAAAGCUUAAUAAAAUGGUCUAAAUAAGUGCAUAAUUUGUACUCAUCAAACCUCCACGAGACAACUCCGACUGAUCAGCCCUUGCUGGUUCUAGAUCUGGAUACGAUUCAUAACUUCUCGAGCUCAUUGCUUUAUCCGUCCUUAGUCUUCUUCUACCCGUUGACCUGGAAAGAUAUCAAGAAAACCAGUAUUCUGUAGAUAAUUGGUAUCAGUUGUGUUAAUUUCUACAUAAAUGGUAAAUUUUUUAUAACAUUUCAACAUUGUGCACGUGACAGCUGAUCAGCUAUAGUAGUUUCAGUACUUGAUCAUAUAUAGAAAUGCUGUGAAUGCUGAUUAUUCCGUGCAGGCUCGGGUGAUACUGCCCAAAAGUACUUUUAAAAUGCUUUUAAGAACACCCAAACAAGCCCUCUCAAUUAGUUCUGUGCUAUGCUGCAUGGAAAGUGUUAGCGAAGGCAGUGAAUUUAUAGCUGAAGUCCUCAAUUAUUAUUCUAUUUUUUUAUUUUUAUUUUUUGGAGAAAAUUGCAGUAUUUGUCUUCAAUCUAUUGCCUUAUUAGCAAAUCAGUCUCUAAUAUAUUUUCUUGACAUUUAAAAACCUCAAAUUACAAAAUCAAACUGAAAUCGUUAUUUUCAGACCAUUGAUUUGGAUCUACAUAGACCCAUGAAUGUUUAGGUUUAUCAUUUAAAAUCGAGUUGAACCAUUAAUAUAAUUAGGAAAGAAGAAAACAAAUCCUAAGUUUGAGAGUUCAGGAAGCUGCCUGAAAAGUGAAAGCAAUUUAAACUAAACACCACUAUUUUCACUAUUUCAAUCUAUUAAAAAAGUGUUUGAUGGAAAUUAAAAUUAGAUUUUUUAGUAGAUUGUGAUAGAAAUUUUUAAAAUGUGUGGUUGAAUUAAUAUGAAUUGUUUGACUUUGAUUUAUAUUAAAAUCACAUUUUAAUCUAAAUCAAACAGGCACUAAGAUUCAUAGCCACAAAGCAAUUAUUUUAUAAGCGAUGAAUUAUAAUUAUAUCGUUACACCUUCCCCACUUAUUUGCUUGCUAUUUUGAUUCGUCAUUUUUUCCCCAUCCCGAACAAUUAUUAGUCAAUAAUGCAUAAUAAUUUUAUCAGAAAAUAAAGUUUAUUGGAUUUUCUUUAGUUAAUUGAACUUCUUCGCAUGCUCACGUGGUUCUUUUAUUGAUAUUACUUUUUUGUCCUUCUUUUCUAUUAAUUUCUUGAGAAGUGAAGAACAUAUGAGUUUCAAAUGUUAUAUUAAUAUUCUAGGAAAAAAUGGAAAAAUGUACUAUCCUUGUGCAUUUGGGGAGGCGCUUUCAUUAAGUAUUGUCAUCUUGUAGUUUAUUUUCACACCUCAUUUUGCAUUUAAAUUCAAAACCAAGGAAUUGUUUUUCCACAAAACCAAGGAAAAUGGGUCACGUGAGGGGUGAGGAAAAUGAGUUGCCAGGAAAAUUUUUGCAAUCAAAUAAUGAAAAGGUGGAAAAAAAAAUUUCCAUUUUCCAUGAAAAAUUGACCGAAUCAAACAGGCCCUUAAUAGUUAAUGCCUACAAAUGAAAAAGAAAGUGAAAGAGAGAUAUUAGUUCAUUGUUCUAUGAAGUAAUUGCUUCACUUUGUUGUAUUUGAGUGAAAAUUUAUUGAUUGCUUACUUGACAGACAAAUAAAAAAUAUAUAAUCGUUUUAAAUAGUUUGAUUUAUAUAUGGCAAAAAUCAUUCAAAUUCAACCAUUUUUUCCUUAAUCUUCAUGUGAAAGAGUGGCAACAUACCUAAUAUUAUUUAGGUCAUGUUUUGUCUUCAUUUUCUAAGAUUUAUUUUUCUUCAAAUUCUUUCAAUAAAACAAUAUUUCAGGUUGAUCCGUAGCUGUUUCCUACUUUUUAAUCACACAUUCUUUAAAAAAAAAUCAUGUUUACAAAAUAUAUUCUCAAAAAAUCUCUAUCAAACAUGUACUUAAUUGUUUUAGCAGCAAUGGUUGCAAAGGUUCGGUGGUUGAAAUCAGUUGCAUGUGGUGUGGUCCAUUAGGAAAUGUGAUAUAUGAGAUUUUCUGCAUUUUUGUUAACUAGGAAAUACGGUGUUACAUAACUUUAAAUAUGUGCUUAUUAAACCUUUGUUUGAGGAACCGUGCUGCACUUACCAAAAGGAAAGUCAUAGAAUUUUUUCAGACAACUCACAUGGGCAUGGGUGGGUGAUAUUUUUUGGCCUUUUUUUGUCAUACAUGGGACCCACAUAUGUGUCUAUUCCGAUAGAAUUCUGUGAACUGAAAUUCUAUACAAAUGGAAAUUUUUUUGAUUGAACUCCAUUUUCUCAAAACUCAUUUUUUUCAAAAUUUAUUUUCGAUUACAUCUUUUUUUAAUAAAAUAAUUUUACAUAUAAAUUUCACGUGUGCUCAAUAACUGCUUCUCUAAAUUUAUUUUGUUCUUCUAAAAGUCAAAUUAACUUCUCUUUCAUUGAAAUUUUCUAGUGAAGAUAAUUCUUUUCACUGAGGGUACUUAUGUUGCAUCCCAUAAAAACAUAUAUUAAGAUACGGAGUUCGACUUACAAAAUUUACAUAAGCUAUUCUUGUUAAGAAGAAUGACAGCUAUUCUUGUUAAGAAGAAUGACACAUACUCCUUUCUGUUAGUUAUUUGUCGUACAUAUAAUCAAUAUUAAUAUCGACAAAUAUGUGUUACUCAUAAGCUGAUCAUCUCACGGACGAAGGGUGAUGAAUGUGGUUAUAAAAUAUACAGCAUGAAAGAAUUAAACUUGACCAUUAAGUUACAAGCAUAACUGAAUAAUAAUAUAUUAUAAAAUUUCAAAAAAAGAAAAAAAAAUGGUCCAAUACCGCUCUAUUAGACCAGUCUACAAUCGAUGCAACCAAAAAUAAAUAAAUAAUGAAUAUUUAUAUAUAUUUAAAAAAAAAAUCCUUUGAACCAAACUCAAAUAACCCGUCGGAUCAUUGUUAAUUAAAAAUUUCAAAUUUUAUUUAGCAUUUGAAUAGUCGCAUAACACUAUAGACUUCAUUUUCAUCUUCUAGAGUUUUGGAGUAAAGAUUGAAAUAAAUAAAUAAAAUUAAGGAUUAAUUUAGUAAACAGUAAUUAUUAUUACUAACUUUUAUAUAAUAAAAAUAAUUUUUAUUAGAUUUGUCAUGAGUUAACUUACACAUUCAAUCACUAGAUUAGAGGUUGAACUAUUAACUCAAUAACCCAGCUCUAUAGUCAGUGACGGAUCCUGAAUUUUGAGUAAGCGAGGGCAGACGUUAGCAGUUGACCAUCGAUUGUAAUAAAAUAUUAAAAAUCAAAUAUAAUAAUUAUUUUGCUAAAAUUAUAUAUGUUAACAAUAUUCCCCAAAUGACAUAGUAGCAAGGUUUCUUGAAGGAGCAUGGAUUCAAAUUCUUUCAAAUGCAUUAAAACCACUAAAAUAAAUUAUAUGUUACCAAAUAUGUAACCUAAAACUUUUCUCUACUGUCAACAAAAAAAAUAAAAAAUAAAAAAAUAGUUCCCGAUGGAUCCAGCAUGCAAGGCCGCUAAUGUUUGCCAGGUACUGGAUCCACCACUGUCUAUAGUUGGGUUAGGAUUUGAAUUGAAUAUAAAAGCUAGUAUAUUACCUACAAAUAUUUAAGAACUCUAUUACAGGAACGUGAUCAAGCGAACUCUGUGAGCGUAUGAGAUUAUUGAUAAGUAAUAAAUGUGAUGAGAAAAUUUAUUGUUCUACAAGGAAUAAAUUUCAAUUUAAGUGUACUAAUUUUGUUUGAAAUUCAAAUCAUGUAACACAACAGAGAUUAUUUUGUGAUUAUGCUAAGUUAAUAUAAGAUAUAUGUAACACUUGUUUGUUUAUAUCAAAUUGUUGAUGAUUGUAUUGGAAUUUGAAUCCAUAUAUUGCUGUCUAUAAUUCUUGAUUAUACAAUUUAGUUUCGUUCAUGCAUUCUUGACAUCAAUAAAGUUAUUAUAUAUAAUUUUUUCCUAAGAUAAAUUAAAUUUAUUAUAAUCAUGACCCAAUCAUAUAUCUAGUCUGAAUUCGAAUGAUUAGAAUACAUUAAAUUACACGAUUAUCUAGAUGAUUGCACGCGUGAUAUUGUUAUUCCUAAUAUCUAUUAUCUAUGUGUUAAUAUUGCUGUAUUCUGAACUAUUGUGAACUUUUCAGUACUGCAACAAACAACUAAUAAAGAAGUGCAAGAAUUAACUAAAUUACUAGCUUUAACUUAAAUAAAUAAAUGAAAGGGCUUAUCUCAAUGAAUACAUGGGAGGAAUCAGACUAGCGUAAUGAUAUGUGUAAAUUACACAAAAAUUAUUGAAAAAAUAUCACCCGAAAUUUAUAACGAUGAGAGAAACAUGAAAAGUGUACUUUGUCUUCUUGAAUCUUGAUUUCAGAUUUGGAUCUUCAAUCUUCAUCCUAAUUGCCCUCGAUUUGCAUGCUAGUCCUCUUCCUAAUGGUGUAAUUAUGUUAUUUUAUGUUGUAUCUUCGUCCCUUAUAGCAUCUAGUUGCUUAAAUAGUAAUUAGAAUUUCGUCCCCAAAAGAGUUUGUAUCAAAACAGGGAUUAAAUGCGUUCAGGUUGAAAAUAGCAAAGCGCGCAUGCCAUGUAAUCGAUUCAAUCUUGGGUUGGUUGGAACACAGGCUCACAUUCAGGUCGUCCCUAAGCAGUCAUCAACAUUGUUAUUUGACUGAAGUGAUUUAGAGUACGUUAAAAAUCAACUCAAAAGGCUAUAAUUAUUUUAGAAAUAUCAUUUUUUCAAUUCGAACGUUUAUUAUGUGAAACAUGGGUCUCAAUUUGUGGCUGAACUUUUGAAACAUAACUUGUGCAACUAAAAAAUUGAAUUCUUUAAUUGUAUUUUAAUGAUUCACUCAUUGACUUCUACUUACAUCUAAUUAGCAUCCUAGCACUCUCCAAUUAUCGAUAUACAGCUCGAAUAAACUUUUGAAACUUUUCAUUUUAGUCUCCAAAUUUUUGAAUUUCUUUUGUUUUCAUUUGUUUCUUGUUCCUUUCUUCAAAUUCCACUAAUUUGCAUUGAGUUUAACUUAACAAAUAUAAUUAACACGUAAUAUUUCAUUCAAACAAUAAAUAUCUCAAUUCAAUGGCCUAAGUAGGUAUACAGAAUAUACUUUUCGGUAUGUAUUUCAUAAAACUGUCCCUGUUCAUUUUAAUUUGUGCCUACCAAACUAAUUAGAUAUCUGAUUAUAAUGGGAUAUGGAUUUUUUUUUUUUUUAUCAUCCAUUUGCUUGUCUAUAUACGGGCCAUUGAGCACGUGUUAAUGAUCGACUUUCGUUCAUUACUUGAAUCUCCUUGUUGAAGAGUAACAACAUAUUUUAUUUAGGUCAUGUUUAGUAAGGGUGUAAGCAAUUCGAUUUUACCGAUUUUUGACAGAUUUUCAAAUCAAACCGAUUAAAUCGGUUUGAGAAAAACCCUAGCCUAAACCAAACCAUUUUGAACGGUUUGAAAAAAACUCAAAUAUAAACCUAAUGGUUUGGUCCGGUUUUAAACCGCCAGUUUCGCUAUAUGUUUUUUUCCGUCUACUUUAUGUCAUUAAUUCAUUGAAUUCAAUAUAUAUUUAUAUCUUACUAGCAAUAAAUCUAAAACAAACUAAACCCCUGUUUGAACCAAAUUUUUGAAACAAAAAAAAUGAAAAUUUGGAUCAUUAUCCCACAAGUCCAACUACCUUUGUUGACCUGCUGUUUCAUGUGUGGGACCUAACCUCCUCUCCAACAAUCAAUUUUCUCAUUAUGAUGAUAUGGAAAAUAUGGCUCAAACAGAGGCUAAAUAUAUCUACUAUAAAUUUAAAUACCAACUAAAUCAAAGAAAAAUUACAAUAAACUAAAACAUAGUUUUUUCAUUUUUGUUCACCUUUUUUAGGCUAAUGACAAAAUAAUAACAUUACAAUAUAAAUCUACUAAAUUAGAUAUAUGGUCCAAAAAAUAUAAUGAUAUUUAAUAAGACCUCGUAAUCAUCAUAUCUGAAAAAAGGAUACUGAUUAGAUAAAGAGAAUAACCAACAACAAUAAUAAAAUAAUUAUUUAUAAUACCUAAACAUAACAAUUACACAAGUUUAAGUUUGUAUGAUAUUACGAAACGCAUUUAAUUUCAUAUUCUUACCUUAGUUUGUUCCAAAAAAAUUAUUGAUUUGAAACUUUAUUCGUAGCAAAUAUUAUCACUGAAUGUUUAGGAUCUCUUUGUCUCUAAUUGGGUAUAAAGACUACUAUUCAACUUUGAAGAGGCGUGAAAAAUCUGAAAAAGAAGUGUGUGGUGUCGGUGACUCAAGACCGUGUUGGAUGUCGGCUAGAGUUCAUCUAAAUUCUGAAGAGGAAAAUGAUUUUUGAUAGAUUAUAUCAGUCUUGAGAUUAUUAGCUAUGUAUUAGGAUUAUUGGAUGAUAAUAAUAAUAAUAAUAUAUCUGUAUUAUAAAAUUAGAAAUUGACAAAAAUACCCACAAAUGAAACUAUUGAAUUUUACAUAUUUGGAUAAAUUUUCAAAAAAAUUCAUUUUUUAAUUUUUUUUUAUUUUUAUAUAUUUUUUCGCUACUCCGAUUUGGUUUUAAACCGCAAUUAAAAUUCUCAAACCUAAACCAAACCAUUUUGACCGGUUUGAUUUGGGUCAAAACCAUUUCUUUGAUCGGGUCCACGUAGCAUCAAACCGACGGUUUCUAAAAUGCGGUUUUGGUUCGAUUUUUCGGUUUGGUGAUUUUUGCUUACAGCCCUAGCUUAAACUGUACAUCGUUGGGAUGUUUUUCUCUUCAGAAAUUAUUGUCCAUUUACAUGAAAAAUUCUACUGUUCCCAGCUGUAAUUUCUCAAGAAUUAUAUAGUAUUAUAUCCUUCAAGCAGAUGUUAAUGGCCUCUACAAUGUAUCUUGAAAUUUAUUUUUAAGCAUUGACUAUCUAAAAUAAAAAAAAAAAUGUCUUGUAUUUUGAGAGUUUUUUGGAGAUGCUCUCAGCCAGCCAAGAAAAAUGCAUUGAAGUUUUGUUUUGAAAUUUGCAAUAUAAAGCAGUUAAAUACUAAAAUUGAGGUACAAUUAAAUAUAUUUUCAAUAAAAAAAAUUGAUAUUUUGACGAUUAAAUAAAUGAAAUUUGCCACAUUAGAAAAUUAACUAAAUAAAACUUAUUAAAUUUUUUUUCUUUAGGAUAUGGGAUUACGUCCUGAAUUAUAUUUAAAUUAAAAUGCAAAGACGAAGAAAGAAAUAAAAUUGUUGUAUUUUGGGAUAGUUGGGGGUUAUUCAGUCAUUACAUUGCUACUUAGUGGGUUCAUAAUUAAUGUCGUGAUACAAGUUAAUAAUAAAAAAAAAAAAAAAAAGUUGAACCUCAACCUUAAAGGCCCCCACUGUCCCGCCCCUAGAACUUUGUGAGGGAGGUAAAUCUCGGGAUGUGCCUCAAUAGACCAGGGAACAAGAGUUGUAUAUACACUGCACCUACAAGAAGUCCAAUUUCAUGUCUCAGGAAUCGAACCUCCCAUACUGCGACUGUCAACAAGACAUGAGAUAACCGCAUUCCUGUCCUUUGCACCACUGGAUUAUGCCCCGAGGGCAAUACAAGUUAAUAAUUAUUAUGCGAAGAAUGGAGACUAAGUAGCAACUUUGCAACUAUUAGAGUGUUUAGUUAAUAUUAUUUCUACUUAUGAUUUAGAUCCACAAUUGUAAUUCACUACUUAAUGACUAUUUUAGAUAAUAUUUUAAAUGAUGUACAUGUGACUUCAUUUAGCUGUUUAAACAUUUAAAUCAAUGAUAAAGUGUUUCAACAUUAUGUACUUUAUUUUGCAAACUUACACAAUUUCAUUACAUUUUAUUCAACUUCGAUCACUAAUCUAUACACAGUUUAGAACUGAUUUAAAAAUUUCUCCACUUAAAAUCAAAAAUUUCUUAAGUAAUCACUUAAUUGCUCGUCACAAUAGAGGCGAUCCACAUAUGAUAUUUAAUUUACAUUAUUGAGACAUAACUACAGUGUUAUGCUUACUUUUUAUAGUUUCUCCAGAUUGGACAUUAUCGUUGAAUCAUACCUUGAAAUUUGCAUUCAUACGGUAUGACUUUUAGCACUUUGAACACUUAAACUGCUAAUGUUACUCCUUCAUCAUCUCCAUUAUUAGCACGGUCUCUUUCCCUGUUCUUAUUUUAAACUAACCAAGGAAUUCAUAGAAACUCUCCUUGCAAAUGAAGAAUUACAACAUUUUUAUACUUAGUGGUUCACGUCUCUAGCACCAUCAACGCCCUCUUUACUCAUAUGUAAUUGUUUAUGUACAAGUAACUCAUUAUUCUAAAUUAAGAGGGUGUUUGAGAGCUAUUUUUAUGUAAAAAUACAUUUUAGAAUAAUAAUUUGAUGGGAAUUGUGUGGUUGAAAAAGAAGGAAAAGUUUUUUAUUUACGUAUAAUAUUAUUUUAAUAAAGAAUGUAGGGUUAAAAAGAAGAGAGAAAAAUACAUUUUGAAAAAAAGAAUGCCGAACGGGAGCUAAAUUGUGAAUUUUGUUAAAAUGUUACUCUUCAACAAGGAGAUUCAAGAAUAAGGAAUCAACGUAAGCCAGAUAUUUAACACAUGCACAACCCCCAAGACCGAUUUAUCAAAUGCAUACGGACGAUGCUACUCGUACCAACCCCCUGAAAAUAGGGGGUCUAUGAUUUUUUUAUUCAUUGUGAAGCCUCCUUUGUUGUUAGGGAUCGGUGCAUAGGAGUGUCAAACCCGAUGUACAAGUAUCAAAAUCCAAUGCAUACCCUCAAGACAGCUCUUAAAUAUCUGUAGGCAAUAUCAUAGUUUCUAGAUUCGACUUUAAAGCUAACCUAGCAGGGGCAAGUAGGGGGAGGCAGGGCUGGGCCCCAAAGGGUUUUUGCCCCCAAACACGGAGGAAGCCUCAAGCUGUCAACCACAUCUGUUCUCUCCAAGAUGUCCAUCACAGAUUCCGAUAAUUUCUCGGCAAUUUUUCAUUUUUGUAAUUUCAACUUUCCGUUGUUACUUUUUCAUCGUCAAAUUUAUCGCAAAAGGCGAACCACAAGAAGAUUAAAGUCGACAUGCGCUGGUUUUCGAGCUAUCAUAUGCUACACGUGAUACUUUCGUAUAUUACAUUGUAUAAUAUUUUAUAUGCAACAAAAACAUUUCAUAAAAAAUGUGUAACAUGUAAUGGAAAUCACAUAUGUAAAAGAAAGGCAGCCUUAAACAUCUUUAGAGAUUAUAAAUUAUGAAUCUGGUGAAAAAGAAAAAAAUGAAAAAAAUAAUAAUGAAAUUUUUAAUUUUUCAAAGGCAAUAUAUUCUUAUUCCACGUAUCACGGAGGUAAUUGGUGUCAAUUAAGCGGGAUCUAUUUUUUGCAUGUAUUAAACAUGGAAAUUUAGGUGCCCGACUUUUAAGGAAUUGUACUCGAUGGUGUUUAGUUGUUUUGUAUUUUAACGUCAUUAUUUAAAUUGUGAAAGGAUAAAAUCUCAUAUCCAAUAAAGAUGAAAAUAUAGAUCAUUUUAUAAGGCUUUGAGCUACUCAUAUCUAAAAGGUUGACCUUUUAAAAUGAAACACUUGAUCCGAUUAAGACUUAAUAAAUGAAUAUACGGAUUUUAAGAUUGAUCUGCUCAAAUGAACCACCAUCUUGCAGGUAUAGCUAUAAAUGGAUCGUAUAUGAAGCAGAUAUGUCCAAAUCCGAUCCGAUUCGUUAAGAAUAAUUAUCGGUCCCAUCCGAUCCAAUAAUUUAACAGAUAUUUGAUUGUUAAAUCCAUAUUUGGUUUGCUAUGUUAUCCGAUAAUCCGAUCCGAAUUUAAAAAAAAAAAAUCAUUGUUCUAAUACAAAUUACUACAUUAAAUUUAAUCAAUAAAUAUGGAUUAUAUUUUUUUAAUUGUUAAACUAAAAUUAAAAAAAAAUUAGUGAUAUAAUAUAGUUUAUUUGUGUAUUUAUUUAUUUAAUUUGUCAUACAGUUCGAUUACGUUUCAACCCUUUGACCCUUAACCCUCUUCAUUUUUUGAAUCGAUGCUCGAGUCAAUGUUUAAAACAUUGGAAAAAAAUUAGAAGGAGAAAUAUUUUAUAUUAGUCAACUUUUAAGCCCUAAACUUAAAAGGCUUAGAUGGGUUUUUAUUCAAUAAAUAAUAAAAUAAUUAUUAUUUUUAUCUUAUUUUAAUUAAUAAAAAAAUAAAUCUCCUUAAAUAUUUCAAAUAACAAUAUCAUAUCAUUAUCUAAUAUUAAUUAUCAUUUGAAAAUUAUGUGUAAAGUAUUUCAAAAUGGAAAAAAUUAUGUUUUAUAAAAACUUCCGAUGAUAUAUAAAAUAUAUUAUAUUAUUAUAAUAAAUCGGAUCGGAUUGAUCUAAAUUCAUAAUUAUUUCAUUUAGUUAAUGAAUUAUCGGAUUCAGAUCUUGAUCGGGUUAUCGGAUUAAGACCCUAAAUCCAUCUCCCAUUAAUUUUAUCGGAUUCGGAUCAAAAUCCAAUCUAUUGACAACCCGACUUGCAGGGGGCAUAUUAAGAGAUAAAAUCUCACGUUGAAUAAAGAAGAAAAUAUAGAUUAAUUUACAAGAUUUUGAGCUACUCCUCUUUGCCAGGUUGAUCUUUUAAGAUGGAACCCUAAAUCCUAUUGUUUUGUAAAUUUUACGUCAAAAAAUUAGUAAUUUGGAGUAAAGAUUUUAAACUGGCAUUUUGUGUUUGUGUUUUUUUUUUUUUUUUGGGUUAGACGAGAUAUAUAUAUAUAUAUACUCUUUAAAAAUUUUUGGACUUACAUAUAAUAUUAUUUUAUUAAAAAAUAAAUUGUUGAAAUGGAUGUCAAAUCACUAUUAGAAAAAAUAUUUUUUAAAGAAAUUUGGCUCAAACAUGGCCUAAUGUUAGUAAUUAUCAUUAUUAUAUACUAAGCCCUCAUUUGUUUUCUAUUAUUUUUUCAUUAAAAUGAAAAAUAUAAUCGUUAUCUAUCACAUUAAGCCAAUGCCCUAUUUGUUUUCCAGUUUUGUAAGAAUAAGAAUGAAAAAUAUAGUUGUUAUGACUUCACACGAGAUAUAAAUUCAAACUUAGUACUUUGAUGUGAUUGAUAACGAUCAUAUUUUUUAUUUUAAUGAGAAAAGAAUGGAAAACAAAUAGGGGCUAAAUUAAUCCUUAAUUUUAGUUUCAAUCUUUGCUCCAAAAACUCUGGAAGAUGAUGGUUUUUAAGAUGAAGUAUAAAAAGCUAUUAGCAAUUUAAAAAAAAAAUGAAAAAUGAAGUCUAGAAUGUUAUGCAACUUUUCAGAUGCUAAAUAAAUUUUUUAAUUUUUAAUUAAACAAUGAUAAACGGGUUAAUGGGUUCGAUUCAAAGGGUUUUUUUUCAUGAAAAUUUGUGUGCGUGUUUUUUUUUUCAAAUUUUAUUUUAUUGUGUGGAUUGUAAACUAGUCUAAUAGAGUGGCUCGAAUAGGUUAAUAUUGGAUCACGGGUUUUUCGCUUGAUCGUCUAUCUUAUUCCAGUUUAAUAAUACUGGGUAAUACAUCUUCAAUGAUUUUUUUCACUAAAUUGGUUGUAGAUAUGAUAUUAUCUAACAUAAAAGGUAUCAUAUUAUUCUUCUUAACAUGUAUUUCUAUGGGAUGCAGCAUAAAUUCCUAAUUCUUUCUUCUUCUCCAUCUUCUUCAUUAUUAUUAUUAUUUUUUUUUUUUUUCAGAGAAUAGUCUUUACUUGAAUAGUUCAAUGAACAAACAGUUACUUUGACUUCUAGUACAAUUGGAUAAGCCCCAUUCGGCUCCAAUUAAAAUUAUAAUACAUUUUUUAAUCUCUUGAUUAAUCACACAUUUUUAAAUAAAACAAAAUUACGCAUAAUUUAAAAAUAUUUUUUCUUUUUUAAUCACACAUUUAAAAAAAAAAAAAAAAAAACCCAUUUUUUAAAUAAGCCUCGUUUGUUCUACAUUUUUUUACCCAUUUUUAGAGAUUAUUUGUCCAUUGCACAGAGCAAUCCAAUUUCAAUUGAUUGAAGUUUCUGACAUAAAAGGACAAUUGCAUAUGAAUUUUGAAGAUUCUACUUUAAGUUUUUGACCUUUUUUACAGGGGUAAAAAGGGUAAGUGAUAAAUGAAAGGAUUCUCAUUAUGCAGGCAUAUGUCUUUUAUCAUGUCAGACGGGUGCAAUGGUCUGAUAAUAUCUAAAAAUGAAUGGGAAAUGGCUACCAAACCCAAGACAAGAAAGUCGCUGGACGCACUACUGUACGGAAAUAAUGAUUUUUUUAUUUUUUUAUUUUUUGGUUCAAUCAUUUGGGACCCAUGAUGUUUAUAUAUUAGUAGAAAAUGGUUUAACCAUGUAAUCUUCAAAUAUUUAAAAGGGUGGUUAUAUUAGCAACGUAGAGCCUAUUUGGUUUAGAUUAAAAAUAAUUAGUCCUUGUUUGAUCUCCAUUUUUUGGUAAAAACACAUUUUUCAACAGUAUUUUAACAUUAUUUCAACCACACAUUUUUCAAUAAAAUAAUAUUACACACAAAUCUAAAAUUUUUCCUUAUUUUUAACCACACAUUUCACAUCAAUAGACUAUUCAAAAAUUCAUUCUAUCCCCCAAAACGGGGCUCAAACAAGGGCUUAAUAUUAAUUAUAUCUUUUAUGGAUCCUACAACUUUUCAAUAACAAAUUUCAAAAACUUCUAUCACAAUAUAUUAAAAAUCUAAUUUUAAUCCCCCACCAAACAUCAUCAUAAUUUUUUUCUUUUUUCUUUUUUUUUUCAAAGACCUUUUAAUUGGAGUAUAGCUCCUCAAUUUUUGCUCAUUAUAGCAAUUAGCUUCUUAAAUUUUUUGUCUAAUUAUUAUCUUUAGCUUUCCAUUAAUUAGUAUAUCUUUUCUUUGAUGAUGAUUUAUAUCAAAAUAUUUUAUUUCCAUGAUUUAAAAUAAGAAAAAAAUAUUUUUUGUACUUAUUUAUUUAUUAAAAGUACAAUGGAAAGAUAAAUUGUUAUACGCUAUUUCAACGUACUUUUUAGGCAUAAACUAUUACAUAAAAACAAAAAUGCGUUAAUUAAUAGAAAGUUCAAGGAUAAGAUCAAUAUCAUAUAAAUUUUUUAGGGACAUAAAUGCUAUAUUGAGUAAAGAUCGAGAACCUUAAAGAGUAUUUUGCCCUUCCGAUAGUGCUAUCUAUGAAUGGAGAGAGGGAAAAAUGUAAUUAUGCAGGAAUAAUUGUAGGAUAAAUUUGAUAUUUUGUAAAAAUGAAAAAAAAAAAAAAAAAAGUCCUAUAUCCUACAACCAUUCUCAAAAUUUUCAUAUUCUAGGAUUAUAUUUUUAAUUCAAAAAAUCCACCAGACGGUGAUAUUUUUAAAUUGUAGUAUACAAAUAGAUUAAUUCACAAUUAUGAGGACGAAACACACGCAAAAGACUAAGGAGCGAGGAAAAUUGCAUAUCAGCUUCCAAACUAGUUAUGUAAUAAUAAAUAGGUCCCUAUUCUACUUUUCUAAUCAUUUUAGUCCCCUCCUUUUAAUUUUUACGUUGCACCAUGCUUUGUAGUUAACAAAAACUAUCCAAUUGUCAGUGAAACAUCCAUACAAGUCUCACAUUACACAUUUCCUAAUGGACCACACCCCAUGCAAAUGAUUUCAACCACCCAUCCUUUGCAACCAUCGUUGGUAAAUCAGUUAUGACGCUUUACGAAACAAGGAAUUCAAGCGAAAAUCUUAAAAAUAUAAUUUUCGAAAUCCACCAAAUUAUGAAGAAAUAAGCUCAUGAAAUUUUAUUAUCAUCUUUUUCAAAAAGUGCAAAAGUAAAACUCUUAAUGCAUGAUUUCAGUUCGACUUUGUAAUCUGACAAGGCGUACUGCAAUUUCCUCCCAAAAAAUGAAUAAUAAUUGAGGGCUUCAGCUAUCAGUUCACUGCCUUUGCUCAAACUUGAGCUAACGCUUUCUAUACAGGGUAGCACAUAACAAAUUGAGACCCUGUUUGGGUGUGCUUAAAAGCAUUUCAAAAGUCCAUUUUGAGCAUUAUCACCCGUGCCUGCGCGAAAUAAUCAGCAUUCGCAUUAUAGCAGAUCAGGAGUUACUUGUACAAUGUUGAAAUGUUAUCAAAUUCAUAUCUACUAUAUAUGCAGAACUUAACCCGAACUGAUAUCAAUUAACAGUAGAAUAUUGGUUUUCUUGAUAUAUUUCCAGGUCAUCGGGUAAAAGAAGACUAAGGAGUGGUAAAGCAACGAGUUGGAGGAGUUAUGAAUCGGAUCCAGAACUAAAUCCCGUUAUGAGCCAAGUUGAAGUGAAAGUAGAAAAUCCAAUUUCCGGAAAUGGUAAGUUUCUCAUUUUAUUUUAUUUUACAAGUUCGGGAGUUGAUCAAAUAUAGGGUAAGUGUAUGAGUCCAAAUUAGGCCUGGACGUGAUUUAGUUUGAAUCGAUUUUACUCCAACUUGAAACUAAAACCAAAUUAGUCGGUUUGGGUGAAUUUCAAUCCAAACCAACUCACUAUAACUCUUACACCGACUUUAUAUUAUAAGAACUAUUGACUGAAAAAUAAAAUCAGGUUAAUAGAGACAGAUCUACAGAAAACUAAAGAAUUUGAUUUUUUUUUUUAACAUUUUGUAAUCUGACUGUUUUAGUAGGGAAAAUAUACUAAGUAUAUUAUAAUGAGCUUGUAAAAGAAAAUUUUCAAUACUAUUACUUACUGACAACAUCAUAUAUUGGCGGGAAUUGAGAUAUGGUUAUGAGAUUAGAACUUAUAUUUUGAUUUUUAUUUUAAAAAAAAAACAUACAAGUGGGUGAAGUCGGUUUGGUUAACUAGCAUUUUGACUCUCAAACCAUUGCUGAACAGACCCAUCGUGAUGUUAUUUAAGAAAAAAAAAAUCUAACCAAAUUAAUUACCUAUGUCAAACUGACCCGAACUGGUUUGAUCGAUUUUCUAUUUUUAUUGCCCACUUCUAGCCAGAAUUUGGACUAUAAAUGGAUUGGAUAUAAACCGGAUCGCCCAUAUCCGAUCCAUUCCGAUCAGAAUAAUUAUUUGAUUUGAUUUGAUAAUCCAACAGAUAUUUGAUUGUUAAAUCCAUAUUUGAUUUUCUAUGUCAUCGAACAUCCGAUCCGAAUUAAAGAAAUUAGGAAAAUAAAAUCAAUGUUGAAAUUAACUUUUUUUAAUACAUAUUUUUCUUUCAAAUUCAUCAAUUCUUAAACGAGUUUAAUAAUUAUGAAUUUCUAACUUGUAGCCAAUUGGAUUGAAAGACAAAAGGUUGCUUAUCCAUUCAUUGACUCAUUUAUUUAUAGAUGACGUUUCUAAACAUUUUGUUAUAAACUUUCGAAGUGGGAUAAUAAUUCAUUUGGUUUCGCUGGAGUACAUUGUACGUUUUGUUUGGUUGUAGUGUAUUUUAGAUUUGGUUUGACAGUAGGAUAUUGAGUAUUUUAUUAUUAUAUAAAUAGAUAUUUAUAUUUUAUUAAAUUAAUCAUUUUUCAUAUCUUUUACUAUUUAAUAAAAAUUUAAAACUCUCCAAAUAAUUCAAUUAACACUAUUAUUAUCUUGCUUAUCGAAUAUAUUUAUUUUAUUAAGCUUUUAACAUUGCAUUUGGUACUAUAAUUUGUAUGUAUCAUUAAAGGUGCAUUUGAUUGCCAAUAUUUUUCAUGGAAAAUGUAUUUUUUCCAUCCAAAUUCUUAUUUUUGUGCUGUUUAAUUAUCAUUUUUUUCAAGGAAAAUGUCCUCUUACUUUUGGUCACGUGAUAAUAAUUUCUUCAAAAUCAAGGAAAAUACUCUCUCUCUCUCUCUCUCUCUCUCUCUCUCUCUCUCUCUCAUCUAUUCACUCAAAUGCCUAGAAUUUAUUUUUUUCCAUACAAAUUUCAUGCUCGCAAUGAAAUGAAAUAAUUUUUAGACCGAUUAAAAUUUUAAAAUAAUAUUAAUAAAAAAAUACAUUUUUACAUUUUUUUACGCCUAGACUUCGUCUAGACUCACCUAACCUGAAACCUUCACGCAUUACGCUUUUGAGAACAUUUUGUACACAUUAAUUGACUUUCUUACUUUUUAUGUUUUGAAUUUGAUGACUUUUUUAUUCUAAAUUUCUUUACUUUCUCAUUUUUUUUAUUUUACUGUCAAAUAACAUGCCAUAAAACUAUUUAACCGACUUAGCUAUUUAUAACAAAUUGGAUAGGGUUGUUAUUGAAUCCAAUUAACCUCUAUCCAUUUUUUAUCCAUUUAAUUAACGGAUUAUAGAAUUAAGAUCUUGAUCGGGUUAUUGGACUAAGACCCUAAAUGUAUCUCCCAUUAAUUUGAUCGAAUUCGGAUCGACUUCGGAUCAAUAUCCAAUCCGGGGGUGGCAAGAUGACUAUGAAUAUGAGCAUAACGUAUAAUCUGCCCAAGUUAUUUAUGUACACGGCCACGUCCCAUGCAAGUUAUAUGAUUUUCCAGCUGGAAAUCCCGUUACAGAGGUCUUAGGUUGGGACUAUGUGACAUCUGUGGCCGAGUGAUAAAACGAACCAUGAGGGGGAGAGAGAGAGGCUUAAAACCUAUUAAGAGGUUUCGACAGACUUGAUUUUGGUUCUAUGCAAUUUUAUUUUGUUCAAUGUAAUUAUUUUCGUCCAAUUUUUCACAUCCCCUACUUGGAAAGUAUCCAAAAAUCAUCAAUAUCCUCGUUAUGAUUUGAACAAAUUUCAACAGUAAUGAGAUGGAAAUUGUUGCAAUUAGCGUUGGAACAACUUCAAUACAAAGUUGAUGUGGCUAGUAAAUAUUAAGAUUUGAUGAUUGUGUACUACGUUAUGUAAGUGGAUUUAUGUCUACUUUAGUUUAAUAUGUGUUACAUAGUUGUGGAGCAUCUUCCACUUUCAACACAUGUCUGACAAUAGUUCUCCCCGAACAUCAUCAGGGGAAGAAAUGAAAAAAAAGUCCGUAGCUUUGUAUAUCGUUAUAUAAAGCUGCUUUAAAAGGAGAUUGGAAAGAUGCUGAAACUACUCUCAGAUUGGGUAAAAGUGCAGGUUCUCUUAAGAUAACAGAAAGAGGAGAAAGGCCUCUUCACAUAGCUGCUCUCGCUAAGCAAACUGCGUUUGCCCAUGAGCUAGUCAAACAAUUGGACAAAGAAGACCUGAAAUUGCUGAAUGAUUAUGGACACACAGCUUUCUAUUUUGUAGCUAUAUCAGGGGUUAUAGAAAUUGCCAAGGCCAUGUAACAAAAAAAUGAAGAACUGACAAAAAUUCGAGACGAAAGGAAUAUGAGCCUGAUUGAAAUGGCAGCUUUGAUGGGAAAGGAAAAAAUGUUUGAAUAUCUUCACGGCAUUACACCUAUUAAUAAAGAUUUCAAGGCCAAGGAGCACAAAGACAUUCUUGUUGCAACUAUCGACAGUGACAUGUAUGGUAUGGAAUCUCUGUUCACGACUAGGGGCAAGAUGACAAUGAAAAUUAUAUUUGCAAUAGUUUCAAAAUUGCUUUUCUUAUAUGUAGAUAUCGCAUUGAAAAUAUUGGAAGCUGAUAGAAGUAUAGACAUUUCUCCAGACGCCGUGAAAGGAAGUGCUCUACACGCAUUAGCUCGAAAAACUUUGUCACACUACGGUACAAGUCAAGAAUGGAUAUGUGAAAAACUCGAGAGAAUCACCCCUUAUGUUCCCUGUAAGACCAUUCUAUUUAUACUAUAUUUGACAGGCAUUGACCCAUAGGGUCACUUGUUGAACCACUGACCCCGUCGAACAACUGCAUUGUCUGAGUCAGUGUCUGGACUGAGUCUGACAACCAUGGUUUAAAGUCUGGACUUUGUGUAUAUACAAACACACAAAUUUUGGUAUUUUCAUUCAUAGCAUACAUUUGUAUAUAUACACGAUUUCUAAAAAUGAGAAAGAACUAUUUUACUACCUACAUCAAAAGCAAAUCCCUGACUAUGCUCUUAAUUAAUUUAAUUACAAUGAAUGAGUAAUACAUGCUGGAAAGAUCAGAUCACAGUGCUAAGAUCAUGGUGAUUUGUUUGCUGAGUUUAUGGAUGAUAUUUCUUCCCUUAUAGAUGAUCAAUACAUAGAUUUAUUCACUUUUUUCUUAGUAGUUGUUUUUUCAUUUUUUUUUUUUUUUGGCUCUGUAGAUAAUAUGAAUUUUAGAAAUAAUUUAGCAAUGAUUUUAGGUUUCAAAAGGGUGUGUGGUUCAAUUCAAAUGUGGAAACAAGCCAAUCAGUUGGUAAAGGAGCUCUGCGCACAAUUAAAGGACUGGGAAAUUUCAGUCAUAUGUAGCCAACCAAAAACUCCUAUGCUUACUGAUGCUGCAAAAAUUGGGAAUGUUGAGUUUUUGACUCUGCUUAUCCGAUCAUAUCCUGAUCUUAUAUGGAAAGCUAACUCAAAUGGUCACACCAUAUUUCAAGUUGCAGUUAUUAACUGACAAGAGAAAGUCUUUAAUCUCAUCUAUGACACAGGAGCUAUUAAAGAUUUAUUGAUGUCCUUAGAAGAUAAAUCUGAAAACAACAUUUUGCAUUUGGUUGCAGAAUUACCACCUUCAAGCAGACUCAAUAUUGUCUCUGGAGCAACCCUUCAAAUGCAUAGAGAACUACUGUGGAUUAAGGUGAGAAAUUAACACGACUAACAAAUUCCCUUUCCUUUGCCCCUCAAAGAGGUGAGGAAUACUUUAUAACAUGACGGUGAAUUGUGUCAUCUCUUGUUUAUCUUGAAUUAUAUAUAUAUAUAUAUAUAUAUAUAUAUAUAUAUAUAUAUAUGUUAAUACAUUAAUUUGAGUAAGCUUUACAAGAGGUGGAGAAGAUUCUACAGCCUUCUGAUGUUCAGAAGAAAAAUAUUAACAAAAAAAACACCUAGGGAGUUGUUUACGGAUGAGCAUGAGAAGUUACGAGUUGCUGGUGAGAAGUGGAUGAAGGACCCAACAACUUUUUGCAUGGUUGUGGCAACCUUAAUUGCCACUGUUGUGUUUGCUGCAGCCUUUACCGUGCCAAGCGGGCAUAUGGAAGAAACGGGGGCUCCAAUUUUCUUGAACGACAAGUGGUUCAUAGUUUUUGUGACAUCUGAUGCAGUGGCAAUGUUUAGCUCGACAGCUUCCAUAAUGAUGUUCUGGUCUAUCUUAACUUCAUGCUAUGGAGAAGAUGAUUUUCUAUUUACAUUAACAGCAAAGUUGAUGGGUGGACUAGUUACACUCUUUGCUUCAGUCAUUUGUAUGGUCUUAACAUUUAGUGCAGCCUUCUUUUUGGUCUAUAAGAAAGAAAAAGAAGGGACAUUGCCAAAAAUUGUUGCUGGUCUUGCUUUGCUUCCAAUCUAUAACAUCCCAAUUUCUUGAUGAGGGCUUAAGUGUCAUUAAAUCAGAAAAUAAUAUGUAUCAAACACAAAAAAAGAAGAAGUAAUGAUCAUUUUUUUAUAUAAAAAAAUGUUGUCUUUCAAAAUAAAAUAGAAAUAGCAUUUAUUCUCAAAGUGACUAAUCAUUUAAAAAAAAAAAAAAAUUCUUCCGAGAAUAUGAAUUCCCUUUUAUUUAAAUAAGAACAUUCUGCCACCACUGACCAAUUACGAGCUCCAAACUUCCGAUCUCUAAUUACCUGAAAGGGGGGGAAAUUUAAAGGGGCGAGAUUUAAGAAAAUCUCAGUAAGUGUGUGCAAUGGACAAGUAAUUUACAUAUAAAUUAAGGAAAACAGGAUUUCAUAUCAUAUGUAUAGGAGACACACGAACUAUUCCGAACAUAGGUGGUAGCAAUUCAUGUGCGUAGCGCUACUAAACUCCGGCCCUUUUAUCAUCACAUAUAUGGCCCAUGAAAUGAAUUCCAAAAUUUAAAGUACAAAAUACAAAUUCACAUAAACCACAUGCAACAUCACUUACCUCGUAAUGAAAUUUGAUAAAUAAGUGUGUGAAGAACUUGACUGUCAAAAGUCCCCUUGUGAAUUCUUGUGUGUAGGACAAAUGACUUGUGUGUGUGAGAAAGGUGAGAGACGUGAGUUGUGUGUGUGGAAAUGAUAAAAUAUUUUCAUGGGUUAAAAUGGAAUCUUUCCUUUAUUUUCUCCAUAAUUGUGGUAUCUACAAUUAUUGAUUUCUUGUGUGUGAGACAAAUGAAGUGACGUGUGUGUGAAAGAAGAGUAAUUGCCGUGAGAUUGGCUGUGAAAAAUAAUAAAAUAUUAUCAUGAAUUGGAGAGUGGAAUCUUUCCUAGUGUGGAAAUGGAAAUUUUCCUUAUUUGUUCCAUAUUUAUGGUAAUUAUCAUUAUUCUUACUAUAAUUUGGCAUACUUGACAUAUAUACAUGCAUGUAAUUAUGUUAAUUACCUAAACAUAUUUUAGUCAUUCAUGGUUAUUAUAUAAUCUACUUAAUUAUUCCAUAAACAAAAUGAUUUUCUAAUUAAACACGUCCUUAACUAUGAAUAGUCCACAGUUUGAUCCAUAAAUUAUGUAAACAAAAUAAUUUGGUCCUUCAAUAUUCAACUUCUCGCUAAUAGAUCCUAAUUUCUAAUAUUAAUGACUAUAACGAAUUUUCGGGGUGCUACACAAUCACUUUACAUGCUAUGCUGAAUUUUAGGUUAUGGAUUUCCCUAAUCCACUCAACAAUCUGGACAUCAAGGUUGAUGUUUCGACCCCAUAAGCACAGGCUUUUCUAAUACUAAGAAAAGUGGAGAAGCUUUUUUUUUGUUGUUGUUGUUGUUGUAUUUUCUAAUAAAAGGCUUUGUUUUAAGCUUUUGUUUUUUCUAGUUAUUACUUUGUUGUUAUUGUUGUUGUAUUUUCUAAUAAAAUGCUUUGUUUUUCGAGUGAAGUAGAAAAGCUUUCUAUUUCUUAUUAAUUUAUCUUUGUUAUUCUUCAAUAUAUAUUUAUAUAUAAAUAUCGCAAUUACCAUUGCCACACAAAUUAAAUCAAGUGGAGAAGUCCACGAGAAACAUCAAAGUUUGCAUGCCUCAAUAAAGAUUUAUCUCUCUUUUCCACAAAUUAGACCACUUGGUUUGUAUCUGAAGCAUUAGCAAUCAAAUAUUAGAUUAUAGCCUCUCGGAUGAUGAUAAAUUCAAGUACCUAAUUUACCUAAAAAUGUCAAGUUGGAUAUUCCACAAAUGUUUCUUUGGAGUCACAUACGUGCCUUCAUUCUUCGUUCACUUCAAACAAAUACAGUUGCCUUUUGGGAAUUAAGGUUUUAAUGCAUUAUGUGCUGAUCUUGUCUUCUAAUAUUUAGUUAAGAAUAUCUUACAAUUAGAAAAUAGUCAAUAUUCUACUUAUCAAAGUAGACACUAGUUUUGGGAUAUAUAUGCAUUAAUCUUUUGGAUAGGGAGUUUGACAUGCCUUACAAUUGAAACAAUGAUAAUAACAUUUAUGAAUUGAAUUGAUCAAUGGAGAAUGUACUUGUGCUUUUUGUAAGUGUAACUUUAGUCUUUCAUUUGGUUUUUCCUUUGUAUCUAUACUUGUAUAAGGGUUCUUAUUUUCCCCACCUAAUAUUAAUGGCUCCUGUUGACCUUGAAAAAUGCACCUCCAAUGUGGCUAACAAAUCCUAAGACCUUUCACAUCCAUGCGUACUGAGUUCUUAUACACUUGGACAAAUCAUUGCCACACGUGGCCUCCUCCAGUGGAGUGGAGUUGGCCACGCACAUUCCAACGGUCAUGUCAGUUAAAGGUAGUUAUAUGAGUGUGUGAGGGCUUUGGGCAUGAUCCUCCAAUGUAAAAGAGGAUUGGUUUUUGUGAGUAACAAAUAGAUAUAUCAGAAAGUUAUUGUAAGAGUCUAAACUUGCAUUACCUCUUGCGUGACACCAAGUGUAAGCUUUUAUAAUAGAGGAAGGUGAGCAUAAACUGUGGGAUGAAAAGACACGUAGUCUCAUCCUAGUAGCUGAGGUCUCUUGUCAUAGGUAUCUAUCCAUUUAAUGUUAUGACUAUCUGUAGCCUUAGGCCAGAUAUUUUAGACUAGACUUGUUGAUUGAGUAGAGCCACCUAUUCAGUGAAUUGUCACAUUACCUACUUGCUUCAAGAUCUUGUACGAAGAUCCUCCAUGUGGUGCUUUUAUCUGACUCUUCUCAUCCAUAGGGGUUCAGUUCAAAGGCUCGGUUUAUGGGGUUCGGCCAUGCCACAAGUGUAGAUGACAUGGAGUGUUAGCUUGUGUCCUUUCUGCUGAGCGGCUACCACCUGGCACUGUUUAGAGCUUCGUUGGAAGAGGUGUAACUAUAGUUCCCAAGUCCAUAUAUGAAUAUUAAUAUAAUGUGUGGACUUAAAAUGUACAAUAUUAGUAAACUAUCAAAGCAGUUCCCCAACCUGAUUUUAAUGCAAAGCCUUUAUAUUUAGGUAAACCCUUUGUAAAAGGAGAAAUUUGUAGUGAGGCAGAAUCGGAUUUCAGAAAAAAAAACCCUGGCACAAGGAAGAGCCCAUUAGUGAAGAGGUAGCCUGUUGGUGAGGCAAAAUCAAAGUUGGUUGAGAUCUUUGUUUUCUCUUGUUUUGGAGAAGGGCCAGCCCGUUGAGCCACUUAGGCUUAUAGAGGCUAGCGCUCUAAGGAUUUGAGAGAAAUGCCAGUUCCUGAGCUAUAGUAGCGACAUGGAAUCAUGAUUUUUAAUGUAUGUGUUGUGGGCGCAUUUAUUGCAUAAUGAUGGUGCUUGGUACAGCUAGCAGAGGUUACUCGAGUCCUUAGUGUGUACAAUUCAUAGAUCCAUUAGAGCCAUUGACCUGAGUUUUUUUAUAGGCACCCUUUGAAUUUAACGUAUUUGAUUGUGAUAGAGUGUUUGGCCACGAUUAAAUCUGGUUCAAUCAAACAUUGGUGCUCCACUCACGUUGCCUAUAUAAAGAGGAAAGCAACCAUUCCUUACUUUUUUACUUUACAAAAAUCUCCCAAACCCCUUGAAAAUUUCAUUUUGGGUCACCAUUGCUGCUGUCCCAGCGAGAAUUCUUGCCCACAUUUUAGUGUCAUUUUGCGAGCUUUGUAGGUAAAAAACUUGAGUUUUUUUGUAUUUGUGUUGUAAGAUAAUGACGUCCUCUUCAAAGAAGAAAACAAUAGGGGGGUUUGUGUUUGUGUUGUAAGAUAAUGACGUCCUCAUCAAAGAAGAAAACAAUUUGCCACUAAUUUGUGCUAAGGUCAAUUUGCCUCCAGUGAUUUUGACUAACAGGAUUAUGGAGGUCAUGGGAGACCUCAUAGUGUGUAGAUAAUGCAAGAGGGUCCAAUAGAUUAUAGCGUUAGGUGGGAGACUUCGUUGUGGUCGACCUGUGUAAAGGAGAGUGAGCUGGAUACCUUUAGGGAGAGGUAUAGAAUCCAUGAUCCAUGGAGAUGAUUAUCCUAAUCUCUGAUUAACGAGCCUAUUUUCCCAGAAAGAGGUGUGAAGCAAUGAGUGAUGUGAUUCUUAAUGGGAGGAUGAAGCUACCUCUACACCUAUUUCUACAUCCUUAGGAAAUAUAACCUAGUCCCCACCCAGUUAGUACCAAAUGUAUUGAGCCAAUUGGCAGGGGCCUUCCAUCUUUAGAAGGAGGCCACUCUUGGAGAGGAUAUGCCUCUCAUAUUUUUCGUACACUCUUUCAGCCCUGAGCCUCUAGUGGGAGAGGAUUGCAAGGGGGUAGUAUUAUAUAAACCCUUGGGGUCUGCAUUUACCCUUCAUUUGGGGAACUCUACCUUAAUAAAAAACUGGAAGUCAUCUUGGUUUUGGAUUAGGAGAUGCUGGUAGACAGUAGAGAGAGACGCAGUCCCGGUGCCAACCUAGUAUCAUGUGUAUAGUGAGUUUAGAUUCAAUUGAAGAUCUUUCAUUUAUCGUAUUUCAGUAUCUAUUUCUAAAUUGUGUUUUGUGCAGUUGUAGUUAACCAGUUCGAGUUCAAACCUUCAAAGUGGGCCACCAUUAGAGCUACUUACGAGUUGUCCACUGAGAGGAAGUACUUCAACACAGUGCUUAAGAAGUGAGCUCUAUUUGUGAUUCUUACUAACGACGACCAAAGGUAAGCCAUCGCCAAACAUUUAUCACUCUUGAUAGUUUGACUUGAUUUUUGGCUAUACUAAUGGCGUAUUUCACUUGCAGAGUAACAUGGCAGAAAGAAGUAUGUCAAGCACGACAUGUUCUAUAUGAGCCACCUGGCCAAAGAGAAGAAAAAGAAACUAUUGA